GUUUUCUUCAAACUAGUUGAAGCAAGCCAAUAUGUGUGCGCGAAAUCCAACUGUAGCAAUGAUCAAGGCCCGGCUAUCCAUUUCCCAUUGAACAUCAGGCGCACACAUCAUUGUGGAAAUUCUGGGCUUGAAUGCAAUGGGAGAUAUGAGCAGCAAAUACUAAUAAAAUUAUUUGUCAAAGACACAGAUUACAAGCGUCAGGAAAUCCAAGUCUAUUCCCCAAGUAACUGCCUGCUGCUAAAGCUUGUUGAAAUCCCAAACAUGCCACCCUCUCCCUUCGUGCCAGUAGUCGAUUACAUGAUUAAUUUCAUAAACGUUACCUUAUUCAGUUGUCCUACUUCUGUUGCAAUACGAGAUACGUAUGGUUGUCAAGUCCCCUGCCUUGGCGACCGUGGCAAGAGAACUUAUGCCAUUGAUUCUGGGGUUUAUUUUGAAACUCUCUUCCAGAAUCUAGAAUCCUGUACAAAAAUGUAUGAUGUUUUAUCAGUUCCAAUAGCCGAUGAAUAUUAUGUUUUUCGUUUCAAAUGGUCUAUACCAAAUUGCAGAAAAUGUGGAGAGGGAAAGAAGUGUGAAUGGCAGAACAAUGAAAUUAAAUGUCUUCCCUGGAGGAAACCAAGUAAGGAUAACAUAUGUAUUCAUUGCUAGUUUUAAACAUCUUUACAUUUAUGUCUUAGUAAUUAUUAUUUGAAGGAUGUUGUCCAAUCCAUUUUUACUAGGAAUAUUACCUGACAGUCUCGUUUAAAUUCGCAAUGAUCUUCUACAGGCAACACAUGGAAAAAAGUGGUUACAGGUGGAAUCCUGUGUGCUUUGCUUCUUGUUCUACUGACGAUUGCAGCAUAUCGGGUAUAUAGCGCUGAUAGAAAGGAGAAAGAGAGUCGAUUAAGAAUUGAAAGAUUCUUGGAGGACUACAAAGCACUCAAACCAAGCAGGUAUUCGUACGCAGAUAUUAAGAGGAUUACAAAUCAAUUCAAGGACAAGUUGGGCGAAGGAGCCUAUGGAACUGUCUUCAAAGGAAUGCUCUCUUCUGAAUUCUUCAUUGCUGUCAAAGUCCUCAACAGUUCCAAGGGAGAUGGGGAAGAGUUCGUAAAUGAAGUGCGAACGAUGGGUCAUAUCCACCACGUAAACGUGGCUCGCUUGGUUGGAUUUUGUGCUGAUGGAUUUGUACGAGCUCUUGUUUACGAGUUCUUCCCCAAUGGUUCCCUGCAGGAUUUCAUUUCAUCUGCAGAUAGUAAGAAUUCAUUUCUUGGUUGGGAUAAGCUACAAGAUAUUGCCCUAGGCAUAGCCAAAGGAAUUGAAUAUCUUCACCAGGGAUGCGAUCUACGAAUCCUGCAUUUCGACAUCAAACCCCAUAAUGUUUUGCUAGACCAAAACUUCACUCCAAAAAUUUCUGAUUUUGGUUUGGCCAAGUUAUGUUCCAAGGAUCAAAGCUUGGUGUCCAUGACUACAGCAAGGGGGACCAUGGGCUACAUUGCACCUGAAGUGUUCUCCAGGAAUUUCGGAAAUGUGUCGUACAAGGCAGAUGUUUAUAGCUUUGGAAUGCUACUGCUUGAGAUGGUAGGAGGAAGGAAGAAUAUUGGUUCAAUUACGGAUAACACUACAAAUGAAAUUUACUAUCCACAGUGGAUUUAUAAUCUUCUAGAGGAAGGGGAUGACCUACGAAUCCACAUUGGGGAAGAAGGAGAUGGUAAAAUUCCAAAGAAACUUGCAAUUAUAGGGCUAUGGUGUAUCCAGUGGCACCCGUCGGAUCGUCCUUCCAUGAAAAUAGUGGUUCAGAUGUUAGAAGGAGGAGGAGAAAGCUUGAGUAUGCCGCCUAAUCCCUUUGUGCCUACUGGUUCUACAACUAGGAAUGCAAGACACCUAGAGCUAGAAGCUAUUGCUGAAUUAGAGUAAAAUGUAUAUGCAGAUAUGUAGACGUAUAGAUAUAGUAAUAUUUAUAUUGAAUAAGAGGCCGUUUGAUAACCAUUUCGUUUUCAGCUUUUAAUUUUUAUUUUUCACUUUUUUGAAAACUAAAAACUAAAAUCUUGUUUGGUAAAUACUUUUAGUUAAAAAAAAAUGAAGACUGAGAACUAAAAUGUGAAAGCUCAAAGGAAGUAGAUUAAAAGUAGUUACCAAACAAACCGGAAUCUCAAUAAAUAAAAAAGAUUGAAUUGCACAAUGCAAUCCAAACCAAUCAAAACAUUUAAAAUAGCAAAAAAAAAUUAAAAUUCUAGUUGAUUAGAUUCUAAACAUAGUAAAAAUGAACAGAUCCGAUGAAAAAAACAAAAAAUUCUCAGAUAAAAAUAGGGAUAAAGUAAAAUAUUUAUAAAUAGCUCUUUGUCUCUUAUGCCAUCAAUUAUUUCUAUAGUAUAUACACGUUUUUGGAAAAAUUAGGUUCCCAUCCCUUAUUUUCAUAUUACAUUGAUUGAAAUCUUAUUAUUUUUCUAUUUUAGAUCAAGGUCCCUUGACUUAUUCUAUGUCAUCAUUUUAGUAUUUAAAAUAUUACACGUUAUCAUAAACGAAAUCUCAUCCCUUUCUGCAUUUAAGGCAAAAUAAACUAUAUGAGUAAGUUUAAAACAAGGAAAAUCCAUUUGAACUCCUCCAUUCUUCUUCUUCUCUUAUAAACAUCUGGAAUCUACAACACCCCAAACCCAAUUUUCUCCAUUUUUUCUCCUUUCCUGAAUUGAUCCAAUGCAUAUAUGUUGAAUAAACCUAUUGUGAUUAAAAUACAAAUUAGCAUCAAUGGUUUUAUUGGCUUGUGAGAUUUGUGUGGCAUAGGCAAGGCAAUGCAGGCAUCGUUUUCUCAAGGAAUCUGGUUGAUUCAAACAUGCAGAGACUGUAGAGUGAGUGGGCUAUGUGAAAACUGUACCAUUCUGAAGUCAUUUUCUUUUGUUCUUUAUAUUUUUUUUUCUUUUUCUUUUAUUAUUAUAUAUUAGUCUUGGUUAUUCAAUGCCUGGUUGGCUACACUUAUAUCCAUGGGUACAUUUUUAAUCUACAUGUUUCGUUCUAAUAUAUCUAUUGCUAUAAUAUGUUUUGGUUGGUUCAAAUUUGUUUUACAUAAAUAUAUGGGUACAAAGUUUUUGGAGAAUAUUAUGUAAAUGGUUUUUAAGGUUGCUGCAUUUUACGUACCCACAUAUGCAUGUCUAUAAAACAAUGUGGUAUGAUGUACAUUCUUUUCUUUGAGUUUUUAAAUGUACCCAUGAGUUUUUUUGUAAAUUCGGUAUGUACCCAUAUGCUAUUUAUGUUAUGGGUACAUACAUUAUUUUUGGUCUAAGUUCAGGGUACAUUGCUUUUGUAUGUAUGAAUUCAAGGGGUACAUUAUUUCCCUUAAUACUACUCAAUAAAAUUCACAAAAUAUGUGUAGUGUGCAUGAUUUUUUAUUGUAGAAAUUGUUUUUUUUUAAGUCUCAUAAUUCAUGAAAUUUGUACAUAUAUGAUCCCAUAAAUUUUUUAAUUUUAUUAAAUUUCUUUUAGACUUGAUCGAUUGAUUGAAUCUCAUCAUACUAGGAUUUUGAAUUACAUAAAUUCUUGGAUUUAAAUCCCUUAAAUGUUGGACUGCAAUCAAUAUUUUAAAUUAUAGUUUUUUAUUUAAGAUAUCAAAAAGAUGACAUGGAAAUAUAGUAAUACUAAAAUGCUGAGGUGUACAAAGUCAAAGGACUUUGAUCAAAAAAUAAAAAACAAUAAGAUUUCAAUCUAACAAUUAAAUUGACUAGGGACCGGAACCAAAAUGACCCUAGAUUUUUAUUGAGUUUAAUCUUAAUCAAAAAAAGACUUCUUGUAUCACAGAAAAUACAAGAACCAUUAUUUGAAUGAAAUAAAAGCUAUGGGAUGGAGAUAUAAAUGGAUCAUUUUAUUCACAAUCGGAUUAUAUUUAUUUGAUACACUAUUGUCAAUAUGAAUGUUGAGAAAAAGACUACAAAAGAAAAAACAAUUUAUAAAUAUAACUAACAAUUCCAAUUUCAAUCAAUUAGACAAUUAGAUAAUACAUCAGUAAACGCGGGGUGACUCAGUGGUUAGAAACGAAUUUUAGGCUCGUAUUCUAUACAAUACGUCUUGGGUUCGAUUCCUGACAAUGGUGAAUCACGCGACGGUAGAUAUAGGGGUGUUGUUGGAAGUUUUGAGACUCAAGUCCUUUAUAUAGAUUUAGUGCUUUAGUUUAGUAAUUAGAAUAUGGGUCAUUUGGAAAUGGAUUGAAGGUUUGGGCCUUAUGGUUGUGUGGAUUAGGCUUGUAUAAUAUAGCCUAAAUACAAUUAAUAUUAAUUAAUCAAGACAAGGGCCUUGGGCCUUACUUGGGGCCUUGGAAUUUAAAAUUAAUCUGAUUCAUUAAUUUUAAUUUUCGGAUUAAGUUUUUAAUUAAUUUAUUAUUAAUUAAAAACGUUUUGAUUAAAAGACACAGCUCUUAGAAAAGAGUUAUGAACCUUCAAAUACACUGAACUGGUAUUUGAAAGGGUGUGAAACAACCUAUAUAUCUGCAAUCCAUGGUAUCCAAAUAAAUCAUCUUUUCUUCUUCCUUUUCUUCCGUACAAACUUUCCAGAGAGAGUAAACACACAAAGCAAUUCGCUAGAAUUCUAUAAUUUAGUGCGGGUUAUAGGAUUAGGUAGUUGUAUCCUGGUCGAGCAGACGUUAUAGAACCACAAGCACAAGAGUGGGACGGAAUUACUGUUCGAAUGACAUAGCUUUUACGUUAGCCUCUACCUUCUGUAAUCAAGUUAGUACCGUUGACAUUCUUAUAUUAAUUUCUGUAUUUAUUGUAUACUUUUCAUUUUGUAUAGCAAGUACCUUUUGUUAAAUAAAAAUUGUGAAUUUCAAGUUCUGUUUAUUUCUGUUAUUCUGUUUAUUUCUGAAUUGUUCUCCAACACCCCUAUAUCUACCGUCGCGUGAUUCACCAUUGUCAGGAAUCGAACCCAAGACGUGUUGUAUAGAAUACGAGCCUAAAAUUUAUUUCUAACCACUGAGUCACCCCGCGUUUGAUUAUAUUUCACUUAGACUUAUCUUGCGGUAUAGCAUGUCAUCCCCGCCCAAGUUUUUCUGUUGGCAUUGAGUUUGGGAUACCAAAACUUGCCAAACAAAGUAGAUUGAUUAGUAAGCGAAGCUAAUUAUUCGACUAAACAUUGUUUAGAAUUUUAAUUAAAAGAAACAAUAUGAAUCUGUUUAUUUUUUUUUUUGACAAACUAUAACGUUAAGGAGUUAAAUUGUUAGUUAUUAAGAGUACAAUGAUAGGUGAGGAUCGAACCUCCACCAGAGUGCAUAGACAUUAUUGGUUCUACAACUGCGGUAAAUCACAUAAAACAAAACGUAAUACUUUGAGGAUGGAAGACACUUCGUGGAUAGCGGGCAAUCAACACUAUCAGUUGCUAUCCAAAACUUGGAAUUAUGUUUAUUGUCCGAAGGAUUUUUCUUCCAUUAAAUUGCUAAGGAAGAUGAGGAUGGGUGGAGUGUCUAAAUGUCAAGGUUGACAAGAACGUGUAUGGUGUUCAGCUUGCGAUUGAGAUUUGUUAGAGUGGCACAACAAACCACAUAAAAUUUUCUAAAUGAUAAGCUUGAGUAUAAUUUUUUAUCACGUAUUUAUCUUUAAAAUCAUUAUAAUUAGAUUUUCUCUUAAUUAAUAUAGACCGUUAGAUUCAUCUAAUGACCCAAGUUUUUUUCCUCUUUUCUUUCCACUCUUUUCCAUUCACCGUGUAGCAGUCGUUCUUCCCCAACUACGUUUCUUAUUUUUCUUCACAAAAAAUUUGUAGAAAAUAUUAAGAAAAGAAAAGUCAUCAAUAUCAGACUCGACCAGGUAAUCGUUCCAACCUUCCCAGCAACUCUCAGUCUUAACUAGGCACCAAAUUUUCUCCGCCACCUAACUCGUCAUUCAUUCAUGGGUGUUUCAAGCUUGGUGAAAAUUGAUAGAGUUCCAUGUGUGUACACGGAUGUGAACAUAUUGGCCACUCUCUAAGAAUGAGUCAUUGGAAAAGUUGAAGGAAAGAUGUAACCGAUGAAAUUAAUGGAUUGGAAUUACAAUGAAGUCUGUGUUGGUUUAUCACAAAGAACCCAGAUACAAAAUUUUAAAAGCAAACAAUUUCAACUUCUCAAAUAUUAUCUAACAAACUUUCAAUGAAAUGUUGCUCAUAAUUGAAAAAAGGUUGACGAAGGACGGAGUUGGGGUUAUUUUAGAUGAGGAAGAGUUAAAAGAAGGAAGCACCAUUUAAUUAAUAAAAGUGAUUGGAGAAAUGGUAAUUCAAUGGUGGGCGUUUUUAAGGUGUGGACCUUGUAUCACACCCUGAUCCCAACAUACAUUGAGGAUCGACACGUGACAUGGGGACAUAGGGGACAAAAAUCUUACAUAAGAUACAGAAUGAAAUACUAUAUAAUAUCCCAAAAUGAAUAUGAUAGUGGGUUCACCCCUAUAAAAUACAUACGAGUUUGUACAUUCACAAAAAAAUAAAAAAAAUAAAAAUAAAUAAAAAUAAAAAACACACACACAACUCUCGCUAGGCCAAGACUUGCCCAUGGUGCUCAAAGGAAAGUCCCAAAAGAAAUAGUACAAUGAAGGAUAAAGGGGUAACCUAAACACUCCAAGUCUCUGAUCUCUGCACUGCUACCCCCACCGGCUCCUCGUAAUCUACUCAGACCUGUCACAUGUACAAACAGUGCCUACAUUGUGGGAAUGGUGCACCAGGCAAACAAAAACCCGGAUAAGCUGCAAAACUCGUGUGAGUGACAAUAAUGCAACGUAUGUGAUAAUCAAGAAAAACAGACCAUCGAUCACAGUUUAUAAAUCUCAAAUAUAACUUCAUACUUAUGAAAUCAUAAUCAAGUCACUGAAAACUUCGAAUGAGUCACCCAGACAUCUAACGACUUUUCUAAAUCAAAUCUCAGAGAUUCCCAAAACUAUCGUUCACAAAUACACUAAAAACUAGGGCUAGAGUGACACAGUUCAGCCAAAGCCUACAUAAGUAACCAAAUAAGAAGUGGCCCCCCAUAGCGGAUUAACCAAGCAGAGCCACUCCUGAGAAAGUAACCAAGUAGGUAGUGACCCCCAUCACGGAUUAACCAAGCAGAGUCACUCCUACGAAACUGUUAGGUAGUGAUCACCCAUUACGGAUUAACCAAGCAUGAUCACCCCUAAGCACGUAUGGCCAUACCUAAGAAAUAAGGAUCGCCCAUCGCGGAUUAACCAAGCACGAUCCAAAAAUAUUAUGGGUCCCCUAUCGCCGAUUAACCAAGCAUGACCAUCCAUGUACCACUGCUACAUGGUGUAAAUUCGGUGUCACCUAACCUCGUGACACUAGGGUAACGGUCCUCUAGUAGCCCUCACGUUUUUCAAACAUUUCAAAUAUAUAAUUUAAAACACAAUUCAUAAACAUUUCGAAUAGGGAAGUCACAUAGUGUUUAAUAAUGUAGGUCAAUGGCAAACUUUAAAAACAAUUAUUUAGCAUAAAACAUAUUUUAGAAAUCCAUGCUGUAUCCACAAAGUAUACUAGCACGGGAGAUUUUCAGGGUAAUAACUCUAUCACAUAUAUUAAAGUCACUCACCUGGAGUCCGCACUAACGCACCCUGGCACGAAUAUCAAGACGUCGCGUACUAUCAUCUGCAACAUCCCACAUCGACCAACGAAGAGGGGGUGAUGUGCCUUCUAUGUACAUGCCCACCUCCAUAGCAUGAGGCAUUUUGGGAGCUCACUGGCUUCAUAUUCCAUCGGAACUCCAAAGUUAAGCAAGUUUGGGCGAGAGUAGUCCCAGGAUAGGUGACCCAUUGGAAAGUUAUUGUGUGAGUCCUAGAAACAAAACCGUGAAGGCGUGGCCCGAGGGGGCCCAAAACGGACAAUAUUGUGCUACGACGGAAUCGAGACUGAGAUGUGACAGAAUGGUAUCAGAGCCACUCUGCCGUGUGGUGCGAGUGUGCCGACGAGGACGUCGGGCCCCUAAGGGGGGUGGAUUGUAACAUCCCACAUCGACCAACGAAGAAGAGGUGAUGUGCCUUAUAUGUACAUGCCCACCUCCAUUUAGCACGAGGUCUUUUGGGAGCUUAUUGGCUUCGGGUUCCAUCGGAAAUCUGAAGUUAAGCGAGUUCAAGCAAGAGCAUUCCCAGGAUGGGUAACCUACUGGGAAGUUCUCGUGUGAGUUCCCAGAAACAAAACUGUGAGAGCGUGGCCAGGGCCCAAAGUGGACAAUAUCGUGUUAUGGCGGAGCCGAGAUUGGGAUGUGACAUUGUCACCUAAGACAAAGUACAGAUCCACAUUUAGAGUUCUUCAAGUAUUCACAUAAUAAAAAAUUUCCAUACGCCCCCUACAACUAAUGAACAGAAAUCGAGACACGUUGACAAAAAGUCAACCGUCGAUCAACGGUAGGGUCCACAACCCUACAUAACUCGAUCCGCAAUAUCCAACCACUGUAUUUGUGAUUCAUAAGUUCAUAAGGUCUUCAAAUCCUACCUACAAUAACAUACUAAACUUUGGUGAUGAUCUAAUGGUCGAAUCAUCAUUUGCUAUAAUGUUCAAAUGACGCAAAUUCAUCAAUCAGAUGUCAAAUAUGGAAUCAGACAUCGAAUUUAGCUUAGGAAUGUCAAGUGGUGUCUCGAGCACGCACCGCCGUGCGCAACAGCUGGCAACCUAGAUUCGUCGGAAAAAUCACCUAAUUCCAAAAUGAAUGUUGUGAGACGUGGAGUAAAUUGUAUACCUGUGAAGAAGCCCAAUUUGGCCGGGAAGUGGCCUGAAAUCACUUUAGACCGUCGGAAACCCUAAAAUAGGUGAAUCUCGAUUCGUCAUCCCCGGUAUUCCACCGUUCUCAAACUUGUUUAGGGUUUGCUCAUGGUCUCAAAAGAAUGCUAAUGAUGGUGGUGAUUGAAAGAGAACGUUUCAGAAAUAGUGAAUCACCAAUGAGGGUUUCACGAAACCGACAUGGGUGUUCCUCGUGGAACCAAGACCAAAUCUCAACGGUUUUGGCUAGAAAUGGAUGCUGGGAUGUCAUGGUGAAGUUUGGUAGUGAUGGGAGGUUGAAGAAAGACAAAAAAAAUCGACAAAAAAAUCGUCGUCGGAGUCGCAAGAAACGAGUUAGAAAAAUGAGUCGUCGGGUCUGAAACGUCGAAGGCUUUUGAGACAACUACUUACUCUCUCUUCUCUGAUUAGUCACUCCACUCACUCUCUCAUUUGAUUGGUCCAGCCUUCCCACAUGGUGGGAGUUCCCUCAUAUAGUAACCCAAAAUUUACUAUUUAAAUCUGGUAUUGAACGUCCGUAACUUUUUCGUUAUGGUUUCGAUUCGCAAACGGUUUUCACCUAUGCGCUCGUAUGAUCGAAUUAUACUCAAAAACAUUAAUUAUGACCUCGAAAAGGUCUACGAGUUUUAAAAGAUUAAUUACAAAAAUUCACACCUUGUAACUAUACGAUUCAAAUCCUAAAAUUAACGGAAUUAAAAUAAACUAAAAAUAAUGUAAACACGAAAUACAGACUUUAAUAAUGAAAUACGUAAUUAAUAGUGGAAUUCCGGGGAUGGGAUUUCACAACUUGCGUCCGGACCUUCAAUGCGGAUCAAAAUCCAAAGGUCGUGAUCUGACGAGCUCAUGCAUAGAACAGAGUUGUUGUGACCCAAUGCAAUUCAAAACUUUUAUGUUUUUUUAUUUACUGGGUACGUUUUUUAUUUACUGGGUACAUUUUUGCAAGACGUUAAAGAAAGCGCUUCUUGGGAGGCAACCCAUGUAUUCAAAAAAGGAAGAUCUAUGAAUCGCUCUACAAUUAGUUUUGCGUUUCUAAAAACCUUCCCUUUUCUGCAUUUCUAUUUUGCCAUGAUUGUCAUUUUUUAUUUUUGUUGUUUAUUUAAUUAUUUUUGGGUGUGGGUUUAUUUUUGAAACAUUGACAGAUAUGCAAGAUAUUCUUACAUUCAUUUUCAUGAAAAAAAGAAAAGGGAACAUUAAGCAGGAAAUUACAAGAGGGAGCCUUCACAAAGGCUGCUUAGGAGAAGUCUCAGUAGUCGGCGGAGCCCCAGAAGAAGGAGGCAGCGGAGGUUGAUCAUUUGGAGCUUCAGUACGCGGUGCAGCCCCAGAAGACGAAUGCAAAUGUUGUUGGAACAAACCCACAAACCGCUGAUGAUCAAGUAAAAUCUGACAAUCAGAUUCCUGCAUCUGGUCAAUCUUCCUCUUCAUGUUUGUAGCAUAAUUAUGUGCGAGCCUGUGCAACUGUUUAUUCUCAUGCUUAAGCCCUCUAAUCUCCUGCUUAAGACUCAUCACUUCAGCCGCCAAUGAUUCAACUUGACGGGUUCGGGCAAAUAGGCGUUGGGCCAUAUUAGACACGGAACGUGCGCACUGCACACUGAGAGCUAGAGAAUCCUUUACAUCCAACUCAUCAGACCGUUUGGCAAGUAGUCUAUUAUCUUUGGGAGUGACAGGGUUCCUGACCACCACCGCAGCUGUCAUAUCAUUCUUCAUCACCGAAUCCCCAACGAUAAGGGGACCAGUAGGGGAUAUGAAGGAUGGGCGCCAUAUGUUGUCUGGAGAAGGCGGGACUGCCUCUUCACCAAGGUUCAAGUCAAAACGACGAUCGGAUGGGCCAAACAUUUUCACAGGUGUUAAAGAAAGAAGAGGUCGGACAAGUCAAGAUCGUAGAAGUGCAAGAUGAGAGUUUUUACAGGCAGAAAUUCAAGUGUGCUUUGAACGUCCUACGUACUUCUAUAAAAAUCAGCACUCGAUGGGAUUUCAGAGAUCGAAGAGGCAAGCUCAGAAAUCGAAGAGGCCAACUAAAAAAAUUAAAGAGGCGCUAGCUUUCUCAAAAGCUGAGCUUGCUCAGAAACCACGGCCAAUCUUCUUUUCCAGAUUUGUCCGCACUUGUCACAUGCAACUCGACGGGAUUUCAGAGAUCGAAGAGGCAAUUCCAGAUAUCGGAUAGGCAUCUGCUUUUGCAGACGUGUCAACAUCUGUCACAUGCAGAGUAAGCUUUGCGAAAAUCACGGGCAGUUUGUGAAGCGCCGAUUCCAACCAUCUGCUUUUGCAGACGUGUCAACAUCUGUCACAUGCAUAGUAAGCUUUGCGGAAAUCACGGGCAGUUUGUCGAAGCACCGAUUCCAACCAUCUGCUUUUCCCGACGUGUCAACAUCUGUCACUUGCAGAGUCAGCUUUACGAAAAUUACGGGCAAUCUGUCGAAGAUCUCUUGUGAAGUUUACUAUUAAAUCAUCCAACGGUUGCUGACAAGAGUGAAAGAAUAGUACCGACUAUUAAUUCCUAUAAAUGUCAUCCUUCACCCUCAAUUGCAAGGCAGACAUACAUAACCCCCUUCUUCUCAGAAAAUGCCUUUCCAACACACCCUCUCGAGUCACUCAGUGUUCCUAAUUCCUUGGGGUACCUCUGCAAACAACUCAUCCAAAGCAAAAGUAUUUCAUAUCAUGAAGGUUGAAAGCAAGAGUAUCUCAUAUCAUGCUUUCUCCCUGUCCUUCUCCUUGUCUUUGUUUUAGGACAAGGAGAAAGAGAGCAAUCAGCCAGCACUUGGUAUCAAUCUUCCGAUCUGGAACCGACUGCCUGGAACCCCUUCCUGAUUGCUUACCUAGCCUUGCUCUCGAGAACUCAUCUUCAUCAUCUUAUGCUUCCUCUUCGUCUACCACAUCUGCCUGGGGAACAGAUAAGGGAAGUGAAAAUGAUACCUCGAAGCAUGUGGAAACAAUUUACCAAUUCAUCCUUAGCUAGGGACAAGGAGAAAAAAAGCAAGAGGUGGGCACUUGGAAAGAUUGAAGAAAGAAACAGACCAACACCUCUACCUCAUGCCUGCCCGCCGUGCAGAAGAAUCAAGCAGAGAAGAAUACAGACUGCACAAUCAAAUCAGGGAACUCUCAUAUUUCUCGCUCAGAAUUCCAAACCAGUUCAAGAUCAACGCUGUGGAAAGUCAACAAGAUCAUCUAUCUCCAAAACCAGAUUUGCGUUCUUAAACUCUACUCUGUCUGGUUUUUACUUUGCUAUACUUGUCAUGUUUAUUCGUUGUUUGUUUGUUUGCUUGUUGUUGUGUGAGUUUAUGUUUAAAACAUUGAGGACAAUGUUUGAUUUAAGUGUGGAGGGAUAACCAUUGUUUUGCAUGAAAUUCGUAGGAGUUUAUCACCCAUUACUUCUAGUGUUGUUCCUUGCUGUUUUAAGUGUUUUAAGCUGUUUUGGAGUGUUUCAGUGUGUUUUGACAUAAAAAUCCGAAAAUCUCAUAAAAAUUUGAAAAAUUGUUUUGAAAAACCAAAAAAGAGUUGUUUUUGUAUGUUUAUUUGUGUUUUAGGGUACCUUCCAACACAAUGAUGAGGAUUUGGUUUUUAAUUACAUGACUGUUAAAGAGAAUUAUAAACAUGGAUGAAAAUUUGAUUUACUCUUUGGUGUAUGCUUGGUUGUGGUUAUAAUUUAUGAAUUCACAUGCAAUCAUAAAGGAAAAAUCAAUUUUGUAACAUGCUUGAAAGAAGGAACUCAAAUGUACGCUACAACCUUGUGAGACUUGAGCCUAGACGUUUAUUUGGAGAGUUAAUAAUGUGCAUUUUUGUUUUCUAAAGUCGUUGUAUGAUCUCAUUAUUCUUUGCUUGGUUGCUACCUAGAAUGCGUUCAUCAUUAUAGAUCCACAUACUAGAACUCAUGCCCGUUCCAUUCAAAGCAUGACAUUAAUUUGCAUAACACAUAUCCAAGAUGAAGUUGUUUAGUGAACCAAAGCCAAAAUAGCCGAACCCACCUUUGUCAUUUGUUUUGUAGGUUUAAACCCCGUUGAGCCUUGUUUAGCCUAUUUUCUUUGUUAAACCACAUCAUCUCUACCUAACCUAGAAUAGGACUAUCCAUACCCUUGUUCUUGAAGUAUAGUGGAGCAUAACUUAGAAAGAAUUCAUUUUGAAACUUAUUGGGGGAAUUUAGAUUUCAAAUUUUUUGUGUGCCAAAGAAAACGGCAAGAGAAAAAAUUCGUGAAAAAAAAGAAAAAAGAAAAGAAAAAUUUGCAAAUUUUCCUGUGUUUAAAAGUAGAUGCCUAAAUUAACCCUUACAUUAAUUUUCCUUGAAUAAUUUCUCAUUCCAUCUAAUUUAGAUCCAUCUUGCUCACUAUUCUUUUUAAAUUUGUGGAUUUUGAAAUUUCAAAUGAGAAUGAAAUUGGAUGAGUUCAAUUUUCGUUUAAUUCUUACAAUUAAUAAGAAAUUCCGUCGAAAACAUUUUGAGUAUUGUUUAAUUUUUCAAUAUUACCGUAUUGUGUCAUUGAAAUAAUUAUCAGAGGAAUUAGGGAAUUCUCUUAAGGAACAACUCAAAAUGUAGUACAUGAUUAAAUAAUUCCUUUGAAUGGUCAACUAUGAUCAACAUAUCUUGUAUCAGAUCUUAGUCAAAUACCUGUUAAGAGUGUAAAUUUCUUGUGUGAAAAUGAGUGUAUCUAGUAAUUUUGGCAUUAGGAUGUUACUACAUUCUCAAAAUGCUGUUUUUUGAUUAAAUGAGCUGUGAGGUACUAAUCAAAUAUGCUCGAGGGUAAGAAUGGCUUAAAUUAUGUGAGUGGUGAUCUGGUUCAUGUUUCAUUAAAAAUCCCUGAGGCAAAUGUUGGAAGAUUUAGGUUAUGUUUUGUUUGUUUCGUUUGUUUUGUUUUGCUCGAGGACUAGCAAAAGCUAAGUGUGGGGAAUUUGAAUUUGAUAGGAGCAUUAUUAUGCGACUGAGUUAGCUUGUUCUCAUGCAUUUAUGUUGUUAUUUCUUAGUUAAUUAUGUAUUUUAAGCUAUUUUCGUGUGUUUGUAGGUCCAUAGGCCUUAUAAAGCAAUAAGGUGCAUUUUGGAGCAGUUUUGGGCUUGGAAUGGAUAGCACAUGCAUGGAGUAAGGUGAUGGACGAAAUUGAAGACUAAAGAGGCUUGGAAUGUGUUAAAAAGAAAGAAUAAUUAAUGACAAAGAGCUCAGCAACCAAACAGGGAACAUGAGUCAAGAUUACCUUAUUUUGAUUUAAUCUUUCCUAAUCUUCAAUGUCCCUAAGUUCCAACAACAUUCCUUGUCUAUUUCAUUCACUCAUUGCCUAGCACCACCCUUGUUCCCUCCAUCAUUCCAAAUUUCUUGCAUCAAUCAUCACUCCACCUUAACCCUUGACUCAUUUCUACACCAUUCCACCUCCCUUUCCUUUCUCUACCAUGUGCACAAUCAUUCAUGUUCCCUACUUGCAUUCAUUGUUGCAACACCACUCCAUUUUACCCCUCAUGCUUUGCAUCAUUACUUCACUUUCACCUUUGAAUCAUUUCAACACCACUUCAUUUUACCCAUGGUUUGCAUCAUUACUUCACUUUCACUUUCACCUUUGCAUCAUUACUUCACUUUCACCUUUGAAUCAUUUCAACACCACUCCAUGUCCCCCUCCAUUGCCUUGCCCUUCCUCUAUAAAAGGAAGUGUGUGUAACAUAAAUUUAGUUCAUAUAUUUUUUUAGAUCAUUCACUCCCAUUUCAAUACAACCUUCAUCCAAACACAUUCAUUCAUCUUCACAUCCAUUCCUCCAUACAAACAAACCUUCAAACACUCACCAACACCUUGUGCCAUAGCAAAGGAAGGAAAGGAAAAUGCUUGGACGUGCGUGCUGUCAACUUGGAUCGUUGGAGCGUUUAGGUGUUUUCUUUCUUUUGUUUCCAAUGUUAAAUUCAUUUUCUGAUUUUGUUGCAAUUAUGAGUGGCUAAAACCCUAUUUAGUUAGGGGGAAGUUUGAAGCCAUGAACAUGCUUGAGAUAUGAAUUGAUUUCUUCCAAUUGUGAUUUGAUAAGUUGUGAUUGCAAUUCAAUUAUCUAUUUUAUUCAUAACUGAUUCUUGUAUGUUUAUUAAGGAUGCAUACUUAAUUUUCAUGCAUGAAUUAGAUGCUAGAAUAUAAAUGAGUUUCACCUAAUCGUUACAAGUUUAUAUUCAUGAGUAGUGAAGGUUGUUUAUCACAAUCUGACACACCCCGUCCCGAAGGAGGGCGUGCUGGCCGUCACGUGAGAGUGACGUAACCAUUUACACAGUUCGGAAGCUUUAAAAAAAAAUUCCAAUUACUAAUAUAACACACCCGAGGGUGAGUCCUACUUUUGUGAAUUCUGUCAGAACACCGUUGGAUUCCUCGUGGCCACCAAAGCUCUGCUAACUUGAACCUGGGGCGCAAAACAAAAGCUUGAACUUGAACCUUUCAGGCGCAAAACAAAAGUUUUUUCGAAAACUUUUCAUUUAAAACAUUUCUAACCCCUCACUGUAAAACCUGUAUACUUUCCCAGAAAAUAGUGUAUAUAUAAACAUAUAUAUAAGCAAAAAUCUCGAAUCUCAAACCUUUAACACUUUUCAGAAAUAUAUAUAUAUAUAUAUAUAUAUAUAUAUAACCAUUUGAAAUCUCAAGACUUGAAUCCCAAAUCUUUAACAUUUUUCAAGAAAAGCAUGCCAUGCCAUAAAUCAAAAAUAUAAAUCAGGUGAAAUAAGGAAUCAAUCGGAGACCCUGCAGUUGGUCCUAUACGAUUAAUUCAAUAGCUCAUUAUCUCACUAAGCCGGAGUCACCACAGUAACCUAUACGGCCCUACUCUGCACAUCACUCAGAACUACGUAAGGUAGUCUAUACGAUGAAAGGUGUAAAAAUACGCUCUAGUGCUUCUCUCAUCAUAUCAUCAGCGCGCAUAACUAAGAUCACCCACUAGUCGGAAUCACGCCUAGUGAUCUAUACGACUAGCAUGUCGGAACCCUCACAUGGUCUGUACGACAUCCACCUACUUGGAUCCAAGGCGAGCGUGCGGUGUGGUGAAUAAAAUAAGCACUAACACCUAGGGUGCAGGUUAUGAGCUUAAAACAUCUUAUCAACAAUCAAUUAAAUGAAUAAAUGAACUCACCUGACUUACCUGUGCCUCCACCGCACCAUGCAACAUGUAUGCAUCAAAUAUCAAUUCGUAUAACUCAUACGCAAUUCACAUUUUUCAAUUAAUUCUAUGCAUGGCAUUUUUAAAACAUAUUUUCAUAUAAAUUCAUUUUAUGGGAAAAAUCAAUAGUAUAAAGGUAAUACAAAAACAAAACUGCCCACUCACCUGGAGUUCGCCCAACAACUCCCUAGCACCACACAUCAAGGCGUCAUGAAGAUUAGUGCCUAGAACAAUAAUCAAACCCAACCUCAGAAAUCAUGCCGAUAGAAUACAUAACUUAUAUAAGACGCGUCCCUACGUAGUUCGAUCCGGAUGAUCUGCAACUCGGAUUUCAAAUCCGUAACUUCCAGAGGUCCACAAUAUACCUCUAGGACAACAUCCUAAAAUUUCAUUACCAUCCAACGGUCGGAUCUCCGUCAAUUUCCAAAACUAAGUGCCGGUUAACAUUCUAUUUUAUGAACUUACAACUCCAAUUCCGGAAGAUCCGUAAAUCGGAUUCCCAAUCCGUAAGUUCCUAUAAUCCUCAAAUAUUACGUAUUACAACGUAUCAACGUUUGGUGACGAUCCAACGGUCGGAUCGUCAAUUCACAUUUUCACCUAACUACGAAUCGUAACCAACUUAGGUUCAAUUACUCAAUUUACGUCCAUCAAUUAUCAAAACUGAACCUAGAGCCUUAAUCACAUGCUAAUAAUGACAUUGGCGGGCCAUUGGCCAUGCGCCGCCGCGCGGGCCGCCGCGGGUGGCGGUUGGCCGCCCCCGGCUCGCCGGAAAAUUCAACUAUUUCCAAAAAUUACCAAAAUUUGCAGAUUUGAAGAUAUCAAUGAGUAGAACAACUUUCAUACCUGUGGCCAAGGCCAAUUUGGCCUGGAAGUGCUUCAAUUUCACCAAAACCGUGAAGAACCCUAGAAUUAGGUGUUUCCAAUUCGACCUUCAAACUUGUUCCAACGCCUCAAUUACCUCUUAGUAUUUGUUCUAGGUCCUAAAGGAAUGCUAAUGGUGUUAGUAAUUGAAAGAAAACAUUUCAAAAUUUCAAGAAUUUAAACAAAAGGGUCGCGGCACCCGUGUGGGUGUUCUUCGCGAAAUCACCAUGAAAUUUAAUGAUUCUUGGGGUGAAACGUGAAGAGGGAAGGCCUAGAUGUUGAUUAGGAGUGGUACCUUGACUCAAUUCGUCGGAAAUUUGGACGAAAAUGGUGAGAACCCGCCGAUUGGAAGUCGCGGGUCGCACGGGUAUACGGGUUGGGAAAACCCAUUUCUUCCUUCUCUCCUCCGCUUCUCGCCCUCUCUCCUUUCCUCCUUUCCUUCCUCUGGUUGGUCAGCUUCUCCCUCUCUCUUCUUCUGAUUCGCCUCUCCUCCUUCUUCUCCGAUUGGGCAGUUUUUGCCCAAUCUCUCUUCUUCUUUCUGUUUUCUGGUUCUUCUCACGCGCACACACACACACAACUUCCUUUUUCUCAUCCCAGCCAUCUAUUUCAUUCAUCAUUAAAUCUGGGUCGUCCAUUUUCAUAAAAGAAUUUCUAUUUUACUAAAAUUAUAAUUCCUUAAAAUCCCAAAUUUCAAACGUUAAUAACUUCUUCGAUAUAACUCCAAAUCACGAACCGUCUACGCCCACGCGUCCGUAACGACGAGUACUACGAGGAUAUGUCAAGAAAACAAAUCUUAGAUGGCACGACACAACGAUUAACCUCGAAUGAUGUGCGUGCCUCAAAGGGCAUUUUUGUAAAAUCCUUUAUGAAAACUUUAAAAAUUCUUAAAAUUAGGGACGGGCUGUCACACAAUCGCGUUAAUUGAAUUCUUGGCAAUUGUAUCAUGCAUUCAUAGUUAUAAUUGUCUCGUCAACACUUAUGAUUUUCAUUGAACGUAAUGAUCUCUGAUUGUAUCUCUAUUAUGCAUUAAUAUAGGGGACUUUUAGAGGAUGAUUUGGGUUGUCGCAUGCAUUCAUCCAAUUCAAUGAGUAAAGGAAAAUCUGAGGGUUAAUUUGUGCAUCACGGUUAAUCUGGGUGUUGAGCAUAAUAGUUUAUUGAAAAGCAAUUGGAAAUCGAUUCAUGUACAAGUGUGUCAUGUGUGAAGAACGGACCUCUAACUAAUCCAUCCAUCAUUUUAUUUCUCAAAUUCAUUUUAUAAUCUGCCUAGUUUUAUAACUUGCUUGUUUAUUUCAAAUUCAUCCAAACCAAAAUCCCCUUUUUACUUUCUUGUUUCAAAGUGUUAAAUUUCUGUUUUGUUUGUGUUUUUGAGUGUUUUGAUUCAAGCCAAAACACUAAAUUCAUCCAAAGUUGAUUUAAAGUCCAAAUCUGACUAGUUUGUGUUUUUAGGCAGUUUUGAGUGUUUUUAAGUUGUUUUGAAUCUUUAGAAUCUGUUUUGAGUCCCUUGAGUCUAUUCAAACAUUUUUAAUUUUGUUUUUAUGUUUUUGAGUCAGUUUAAAGGUUUUAGCAAGCCCUCCUAAUCCCCGGUUUAGAACGAUCCCUACUUGCAUUUAUACUACAAUUUGACAACAAGAGGGUUUAAUUUGAGUGCUUAACUUUCAUCGCAUCAUGUGAGUUCCCAGAAACAAAACUGUGAGGGCGUGGCCAGGGCCCAAAGCGGACAAUAUCGUGUUAUGGCGGAGCCGAGAUUGGGAUGUGACAUUGUCACCUAAGACAAAGUACAUGUCCACAUUUAGAGUUCUUCAAGUAUUCACAUAAUAAAAAAUUUCCAUACGCCCCCUACAACGAAUGAAGAGAAAUCGAGACACGUUGACAAAAAAUCAACCGUCGAUCAACGGUAGGGUCCACAACCCUACAUAACUCGAUCCGCAAGAUCCAACCACUGUAUUUGUGAUUCAUAAGUUCCUAAGGUCCUCAAAUCUUACAUACAAUAACAUACUAAACUUUGGUGACGAUCUAAUGGUCGAAUCAUCAUUUGCUAUAAUGUUCAAAUUACGCAAAUUCGUCAAUCAGAUGUCAAAUAUGGAAUCAGACAUCAAAUUUAGCUUAGAAAGGUCAAGUGGUGUCUCGAGCACGCGCCGCCGUGCGCAACAGCUGGCAACCUAGAUUCGUCGGAAAAAUCACCUAAUUCCAAAUGAAUGUCGUGAGACGUGGAGUAAAUUGUAUACCUGUGAAGAAGCCCAAUUUGGCCGGGAAGUGGCCUGAAAUCACUUUAGACCGUCGGAAACCCUAAAAUAGGUGAAUCUCGAUUCGUCAUCUCCGGUAUUCCACCGUCCUCAAACUUGUUUAGGGUUUGCUCAUGGUCUCAAAAGAAUGCUAAUGAUGGUGGUGAUUGAAAGAGAACGUUUCAGAAAUAGUGAAUCGCCAAUGAGGGUUUCACGAAACCGACAUGGGUGUUCCUCGUGGAACCAAGACCAAAUCUCAAUGGUUUUGGCUAGAAAUGGAUGCUGGGAUGUCGUGGUGAAGUUUGGUAGUGAUGGGAGGUUGAAGAAAGACAAAAAAAUCGACAAAACAACCGUCGUCGGAGUCGCAGGAAACGGGUUAGAAAAAUGAGUCGCCAGGUCUGAAACGUCGAAGGCUUUUGGGACAGCUACUUACUCUCUCUUCUCUGAUUAGUCACUCCACUCACUCUCUCAUUUGAUUGGUCCAGCCUUCCCACAUGGUGGGAGUUCCCUCAUAUAGUAACCCAAAAUUUACUAUUUAAAUCUGGUAUUGAACGUCCGUAACUUUUUCGUUAUGGUUUCGAUUCGCAAACGGUUUUCACCUACGCGCUCAUAUGAUCGAAUUAUACUCGAAAACAUUAAUUAUGACCUCGAAAAGGUCUACGAGUUUUAAAAGAUUAAUUACAAAAAUUCACACCUUGUAACUAUACGAUUCAAAUUCUAAAAUUAACGGAAUUAAAAUAAACUAAAAAUAAUGUAAACACGAAAUACAGACUUUAAUAAUGAAAUACGUAAUUAAUAGUGGAAUUCCGGGGACGGGAUUUCACACCUUGCAUCCGGACCUUCAAUGCGGAUCAAAAUCCAAAGGUCGCGAUCUGACGAGCUCAUGCAUAGAACAGAGUUGUUGUGACCCAAUGCAAUUCAAAACUUUUAUGUUUUUUUAUUUACUGGGUACGUUUUUGUAGGAGGAAAAGGGGAAGUCGAGAGAUUCUUUGCGCAUUAAAGAGGGAAAGAGAGAAAGGGGGAGCUAAGAGGUUCUUCGCGCGUUAAAUUUUUGCUUCUGAUUUUGCAACCUAGAAAUAAAGUAUUUUCUUUAUGGUUUAUGGUUCAAGAAUAUAAUGGAUACAGCCUAAAAAUGUUUCUUUUUUUAUUUUUUACUUUUUUUUUCUUAUGUUGGCUUUUGGUUUAUUUUUAUAAUGCACUAUAUAUUAACUAAAUUUAUAAACAUUUUGUAUCUUUGUUGCAGUCAAAUUAAUCAUAUGGGUCGGCAUGACGAAGUUCGACUGAGACAUACAGAUGUUUUGCAAUCUUAAGUCUAACCUGACACACCCCGACCUCAAUAUCUAGUGGACACCAAAAUUGAGGUGUGAUGGCCAUCAUCCGGAUGGGUGAUGAAACCAUAAUAUGCAUGAAACAUAACUAAAUUAUCAACCAAUAAAAUCUAUUGAAAAAUUUGGCAGAACAUCCCUUAAAAUAGGGAUAUGCCCAAAUUAAAAACACUUGCACAUGAUCAAAAUUAUUCAACACUUCCCCGAAGGGCCACACUUAAUGGGACUUCGACCAUCUAUUACAUGCAUGAGAAUAUGUUCAGAGCAUAAUUACCCAAACACGUCUUAUUAAAAUAUUGAGUAAAUACCAUACAAGAUAGAAUACGUCAGAGCUGUUGCAAAAUACCUCAAUGUCCGAUGUAAUCACUGAUAGAAUUACUGAAUCAUGUAUAGAUGGAAAGCUGAUAAAUACAUGUAAUUUGAGUGGAUACUUACCAGCAGCAUGGAUACAAUAUCAUCCACCGGUCGUAACUAAUGACAAGCUGAGAGUAUAACUGUAGUACCUCUUAUUAGUGCAAUGCAUGAUAUGAAUUCCAUCUCACAUAUAUAUGCAAGCCAUAAUCAAACCAAUAAACAUCCAACAAAAGCCACAAUCCUUUUAACAUUCGACCACAAGAUCAAUUUUCAUAUUUCCCAAACCUAGGUUCCAAAGCAUUGUUUCGAAUUAUUAAUACAAGAAACCACCACCACCUCAAUCAACUCCUAUUCCCAAGUGUAAGCAAUUACUAAAUGCAUCACUUUCGACUCUAGUCUUAAUUAGAUUACUUGGGAUACUCAUUCACACCAUCAGAUCCAAGUACUAUUUUGAUAAACUUUAAAUAGCAUGGUUAAAAUAAAUGAAACACUUUUAGAAAAUAAGUGAAGAUGUUGUUUACAAAUAUAGAUGCAUCUGUAUAUAAAAGCUUUGGCGGUUGAUCCGUAUACACUUCCAAAGAUAUAAGCAAGUUCAUUGGAAUAUACAUGCAUAGUUAAUGUAUUACAGUAUAAUUAAUAAGAAAACAAUUGCAUCCCUUUAAGAAUAUAUAUAUAUAUAUAUAGACACACACACAUACAUACACACAGGCCCUUUAUGCAAAGGAAUUUCCAUUUUUUUUCAAAAAAUGGGGAUUAGUUGUGGGGCCCACGUUGCAUUGAACUUUAACGAUCCGAACAGUCUAUUUUGUAAGUCUCGAUUCAUAUAUCAUCCUUGUAAAAAUUCAAUUCAAUCCGAACCCAUUUGCCUAUUUAAUUAUCAAGAUAAAAUUUUAUUGUUUCUUAUAUAACAAAGUAUUCGUUAAUUUCUUUGAACUCAAUUAGAUAUCUUAAACAUUUCCGAUUUGGUUAAUAUUUUGUAAGGAUGAUCUAUGUGGUGCAACUUGAAAAAUAGACGAUUACGAUCGUUAAAGUUCGAUGUGGUGUAAACCCUACAAUUAAUCUUCAUUUUUAUAAAAGAAUGGGAACCCCUUCCCUUAAAGGUUUCCUAUGUAUAUAUUUGUUCUCCAGACAUAUGCAGAAGGUAAUGUAAAACUAAUGAGAACUUAAAUGGAUAUUCCAUACAUAGGACAAUUCCAUAUAUGCUUUUUCAACAUUUAUAUCGAAAAGCCAAAUUGUUUUGAGGAAAUUAAUUGUAGCAAUGAUCCCUUAACUUUUAUCUUAUUGGAACAAUGGUCUCUCAACUAAAAAUUCAUGACCAUUGGUUCCUUAACACCACACAACGUGUAGUUAUGGUCAUUUUCAUUAACUCCGUCAGAACUUUUGUUAAAACAAGUAAUGUUAGAAGAAUCAUUGCUACAAUUAGGUUAAAGUUGGGGACCAUUGCUCUAAUUAAAUUAAAAUUGAGGGAUCAUUUCUCCAAAUUGCUUAAAGUUCAAGGACCAUUUCUACAAUUUUCUCAUCUAGUUUCCCAUAUUUACCCCAUGAUUCAGCUUCACAUGCAUUGCACAUGACUCAUUUUGACAAAAAAUUUAACAAAAUUGACGAAAAUGACCAUAAAUGCACGUUUUGAAGAGUUAAGAGACCAAUGGUCGUGGAUUUUAGUUGAGGGAUCAUUGCUCCAAUUUGGUUAAAGUUGAGGGAUCAUUGCUACAGUUUUCUCAAAUGUUUCGUAUGCGAAAAUAGGCAUUUGUAAAGUUUGGCUUGUUUAUGGCAUUAUUACUUUAGUCUAAAGUAAGGCUGGGAAUGGCACUGUAGAAAUGAAUAGUGUUCCAAUCCGAAUUUCAGUUUAAUUACAACAAUGCCAUUGCUCUUUGUGUUGCCUUUAGGUGAGCAGCCCGGCUUGCAGUCAGGCCCAAAUGUAUUGGUUUUAGCUGAGAAGCCCGGCCCUUGGUCAGGCCCAAAAUUUUAAAUUACAGUUUUGCCCAUACAAAAUAACAAUCCGAUUGUAUCGGGAAGGACAAUUUUGUCCUUUCAGUUUUGGGUGAGAUAAGGGGUAACAGGGUAAGUUUCAUUUGCUGUCGUUUAAUGAGGGUUUCGGGGAUGAGGGCUCUGUGUGUGUGUGGAUGAGAGAGAGAGAGAGAGAGAGAGAGAGGGAGAUGGCGAUGGAAGGAGAGCGAGGGGGAAGGGAAGGGUUCUCGGCACUGUUGCUGCAUGUGGAUUUCACAUGUGGGAGAGUGGGUAUGGUCAGAGAAAACCAUAUAGGUCAUUGGGAUUUCAGGGAAACGGGGUAGGGGUCAUGAAUGAACUCUGCUGAGAGUGUGGGUACCGGAUCUUGCGCUGCAUGCCUCAAAUCAAAGAUAAGUUCGUUUUUUUAUUGUAUUUUUUGUGGUAGCUUAGCUUUUGGAAUUGUUUAGUAUGUUAGGUCCGAUUUUGGGGGAUUUAUCUUUUUAGAGAGAGAGAUGGACAGGGAGAUAGAGAGAGAGAGAGAGAGAGAGAGGAGGAGGAAGCAUGACUGUGUGCAAUUUUUGGUGUUAAUUAAUGGGUUGGUGCGUAGGGUGAGUGACAGAGUGACAGAGUGAAGGAGGGACGUGUGGGAGGGUAUGAGUUUUCAGUUCUUUCUUUUGAUUCAACAGGUUAUACAUUGUUUGAAAAACCUUUUUUUAUUAUUUUUUUCUCGUUUGCUUUGUUAAAACCAUCAUUUGAAUUUUUGGGUUUCACUGUGUUCAUUUCUCUGCUUCUUCAUAAUUUGCUGGUGUUUGCUUUUCAUCCCUCUAUUGGUAGAUCUUUUUCUCAUUUCUUGGUUCCUUAUGUAUUCUUUGGUACAAAUCUAUUUACUUUUUGGCUGUGUGAUAAUCUUAGCAGGUGAACUAUAUGAACGUUUUUUUUGAAACGAGUUAAGAAGAUCCAGCUGAAAAGAGCAUGCAAGAUAGAGAACUGGUAUGCUGCUCGCCAGGGAAAGGCUGCUGGAGAGGCUGAGACGGAUGCCUCCUUCAAAAACCAGGUCAGUUUCCUGCUACUCGGCGUCUUAAUGUAUCCAAAUUGUUUAUCUUUUGAUGAAAUUAGCUGGCUUUAUUUUCUAUUUUAUUUAUCUGCAUAUUAUUUUGGUUUGUUGAAAUUUUGACUAUAGUCAUUGUGUCACAUGGGCGCCCAGCCCAACCCAAAUUAGUUGAGGAUAUUUAAAUCUUCACCAUGGUAUUAUAGUACUCACUCACAGUUGUGAAUACUAAGGUGCAGGCAUGGCAUGAAGAAGUGGACCGUGCACGCCAAGGUCAGAGGGAUGCAGAGGGCAAACUUUUUUCUUUGGAGGUAAGUAUCCUUUGUUUAUUGCCCAACAGUGUUGUUAUUAUCAAUUUGUAGCUUUGCGUUCUGAAUUUUUUGCUUUGUCAAACAACCUUUUUGAAAUGCUCGAUUUCAAGCCGAAGUCCAAAAAAUGAGAGUUGAGAUGGCUUCCAUGAAGAGGGAUGUAGAGCAUUACUCGCGCCAGGUGAAAUCUGCUUCCUCUCUUUUCGUAUAUCUUCAUAUGAAGAGUUUUACUAAGUUAUAUUGAGAACUAUGUUAUUUAUAGGUUAUAUUUUCCAUUUUGCAAGAACACAUGGAGCUAAGGAAGAGCUAUCGUGAACUCACUGAUCUACUGGUAAUGUCACUCAAACUGCUUUAUUUGUGCAUGCUGCUACUAUGCGCUUGAAUGCAUUUUAUUACUGGCGGGAUGCGAAGAAUGCUAGAUAUAUGUGCUGGAUCGCUUGAUUAGUGUUAGGGUUUUAACAACUAAUUGUUAGCAGCUAGAAGCUCUGGUUAGAUGAAUGCUAAUUUGAUUUUCCUUACAGUACUUGAGUGCCAGUUUCAUAUUGUUUGUUCCCUGCUGGAUACAUGCUGUACAGUUUCAUUUCUGUUUCUUCAUAACUUUCUUGGCCCUGCGAUAUAUGCAUAUUGAGUACAAUGAAUAUCCAUUGUUCUCUAACUGUUGGGCUUUACUAUCUUUGUAGCAGCCUGCCUAACAUUUUUUAGGCUCUACACUCUACCAUCCAAUUUAUGAAAAAUUCAAAGAUUGGACGGUAUUGAUUGCAUAAAUGAAAAAAAUACUAUGAUAUUAGAAAGGUGAAUGUAAUUGUGUUAGAAGAAGCGUCUAGCAUGAUGGGUAAUAUUUUAAGUUUGUAUUUCUAAAAUUUUUUCGUUCUGGAGUAUGAUUUACCUCAAUUGUUUUGUACUUUAAUCUUUACUAAUUUUCAUUGUGGAGUAUGAUUUGCCUCAACUAACAACUUUUCAUUGUUUAACUUUUUCCUCCCUUAGAUAGUUGCAUAUGUUUGAUUUGUUAAUCUGCUUCUUACACAUGUUGUUUCCUAAUGGUGUAGGUGGAUUGCCGGAUGCAUGUGCAGAUUACUUGAAUAGACGAAGCUAAGAAUGACUUAGUAUUAAGUGAGAAAGAAGCUUGGGUCAGUUGGAUUUUGACAUUUGAUUUAUUCAUGUUUUUUUGUUGCUUGCAAUGUUCUCUCAUUGUUUGUUCUGAGAUUCUGUGAUCUUAUUUUUCAUAGGAACUGACAUUGGUUUGCCAUAUAAUGUUUCAGGAACUAAUACAACAACUAAUCACCUUGCUUAGGUCUCAAGACACAUACUUAACAGGUUAACAAACGCUAACCUAUAAACUUAUCUACUAAGCUGGACCAUUAACCUCUGUUUAUAUCCCUGCCACUCAUCUUUUGGCACUUAUCAAUAGCAAAAUCUAGAGUUGUUGAAACCCCAAUUUUAAUGAAUAUUAUUUUUAGUUGAUAAUUAAAAUUAAUUGAUGAUUAAUCUAUUCCAUUGUGCAUUAUUUUAUCGCCAAAUACUUUGAAUAUUCAUUAGCAAAAGAUAUAGGGUUCACUAUUUAAUGAAUAGAAUUUUGAUGGUGGAUUGCAUUUCCUGAGUUAUAAAUGUGGUGAAUCCAUUAUUUACUAGCUGAAUAAUCAUAAUGUUUUGGCCACUUACCUUGAAUUUUGUUCAAAUUGAAGAAGUCACAUGUUUCUUUCUGUUGUUGAGGUAAUCUCUCUGUUGAAAGCUUCUAUUUCUUUUUUCUUUUUCUUUUUUUCAUUUGGGUAGAUUUUUUUUUUAUGGAUUUAUGUAUUUUUUUUCUUCAGAGAAUUCGAAAUGAAAUAAGAAUAGCGGAUUGAGCAUAAACAAAUUGAUGAAAUUUUUAUUUGAGUGUUUGUGUUGGUCCUUUUUUGAUUUGUUGAGGUUUGGAAUUAUUUGAGUUUUUUUGCUGUUAGUACUGUGAAGGAUGCUUGGCAAUCGCGAAAUGGGGGCUACCUCUUUGGAAAGAGAAGUCUCGCUAUCCAACCUCUCAUGAAUUACAAACAGGGUGCUUUCUUGCUGAAAAACCACUGAAUCAGUAGAACUUUCCUCGGUUCUUCAAUUCGAUUCGAAUAAUUUUUUUACCCAGAAAAGCCAGCGUUUCCUGGUGAGUUUUACAGCUUUCUCAAUGUUUUUUUUAUUUUGGAUUUGCAAAUUUGUUUUCUGUUCAAAUUUCCUUUUGUGAUUUUGGAGGUUUUGUUUAUCGAUUCUCUCACUCAUCUCUCAGCUCUCUCCCACUUUUGAGGUACAUGUCGUUGGAUUCCGUUUGCUGCUGUUGAUCUGCAGGUAAAGCUUCAAUUACCAUACAAAGUUUACAUUUUUCAUGAUUUCUUGAAUUUGGGUUUUAAACAAAGGAAAUAUUGCUAGAUUCUUAUCUUAUGUGCAAAUUACUGGCUAUUUGGAUUGGUGCUUGAGAUUUAGAGAAUGUCUCGCAGCUUUAAUUUCUUUUUCCUUCAUUAUUACUGUUUUCAAAAUUUUUAUUGCUGGGUAUUGAUAAUUUGUAGUAUGUGAGGGCUUCAAUAUGUUGGAAUUUUGAAUGGUUAUUGCUUCAUCGGAAUUUGGGUGGUCCAAAUUUUGAAUUAGAAGAAACCCAUUUGAUUAAUAUUUUUGGUGGAUUGGUUCUCUGUGUUUUCUUUGCUAUUUCUCCCCCAGUUGGAAAUUGGAAGCCCCAACUUUGAGCUCAGAGCUUGAAUUUCUCAAUCGUUCGUUUCUCUACACUCUCAUCAGUCACUCUUGAUCCUCUAUCUAAAGAACUGGGUAAUUUUCCAGCUCUAUCAAGUAAUACUCAAUUUAAUUGCUUAAUUGAGGUUUUUUGUUUCUCUUUUUCGCUCUUUCAUCAGUUCAUUGGCUUUGAUGUUGAGCUUAAGUAAAUGGGAGAUCAUUAAUUGGCAUUGUUCAAAAUAUAAUUAUGUGUUUUUGGAUUUGUGAAACGAUUUGCCUAAUGAUGAUAGUGGUUAAAAUAAAUUUUUCGUUAUGAAAGAGAACAUUGUUCUUCAUUUGCCUACGGUUUUAACUACAAAGUUAAACUACUAUGCUUUUGUUCAAUUGAUUGCAACUCAUGCCGCAGUUUGCUUCACAAACCUCUAUGGUUAGCUUCCAUACAGUAUGUUGCAAGUUUGAGGAUAUCUUUACAUCUUAAUUUUUGCUCUCUCUGGUUGCUUCAAGUUUGUAAUUUUACGUGUUACAUUGCUACUUGAUUUGAUUAUAAAAAUGCAAAAGAAAAUCCAUUUUGCUUUUAUUCAACUUAAAUGUAUCCUUUUGUUUGUUCAUAAUUGUGUUGAAUUUAUUCAACUUAAAUGUGUUUUAUUCAUCUGUUUACGCUUAAAACAACUGGUUCCCCUAGCAAUGCGCGGACCUAAUUUCUAGUACAUAUACUAAAAGCCAGCAGAAAAUUACUGUUCAUCAUGGGAGAUAGAGCACUGUUCAUUAACAGUGAAAGGGAAAAAAUGCCCUCGGUUUCUUCUUUACUUCACGUACUGUUUACGAAUUGCUACAGUAUAAAGUCCGUUUUGUCAUUCCUGUCCACGCAUCUUUCAUCGUCCGUUUCUCUUGCUUCGACCGCAUCUUUUUCGCUUUACCUUUCCUCUUCGUUUUUCGCCUUCGCUAGGCUGCAAUUUUCGGAGGUGGAUUGUUUGCCCUUCUAUUUCCAUGCUCUCCCCAUGCCCUCCAUUGAUGUGUGGUCACGGUUAAACUAUGUCAACAUUUUAUAUUAAUUUUUUUAUAGAAAUAAUAAAAUAAAAAGUAAUAGGUAUCCAGGAAAUUUUCGUCAAAAUAUCCAGGAAAUAGGUAUCCAGGAAAUUUGCUUUACCGAUAUUUUAAUAGGUAUCCAGGAAAUUUGCUUUACCGAUAUUUCGCCGAUAUUAUCGGUUUUUUGCUUUACCGAUAUUUUAAUAGGUAUCCAGGAAAUUUUCGUCAAAAUAUCGCGAUAUUAUCGAUAUUAUCGAUAAUAUCGCGAUAUUUUAGAUAAUAUCGAGACAUUUUGGUUUCUCGACAGUCAGUCACAAUCUCGCCGGAGAAUCAGAAUAACUCCGAGCAAGAACAAAACCUGCAACCAAACGGAACAAAAUCAUCACUAUCUUUCAACAAAAAUCACCACUUUAUACCAAAAUCAGUGACAAAAUUACACUAAUCCGAGAAGCAAGGGCUUGAAUUCGAGCAAGAUCUGGAAGAAAACAGUAGAAGCUGAGAAAUCGAGUACCUCACCGGCAGUUACAGUGCUAAAGAUCAUCAUCUUUGGAAGGCCGCGGAUCAGACGGAGCUGAGAGAUCAAUGAGUAAGCAUUUCAUAGAUCGUAUUCGAUGAGCAGCUGAAAGAGAGGAGAGAGAAAGCAGAGAGAGACGCGGACGAGGAGGAUCUCGCUGAUGGGGACGACGAAGGAGAGGUAGAGGUCGCGGCCCGCGGGACAUGGUGACGGGCUCGACGAGGAGGAAGGCGAAGGAGGAGCAGAGGAGAUGGGUGCGUGCGUGCUGCGGUGCAGAGAAGAGAGAUGAGGGAGAUAUGAGAGAGAGAGAGCCGAGAGGGAGACAGAAGAAAAAGAAAAGAAAACAGAAAGAAGAAGAAAAGAAGAAGGGAGUCGCGGGGGAACAAAGAGAGAAAAGAGAAAAGUGGAGGGGCUGCCACGUGGCCACUUCAGAAAGAAAGGGAUCCAAUGUUUUGGAUCCUGAUUGGGUAGUCAAAGAGGACCAAUUUGAUAUAUUAAAAUGUUUAGGGGAUAAUUACACAAAUAUAUCUUUAUAAAUGGGGGUGGGUGUUACAUAUUGCCCUAAAAAACUCCAAGUAAUUACAACAUCGUAUUAGAAUUGUAAUUGAUCCUUGUUAGAUUUGGUUUAGAAAUUCUAUGUAAUUUAGUGAUUGUUUCAUAUUAGAUUUAGAUUUGAAUUUUUUACUCCAUUCAGAUUUUAAAUGAUUAUAAUAGAUUUAAAAAUUUACGAACUUUGAUGAAGUUUAAUAAUUUUUAAAACUUUUAUGUAAAAUUUUAAGUGAAUUCCCUCAAAUUUUCAGGUAGCGAUUUGAGAAUGUUUAAAAUAUUAUGUGAAAUAUUUCUAAUUUUUUCGAGUUUCCCAGCUUUUUAAAAAUCUCUUUGAAUCAAUUUCUAAAUUAAUACAUUUGGAAUGUAUGAAUUUCUUAAAAAUCAUGAUCGAAUACCCCUUAAACUUUAAAGAAUCACUUAAAAUCCUAAUUAAAUGCCCUUAGAUUUUUAAGGAGAAUUAAAAUGUUUAUAAGCCCCAAUUGGAUGUACCGCUUAAUUUAACUAAUUGACACAACACAACAUAACCAGUUAAGAUUACAAAUUAACACAAAAGACGACUUGAUGCGAGGUCAUAUCUACAAAACUUGCCGCAAUAAGCCCCAAUUGGUGUGUUUAAACUUCUUUCAUUAAUUACUACAUAUUUUCUACACUCAUAAUGUUUGUCAGCUCGCUAUAUAAUCAACUUGAUAAUGUUAAAUCCAUCAUGCAAUGCAUUUCCUUCCAAUUUUUUGUGAUAAACUAAUAGAUAAUUGACUAAAUAAACAUCCUGCAAAGUUUCAAUAAAAAUUUUCAAGUUUUUUUUACAAUUUCCGUGAUUUUCAUGUAAUUUUUAUCGGUAUCGAUAUUAUGCCGAUAUUUUUAUCAAUAUUUCCGUGUUUUCGAGUACAUAUUUCCGAUAUUACCGAUUCAUCCGCGAUUUUCUCCCUUUUCGCCAGCCCCUCUUUUGCUCUCAAAUCCUUGCUCUUUCUUUUUCAAACUAGUCUCAGAAGAGAUCCUGGGUUUAUCUAAUCCUUUGUUGUUCGGCGUUUUGUUCUCAUCUUGCGAUCGUCGGGGCAGCAGCUUUAAGGUAAGUUUGUUUUUAAUGAUUUAUCCUCAAUUUACGAUGUCUGGGCUAACAAAUUUAAGAUCUUUAUUUUUCUUUUUGCUGUGGAUCUGCAGGUUUUGACAAGUUUUUUGUGAAAUUGGUGCUGUCAGUGGGUGUUAAUAUCAGGUACCCAUGUUCAGUUUUUCGUUUUGAUUUGAAGGAAUUUCUUGCGCAGAAGAGCUAGGUUUCUUGGUGAGUUCUUCGGGUUGUGCAUAUGGGUAAUUUUCUUUUAGGUAUAACCCUCUGCUUCUGCUGCUCUCUCUCUCUCUCAUCCCUGCCUGCUCCUCUCCAAUUGUUUGCUGUUCUUAAAUAUUGUGUUCAUUGCCUGAUACAAGGAGCUGCAGCAAUCUGUUUUAUCCUACACGGGACAACGAGGCAAUGGCGUGACAACAAGUGAGCUUGGAUAUCCAAAGAAAAAGAACAGUUGGUUCAUCUGCUGGAGUCUGAAGCUCAGAGAAGUGGAGGAAAAUUGCAGGUGUGCGAGAAAUUUUAUUUUGCUGAUAGGACUCCUUAUUUACCGAUGCAUUUUGAAUUAAUUGAAAAGUUGGAUUUGAGUUAACAGCUAUAAAAAUGUAGACAUGAUUGCUGAGAUUAUGCUAUGAAAGUGGAAUAAAAAAAUGGUAGUUUAUAAUAUUGCGUACCAAUUUUUUUCUCUCUUUUUUACCAAAUGAUAAGGGUGGUGGCUCAGGCCGCCCCCCUACGCGUCCCCACUCUUCGACAAGUUGAAAUCAUGGUGAUAGUUUAUGGGUUGCGGUCUUGGGAUUCUGCAAAUAGAAUAAAAAACAGACACUUAACUAUCUUGUUAUUAAGCAUUUCUGCAUCAUUCAGUUGCUCUUGAUUUUCGUCUUUUAAGCGCUCUUAUUUCUGCGAUCUGACUUGAGGAGGGGUUUUAGACCUAUGGUUGUGGGUGUUUUGUCUGACCCCAUUAAAUUGGUUUCCGAGAUUUGUAGACUUGCGAUCGGCGGUCAAACAUUUCGUGAUUCUUGCUUUUUUUCCGACUGGGAUUGACGAAUUUUGGCCGAAUCUGUUUCCUGUUUUCUUCUCUGUUUGAGCGGCCGCUGCCUUUCGGUCGUUGAGCGCCGGCAGUCUUUAGAUCUUUGGCAAAUCAAUUUAAUACAACCGAGGUAUGUUUUAUAACUGCUGUCUUUCAAUUUUUGUUCUGUAUUUUUGUUAAUUUGGAUGAAGCUCUAAUAAUUUUGUUUUGGAUCAGUUGUGGUCCUCUGUUAGGAUUUUCCUGGCUAAGAGGGUAUUUGCAUUUUUGUUGCUUGGUUGGUCGAUCCAGUGUAUUAAAAGCGUGAGGCGUGGGCGAGGCGUCCGAGGGAAGCUCGGCCUAGGCGUGAGGCGUGAGGCGAAGCCUCAUGGGACCUAAAUUUUUUAAUAUAUAUACAUUGAGCGUACACAUAUAUUAUAUUAAAAAUAAGAAGAUUAUUAAUCAAUAAUCACCUUGAGCACACACAUAUAUUAUAAAUAUAUACACACACACAUAUAUAUACAUAUAUUAUAUUAUAUAUGCAUAAAAUAGAGGAUGAAAAACACAAUGAGCACACAUAUAACAAUGCACGCAAACAACACACACAUCCAUUAUAUAAAAAUAAAAAUCAGAAAAAAGGCAUAGAGACAAAAGUGCAAGGAAGAUGUAUGAGACAGUUAAAAUCCUACCCAAAAUUUGGGUUUGGGAGUAAAGAAAAAAAAAAAAAAAAAAAAACUCACUGAGGCGCGCCUAGGCGGCUCCGGCGACGCCUAGGCGGCCUUUCGCCCACUCCAGCAAAACUGAGGCGUUAGCCAUGGAGCCAAGCCUCAAGGGCGCCCUAGGCGCGCCUCGAGGCGAGUUUUUUAAAACAUUGGGUCGAUCACAAAUUUACGAACAGCUGUGGUGGUCCUGUUAGAGCCAAGCCUCAAGGGCGCCCUAGGCGCGCCUCGAGGCGAGUUUUUUAAAACAUUGGGUCGAUCACAGAUUUACGAACAGCUGUGGUGGUCCUGUUAUUUUUUUGGUAUGUUUUUUCUCCUUUUUGGUUUUUUCCCGGUUUGAGCACCCAUUCAUGAAGAAUUAAAAUGUGUUUAUAGUUUUUCAGGAGAGAUUAGAAAAGUGAUUUCAAUUUGGGAAAAUUUAAUGUUGGUUAAAAUUUGUUUAUAAUUUUUGGGAAGGAAUGAGAGGACCCAUUGAAGUAUGUGUUGUGAUUAUUUUUUAUUCAUAUUUUUAACAAAUUGGGCAUGAAUUGGUAGGUUAACUGUGUGUGUUUAUUAUUUGAAUCGGCCAUGUUUGUCUUUCUAUGGUUCUAAAAAAUUUGUAAAGGCUGUUAACUUGGAAGAAAAUGGGAUCGAGGGUGAGGGGAAAACAGCAGAGAAAGCAUGGAAGAGAGAUUUGGGAUUAGGGGUAGGAAAACAGAUGAAAAGAAUAUGAUAGAGGAAUGGGUUCAGUUCAUUUUCACUAUUUUUUUUAACUGAUUUGGAUUUUGUUUGGGUUUGAGGCCAUCAUUGGCGUUAAGACGUUUAUUAUCAGAUCGUGUGUGUUUUUUGCUAACUUUUAUUGGUAAUUUUUAUGUUGUUCUUAUGAUUUUGUGUGGUAGGGUUUCUGAAUUUUAUCGUUGUUCAUUUGGUUUUUUCUGAAUUUUAUCUGAUUUUGUGUGGUGAGUUUACAAAAUAAUACUAAAUAAAUUUAUUUGUAAUUUCGGAUGAUUGUGAUUCAAUCCUACUACAAUUGAAAUUCACAGAAAGAAUGAAAAACCAGAACAAAACUGCAGCACCUAAAAAGUUGUCAUACAAAAAAACAUGGAAUGUAAAAAUAUGUUAAGAAAUCUAGUUCGUUAAUUUCCAGCUGGUAAGCGGCAUUAUGUAACUUUAGUAGUAUAACUAAUUAACUACUUAUCUAGUGGGUUGCACUUCUAUCCUUGAUCUCAGUUGUGGCUGCAAAGUGCAGGCCACCACCAAGUCUCAGUGUUUGUGUAUUAGCAAAACACUUAAAUAAAUUAAAUUCUGAAAUGUAAAUUAUAUUCCUAUAACUUUAAGAUGCACAUAUAGUAUUGUUGAAGUCGAACUGAAAGCACUGACAAUUCCAAGCAACAGAGCAGCAAUUAUUAAGAGCCAAAACUCAUUCCUAGUCUCCUCAUCCUGGUACUCUACUCCGUAAUCUUCGUUCAGCAUCAUUGACUGAAAUUAGGAGAGAAAAAGAAAAGGAAUUUCAGAAAUUGUCUAUGAAGCAAAGGAUACUGCAGUUACUUCAAGACAUGUAAAUUGCAUAUGUAUAAAGUAAUUUUCUACAUAAAGUAACGAGGCAUAACUCUCUCUCUCCUCUUCAAACCCUAAACAGAGCAAAGCCACAAACUUUACAGAGAUUAGAAUGAGAACUGGAAUUAAUAGAACAAUGACUGAAAAGUAACAUACUUGAGGAGUGAAUGAUUUAGUGUUUCCAUCAUCGGAAAGCCGGAGUAAGUCGCUAAGAGAGGUCGCAAACAGCCCAAAGGGACAAACCCAGACCCCCGGCCCCGAUCCAUACCCUUCCCCCUCAAAUCCCGACGGCCCCCAUACUUUUCUCUGACUGUACCCCCUCUCCCACUCAUGAAAUCGAGGAUCUGUAGCAAUGGUACUGAGAUCCCCACUCCUCCCCCUCCCUUUCUCUCUGUCACUCUGUCUCCCUCUCCCUCUGUCUGUCUAUCUUUAUCCCAGAGCGGCAUGGCCUCGCAUCCCUGAAACCCUCACCGAAAGGUGGCAAUUUUGUAAAUAACUUGAAAUCCACCAACAGCAGGGGCAGAGAAUUGAAACAGACAUUUAGGCUCGUUCGAUAACCAUUUAGGCCAAAACUGAGCACACCUAAACCAUUCCUACUCGUGCCAAAUGUUAGCGGGGAAGCAAGAUGAUGACUUUAUUGUUCAAAACCAAAAGAAAAAAAGAGAGAAAACAAAAUAACAAAUCUAAUGGUUGUAGUGUAAAAGCUGAGAACGUAAAUAAACAUGCAGGGAAAAAAAUUGAAGAUACAAAGUAGCUGCAUCAUGAAACACUUGCUCCAAUUAGACGCAAAAAGUGAUGGUGAUGAGAAGAGAGAGAAAAUGCAGUCGUUUUGAUUUUUCUGGCUUUUAAAGGGAGCAGCUUUCUUCGACCACCAAAAAAAGGAAGCUGCUUUUCGUGUGGUUGUGAUUUCCUGAGUGUAUGUGAGCGGGUCUAUGGCACUUGCACUUUUUGUGUCGGUUACGGUAACCGGGCGAGGUGGACACGGCGGCGUGGGACUGAAUUCGGAGAGGUGAGAAAAAUUAAAAACACAAAAAGAAGGUGUUCAUUUUGUCACAUUUUUAUUACUAAAAAUUCAAUAAAGUACAUUCAUUAGUAUGGUAACUUAACUAUUUAAUUCCAUCUCAUUAAACUAAAAAAAACAAUUACAUAAAAAUAAGGGAAACCUUGUCCAGAGAGACCUGAGAGAAAGUGACGACUUCUCCUCUCAUUCCACUCCAUACUUGAUCUCUAAAGUCCAUUUGGCAUGUAAUUGAUGUUCAAUUUCAAAUUUAGUGGUAGCAAUUAGCAAAGCUAAUGAAAGAAUAAAAUAAAAUGAAAGAAAAAGCAUCAUGAAAUAAAUCAAGAUGAAGAAUGAAAUUUUGGCAACUCGCCAUUCUCUUCUUUUAUACAAAAGAUACAUCCUAUUUGUAGUGAAAACAGGUCCCGACAAACCCAGUUAUCGUCAAGAAGUAUUUUGUAUGACUUUAAAAACAUAUUCCGAGAAAUUAUCUCUUGGCUGAGAACAACAACAAAUCUUCAUGCAUAGCUUGUAGAGAAAGACAUCAGGCAUACAAAAGAACACGCAAGCAUAAAAUAAACGACGCAGGGAAAACCAAAAAUACAAUUGGAUACGCUGUCAAAAGAACAUAAAUAAAUGAAAAUUACAAAACAAAGAAGUGAUGAGAAACCAAAGUACCCAUUUCAUAAUCUAAUUGCUUUUUAGUUUGCUUGCCAUUUUUAGUUCUUCAAUUUAGAGAGAAACCAUAAUUCAGCACAUGAAUAAAGUGAAAACAUAAAAGAUAUGUGGGAUAAGCUAACAGCCAUCCCUGAGUAAUGCAUUCACUUCUGAACCCCAAACACACCAAAACAAAAAUUCACACACAUGAACUACAGCUCUGCUAUGUAACAAGAAUUAAAAGCAUCUCAAAACAAAAUGGCAAACUAUAAGAGCAAUGUAAAAGUAAAAUUGCAAGAAAUCUAAUACUUGGAGGGCAAGUACUAAUCAGACGAAAAUGAAAGAUUGAACUACCUCGCGUGGAACUGUGCCUUGGUUUUUUCCCAUGCUUACAGGAAGCUUUGCACUGAGCUCUUAUAGCCCAAAUUUUCUCUGAAGGGAAAAAAACACAAUUUUGAAAUAAGAUUUUCAUAUUAUACCUUAAAGAGAAGAAUUAGACAACAAAAAAGAGAACAAUGAGUACUUUUCAUCAUAUAUUGUUAGAGUAUGUGGUCCUCUAGUCCAAUGGUCCUGCAGCCAUAUUUACUUUAUAACUCUUUCUUUAGUCUAAAAACAUCUUGGAUCUCAAAUUAAUAUGAAUACGGAUUCAUACGCAUGCAUUGCAUUACAAUCACAAUGCAACAUCUCAUUAGAAAUCCCCACACAAAAUUCUUUUAUUGCUACUUUGAUUUUAGUUUAUAUUUUUUCUGAAGCACGAGGGAGCUAAUUUUUUUUUAAAAAUUUUUUAUUCCAAUAAUGUUAUAGGGUUGAAAGGAUAUUAUCAAUUUAAUUGAUUGUAUUUGAUUGGUGGAACUUCUAUAUCUAUAUUUCAGGUUUUCAAAUUCAGCACUGGGAGAGUCAUUCAUAAAAUGUUUGACAGUGAGAUUACCUCCAUGGAUUAUGCUCACAAUGGACAGCUCAUUUUCCGCGGUGAUGGGACAAUAUAUUUCAGUCAUUCGCCAUUCAAUCAAUUCAAACCGAGGAACAAGCAACAUCAAGAAGAGGAUCUGCCAUGUCAGGAUCACUGUCGUCCAAUUAAUACAAAAAAUCUAGAUAAAAACGAUCAAUUUACAUAAAAGCCUUUCAUUUUCUCAGCAACCAAGCAAAAGAAAAUACCUAUCCGUUAAACACUCGAUUUGGGAGUAAACGUUGCUGAAACUGGACUUCAAUCCCCUCAACCGCAACAAUCGAAUCGAGGUGUGCAAGUCAUUGAAAAACUCACCCAAGAUUUCAAAAUCUGCAUAAAGAAAUAAAUAAGCACAUAAAUUAGCCAACCCUGUUAUGAUCCCACAUCGGGUACACAAGAAAUUGUGUAGUGGUACUUAAGUGCAAGGGGUCAUCCCACCUAUUGGACUAGUUUUUUGGAUUGGGCUCUUCCCUUGGGCUUGAGUACCUAACAUUGGUAUCAGAGCCUAGGUUCCCGACGCUGCGAGACUUGGCGAGUGGUGCCGCCUCAUGGUGCCGCCUUGGGAGUAUGGGCUCCCAAGGGUCUUGGAGACGGGCAAGGUAUGAAAUGUCGAUAUUAUCGCGAUAUUUCGCCGAUAAUAUCGGUUUUUUGAGUUACCGAUAUUUUAAUACUUAUCCACUGAGUUUUCGUCAAAAUAUCGCAAUAUUAUCGAUAAUAUCAACAAUAUCGCGAUAUUACCGAUAAUAUCGCGAUAUUUUGGAGAUGUGCGAAUCGGAGAAGAAGGCCGGAGCUUCUACAGCUCCUGCCGACUGUAAAAGAGCACCCUAGACUCCGAUCUAGGUAUCAAAAUGAAAUACAAGACGAGAGGAAUGUUUUUAUAACUUCCGUUUGCCGUGAAACGGUCGAAGGUGUUCGGAAAGUUCGUCGACACCCACGGCCUCGCCAGAGAUGGGUGUGCCUAUUCUCGAGCCGAUUUCGUCCCAAAAACCUUGCAAAAACACGAGAUAGAACUUAAAUUUCACAUCUAAGCUUCAAUCUAGAAUAGAAUGAGGUAAACCCGAAGCUUACCUAACCGGAGAAAUUCAAGAAACUCGCCAGAGGGUUCCUGCGUCGCCGAGUUGCAGAGACGAGAAAGAGAUGGAGAAAGACGAGGUUGCUGAUAACGAUGGGUGUCUUCCUCAAGCAGGUGCGAUGGUGUGCGUGUGUGUAUGUGGGUCUCGGUGCAGAGAGAAAGGAGAGAGAUGAGAGUUUCAAGAAAGAGACGGCGCCAACGAGAGCUAUUUGUUUUUUUUUAUCUUAAAAAGAGAGAGGUCUAAGAGAAAUGGGAAGAGAGGGCCGAGUGAAAUGAAAGGAGGUCCUUGAAUUAUUGAGAGAUAUCUCUGAGAGAGGCCUAGGAUUUCUAAAAGGUAAUUAGAAAUGGGAAAAAUGGGGCACAUCUUAGCCUUUAUUUUGGAAUCCUAAGAAGUUCACCACAUGGAUGCAUGACAUGUGUGCAUGCCAUGUCUGUUGAAUGGGAAAAGUCUGACAUGGAAAGACAAAGAGUCGUUUGGUCCUCUGGGCUCGAGGCAAGAUAGAAAGUGCUAGGGUUUUUUUUUCUGAAAUGAACAUAAGCUGCUAAAUUCGCAUAUAUUAUAGUUGUUGCUAAAGAUUGACACUAGUGCGGACUUGGACGUGUUGGUCAACAUGUCCUCACAAUCCCCAAGUUCUCCGGUUCGAACCCUUACGCCCAUCAAAUUUUUCUUUCUUUUCGAUGCGCUUUUUCCAUGGCUCUAGGUCUUGAUUUCGAAUCCAGGUGAGCCCUUUCCUUUUUCUUUUUUUUUUCUUUUUGUUUUAUUAUUUGUUUAUUUUAAUUUAUUUGUUUCUUUUAUGUUUUUCCUUUCUUUUAGUUUCUUUGUCUUAGGCGUUCGUGUUUAUUAAAGUAGGAUGUAAAAUCAAUUAUCUUAAAAUUAUGUGUUUUUAAAUUUUGGACUUGUUUGUUGGAUACUUUUUUUGCAUUUUAUCAUUAUUUUAUUAUGAAAAUAUGCUAAAAUAUGCUAAAAUAUCACUUAUGUUUUUGUGAAAAUAUGCUAAAAUAUUUAUAUAUAUGGUUUUGUUUUGAAUUCUUUUUGUACUAAUUCAUUAUAUAUAAAUGAUUAUGGUGUGUUUAAACUUCUUUAAUUAAUUACUACAUAUUUUCUAUACUCACAAUGUUUGCUAGCUCGCUAUAUAAUCAACUUAAAUCAGUAAAAUCCAUCAUGCAAUGCAUUUGCUUCCAAUUUUUUGUGAUAAACUAAUAGAUAAUUGAUUAAAUAAACAUCCUGCAAAGUUUCAAUAAAAAUUUCCAAGUUUUUCUUACAAUUUCUGUGGUUUCCAUAUUAUUUUUAUCAAUAUCGAUAAUAUCCCGAUAUUUCCAUCGAUAUUUCCGUGUUUUUGGACUACCGAUAUUUCCGAUAUCAUCGAUAUUUAUACCUUGGCGACGGGGGACUUGCCGACUGGUGCCGCCAUGGACGUUGGGUCUUUCGAAAGGUGGUGUAAUGUUAUGAUCCCACAUCGGCUACACAAGAAAUUGUGUAGUGGUACUUAAGUGCGAGGGGUCCUCCCACCUAUUGGACUAGUCUUUUGAGUUGGGCUCUUCCCUUAGGCUUGAGUACCUAACAAACCCAUAAAUCAAAGAAAUCAAAAUCCACCCAGAAUCAAAGAAAUCAAAAUCCAUCCAAAACCAAAGAAAUCAAAAUCACACACAGAUAUACAAGGUGUACAGUAUUGACAUGCCUUAAAUGAUAUUAUUCACAAGAUUUAUAAAGCUCAUGUUGUAAUACUUGUGCAGAAUCUAUCAUUCACGGCGUCACUUUUGUGCAAGUCGUAAAUAAAAUUAUUCACGAUUUAAACAUUGUGUGUCGUAUUUGACAAUUUAUACUACGCACUUUCUUUUUCUUUUAAAGCUUUGCGUUAUGUCGUAAAGUUGACUUUCUAUAUAUUUGGGUUGUACCUUUUAUGGCGCAAAUAACACGUCGUAAAUAAUGGCUUUUAGCACAGAAGUUUUGUGGUAAAGAAGCCCGCGCACUAAUUCAUUCUCGCGCCUUCUCUUUUUUAUUUAGCCGCUUCUUUUUUUGGUUUUUUUUUUUUUUAAAAUUCCCCUCAAAUCUUAAAAGGGUUUGUAUUUUCUUUGGUAAACUUGAAAGAGAAACAUUGCAAUUGCAUUUUCAUUUACCCAAUAUUAAUUGUCGAGAGCCCACCCCCUUCCCUUCUCUCUGACAUCGUAACUCUCUCCUCUCCAUCGAUCUCGCUCCAUCUGCUCGCCGUCGCUCUAUAUGCUCGUCAUCGCCGUCGAUUCGUCUGCUCGUCGUCACCGUCGCCCAUCUGCUUUCCGUCACCGUCGAAGUGCCCCGCCAUUCAAAAUCUGAAAUCCCCAAUACAGGGUGCUUUGCGGCAUUUCGUUCUCCAAAACUUUAGGUAUGCUCUCAAUCUGUAUCAACCCUAUCCUGUCACCUCUACUUCAAGGUGAACAAUUUAUAGUUUAUAAAUUUUACUUGUGUUAAUAUAUAUUUUUUGGUAAAUGUUAUGGAUAUUUUAUCAAAUCAGAGAGUAAAUUCGUAUUAAGUGAAGAUUGGCAAAGAACAUAUUGUUUUGAAAGGUUGAAUAAUGUUUGCAGAUCACAUAAAUCAGUAGUUGUCAAGUCCAUAAGAGAAGCAAGAAAUCGGAAAGCAAGGCUUCGACUAAAACCAAAUAAUGUCAAAUUAAUUCAAGAUUGGAAGACUUUCCUUGCAAAGUGUAAGCUCAUUUUCAUUUUCUUUCAUUUCUAAGAUUAGUUAUCUUCUUUUGAGUUCAAAAUUGGGUCAGAGAAAUCAAACUGAUAGUAGUUAAAAGUCUAUUUCAACACCAAGCCUUGUCUACACAAGAAUUUGGUGUUAGUUAAACAUGUGUAUGAUUCUAUCUUGAUUGCAUGUUAAUUUAGUUUGAAGAUAGAUUUGGUACAUGCUAGCUAAUUGAUACGUGAUAUGAAUCUUUGGUUUCCUUUUGAUAGGACAAAAGUGAAACAUUCAGAGAGAUGAAGUCUAAGCAACUCCGCACACAUGUAGUCGCAAGGGAUAUGGUAGGUUGGCCGAGGAUUUGGUAAUUACAUUUCAUUCUAGUGCCUUCUUUUCUACAGGACAAGAACAAUUUACUAAUUUUAUUCUGUGUUCUACUGUGUGUUUACUACAUAUAUGUUUCUAUUUUGUAGAAAAGAAAAAGUGUAGACCCUUCUCUAGUUUCUAGAGGUGAUGUUUGGAUUGCAGCACAUACUAAAAAGGGUGGUGGACCAUCCAAUUUGCUUGCUGCAGAGACUAUUGUAAGUAAUUUUUAACCAUUUAUUUCUUCUUGUUUGUUGAUAUGCAAUGACGGAUGAGGUCUUAACUUUGAUGUGCAACGUUAGGAAAAAAAUUAAGCAAUAUGGAAAUGGAUCAUCAUCUGGUUUUCGAGGUGACGUUCUUUCCAAAGUUUUUGGUGCUGAGCGACAUGGUCGUGCAAGAGGAGUUGGAGGUGGUGUUCCUCCUACAAAGCUUGGAAUAUUUUCACAACAAAAAUUGCGUAAUCACCAAAUGGAUGAAAAGGUGCACAAUUUAACUAAUCAGGUCAGAGCACUGACAGAAUUGGUGCAUCUUUUUAUGAAAAAUCAGGUUAGUGAUUUAAUAACAUUGGUAUCAUAUUGAAUAUUUGUGAAAUCAGUUGUAGUGACACAUCAAAUCACAGGGUAAUGAUCUACCAAGUGAGGCAUCUCCUGACACACAGGUUGCAGCUCCUGAGGCACAUGUUGAUACUGUCGCAAGAACUGAAACUCGUCUUUCCCAAUGCGCAACAAAUGAAUCGUGGUGGCGAGGUUGAUACACUUUUUCAAUGAGCCUUCUAACUAUUAAUGCUCAUUGACUCUGUUAAAAGCUCUGCCAUUUUCAAUCUAACUAGACACUAGAAAUGAUCAUUGACUCAGUUAAAAGUUUUGAUGCUUUGGUCCUUUUGCAUAGUUGCGCAUCUACUGAUUUCUAUUUUUUUUCAAAUCCUGCAGGUUAUUUCUGAAAACAUUGAAACAUCGUGGUGUGCCAGAUGGUUUGAUUAUAAGACACCUUCCUUUUGGUCCACCAACUUAUUUAUAACUGCUAAAUGGUACGUAGUGUGAUAAUUUUCAAAUAUUUUGAUAUUAAGACAGGUGUAGGACAACAUAGAAAUUCUUAGGGCCUUCAGCAACAAAAUUAUGAAAAAGUGAGUGAGAUACAAUUAAAAAAAUGAAAGAGAAGGAUCAUGAUUCAUGAUCUAAAGGUUUGAAUAGGGUAGAAAGGAUUUAGUUUCGUUGUUAAAAUCGAUUUGUGAGUCUAUUGUUAUUGUAUUGUCAAUUUGUUUAUUUACUUGAACUUCCUAGUAUCAAUUUGGUUCGAUAUAUCUAGCACCACCAUAGAUAUAUCUAGUAUCAAUUUGGUUAGAUAUUGUCAAUUUGUUAUUUUAUUGUCAACUAUAGAAUGUGCAUCAGUUGUAAAAGGAACAAAACAAUUCAGAUUUUUUGUUUAUGUCCAAACUUAGAAUUGUAUUGUAAUUGACAAUUUCUACUAAUUAAUCCAAGUAUUUGGAGUUUAAUAUGUUUAUGAUCAAUAUUGUUAUCCUUGUAUUGUAUCAGUUUAGAUGUUAUGAAGUGAGGUCUGUCUAAAAAUGAUAUGCUAAAUAUAGAUGUAAAUUACGGCAUCUAAAAUCAGCAAUAAUUGUUGAUGGUAGUCUUUUUUUUACGAUGUAUGCCGUAAUCACCUUCACAAUAUUACGACACUCAACAAAUGCUGUAUCAAAUAUAAAUUACUGCACACUAGUAUGUCGUAAUUGUUUUUCAGUAUUACGACACCCUAUUAACGCUGUAACUAAUACCAAUUAAGGCACGUAGGACAUGCCUUAAGAACAUUUAUGGCGUGUUUUACUUAAAUUAUUCACGACUAUUAGAGUACGUUGUAUUUGUCAAAACAUCUUUUACAACAGGGGCUUUUACUGCUUGGAGGCUCAAGCCGUGAAUUUCCAUUUAUGGCACCCUUUGUGCGCCGUAAAAGGCCAAUUCUAUUGUAGUGAUCCAUGGGUACAUUUUUAAUCUACAUGUUUCGUUUUAAUAUAUCUAUUGCUAUAAUAUGUUUUGGUUGGUUCAAAUUCGUUUUACAUAAAUAUAUGGGUACAAAGUUUUUGGAGAAUAUUAUGUAAAAUGGUUUUUAAGGUUGUUGCAUUUUAUGUACCCACAUAUGCAUGUCUAUAAAACAAUGUGGUAUGAUGUACAUUCUUUUCCUUGAGUUUUUAAAUGUACCCAUGAGUUUUCUUGUAAAUUCGGUAUGUAUCCAUAUGCUAUUUAUGUUAUGGGUACAUACAUUAUUUUUGGUCUAAGUUGGUGGGUACAUUGCUUUUGUAUGUAUGAAUUCAUUGGGUACAUUAUUUCCCUUAAUACUACUCAAUAAAAUUCACAAAAAUGUGCAGUGUGCAUGAAUUUUUAUUGUAGAAAUUGUUUUUUUUUAUUUUUAAUUUUUAAGUCUCAUAAUUCGUGAAUUUUGUACAUAUUGAUCCCAUAAAUUUUUGAAUUUUAUUAAAUUUUUUUUAGACUUGAUCGAUUGAUUGAAUCUCAUAAUAAUCCCUUAAAUGUUCCAAUCAAUAUUUUAAAAUACAGCUUUUUAUUUAAGAUUUCAAAAAGAUGACAUGAAAACAUAGUAAUACUAAAAUUUUGUUUUAAAUUACAUUUGUGUAACAAUCAAUGGUAUGUUAAAACUGGGCAAAAAAAAAAAUGGUAUAUUAAAAAAUUAUAAUUUAUUCUUUUUUUCAUAACUGUCUUCUGCUUAGAUUAAUUUUUUCCAACGUUUCUCUUCGGGAGAAUUAGUUCUUACCAAUAUAUAUGCACAUUAUCUGCUUUUUACCUGGUCUUAACACAUGAUUAAUUACUUUCCUACCUGCUAACGCGUUGACUUGCGCAUCCAAAGUAUUAUCAAAGUCACUGCCACCAAAAAGGUGCCCACUCCACAACCUUUGGUUGAACCAAAGAACAUCACAACAAUAAGGAAAUCGUUAAAUCUAUCUCCGCAACAUUUUUAUUAAUCAUUAGAUAGAUUAAACGAUCCCCCUAUUCAUAUUGUGUUCUUUUGUUGAACCAAACCAUGUCAACAAAAUAUAUCUAUGGUUAAAGCAUCUAGAUUCAAGCUUUUGGAUGUGCAACUUAAACCCCUCAAUGAAUAGCCAAGCAAUUUAUCAUGUGUUUACAGUAGGUCAAAAGAAGAAAGUGUUUGUCUAUAUAUUAAUAGGAACUAAUUCCUCUGAAGAGGAGAGAUGGAAGUGAUGAUAAUAAAAAAAAAAAAAGUCGUAUUCAGUGCACAAGGCUCCCGCUUUACGCAGGGUCUGAGAGAGGUGAAUGUCGGCUAGCCUUACCCCCAUUUUAUGGAGAGGCUGCUCCCAAGUCUCGAACCCGAGACCUACCGCUCAUGGGCGAAGACACUUGCCAUCGCACCAAGUGCGACCUCUAAGGGAUAAGAGAGUAAUCAUGAAAAUUUUGAAAGUGAAAGCAUUGCCUUGGAAUAUAUAUUCUCUUUAGGAAUUCUGUGCCCAACUAAAUUCUAGAUUCUCAAAAUAUGAAAUUAGCAACUUCACCAAACACUUGGACAUGUAACAGGUCACACGUAUGGUACCAACCUUACCAACCUUACCAACCAUCUAUAUACCUAUGUUUUCGAACAUCGUUAGAUAAUUAAAGUACAGUUCACACAGCAUUUCACAUAAAAAUGGCAUCAUACAACACAUGAGAAGUACUUCUUACAGUAGCAGUCUCGUAACAUGACUAUAGUUUUUGUUACUUCUUAAGAAAAAAGAGUUUAAAAUCCUAUUGAAAGAUAAUUGUAGAGACAGAAACCCAAACUAGUUAAUUAGGUUUCUUUACAUCUCAAUAAAAUUGAAGGGAAUGUAUCUAAUAUUAUCUACUAGAGCCUCUACAAUCAUCAUAGAAUCCACAACCCACAUUUUAAUUAAUCGAAAUUCCAUGAACACAAAUAAGCAAAAGUUGAGUGAAGCCUAAGCAAUAUGUGAUCAUUUAGAGAGUCAAACUCCAUCUUUUUAGAAUUAGGGACUUUUCAAUAUGAAAAGGUAACCUCCACAAUCCAAUAUCAUAUGAAAAGGAAAACCCAAGAAAAAUACAGUAUAAUUGUGUGCAAGAGCAACACAAAAAAAGUUGAAGAAUUAGAAAUCAUAAAGAGACUUGAGACGAUUGUUGCUCACUUAGCUAAAGAGCAUUUGCACUUGAGGUCUCGAGUUCGAUUGCCCCCUUUCUUUAGAUCGCUUGAGAGGAAAAACCUACCAUUCUCUAGUCUAAAGAUAUAUGCAUCUUUGACAUGAAUGACUAGAGGGGAAGAAAGUGCAGACAAAUCACACAUACCUUCAAAAAAUUUUAUGGGGUUGGUGAAUGGUGAUUAGGGAUACUGACUUUUAAUAGCCGUUGAUCAGUGUAUAUUGCACACGCCUUCAUCAAUGGCUAGCGUCGGUACAACUGUGAUUGGGAGGGCCUUUUUACGAUAAUAGAUGGGUAAAGGUUUCAUUAGAAGGGGAAUUUUGUUCUGGUUUGCCAUAAUAACUUGAAAUUAAUGGUUUUUUGUAAUCCUUAAGUUAUUGUCAUUUUAGGUUAACUUUGUACCUGGACUCUUUACUGGAGCUAUCAAUUGAAACCCCCAUUUUCUUACCAAAAUAUGAAAAACAAAGAGUCCCAUUUUUACAGCACAGUCCUACUCUAGUUGAAAUCCGAUCGACGGUCAAGAUUUUCUAGUCAUGUGAAAGUAUCACAUAUAUAAAAUUGACUGGAGAAGGCAUGCCACAUUGCCAUGCCCUUGACAGCUUUACUUUGUUUACAAACUUUCUAAAAGAAAGAAAGAAAAAAAUCUAAAAUGGAAGGUGAUAGCGAUUUUACCACUUGUAAAACAAAGGGUUAAACCAUAGAAAAUUCUUGCAAGAGAACAAGUGUUUGUAGUAUAGAAUGGCUCAAGCAAGGUCGAUCUCCUCAGGGACUGAUAUAAACAAUUUACGAGUUUUUAUGUAUUUAACUUAUUUAACUCUAAGAAUUACACUAAUUUAACGAAACUAAAUAUUAUUGGAUGUGACUUAAACAAAUAUCUAAAAUGGGAAUUGGUUUUAGGGAAUAAUGAUUCAACUUAAACAAAACAAGUAAAUGAGGAAAUUCAAGAUAAAAUAAAUGAUUAAGAAAAAUAGAUUGACAAUAUGCUAGAGUUCAACAUUUACCAACAACACUCUUACGUAGCUAUUCCAAUUGCUUAAAUAAUUGAAAACACAUAUGCUUUGAAUGUUGGAUUUUCCUUGUGUAUGUUUUACUUGUGACAUUCAAGCUAAAACGCAUACCACUACAUGCAACUUAUCCAUGACAUUUGAAUUAAAUAUAAACAUGAGUGAUUCAUUAAUCUUGGUGAAAAUCCUUUUGUUAAACCAUAUAAUCCCUAAGAGCAUGAUAUUUACCUUAGGAGAUUACAAUUCUCAAUCACAAGAAGCACAACCAAUUUUAACGUGACAUUCGUUCAAAAUUGCAUCCGAUAACUUUUCUAAGCAUCCUAAUGGUGAUCAAGCAUCAAGGUACAUAGAUAGUUUAAUUCAGUGAUUGAAAAUAUCAAAACAAGCAUGUAACAACACUUAAGCAAUUGAAAAAUAAAACUACGUAUUCAUGUUGCGGCUCAUGGCCUCACUCUAGCAUAAUACUUUAAAUAAUUAAAGCCCAAACAAUUUACCAAAUUUCAUCUCUGUACUCCGCAGAGACGCUAAACGAGACAUAUUUGGUCCAUCUCUGAACAUCUUUUCUUACUGUUCUUACAAUAGAAAGGGCACAAAAUUGACUUACACAGUCUUGCACAAUACUCACUUUGCUUCAACCCAUAUUUCACUUUGUCAAAUCAUACACGUUCCUGCAACAGGUGAACUCAUAUUUAUCUACCACUUCUUGCUAAUUUUAAUUUUUCCAUUCCCAUUUUUACUACAAGUUUUCACAUAAUUUUUUUAUUGCAUUUGUCAAUUCUUUAUACUUUUUAAUUGUAUUUUUUUUUUUGUCUUUUAUGUGUUUUCUAUGUUGGCACAAGGUUACAACAGUAUUAAACAAUUACAGGUCCUCCAGAGGUUUGCUUAUUGCCCUAUUUCAUCAAGCUCGGUAUAAAUAGAUCUUAAUUUUUUACUACAGUUAAAUACAUGGACAUGCCUCCACAAAUACAAAUUAGUUCUUGCUUAAAUACUUUGUGUGUUUACAUAGAAAAUGUUCCCAUCGUCUACCAAAAUCCUCCACACAUGAAAACAAAAAUUCUUACUCAAAAUACUUAUUACAAUACCACCAUAUCUGUUGUUUUUUAUUAAAUUAACACACUGUUUUCAAUUUUAUCUUCAACACAAAAGAAAAUGCUCUUACACAAUGUGUUUGCUUACAUUUUAUAACUUAUCUACCACAUGUUAAUCGCAGUUAUAUAAAUAGGAAAAUACGUGUUCAAUAGAAGUGUGAUGCAUGUCACUUCGUUAACAAUAGUGGAAACUAAACAAUUAAAUAAUUUGUUUCAAUUAGUUAGUACAUUUUAUAAAUUUCUCAAUUAGAACUGUUUCAGUAUAUUUAAUACAUUUUUAAACAACUUUCCAGUUAGUUGCCCAAACUAAUUAUUCCAGCUUAUUCACAGUAUAAUACCAACAAUUUAACAACCAAUGAUACUUCGUUUAACAUAAACUUCAUUUGGAAAAAACAAAAAAAAUCUUUUUCUCUGCUGAAAAAAUCAACAGAUUUAAUGAUGUAGAUCAGUUAUACCAACAAAUUACCAUAGUUUACCCAAUGCUAUACAGGUUUGACUUUUGUUUAUAUUCUUGGAUCUGUUGCUUGGUUGUAUAAUUUGGCUGUGUGUUUUGUUUCAGGACAAUUUGUUCUUCGUUUCUUGAGGCUUCUAUGUGUAGAUUUGAACCGUUUAGCUUUCAAACCGUUUAUACUCAAGGUAAAUAAUUUCGUUUGUUUCUUUUUAACCUUUUUUGUAAGAAUUUUUUAUUUAAUGUUGUGAGAGUUGUGUUUUCUAUAGUAUGGAAAUUGAAUCUUUGUGAUCUUAUAUCGUUAGAUACGUUGCUUGGUUAAUGUGAACACGGAAAAUUCCCGAAACGAAAAAGACAAGAACAACGUGCACAAACAAAUAUUUUGUAUUUGAUGAUUAUUUUGGGUUACAAUCUCUCUCUAAUUUGAUCCUCUGAUUCGAUCUCCGUAAGAUAUUGGUUUGUGGAUGUGCGAUUGAUCCAAGGGCCGUCGAGGCUUGAUCUUGGAUGAACGGUGAUGAACGGAUCUUCAAGGGCUUUUGGGCUUGAUCUUGAAGAAUAGUGAUGAACGGGUCUUCAAGGGCUUUUGGGCUUGAUCUUGAAGGAUGGUUGGAUGUGUGGAUUUGUCGACGUUGUUAAUCCAAAGGGCUGUUGGGGCUUGAUCUUAGGAUGAACGGAUGAUGAACGAAUAACACUUUCUUCAAGGGCCGUCGGGGCUUGAUUUUGAAUUGGUGAAAGUUCUUCAAGGGCCGUCGGGGCUUGAUCUUGAAGGUAGAUGAUUGUUGAUCCAAGGGCUGUCGGGGCUUGAUCUUGGAAGAACGAUGAACGAAGAACGAAGAAGGCUUUCUUGAUUCUUCGGGAACCUGGAUGCUUGAGAGCUUCGGAGUUUCAGAGCUUCAGAGCUUCAAGGUGUAAUAUGAAUUUGGUUCCCUUAAAUGAAUGAAAUUGGCUUCUAUUUAUAGAAUUUUCCAAGGCCUAAUUUUGAAUAUAAUAUUCCAGAUGAAAUAAGUCGUUUCUGCCAAGUGUUGACACGUGUCCUAUUUGAUGACUUUUCCGACUCAUUUCAAUUUUUCGUCGAGUCACACACUACGUGUAAAAUUUAUGUAAUACAUGAGCGUUGAAACUUUGAUUUAUCAGUCAACAUUUAUUUACCAAAAUUUCGAUGUCUACAAAUGCCCCCACUUCAAGGCGCGUCGUAUACAUGUGCUUGUCACGUGUAGGAGAUGCGUUUUGAAGUCCCCUUACUGUAGAUGUCGAUCCAAGGGCCGUCGAGGCUUGAUCUUGAACCGGGCUGGAGAUUUCUUCAAGGGCCGUUGAGGCUUGUUCUCGAACUUUGUUCGAAAUUUCUUCAAGGGCCGUUGAGGCUUGAUUUUGAAUUGGGCUGAAAGUUUCUUCAAGGGCCGUUGAGGCUUGAUCUUGAAUUGGGUUGAAAGUUUCUUCAAAGGCCGUUGAGGCUUGUUCUUGAACCUUGUUUGAAAUUUCUUCAAGGGCCGUCGAGGCUUGAUCUUGAAUUGGGCUGGAAGUUUCUUCAAGGGCCGUCGGGGCUUGAUUCUUGAAGGUGGAUGAUUGUUUAUUCAAGGGCCGUUGAGGCUUGUUCUUGAACCUUGUUUGAAAUUUCUUCAAGGGCCGUCGAGGCUUGAUCUUGAAUUGGGCUGGAAGUUUCUUUAAGGGCCGUCGGGGCUUGAUUCUUGAAGGUGGAUGAUUUUUUCUUCAAGGGCCGUUGAGGCUUGUUCUUGAACCUUGUUUGAAAUUUCUUCAAGGGUCGUCGAGGCUUGAUCUUGAAUUGGGCUGGAAGUUUCUUCAAGGGCCGUCGGGGCUUGAUUCUUGAAGGUGGACUCGAACACAUGGCAAGCAGGCACGAGGUGAAGGUGACGGUCUGUUUCUUUGCUCAAUCUUUCCAAGUGCCGACCGAUUGCUUUUCUUUCUCCUUGUCCCGCAGGCAAGAGCAAGGGUAAAAGAAAAGCAUGCCAUGAGAUAUCUUUGUUUUUGACUCUGAUGAUAUGAGGUACUUCUGCUUUUGAAGAAGUUGCGGAUGAAUCGACACGUGCUUUGUUGUGCUUGUCUCCACAUGCUCAGACUCUUGGCAGAAUGUGAAAGGUGGCAUUUUCUCGAGUUACUCAACUCAGACUCAUUCUGCUGAGUUGACUGUGCGGGCCGCAUUCUUCUCUGCUUGUUUCUUCUGGCAGCCUUGCUCUCGAGUACUCAUCUUUAACAUCUUAUGUUUCUUCUUUGUCUACCACACUGUGGAAGACGAGUACUCGAGAGUAAUACCAUGUAAGCAAUCAGAAAAGGGUUCCAAGCAGUCGGUUCCAGAUCGGAAGAUUGAUACCAAGUGUUGGCUGAUUGCUUUCCUUCUCAUUGUCCUACAGGUUAGAACAAAGACAAGGAAAAGGACACGGAGAAUGCAUGAUAUGAGAUACUCUUGCUUUCUCCCUUCAUGAUAUGAAAUACUUUUGCUUUUCAAGAUUUGUUUGCAGAGGUAUCCUAUGGGAUGAAGAACACUGAGUGAGUUGAGAGGGUUUGUUGGAAAGCCAUUUGUCGGAGAUGACGGAAUGUUAUGUAUGUCUGCCUUGCCAUGGAGCGUGAAGGUCGACAUUUGUAGGAAAUAAUAACUGGUACUGUUCUUUCACUCCUGUCGGCAACCGUUGGAUGAUUGAACAGUAAACUUCACGUGAUUUCCUCAAAGCUUUUUCUGCAUGCGACAAGUGCUGACGAGGCUGAGAGAGACAUGCGAUUGGAAUCGGCGCUUCGACAAACUUUUCCAUGAUUUUCGCAAAGCUGACGAGGCUGAGAAAGACAGAUGGUUUGGAAUCGGCGUUUCGAUAAACUGCCCGUGAUUUCCGCAACGCUGACGAGGCUGAGAAGGACAGAUGGUUUGGAAUCGGCGUUUCGACAAAUUGCCCGUGAUUUCUGCAACGCUGAGUUUGCGUGUGACAGGUGCUGACGAGGCUGAGAAAGCUGACACUUCUUCGAUUUUUGAGAUCAGUCCGUGAUCCUUGAGUAGGCCUAGCUUUGGAGAAAGCAGGCGCUUCAUCGAUCUCUGAACUCGCCUCUUCGAUCUCUGAAAGCCCAUCGCAUGCUGUUUUUUUAUAGAGGUACGCAAGACAUUCAAAGCACACUUGAAUUUCUACCUGUGAAAAAAAACUCCCCUUUUGCAUAUCUGAGAUCUUUAAUUUGCCCGACCUCUUCAUUUUGUUGAACACCUUCGGAAAUGUCUUUCCCAUCUGACCGUCGUCUUGACUUGAAUAUCGAAGAAGAUAUUGACAUGUCUUCUCCAGGCAACAUUUGGCAGCUGUCCUUCGUAUCCUCCAACGAACCUCUUACGGUUGGGGACACUGUGAUGAGGAAUGACGCAACGGCUGCAGUGGUUGCUAGAAAUCUUCUCACUCCUAGGGAUAGUAAGAUGCUUUCCAAGCGGUCCGACGAGAUGGCUGUUCAAGACUCUCUGGCCUUCAGCGUCCAAUGUGCGGGCUCAGUAUCAAACAUGGGCCAACGCCUUCUUGCUCGAUCUCGUCAGGUUGAGUCUUUGAUGGCCGAGGUGGCUAGUCUUCGGCAGGAGAUCAGAGGGCUUAGGCACGAGAAUAAAGAGUUGCAUAUGCUAGCAACUAGUUACUCAACGAGCAUGAAGAAGAAGCUAGACCAACUGCAGGAGUGUGAAGUUCGGGCUCGAAAUGAUCAUCAAAGGUUUAUGGCGUUACUCCCGAGGCAUCUUCUGCCUUCGUCAUCUGGCGCUUCACCAAAUGUUGAGGCUCCGGAAAAUCAAACUCUGGCGCUUCGUCUUUCUGGAGCUUUACCAAGUGUGGAGGCUUCAGUUGAUCCACCUCCGGUGCUUCGUCUUUCUGGAGCUCCGUCGAGUACUGAGGCACCACAUGAUCAUCCUUGAAGAUCCUUUCCUGUAAAUUUGAUUUGACUUUUUUUUUAAGGUAUGUAUAAUGUAAAAUUUCUAGAAAAAUAAAAUGGACUUUAUUUCUCUGAACAUGUUUUUUUUGUUUUUUUUUUUGGCUGUAUAUUUUCUCUUUAAUCAUGGUGCACCCAUUUUCCACAUGGUGCCAGACGGACCAAAGAUCAAACAUUUCCUUUUUUUAUUUUUUUAUUUUUUCUUUAAUCAUGGUGGCAGACGCAUAAACAAUUUCAUUUAUAUUUUUUUUUCUUUUUGCUGGCACAUGGUGCCAGAUGCACCAUUCAUUUAUAUAUAUUAUUAUAUAUGUUUUUUUUAUUUUUUUUUAUUUGCACAUGGUGCCUGAUGCACCACCUCUUUUUUUUUCACGUGGUGCCAGCAUCACUUUGCUCCACCAUCCAUUUUUUUUAUUUUUAUUUUCUGUAUAAAUUUGGGUGAUGGGUAGAGGAUUUUGCAGGCAGGGAGCAAGGAGGCCGAGAAGAUGGUGCUUCGAACUUCAUGACCGGCUAGUCGUUUGACGGCGGUCGUUGAAGUCGUUGGCAGUUGCGAGGCAAAAGACGGAGGAGAAGGUGGAGUAGGUGACCUUGAUGUCGGAUCCAGCUAGAACCCAGAGCACAGCGACUGAGCCCAAUCACCGAGCACAACCGCUGCACACCCGUUGUACUGCCACCGAGCACUGCCACUGCGCAUCUGUUGCACUGCCAAUUGCUGCAAAGGAUUAUGUUUAACGGCGGAGACGCUGCCCUAUUUGCCAUGCUAUGCCGACGUGCUUCACAUAAUUAACCAUCCAGAAUUGUUAAACAUUCCAUCUGGGUUUAUCGCAAAAACAGAAGAAGAAAAAAACCAAGAUCCAUCCAUGCCAAACACCAAUCUGCCAUCUUUUUGGGAUUUGUACGACAUCAUCAGCCAAAACCUGCUUGGUCCGCUCGCAAAUUGUGGGAGAGGAAGAGUUGGCGGAGCAGCUGUAACACUGGAAAAUGGAGGACGUUGACGAGUCCUCCAAGUUGUUCUUGACGUUGGUGCUGGAGAAACCUGCCUCUCUCAUGACUCUGCUGACACUUGGGUCGUCAAGGAUGGGGAUGAUGAGCUGCUCGAGCUCGACUUUGAUGGUUAAGAGCGGCUGCUGCUGCUGCUCGAUGCAGUCUCUUCUCUGAUGGGCUUGGGCUCUCUUGAGGGCGUUGGAGAGAGAGGGCUGCCCGUGGAGGAGAGGGCAUGGAGUUGUUGGGAGAAAUCAGGGCCGGAAUGGAAAAUAUUCCCGAGCUGCAUCAACGAGGAGAUAACACCGCUAAGUUAUUCAUCUGGUUUGCUUUAGUCAAAUGGAUCAAUCCGCGGGUCAUGCUCGCUUGCCAUCAUCAUCCCAGUGCACAGGCAUGUCGGGCACAUGACCUUUCCAGCACCAGAGCAAUUUGGGCACCUCUCAGUUGUGGGCACUCGCAAAGGUUGGUCUGAUGCACUAGAUGCUGAUAUAGGAUUGAUGUUCAAGCACACUCCACUUGCAGAACAUCUAGCACAGGCCAAGUACCCAGUUCCAUGGCAAUAUUUGCACCUUUUCUUCUCUUGCUGCUCAACAUUAUUAGCUUCAAUCAACAUCAAUGCUGAAAUGACACCCACUGCCCCACCGGAGAAGGAUGCCACAAUAGGAUCAACCUGACUUAAUUGUAAAGGCAGAUGCAUGCUACGAAUGAAAUCUUCAUACGAGGUACCUCCUAUACCUAAUUUUAGUUCCAACGAUGGCGCAAUGAGACCCCCAAAUACAAUUACACUAGAUAUCAUAGAUAAGCUUGUGAGGUAGAGCUGCUUCAACGUCUUUGGUGUCAUAUGAGGGAGAAAAGGGAUAGUGGAUGGAAUGUCAGGCAUCUCAUUUGACUCUUCCUCACAAGCCUCAUCCAUAUCUCUCGCCAUCUUUAUCCGUUGCUGCACCCGCAAUCUCCUUAGCUCUUCCAUGAGAAGAAAAAUCUUGUUGUGCCGGCUUCUUAUGUUGUCCUAAAUUUCCUGUAGUUGCAUCUGCACAAAGUCCUGCACCGUCUCCGGCUCUUCUAUGAUACAAAAAGUGCUUGGCGUGUUAUCGCCGGGGAAUGAUUCCUUGGAAGCAGAACAGGAAAUUUGGGGAUGCGGGGAGGUGAAUUUGGACAGAGAGAGACGUCUAGGGAUUCCAUGGGAGGGGGGUUGAGAGUGGUUUUUUGCCGGCGCCUCUAGGGUAGUCGUCGUUGGCUAUUGCUAUAGAGAGGUCAAUGACUUCACCGGAGAUGGCGUUGUUCUGGAGCCCGAGCGUGAGAAGCCGGGUGAGAUUGUCUGGAAAGGGUCCCCAGAGGUUGUUGUCGGCGAGGUCGAGAAGCUUGAGCUUGGUGCAAUUGACGAGAGGAGAAACGGUGUCGUUGAGGCGGUUGUUGUGGAGGUCGAAGAGUGAGCUGGGCGAGAUCAGAGAACCUUGACGAAUUCGGAGCGUUGAGGGUUAUCAACACGAUCCCAUCGACGAAGAAGAAGCAGAAUGGGCCUCUUGCGGGGCCUAUGGCAUCAACCGGUCUUUGGGCUUCUGGGCCAGUAAAUUGGAGAGAAGCCUGGGCUUUUGACUUGCAGAGAGAUUAGGCUCUGGGAGCCGCUUGUAGUAUUGUGGCUAAAGGGGUUGCUUCCUGUGGCCACUUAUAUAUAUAUAUUUUGUAAAUACAUAAAACAUUUAUCUCUUUUUUUUUCUUUUUUUUUUGUACAAAGAAAUUGUAAUAGCAUCAAAACUUUUAAUAAAAUCUUUAUUCCUUAUUUUGGUGUGACUGAACUCAAAUUUUGAAUAUUCGAGUUGCCUACGUACCUCUCCAAAGAAGAGAUCAAGUCGUAACGUAGUUCAAAUGAGUGAUGAAUUUAACAGUGAUUUUGAUGAUGAUUUUGUCGUACACAGUUUAUGCUCUUGCGGGCCAGGAGCUUUGGUUCGUGCAGUUUAGGCUCGUGCGAACAAGGAGUGUUGGUGUUGCCUUUUAUGCUCGUGCAGACCAGGAGCGUUGGUGUUGCCUUUUAUGCUCGUGUAGACCAGGAGCUUUGUGCCAUGCAGUUUAGACUCGUGCAGGCAAGGAGCGUUGGUGUUGCCUUUUAUGCUCGUGCAGACCAGGAGCGUUGGUGUUGCCUUUUAUGCUCGUGCAGACCAGGAGCUUUGUGCCAUGCAGUUUAGACUCGUGCAGGCAAGAAGUGUUGGUGUUGCCUUUUAUGCUCGUGCAGACUAGGAGCUUUGUUGUGCCAUGCAGUUUAGGCUCGUGCAGGCGAUGAGCUUUGGUUCAUGCAGUUUAGGCUCGUGCGAACAAUGAGCAUUGUGCCAUGCAGUUAGGCUCAUGCAGGCGAGGAGCGUUUAUUGGUUCGUCAAGCGAUCCAGGAGAGUCGUUCCUCGCAAUCUUCAUAGCAAGGAGCCUUGACUGAGUGAUUGAAGAAGUCUUUGGGGAAGAAAUCGCGCAUCGUGAUGGGGAUGGACGAUAUUUGUGUCGUCAUUUCAUCAUCUUCAACACUUUCACUUUUCUUUGAAGGUUGACAAGAGCUGCUUUGCCCCAUUUCCGAUUGGCGGACUUGUGGAUGAGACGUAUGCUUCUUCUGCAGUUUCUCUAGAGUGACAUGAGUCAUUCCUUCAACUUCGCUUGGCUCAACUGGCAUGGUUUUGGAGCAUGCCCCCAGCGAUUGAGGUGAAGAUUUUGAGUUGACAAAGCCGGAAGUGACGUCUUCUUCCAUGAUUUCAUCUUCUUUGUCUUCUUGGGCUUGUUGGCGUGAAGAUUGGCCGGCGUAGAUGAUGGUGCGCCUCUUUACCUUCAGUGGUCCUUUUGUGUCGACCUCCCAAGCUGUUUGGCGCUUUAUCCUUGAAUGAAUCAAGCUUCGAACGUCGUCUUUUCCUGCUAGACCGUCGAGCUUUUCUUCCUUUGGCGUUGUCUUCCUAUUUCUAGAAUGCUUCUUGGUUUCUUCAAGUUUUUCCAAAGCCGAUCGUUGGGGAGGAGAGCCAGCCUUGCUGCUUUGUUUCUUAGGUUUUGACAACCUUUCAAAAACAGAGCUUUGGGGUGUUGGCGUGUUAAGCCGUUUGAAGAUGGAAGUUCGGUCUUGCCCACCAAUGCGAUCAAGUGCCGACCUUCUGGGUUUUGAACGAUUCAGCCUAUCGAAGACUGACACUCGAAUAGGAGGUUGAGGCUCCUCUUGAUCUUGUUCAAUCCUCAAGCUGAUGUGUCGAGUGCUAGCAUUUUUUGCUUUACUUGAAAUCUUCACGGGUGCAUUUGGUGUGAAGCCAAGUCUAGCUCUGUUGUUGUCAACUCCGUAAUCAUGCUUUUCCAACUUCUUCUGAGUCUCGGUGAAGUCAUGAUCUUUGUCGUUGAUGGUGUUUGAAACCUUCUUCUCAAGAUUUGAAGAGGAAGCAAAGUCGUACCCAGCCUUUAACAUGAGUUCGUAGGCGUUUGGGUUGAGACCUUCUUCGGUCCUCUUAGUUGGAAUGAAGCUUGGGUUCGCUUUGACGCCAUGAUGCGCCUCCAGACGGUUGAUAAGUCCAACGGUUUGCAAGUUUUUCUCCUCCGCAGUCUUUAUCAGCCUUGCAAUUGUUUCCUUCAUCUGAACUAGUUGUUCUUCAAUAGAGGUAGCGCCGAUGGUCAUGACUUGUUCUUUGUUUGAAGCCAUGAAGUGUGCUUGAAUUUCUUGAACAGAGAAAGAGAUGAGAGGUAGAGAUUGUCCCACUGGGCGUGCCAAUUUGUGAACACGGAAAAUUCCCGAAACGAAAGAGACAAGAACAACGUGCACAAACAAAUAUUUUGUAUUUGAUGAUUAUUUUGGGUUACAAUCUCUCUCUAAUUUGAUCCUCUGAUUCGAUCUCCGUAAGGUAUUGGUUUGUGGAUGUGCGAUUGAUCCAAGGGCCGUCGAGGCUUGAUCUUGGAUGAACGGAUCUUCAAGGGCUUUUGGGCUUAAUCUUGAAGAAUAGUGAUGAACGGGUCUUCAAGGGCUUUUGGGCUUGAUCUUGAAGGAUGGUUGGAUGUGUGGAUUUGUCGACGUUGUUGAUCCAAAGGGCCGUUGGGGCUUGAUCUUAGGAUGAACGGAUGAUGAACGAAUAACACUUUCUUCAAGGGCCGUCGGGGCUUGAUCUUGAAUUGGUGAAAGUUCUUCAAGGGCCGUCGGGACUUGAUCUUGAAGGUAGAUGAUUGUUGAUCCAAGGGCCGUCGGGGCUUGAUCUUGGAAGAACGAUGAACGAAGAACGAAGAAGGCUUUCUUGGUUCUUCGGGAACCUGGAUGCUUGAGAGCUUCGGAGUUUCAGAGCUUCAGAGCUUCAAGGUGUAAUAUGAAUUUGGUUCCCCUAAAUGAAUGAAAUUGGCUUCUAUUUAUAGAAUUUUUCAAGGCCUAAUUUUGAAUAUAAUAUUCCAGAUGAAAUAAGUCGUUUCUGCCAAGUGUUGACACGUGUCUUAUUUGAUGACUUUUCCGACUCAUUUCAAUUUUUCGUCGAGUCACACACUACGUGUAAAAUUUAUGUAAUACAUGAGCGUUGAAACUUUGAUUUAUCAGUCAACAUUUAUUUACCAAAAUUUCGAUGUCUACAGUUAAAUGAUUUGGCUGUGUGCAUUGUUUCAGGACAAUUUGUUCUUCGUUUUUUGGGGCUUCUGUGCGUAGCUUUGAAGUCCUUUGUAGUCAACAUAAAUAAUUUUAUUUUUCUUUGUUUUUAGUCUUCUAUGUAAGAAUUUCUUAGUUAAUAUUCUGAGAAUUAUGUUUACUAUAGUAUGAAAAUUGAAUCUUUGUGAUCUUCGAAGUGUAACGUCAUUGCAACAUGGACGACUGCCAUUAUCGAACAUGAAAAACAUUUUGAUUUCUGUACUCCGUCUAGUAGAAAACUCUCGACUUCUUCAGAAACCACGAGAAACUUAAAACUGAGAAAGCUUCGCGGUCUCCCUUCCAUCUCUGCUACGCGGUCUCUGCUUUGCGAUCUCUGCUUCCUUCGUGAUUUCUUCCUUCCUGAACGACAUCUAUUCGAAUUGAAAACCUUCUGGAGCUCUCUUCCCCAAAUUUCAGCAGCAACUUUGCUCCAGAUCUUUCCAAUUGAAAUUCCUCUCCUUCACAUUUUGCAUAUUGAAUUUCGCAUCAUCAUCAUCUCCCUAGAACCUAGGAGUUCGGUUCGGUUUCGAGUUUUCCGACGGAAAUCCGGCGACAGCGGCCAUCGAGGUUGGUCUGAAACUAUUCCUCAUCACCACAGGUACUUUCUACACCUAUUACAUUUUAGAAAAAGUUUCAUGACUUUGUGGAAUCCAAUUUAACGAUUAGAAAAAUUUUCAUUAAUUUUCUGGGUUCGUGAGUUGGAGGGGGAUUAGAAAUUUUUUCAUUAUUUUUCUGGGUUUGUGGUUUUUUUUUUCCAAAACGUUUUUCCUUUCUACUAAUCCAAGUUCCUUCACAUCAAUCUCUCUGUUUUGUUCUUGAUCUUCCUCGAGUAGAAUACCUCUUCUUGCUCUGGAGCGCGUGGGCAGUCUCUCUAAGGCAGCCCAUGACGUCAUUUUCCGAUUCGACUCGGAGGAGGUUGGCUGCUCUUCUUGGCUGAGCUUCAUGGCUGGCCGAAUUCCCCUAUUCCCUUCCUCUUAUACUUUUUUAUAUUCGUUCACCAAAACAAUAGGAAAACGUCUCCGUCUGUUUGAUUGACGGCGAAAAAAAAAAAGACGGAGAAUAAAAGCCUGACGGAAGCUGAAAGCUUGGACUCUGUUUGUAUUUUUAAUGGAUUUUCAGAACACAGGUCAAGAAUAUUGCGAUUUGAGAAAAAAAGAAAGAACCACGUUGACAUAAUAUAUUCACAAUAGGUGUACAAGGUUCAUAAAGCUUUACUGUGGUUCCAUUUUUUGUUAAUGGAAUUAGCCUUUUGUUUUAGGAAGAACUUGGAACCCCCUCCGUCCAUUCUAUCCCCAAUGGAAUUAACACUUAGAUAGUACUAUGACAAUGUGUCAUUAUUUGAUGCAUACCUGUAUAAAUUUAGGCUAAGUGUUUUAUACACAAAUUGAUACAGAUUAACUAUACAAUGAUAACUAUAUACCGGAGAGCUAACUAUACAAUGAUACAUUCUUAUCUGUUAAUUAUCUUUGGUUACCAGCUAUCCAUGUUGCUGUCAUAUUAAACUACACAACAUCAGUUGUAAUUUAUGUCUUAUUAGUAUCAUCAUUUUUGUUCAUUAUUUCAAUGUCUAACAUAACUCCGCCUAUGUCUUACAUGGCCGGUCCCAAGCCCGGAUAAAGGAGGAGGGGGAGGGCGUCAGGUAGUCGACAGCCGGCACUCCAUGAUCACGUCGAAUCCUUAUGAAAAUGAAUCCAGAACAAAACCCCACUUAGUGGGAAAAGGCUUUGUUGUUGUUGUAUUUCAAUGUCUAACAUGAUGAUCUGGUUUCAAUUUGCUACAGGCAUUAUUUCCAGACAAUAGCUAUGGUUUUGAUUGUAGCGGUGACUGAAAAAUUAUUCCGAAACUAACAUUUGAGGAAUUCAAGGUUUGUUAGUUAAUUUGUACAUCAGAAUACCAUGACAAACUAUGAAGUUGUAAUUGUUGACCUUACAAUGUAUCUUUUUUGGUUUGGAGCAUUAGACUUAUAUGUGUUGCUUUCACCUCAUGAAGGCUAACUCUUUAUUUUAGGCCGUAAGAGUAUAAUUUCUUGGAGAAUCUACAUUGUUGAUAAUUUUUUGAACAAUAUUAUCCCCAAAAUUUCUCCGCAUGUUACCCUCAACGUAGACAUCAUAUAACCAUCAUUGAACUUCUGAACCAAAAAUUUGAGUUUUAUGAUUAUAACUAAACGUCUAUAAACACAUGAUACAGAUUGAGACGAAUGUCAAAUUUAAAAUGGCAUUAAUACAGCUGCAAACUCUGAUUUGCGGGAUUUGAAAUGGAGCAGUUACUUCUUGCUUCACUUCAGCAGCAUAGUCCAGCUUCUAAAUUCAGUUCUCAGGUAUGAGGUUUCUCAGUUACCUCUUUUUUGUAAUAAAACAUUUGAUCAGUACUUGCCAGGAUAUCCAAUUAAUUAGGUCAGUUUUUGUUAGCAGUAAUAAUUUGUUUUUGCAGCUUUAUAUGUGUCUCUGUCUCCAAAUAUGAUGAUCUCUUAAUUUGCUUCUAUAGCUUUUGUAAUAUAAUGAUCUCUUAAUUUUCUUUUGCAUAUCUUCUUUGCUUCCUCUGCUAGCUCUAUAUGAGAUUCCAUCUCCAAAUAAUUAUUCCUUAUUUCCUAUUUUUACCAGAAGCAAAUCAUUGAAUACACAUGGUAAAUUAAAAGGGUUUUAGUUUUUGGAGUAGUUUAAAUUUUUUGUUUGUUAUUGCUUGUAUUGCUGUUAAAUAUUUGAUGGGUAGUUUGAAAUGGGGAACUUGGUUGAUUGAGUAUUAACUUUUAUUAAAUUAAUAUUCUUAUUCAAUAUUGAAUUAAGACUCCUCUUAUUAAAUUAAGACUCUUAAGGCUCUAAUCUAAUGUUCAUGCUCAAUAUCUCCUCUAUCUUUCUACAAUUGGUAAAACUUUUGUAUUAUUAUUCCAAUUUUGGUUACUGGGUUGUGGAAUUUUCCAUUUUUUUUCUGGGUAAUCAAUACUAUAUAUAUGCAUGACAAGUAUAAACAAUAUUUUGGGGCAAAUUUAGUUGUUUAAUUUUUAAUUUUUAUGUGACAGUGAGAUUAUGGUAGGAUUUCGUUUAGAUUCUGCGGCCCAAUGGGAGUCUCUGCUUUGAUAAGAUUGGGGUUGAUGCCAAGAAAGCCAAUAAGCCUACUGUGGACGCCGUAGCCGCCUGGCGCUGUUUUCCAAAAUCCUCUCUCACUUGGUUAAGCAAUUAAGACUUUUUGGUUCAGUUUUUAUUAUGCCCAAUUUUGUAUUUAAACCUUAAAAAAAUUUAAACUGAUAUGGGGAUACUGAAAUAGGCUGCAGAGCUGCCAUCCCUGAAUCAGAAGAUGUUCAGAAGGAAGAAGAAGAACAAGAAGAAAGUCGUGGAAUAUCAAAAGCUUUUAGCUUUGUGAAGGUAUGCUUUUUCCCAACUCACCUCUUGCUUUUGUUGCACUGAAUUGGUAGAUUGGGUUCAAAAAUAUAUAUAUGUGAUUUUUCGUGUAACUAUUUCUUUACAUAAUUACCAAUUGGAGGUGAUUUGAGAUCAUGUAACAUUUCCUCGCUAGAACCGAAGAUUGCCGUCGCUCAGAGCUGCGUUUCAUGAAACAAGUUCAUCUCCUGCCAAUUUUGUGUACCCACCUUUUAUUCAUGAGGGUUGGUGCUUGCUUGCAACACAAUUUGGUGCUAUUAAGUUUUGCGGUUUUACAAUUUGUUCAUGCUUAAACCUCUUUCAAAUUUUCAUUUCUAUGUAAAUCUUGCAGGUAGGACGACACACCUAUCUUGGCAAUGUCGGGAUGUCUAGGCUUGGGUGGAGACGUGGUCUUAUGGAAGAGGUGAAGUAGCUUAGCUCGAUCUCAUUAGCUCUUAUCUGUUCUAUUAUGCUAAGAUCAAUAGUAAAAAGUUCUAUUGAUUUUAUAAUCAAAGAUACAUAUAUUAUAGAAACAGAGGGUAUAUAAUUAAUUUCUUGAUGUAAACAAUUAUAACUUGAGGAACCAUUUAAAGUAUUUUGGUAAUCAGCAUACUUAAACUUAAAUGUGAUAUAUCCGUUUAGUAUUUUUUUUAUACAGUGAUAAUACUUAAGUAUAAUUUACAUCAUAUAUCUUUUGAAGUACAUGAAACUAUGAAGAAAAUGAUAAACCAAAUCCCAUUCCAUCUCUGUUUGCUACUGCACAAUCACAAUCCAAUUCCAACAUGGAAUCCUCAGACGACAUGCCUACUGCAGAACAAGUUUCAUCCUGACUUAACUUAUAUUUAGUCCACGUCCUGUUUAGAUUGUAAUCCUAGUUCUACGUGUGUUUGUAUAGUACUCCUAUAAAUAUCAAUGAACAUCGCUCACUCUAAUUAAGAGUUGAGAUUCUGCAAAUCAUAUUUACUAUCUUUCAUGGUAUCACGAGCCAGCGUCUAACGACAACGGUUCCUAUUAUAAUUUUUUUCUCUUUUGCAGAUCCUAAACUAUGGCAUCUUCUUCCUCCUCCGCUGCUCCCUCCAUCACAAAUUUUCUUACGAUCAAGCUCGACCGCAACAACUACCCUCUUUGGCAUGCUCAGUUUCUUCCCUUGCUGCGCAGCCGCAACUUACUCUCUUAUGUUACUGGCGAAACUCAAUGCCCCUCUUUCUUCUUGAUGACAAUGGUAAAUUCACCGAUAAAGUCAAUCCAUUAUAUAAUGAAUGGAUCCAGACUGACCAGAUGAUCCUAUCUUGGAUUACGAGUUCUCUUACUCCCAAGGUUCUUGCUACGAUCGUCAACAAAAUUGAUUCGGCCUCUGCUUGGUCGUCAAACUCGAAUUAAUCUGAUUGUGAGGGUUUUGUUUUAUAUCAAUAUAUUGCAACAGAAGUCACACUUUGAAGAGUUCAUGCUGCACAGAAAGAUGAUGAAAUGCUACCCGUUGAGUCUAUCAUUGCUCCAUUGGAGACAGAGCUGAAGCUUACUGCAGGAGUUAUACAUUUGUUAUGCAAUAUGACCCCUUUAAUUUUAUUUUAAAACUGAUACAAAAAUACUACAAAAAUUUAUGUAGUAUUUUUGUAUCAGUUUUGAGUGUCUAUUUUGGCUUCCAUAUAUCGUCUGUACAUGUGAGAGGUAUAGUGUUCAAUAUGUAUUUGGUUUCUAUAUUGUUAAUGGAUCCUUUUUUUUUUUUUAAUUUUAAUAUAAUUUUAUUAAGGUAACCAAGUUGCAGGAUGACAUCAGAACACUUGAUCUGCAGGUAAACCUUCAAUUUCCAUAUGAAGUUUGCAUGUUCGUUGUUUCUGGAAUUUGAGUUUUUAUUAUUUCUCAAUUCUAUCACAUAGAUUACGAUUUCACAUAUGUGAUUAUUAAUGGCAAUUAUAUGAUAGAAGAAUUGGGAUUGGAAGAAGAUAUUGAGUUGUUUAUUUAUGGGGAUUAGAAAAUGAUUAUCAUACAAGUGAUAUUUAUUUUUGUGUGGAUUGUUAAUAUAUAAAACUAUAAGCUUUUGAGAUUGGGAGAUAAAACCCACAAAUUCAAAUCAGACAAAAUAAAUAAAAAAUUUAACUGACUUAAAGAUCAAACUCCAAAAGGGUAUUAAAAACAAGGCUUAUUUGAUCCAUUGAGUGUGAAAGUUUUGAGCUUUGAAGAAGCAUAGGAGGAGAGUUGUUAACCAAGCUGCAUUAUCCAUGUAUUAGGAUGUUGAGGGUAGGCAGGAAAAAUACUUUUUGACGCCAUAUCCAGAGGAGCAUAACGACAGGCCUGCAUUUUUGCAGCAAGGACCAAAACAAGUAGAAGUGAAGGCUUGACUGUUUGGGUAUUAAUCCUAAACCUAAUUAUUCUUAUUUAGGUUUAGGAUAAAUGAUUGAGUGUGUCUCGAUGAUUGUAUUACCAUGUUUGAUGAAUGACUUGAGGAGUUGGAAAUGGUUUAUUGCUUAUGUUUUUCUUAGGUGUGUACUUUGGUUAUUUCCGAGCUUUUCACGACUCUUGAUACCUAAUAGAGAAAAUGGAAACCCCAACUUUAAUUUUAUGAAUUGGUUUUGGUGCCUAAAAUGAAAUCUAGCAUAGUGAAAUCUUGCAUAAUGAAAUUAUGACAAAUUUCCCUUCAUCUUUAGAUUUUCAUUUAGUUCAAUUUGUAUGCAAUUUAGGGUUAUUCAAUUCAUGAGUGAUCAAAUUAUGUUUUUAAUUCCUUCUUCUUUUGAUUUACAGUUCAACAUUGUCGUACAAAAUGAAAAAGGUGCCAGUAACAUAGUUAUGGAUUUGGAUGCCUUUAGCGGAAUAAAACUGAAUUUUUUAACUUUGUAUAGUUGUAAACAUAAAAUACUCCAUCAGAUAGACUCAUAGCAUUUGAAAACAAUCCUUGAGGAUGGCAUAACAACAUCUCCAACUUUUGUCAUGUAAUGUAUGAAUGUAAAUAGCACUUUGUAAACAUAUGGAUGUAAUAUAUGUAUAUAAACAGUCUUUAGCAUGUAUAUUUUUCAAAACUUUCUACAUCUUCAACAAUGUUUCAAUGAUUUCUUGAUGUAAACAAUGAUAAUUUGAAGAACCAUUUAAAGUUUUCGGUAAUCAGCAUACUUAAGCUUAAAUGUGAUAUAUCCGUUUAGUAUUUUUUAUACAGUGAUAAUACUCAAGUAUAAUUUACAUCAUAUAUCUUUUGAAGUACAUGAAACUAUGAAGAAAAAACCCUAAUUAAUCUGAUUAUGGGGGUUUUGUUUUAUAUCAAAAUAUUGCAGCAGAAGUCACACUUUGAAGAGUUCACGCUGCACAGAAAGACGAUGAAAUGCUAUCUGUUGAGUCCAUCAUUGCUCCAUUGGAGACAGAGCUGAAGCUUGCUGCAGGUGGUAUACUUUUGUUCUGCAAUAUGACCCCUUUAAUUUUAUUUUAAGACAGAUAGGGUUGAAAAGAAUUUAUGUAGUAUUUUUGUAUCAGUUUUGAAUGUCUAUUUUGACUUCCAUAUUUGGUCUGUACAUGUGAGGUAUAGAGUGUUCAAUAUGUAUUUGGUUUCUAUAUUGUUAAUGGAUCUUUUUUUUUUGUUUUUUAGGUAACCAAGUUGCAGGAUGAAAACAAAACACUUGAUCAGCAGGUAAACCUUCAAUUUCCAUAUGAAGUUUGCAUUUUUGUUGUUUCUGGAAUUUGAGUUUUUUGCAGGAUGAAAACAGAACACUUAAUCUGCAGGUAAACACUUGAUUUGUUAUUUCCAAGCUUUUCACGACUUUCGAUACCCAAUAGAGAAUAUGGAAACCCCAACUUUAAUUUUAUGAAUUUGUUUUGGUGCCUAAAAUGAAAUCUAGCAUAGUGAAAUCUUGCAUAAUGAAAUUAUGACAAAUUUCCCUUCAUCUUUACAUUUUCAUUUAGUUCAAAUCGUAUGGUUUAGGGUUAUUCAAUUCAUGAGUGAUCAAAUUAGGUUUUUAAUUCCUUCUUCUUUUGAUUUUCAGUUCAGCAUUGUCGUAUUUUGGAUGCCUUUAGUGGAAUAAAACUGAAUUUUUUUAACUUUGUAUAGUUGUAAACAUAAAAUACUCCAUGAGAUAGACUCAUAACUUUUGAAAACAAUCUUUGAGGAGGGCAUAACAACAUCUCCAACUUUUGUCAUGUAAUGUAUGAAUGUAAAUAGCACUUUGUAAACAUAUGUAUGUAAUAUAUGUAUAUAAACACCACUCUUUAGCAUAUAUAUUUUUCAAAACUUUCUACAUCUUCAACAAUGUUUCAAGCCCCGCGGCAACGGGCGGGUACACUUGCUAGUAUACAUCUAAAAUUAUAAGACUAAAUCCUUUAGUUCUUGGAUUCAUCUAAGAACUACUUAUUCCAGCAGAUGCUAUGCUUGCACUACUAGAAUUUAUGGCUUGCCCUGUCAACUAUUGCGCGACAGAAGAUUUCGUCGGUUUCACCUUUUUUAACCGACAGAAUAUAAGUUUAGUAGGGCAAAAUCAGUCAACAAACUGGGUUGAUUGAAUAAAUUUACAGGAUGGCUAGAGUUCGUAGGUUAAGACAUCGGUCGUUGGGCAAACAUUUGGAGCGAAGAUGUGAGUGUUUUAACUGACGAAUAAGCUGGUCGUCAUGUAGAUCUUCUUUCCCGACGGACGGUUCAACAGGUAGCUCUUUGGAUAAUAAUUCAUCUUCAAGGGGAACAGGUUGCCCCUCAGAUGAAUGGUUAGAGGCAAUUGUGAGACUAUAAUUUUCUAGGGCCGGAAUAAAAAAUACAUAAACCCUCACCUAUUCUGUCUCUGUAACCAUCCACCAAAUACCCAUUUUUCCCUUUCUAUUUCUCUCCUAGUAAUUUCCCCUGACCGAAUCACACAAUCCAACCAACUCUCUUUAAGCCUCCCUCACUGAUUCCAUGGAUUUCAUGGACUUAUCCCACCCUCUCUCCUUCCUUCUAUAUAUAGCAAGUCCCCUUGCCUCAGUGUCCCUGGCAACAGAAUUUAUGGCGUUUCUUCGUUCUUUCAAUUAUUUGAAAGCUUCCCUGCCCUGCAAUCUUGUAUAAAGGCGUAUGGUGUUUCAUCAGUUCCAUUUGGUGGUCGGGUGGGAAAUGAAAUUAAAACACUGCAUUUCAAAUGCAUUUCAAAUGGUCUAAACCAAAUUGAAUCAAAUGUGAAGCAAAGGGCAAGAGGUGUAGAUUGAAGAACAAUGGCACCAAGAGCGAAAUUGAACUUGUUGACAGGAGGAAACCAAGUAAGGAUAACACGUCUAAAUCUUAUUUUGAAUCCAUUCAGCUCAUGAUGUUUUGAAUGAUGAUGAUCGGUAUACUCUGCUACAUGCUGUGAUUUUUCCGCUUUCAUGUAAUUAACGGCUUAUAUUUGUGGUAACCAUAUUGAUUAAAAAAGGUCGUACCCAGUGCACAAGGCUCCCGCUUUACGCAGGGUCUGAAAGGUGAAUGUCGGCUAGCCUUACCCCCAUUUUAUGGAGAGGCUGCUCCAAAGUCUCAAACCCAAGACCUACCGCUCAUGGGCGAAGACACUUGCCAUCGCACCAAGUGCGAUAUUGAUUAAUUUCGAGAAAUGACAGUCUAAUUUUUGCAACUGUCUUUUGCAGGCAAAACAAAGACGUUUGCAAGGGUGAGUUGUGUAGGAGCUUUGUUUCAUGUCCAAAGGACACUUGAGAAUAAAUGUUUACACUCAUGGAUAAUAUCUAUCUAUUUGCAGGAGUAACCCUGGGUUCAUUUGUUCUGUAACUGCUGGUCAUUGCGGCAUAUCACGCCUAUAGCACUGACAAAAGUAAAAAGAGAAUCGAAUGAAAUUUGAUAAGUUUUCAGCGGACUACAAAGAUCUUAAGCCAAGCAUAUAUUCCCAUGCAGAUAUUAAGAGGUUUACAAAUCAAUUCAAGUACAAGUUGGGCCAAGGAGCAUACGGAACUAUUUUUAAAGGAAUGCUUUUUUCUGAAUGCUUUGUUGCCAUGAAGUACUUAACAAUGGGCCAUAUUCACCAUGUCAAUGUGGUUCACUUGGUUGGUUUUUGUGCUGAUGGAUUUAGAUGAGCUCUGGUUUAUGAGUUCUUUUCCUUUGGUUCACUCCAGGAUUAUAUUUCAUCAGUAGAUAGAUUUCUUUCCUUGGUUGGCAUAAGUUACAAGAUAUUGCUAUCAGCAUAGCCAAAGGAACCAAGGAUGUGAUCUACAAAUCCUCCAUUUCGAUAUCAAACCCCAUAAUGUUUUGCUCAACCAAAAAAUCACGCCAAAAAUCUCUGAUUUUGGUCUGGCCAAGUUAUGUUCCAAGGAUCAAUCGGCGUGACUAAAGCAAGGGGGACUAUGUGACUAAAGCACCCGAAGUGUUUUCCAGGAAUUUCGGAAAUGUGUCUUACAAGGCAGAUGUCUUGAAUGCUGCUGCUUGAGAUGGUAGGAGAAAAGAAGAAUAUUGGUUCAACCAGAGGACACGACAAAUGAAAUCUACUAUCCAAAAUGGAUUUAUAAUCUUCUAGAGGAAGGAAAUGACCAACAGAUCCCUAUUGAGGAAGAAUGUUAUGGUAAGAUUCCAAAGCAACUUGCAAGUUUAGGGCUCUGGUGCAGCCAGUGACACUCAGUGGAUCGGCGGUCCAUGAAAACGGUGGUUCGGAUGUUAGGAGGAGGAGAAAACUUGAUGAUGCAAGCAACCCUAAAAGCCUCAUACAGUUAGAAGCAAUUGCUGAAUUAGAGUAACAUACGUAUAUGUAUACGCACCAACACAAGUCGUUCUUAGAUGAAUCCAAGCCAAACAAUUACAGACAAUAGUUAUUCACUAAAUCACUUUAAGGCAAGAAUUUAAUUAAUAAUACAUUACUGCACUUUCUUAACCAUUUGACUAUCACCUAGCUGACAAUGAACACGUUAGCUCCGCGUUAGAACAUCUUGGGUUCAAUUCAUUGUCUUGAAUAUCACCCACUGUCACAGGCGUCUUUUGGGGGCAUAGAGAAGGCCUGAGAGGCAUUUGCAGACAUUCAACAUCUCCUCCAAGCAUUUUGACAACUUUGGACAUCGAAGGGCGAUCACUUGGUUUCAUUUGAAUACACCACAAGGCGGUUAUAACCAUCUUUCUUAUUACUUUCUUUUCCUCCUCUGUAACAUUGUCCAUUUCCAAGUCAUUUCCUACAAUAUACUGAUCGUAUACCCACAUUGGGAAGUAGAUUUGGCUUGAAUGCUCUACCGUUGGAUUCAAAUUCCUCCUUCUGCUUGCCAUUUCCAUCAACAACAUUCCAAAACUAUAGACAUCUGACUUAUAUGAGACGCCUCCAAUAUUUUUGUAGAACAACUCAGGAGCAAUAUAUCCCAGUGUACCCCGUGCUGCUGUCAAAGAGACAAUGCUAUUAUCUACAUGAUACAAUUUUGCAAGCCCAAAGUCAGAAACCUUUGCUUUAAAGUUCUCAUCAAGAAGGAUGUUAUGAGGCUUGAUGUCGAAAUGUAGAAUUUGCAUUUCGCAACCUUGGUGUAGAUAUUCGAUCCCUUGAGCCACUCCAAGAGAAAUCUCGUACAUGUUCUUGAUAGUUAAGGGGACACUUCCUUCUUUGGAAUAAAUGUAUUUAUCAAGAGAACCAUUAGGCAUGAAGUCAUAGACUAGAGCGCGUUUUGAUCCCUCAACAUAGUAUCCAACAAGUUGCACCACAUUGGCAUGGUGAAUCCUUCCGAUUGUAGCUAAUUCGCUAAUGAAAUCUUGGCCAUCAGCUUUGGGCUUGGCCAAAACUUUAACUGCUACAAAUCGACCACUGCGUAGCUUUCCCUUAAAUACAGAGCCAAAGCCACCUUUGCCCAACUUGUCCUUAAACUUGCGAGUCAUUUUCUUGACGUCCGAGUAAGAGUACCUUAUAGGCAUGAAGUUGUUAUUGCAUUGCAGAAAAUCUUCUAUUGUGCUAUACAUUGAUAAAUGUCUUCUGCGCCAUGUGUAGAUUAGAAAUGCAGUCACAAUUGGAACUCCAAAAACAAAUCUGGCUAGGAAAAAUAACCCUACAUGCAUUGACAUUAAUAUGUUAGAUCCACUGCGUACUACUUUUUCUUCCCUUUCUUUCCAAAUUACUUUGUCUUUGAUGUAAUUAAAGAGAGAAUGGGAAAUGUACAUAUGUUGAUAAUACAAUCUCGUCUUAGUCCUUACCGAUGCAUAUGAGUAUAAACCAUACACGUACUGCAACAAAAUCAAUCGACUAUGAGUUUGAAAAGUGCAUAAAGUGAAAAAAAAAUAAAAAAAAUCAAAGGGUGCCUUUAUUGACAUCCAAAUUUUAGUUAGUUUUACUCAACUAAAAAAUUUUUGUCAUCAAACUUUUUAAUUUGCCGUCGAAAUUGAGUUCACCCAACCCACAAAGCAGCAACUACCACUCACCAAAAAAACCAACAACACACAGCCACCAGUACCAUUCACCAAUAGAAAGAGAAGGAACACACAGACCCACCAAGGAGCCGGCAUCGACGCGUCUACGAGGGAGGGACCGGAGGGUGGUGUAGUUUUGUUGGGCGCGCGGUAGUGGUUUUGUCUGUUCAUUUUCUCUUUGUUUUGGUAGGUGGAGGCUGGUGUGGAUUUGGGCGAACUUAAAAAUGAGGGGAAACUAUGAAGUUUGACAAAAUGUUUUAGUUAGGUGAACUUCACUAAAAUUUGGGUGCCGAUAAAGAUACCCAAAAUCAAAAGACUAGAUGGACUAAUUAAAUGAAGCUCUUACCCAUAUAUAACGAUGGACGCAACUUGCCAGCUGCUGCAGUACAUACCACGGAAAAGUGAGCAAAGACAUACAGUUACUAGGUUUAAGAAGUACAGAUAGAGCACACAAAAAAUAAAAGAAGCUUUUGGGAAGAAACUUCUUACGCAAAUAGAUUUUUUUCAUGACCUACAGUAAAAAAAUGUCAAGAAGAAUACACAACAUUAGCAAUAGCUCACCCAGUCUUCAAAAUUUAAAAAAUCAAGUUUGUCGAUCGAAAACUUGUAAAUAAAACAAAAAGAGGACCCCUUACCGAUUUGUUGCCAUAGAUAUUGAAAGAAACCUACAAGAACAAAGAAAGAACAAGACCACAUGCAUUAGAAUAACAAGUGUGAGGUGUAUAAGCCGUUAGAAAAUAAAUUUAAAAUUCUAGUGCUGUCAAUACAUUGAUAAUAUAUAUAUAUAUAUAUAUAUAUAUAUAUAUAUGUAUGUAUGUAUUAUUUUUUCUGAAAAUUUAACUUUUCCCGUCCAAACUCAUUUUUCUAGUCUCUAGCCCAACAUAUAAUAUUUAUCUGAAUAAAACCAAAUGAUUAGGAUCCAACUAAGAAACUUACCAAAUUAAGUUUGUGUGUCCAUUUUUAUAUUUUUUGGAUCCCUAAUAUACCCCAUCUAAGCCAGUAUGGAAAGGUCUUGUAAUUUUGCUUUAAGUGAUUACGUGCAUUGAAUUUGGCAAGGUCUUAUAGCCAUGAAAUAUGGUUCUAGAUGGAGGAAUUAAUUUGGAAUUUUUUUUAAUUUCGACAACAAAUUUCAAUUUGAAUAUACCUAAUUUAGUGUUUAUUUUCAACAAUAAAUGUGCCUACUUUUUAAAUUUGUAACAAAAUUAAUUUACCUACUUUUUAUGGUAUUAGUGACACACCCUGUCCCGAAGGAGGGCAUGCUGGCCGUCACGAGAGAGUGACGUAACCAUUUGCACAGUACGGAAGCUUUAAGAUACAAUUUAUAAGUUGAUACACCCGAAGGUGAGUCCUAAUUUUUGUCCAAUCUGUCAGAACACCGUCAAAUUCCUCGUAGUCACCACACCUUUGUGAUUCCUGAACCUGGAGGGGCGCAAAACCAAAAUUGAGUGGGUCAGUAAAACAAUUCUUUUCCAAAUCCAAACAUUUCUCAAAACGUUGUAACCCUCUCCGUAAAACUUGUAUACUUUCCCAGAAAUGUAAAAUAUAAAUAUACAUAUAUAUUCUCAAACUUCAUUUUUACUAUCUCAACAUUUUUCUUUAUCAAACAUGCCAUGCCAUGUCUAAUUCAACAGUUAAGUAUGGAUGCAUCAACAAUAAUCAUAUCAGGUGCAAGAAAGUAAUCAACCGGAGGCCCUCUAAUAGCCCUGUACGGUUGAACCUAGAGCUCAAAAUCUAUCACUCUCACUCUGCCGGGAGUCACCUCUGUGACCUGUCCGGCCUUCUGCACACAAGUUACGCUCUAGUGCUUUCUCAUCAAUCAUCUGUGCACAUAAUCUAAGGUCACCCACCAGUCGAAAUCUCACUAACACUCUUCGACUGGCCCGUCGCACCCACUCCGCGUGGACUGUGCGACCAGCAUCUACUUGGAUCCAAGGCGAGCGUGCGAUGCGGUGAAUACUAUAAGCACUAAACCAUGGUGCAGGAUUUGAGCUCAAUAUAUAUCAACAUCAUCAUAACAGUACUUAAAUACUCACCUGAUACUCACCUGUGCGUCCGCCGCACCAAUUCAUACAUAUGCAUCAUAUUUCAAUUCAUAUCAUUUCAUGCAUGGCAAUUCGAUUCACAUUUCUAUAUACAUUUCAUAUACUUCUAUGCAUGACCUUUCAAUUCACGUUUUCAUAUAAUUCUAUAUACCUUUCAUUUAAAACAUAAUUUCAUUCUAAUUCAAUUUCUGGGAAAACGUCAAGUAUAUAUAUACGGAAAACAAAACUGCCCACUCACCUGGAGUUCGUCCAACAACUCCCUAGCACCACACAUCAAGGCGUCAUGACGAUCGCCGUCUAGAACAGUAAUCAAAUCCAGCCUCAGAAUUCAUAUCGAUAGAACAUAUAACUUAUAUAAAAUAUGUCACUACGUAGAUCGAUCCGGAAGAUCUGCCACUCAGAUUUUAAAUCCAUAACUUCCAGAGGUCCACAAUAUAUCUCUAGGAUAACAUCCUAAAAUUUCAUUACCAUCCAACGGUCGGAUCUCCGUCAAUUUCCAAAACUAAGUGACGGUUAACAUUUUAUUUUAUGAACUUACAAUUCUAAUUCCGGAAGAUCCGUAACUCGGAUUCCCAAUCCGUAAGUUCCAAUAAUCCUCAAAUAUUACGUAUUACAACGUAUCAAAGUUUGGUAACGAUCCAACGGUCGGAUCAUCAAUUCACAUUUUCACCUAAUGCGAAAACUAUAAAACGUUAUUCGAACACCUAACCAACAAUCCUUAAUAACUUUCUCAUACGGUGUUCAAUUUGGGUAUAUGAAUAUACCACAGUGAUCUACUCAUUAAAAUAAUUUUUUACUGUAGCACGCGCCCCCACGCGCCAAGGAAGGCACGGACCUACGCGCCCCCACGCGCACCUUCUUCUUCCUUGGGUCGCCGGACUGGUUUUUCCGGCGGCCGUUUUUCAAAUUGCCAUAACUUUGUCAUUUCUCAACGAAAUCAAGUGAUUCAAAAACGAAAGUUGUAGCCCUUGAAGAGACAAAGAGAAUGGUACCUUGCACAACACCUAGUUCGCCGUGGUUUGGCCGGAAACUGCUUCGAAAGCCUCGGAGGUCGCCAGAAACUGGGUAUUUUUCAAAUCAGUAUAACUUCUUCAAUACUCAACGAAAUUGAGUGAAACAAAAAGGAAAGUUGUAGUACUUGACGAGACGAAGAGAUUGAUACCUACCUCGACUCCUAACUCACCGGAUAUUCGCCGGAAAAUGCCUCGAAAGCUCCGGCCAAACUUUGAACUUGUCGAUCUCCGUGUUCUUACAUCCAAAAACUUCCAACGAAGCACUCCGAGCUUCCUUGGGACCUCACUAAGCUCGCUAUGAUCUUGUUUUAGCCUAAAACGUAGUCAUUUAGAAGAUCAUGAACAAUACCAUUUCACGGGAACUUUGAAACUAGGGUUUUCCGAAGCAAAACUUACCUGAAAUGGAUACCAUCGUGAUCGUGGAGGUUCCAGGAGUUUGAUGGUGGUCUUAACUCUGUCGUUGGUGGAAGUUUAAGGUUGUUUUGUGGUUGGUUUGUUCGAACGGAGAAGAAGAGUGACAGAGAGAGUGAGAGAGUCGUGAGGGAAGAGAGAGAGAGACAGCAUGCAGAAAAUAGGGAGAGGAUUGAGGGGUGUGGGGAUCCCACGUGGUCCUUUUCCAAUCCCCAACUCCAAACCAUAAAAUUUUAACCUAAAAAUCUAAGUUCAAUCCUUAAUAAAUUCCAUUUUAUUUUCAAAACUUAGGAACCUAGAUAAUUAUCAACUUGAGCUUCACAUACUUAGUAUUUCUUAAGGGCAAUUUCGUUCAUUCACAGCCACGAAUGUAAUAUUUUGGAACGGGCUGUGACAAUUAGUAUACAUAAAUGUAGAAUAUAUGUCCGUAUAUAUUUGAUCCAAUUAGUAUUAGGGAGAAUGACAAGUCAUCCAAGUCUGCUACUGUUAAUAAUUCUGUUACUGUAAAUUAACUGAUUGUAUUAGUUGUGAUUAGUUAAGAUAGUUAUAAAGUAGUUAGGGGUAUCUAUGUAAAUAGCCAAAGGCUAUAUAUAUUCCUACACAAUGUGUAAAGUUCUCAGUCAAGUAAAUACAAUCAAGAAAACUUACUGUUGAAGUUUUCUGUUUCUACAUGGUAUCACGCCAUUCCGCUUCACAGCUUCGAUCUUUCUCUUCGCUUGCUGCAUCGAUCGACUCUUGAUCGAUUUUUCUUCUCUGAUCUUCUCUUCGCUUGCUGCAUCGAUCGACUCAUGAUCGAUUUUUCUUCUCUGAUCGUCACUUCUUCCCUUCCGAUCUUGUAGUAUUUUCUUGAUUUCUGUCAGUAAUGGCGGCUCAAUCGACUGGUUCAUCUUCUCCGGUCAUCUCCCCCUCGAGCCCAAACCCUAAUUUUCUCUGGAAACCCUAAUUCCUCUGGAAAUCCGAGUCCUCUGACUUCCUACACUUCUCUCUCACAAUUCAUAACAUCGGCAGCAUGGUGCCGAUCAAGCUCAAAAGAUCCAAUUACCUACCAUGGCGCGCCCUGUUUGGCCCGAUUUUCCGGCGAUACAAGCUUCUUGGAGUAAUCGAUGGUACUGACGUCUGUCCAUCGCCAUUUCUGCCUGAUCGUAGCAUCAAUCCUGCUUUUGAGGACUGGUAUGAGAAAGAUCAAAAUCUUUUUGAUCUGGUUGAAUUCCACACUUUCUGAGGAAAUCAUCCCGUUCACGGUUGGGGUUUCAUCCUCUCGAGAACUUUGGGUAAAGCUUGAACAGCGCUUUGGUGGAAUUUCAGAGGCUCAUAUCCAUCAGUUGCGAUCGCGCCUUCAAUCUGUUCAGAAAGGAUCGCGUUCUAUCUCUGACUAUCUUCAAGAACUCAAGGAAAUUUCAGAUUCUCUGCAAGCUGCUGGUGCUUCUGUCUCUGAUCGAGAUCUUAUCGCCGCCACACUACAUGGCUUGCCUGAUGAAUUUGAGUCUUUCAUCGACUGUAUCAUGCUCCGAUUGUCCUCUACCUCUCUGAUGAACUUCAUGGCCUCCUUCUCACAAAGGAAUUGUCUAUGGCCAGACGCAAAACUGUCAGUUCAUCUCCUGUCCCUGAAUCUUUUCAGGCUUUCUCGGUGCAGUCUCAGCCUCAUCUCCUUCCUACUCCAUCUGCUUUUGCUGCUCAGAAUCUCCCUCUUCAAUCUGCAUCUCGGUUCAACUCUAAUCGUGGCAGGAACACUAAGGGCCAGUUCUUUUCCAAUCGAGGUCAUCGAGGUAAUCGUGGUAAUUUUCCUAAUAAACCGUGGCAAUCGAGGUUAUCAAGGAUUUCGCAGCAAUCAAGGCUCUUCUCACUUCAAAGUGCUUUGUCAAAUCUGUGGUUCUACCAGUCAUGAGGCUAUUGACUGCUUUGAUCGUAUGAAUCCUGACAUCUUGUGGUCGUAUUCCUCCAGCUAAGCUUGCUGCCAUGUGUGCCACAACAUUCUGCUAAACCAUCUCAGCCUUGGUUAAUUGAUUCAGGGGCAACCUCUCAUAUCACUAAUGAUGUUGCUAACCUCACCUCUCCUACUCCCUACACUGGCGAGGAUUAAAGUGUAUAUUGGAGAUGGUAAAGGUUUAUCCAUCCUCAAUGUUGGUUCAUCUACUCUGCACACCUCUCAUAAUUCUUUUCAAUUGCGAAAUGUUUUACAUGUUCCCCACAUAACCCAUAAUCUUAUCUGCUUAUCAGUUUUGUUAAUGAUAAUAAUUGUUCAUUGACACUUGACCCUUAUGGAUCCUAUGUCAAGGAUCGUAUUUCGGGGAAGAUGCUUUUACGGGGACCGGUUAGAGAUGGCUUCUAUCCUCUUCAAAGUUCCAGCAAUCUUCAUCCUCUUUCACAUACCGCUUUACUUAGUAUUAAAGCUCCAGUUACAAUUUGGCACAAGCGUUUGGGUCACCCUUCCUCCUCCAUUUUUAGAAGGCUCCUUUCAUCCAAUAAUCUUGCUUUACAAGGCAAGUCUACUGUGGACUUUUUCUGUUCGGAUUGUGCUCUUGCCAAGAAUCAUAAGCUUCCAUUUAAAGCUGCUACUUCAUCAUCAACUCACAGCCUUCAACUACUGCACUGUGAUCUGUGGGGACCUGCCUCAAUCACAUCAAGUAGUGGUUUUCAAUAUUAUUUGCUCAUUGUUGAUGACUAUAGCAAAUAUAGUUGGUUCUUUCCUUUGAAAUCUAAGUCAGAUGUAUUUUCUACAUUUGUUGUCUUCAAAUCAUAUGUAGAAAAUUCACUUGGAAAUAAAAUAAAGGUUCUGCGUUCAGAUUCAGGGGGUGAAUUUACUAGUCACUCUUUUGCAUCAUAUCUCAGCAAACAUGGCAUUCUUCAUCAGUUCAGUUGUCCCCACACCCCUGAGCAAAAUGGUUGUGCAGAAAGAAAGCACAGGCACCUUGUUGAAAACAGCUCGCACUUUGCUUCUUGCAUUCUCAUGUCCCUCAUAUUUUCUGGGUUGAAGCAUUCUCCACUGCUAUCUAUCUUAUUAAUCGCCUUCCUAUUUCUGGCAUUUCACAGUCCCCUUGGCAGUUGCUAUUUCACAACCAUCCAGACUACUCUAAGCUCAAAGUAUUUGGUUGCCAAUGCUUUCCUUGGCUCAAACCUUACUUUCAUAGCAAAUUGGAUCCCAAGAGCAAAAAGUGUGUUUUCUUGGGGUAUAGUCUUCAACACAAAGGCUAUAGGUGCCUUGAUCCUAUCACCAAUCGCAUCUACAUCUCUCGUCAUGUCUGUAUUCGAUGAAAGUACUUAUCCAUUUCAGUUGUCCCACAUUCAACACUCUUUUCCUGUUCCAAGUCCUCCAUCUUCCUCACCAACAAUUUCUUCCUCUCUGGAUCUUCAUUUUUUAGCAAACACAUUCCUCCUGUUUUCAGUCAGCCAUCUACAUCACCAUUAUGUGCUUCUGUGCCUGUUCCUAUUUCUUCAUCUUCAUCUUCCCCUGCACCUGUCUCAGUUGGCUCUUCUUUCCAGUUUUGUUCCUCCUUCAGCACAUUCAUCUUUCUCCCAAAAUCAACAGAGUCAUCCUCCUGCCCCUGUUAAUUCUCAUCCAAUGAUUACUAGAUCCAAGGCUGGUAUACUCACGUCGAGAGCCUGUGCAGCAACUAAGCACCCACUUCCGGUUGAUAUGGAUUAUGUUCCUACAACAUACUUGCAAGCUUCUAAGCAUGCUCAUUGGAGGCAAGCUAUGCAAGAUGAAUUUAAUGCCUUGCUAACCACUGGUUACUUUGGUCUCUUGUUCCUUCUCACCAUUCUCAAAACUUAGUGGGCUGCAAGUGGGUUUUCCGGAUUAAGAAGAAGCCCGAUGGCACUGUUGACAGAUAUAAAGCCCGGCUUGUGGCCAAGGGUUUUCAUCAACAAGAAGGUAUUGACUUUUCAAGAAAACCUUCAGUCCAGUUGCCAAACCGGUUACAAUUCGGAUCCUUCUUACCCUUUGCUGUGCAAUAUAAUUGGUUUCUCAAUCAAUUGGACAUUAGUAAUGCCUUUCUUCAUGGAGACUUAAAGAGAGGAUGUCUACAUGCAACAACCCCCUGGUUUUGUUGAUCCCUUUACCCUACAUUUUGUAAGUUGAGGAAAUCGUUGUAUGGUCUCAAACAAGCUCCUCGAGCUUGGUUUGAUAAACUGUUCCAAGCUCUUCCUCUCUUGGAUUCACCCAAUCAUCCUCAGAUGCUUCUUUAUUUGUUCUCAAUGGUCCUCAGUUUAGUCAUUGUCCUUGUCUAUGUUGAUGACAUUCUUGUCACCGGACCCUAUCCUUACCUCUGUCAACACUUCAUUCAGCAACUUGGGGCUCAAUUUCCAGUAAAAGACCUUGGUCCUCUUCAUUAUUUCUUGGGAUUAGAAGUACAUCGAUCUUCCCAGGGUAUAUUUCUCCAUCAAACAAAGUACUUAUUGGAUCUUCUCAAGAAAACAAAUAUGGAGGGUGCAAAACCUUGUUGUACUCCCCUUGGCUCUAAGAAAUUAGAUCACAGUGGCCCUCUUCUGUCCAAUCCUACUGAAUAUCGCUCCAUUGUUGGUGGUUUACAAUAUCUUACUUGGACUAGACCCGACCUUGCUUUUGCUGUGAACCAAAUCUGCCAAUUCAUGCAUGCUCCCAGGGAACAACAUCUCCAGGCAGCAAAAAGGGUUCUCAGAUUUCUCAAAGGCUCUAUCUCACAUGGUGUGUGGUUCACUAAAGGCCCUGUCCAUCUUUCUGCCUACUCGGAUGCCGACUGGGCUGGUUGCACAAUUGACAGGAGAUCAACCACUGGUUAUUGUGUAUUUUUGGGUUCCAAUCUUAUCAGCUGGAGUGCCAAGAAGCAAAGUACUGUUGCCAAGGUCCUCUACAGAGGCUGAAUAUCGCUCCUUAGCUCACACAGCUGCUGAGAUAACUUGGGUUUGCAGAUUCUCAAAGAUCUGCACUAUCCUCUCUCUUACAUUCCCUACUUUUGGUGUGACAACAUAUCAGCAAUAUCUUUAGCAUCUAAUCCUGUCUUUCAUGCUCGAACAAAGCAUGUUGAGAUCGAUUAUCNGAAGUUUUCUGUUUUCUACAUGGUAUCACGCCAUUCCGCUUCACAGCUUCGAUCUUUCUCUUCGCUUGCUGCAUCGAUCGACUCUUGAUCGAUUUUUCUUCUCUGAUCUUCUCUUCGCUUGCUGCAUCGAUCGACUCAUGAUCGAUUUUUCUUCUCUGAUCGUCACUUCUUCCCUUCCGAUCUUGUAGUAUUUCUUGAUUUCUGUCAGUAAUGGCGGCUCAAUCGACUGGUUCAUCUUCUCCGGUCAUCUCCCCCUCGAGCCCAAACCCUAAUUUCUCUGGAAACCCUAAUUCCUCUGGAAAUCCGAGUCCUCUGGACUUCCUACACUUCUCUCACAAUUCAUAACAUCGGCAGCAUGGUGCCGAUCAAGCUCAAAAGAUCCAAUUACCUACCAUGGCGCGGCCCUGUUUGGCCCGAUUUUCCGGCGAUACAAGCUUCUUGGAGUAAUCGAUGGUACUGACGUCUGUCCAUCGCCAUUUCUGCCUGAUCGUAGCAUCAAUCCUGCUUUUGAGGACUGGUAUGAGAAAGAUCAAAAUCUUUUGAUCUGGUUGAAUUCCACACUUUCUGAGGAAAUCAUCCCGUUCACGGUUGGGGUUUCAUCCUCUCGAGAACUUUGGGUAAAGCUUGAACACAGCGCUUUGGUGGAAUUUCAGAGGCUCAUAUCCAUCAGUUGCGAUCGCGCCUUCAAUCUGUUCAGAAAGGAUCGCGUUCUAUCUCUGACUAUCUUCAAGAACUCAAGGAAAUUUCAGAUUCUCUGCAAGCUGCUGGUGCUUCUGUCUCUGAUCGAGAUCUUAUCGCCGCCACACUACAUGGCUUGCCUGAUGAAUUUGAGUCUUUCAUCGACUGUAUCAUGCUCCGAUUGUCCUCUACCUCUCUUGAUGAACUUCAUGGCCUCCUUCUCACAAAGGAAUUGUCUAUGGCCAGACGCAAAAACUGUCAGUUCAUCUUCCUGUCCCUGAAUCUUUUCAGGCUUUCUCGGUGCAGUCUCAGCCUCAUCUCCUUCCUACUCCAUCUGCUUUUGCUGCUCAGAAUCUCCCUCUUCAAUCUGCAUCUCGGUUCAACUCUAAUCGUGGCAGGAACACUAAGGGCCAGUUCUUUUCCAAUCGAGGUCAUCGAGGUAAUCGUGGUAAUUUUCCUAAUAACCGUGGCAAUCGAGGUUAUCAAGGAUUUCGCAGCAAUCAAGGCUCUUCUCACUUCAAAGUGCUUUGUCAAAUCUGUGGUUCUACCAGUCAUGAGGCUAUUGACUGCUUUGAUCGUAUGAAUCCUGACAUCUGUGGUCGUAUUCCUCCAGCUAAGCUUGCUGCCAUGUGUGCACAACAUUCUGCUAAACCAUCUCAGCCUUGGUUAAUUGAUUCAGGGGCAACCUCUCAUAUCACUAAUGAUGUUGCUAACCUCACCUCUCCUACUCCCUACACUGGCGAGGAUAAAGUGUAUAUUGGAGAUGGUAAAGGUUUAUCCAUCCUCAAUGUUGGUUCAUCUACUCUGCACACCUCUCAUAAUUCUUUUCAAUUGCGAAAUGUUUUACAUGUUCCCCACAUAACCCAUAAUCUCUUAUCUGCUUAUCAGUUUGUUAAUGAUAAUAAUUGUUCAUUGACACUUGACCCUUAUGGAUCCUAUGUCAAGGAUCGUAUUUCGGGGAAGAUGCUUUUACGGGGACCGGUUAGAGAUGGCUUCUAUCCUCUUCAAAGUUCCAGCAAUCUUCAUCCUCUUUCACAUACCGCUUUACUUAGUAUUAAAGCUCCAGUUACAAUUUGGCACAAGCGUUUGGGUCACCCUUCCUCCUCCAUUUUUAGAAGGCUCCUUUCAUCCAAUAAUCUUGCUUUACAAGGCAAGUCUACUGUGGACUUUUUCUGUUCGGAUUGUGCUCUUGCCAAGAAUCAUAAGCUUCCAUUUAAAGCUGCUACUUCAUCAUCAACUCACAGCCUUCAACUACUGCACUGUGAUCUGUGGGGACCUGCCUCAAUCACAUCAAGUAGUGGUUUUCAAUAUUUAUUUGCUCAUUGUUGAUGACUAUAGCAAAUAUAGUUGGUUCUUUCCUUUGAAAUCUAAGUCAGAUGUAUUUUCUACAUUUGUUGUCUUCAAAUCAUAUGUAGAAAAUUCACUUGGAAAUAAAAUAAAGGUUCUGCGUUCAGAUUCAGGGGGUGAAUUUACUAGUCACUCUUUUGCAUCAUAUCUCAGCAAACAUGGCAUUCUUCAUCAGUUCAGUUGUCCCCACACCCCUGAGCAAAAUGGUUGUGCAGAAAGAAAGCACAGGCACCUUGUUGAAACAGCUCGCACUUUGCUUCUUGCAUCUCAUGUCCCUCAUAUUUUCUGGGUUGAAGCAUUCUCCACUGCUAUCUAUCUUAUUAAUCGCCUUCCUAUUUCUGGCAUUUCACAGUCCCCUUGGCAGUUGCUAUUUCACAACCAUCCAGACUACUCUAAGCUCAAAGUAUUUGGUUGCCAAUGCUUUCCUUGGCUCAAACCUUACUUUCAUAGCAAAUUGGAUCCCAAGAGCAAAAAGUGUGUUUUCUUGGGGUAUAGUCUUCAACACAAAGGCUAUAGGUGCCUUGAUCCUAUCACCAAUCGCAUCUACAUCUCUCGUCAUGUUGUAUUCGAUGAAAGUACUUAUCCAUUUCAGUUGUCCCACAUUCAACACUCUUUUCCUGUUCCAAGUCCUCCAUCUUCCUCACCAACAAUUUCUUCCUCUCUGGAUCUUCAUUUUAGCAAACACAUUCCUCCUGUUUUCAGUCAGCCAUCUACAUCACCAUUAUGUGCUUCUGUGCCUGUUCCUAUUUCUUCAUCUUCAUCUUCCCCUGCACCUGUCUCAGUUGGCUCUUCUUCCAGUUUUGUUCCUCCUUCAGCACAUUCAUCUUUCUCCCAAAAUCAACAGAGUCAUCCUCCUGCCCCUGUUAAUUCUCAUCCAAUGAUUACUAGAUCCAAGGCUGGUAUACUCACGUCGAGAGCCUGUGCAGCAACUAAGCACCCACUUCCGGUUGAUAUGGAUUAUGUUCCUACAACAUACUUUGCAAGCUUCUAAAGCAUGCUCAUUGGAGGCAAGCUAUGCAAGAUGAAUUUAAUGCCUUGCUAACCACUGGUUACUUGGUCUCUUGUUCCUUCUCACCAUUCUCAAAACUUAGUGGGCUGCAAGUGGGUUUUCCGGAUUAAGAAGAAGCCCGAUGGCACUGUUGACAGAUAUAAAGCCCGGCUUGUGGCCAAGGGUUUUCAUCAACAAGAAGGUAUUGACUUUCAAGAAAACCUUCAGUCCAGUUGCCAAACCGGUUACAAUUCGGAUCCUUCUUACCCUUGCUGUGCAAUAUAAUUGGUUUCUCAAUCAAUUGGACAUUAGUAAUGCCUUUCUUCAUGGAGACUUAAAGGAGGAUGUCUACAUGCAACAACCCCCUGGUUUUGUUGAUCCCUUACACCCUACAUCUGUUUGUAAGUUGAGGAAAUCGUUGUAUGGUCUCAAACAAGCUCCUCGAGCUUGGUUUGAUAAACUGUUCCAAGCUCUUCACUCUCUUGGAUUCACCCAAUCAUCCUCAGAUGCUUCUUUAUUUGUUCUCAAUGGUCCUCAGUUUAGUCAUUGUCCUUGUCUAUGUUGAUGACAUUCUUGUCACCGGACCCUAUCCUUACCUCUGUCAACACUUCAUUCAGCAACUUGGGGCUCAAUUUCCAGUAAAAGACCUUGGUCCUCUUCAUUAUUUCUUGGGAUUAGAAGUACAUCGAUCUUCCCAGGGUAUAUUUCUCCAUCAAACAAAGUACUUAUUGGAUCUUCUCAAGAAAACAAAUAUGGAGGGUGCAAAACCUUGUUGUACUCCCCUUGGCUCUAAGAAAUUAGAUCACAGUGGCCCUCUUCUGUCCAAUCCUACUGAAUAUCGCUCCAUUGUUGGUGGUUUACAAUAUCUUACUUGGACUAGACCCGACCUUUGCUUUUGCUGUGAACCAAAUCUGCCAAUUCAUGCAUGCUCCCAGGGAACAACAUCUCCAGGCAGCAAAAAGGGUUCUCAGAUUUCUCAAAGGCUCUAUCUCACAUGGUGUGUGGUUCACUAAAGGCCCUGUCCAUCUUUCUGCCUACUCGGAUGCCGACUGGGCUGGUUGCACAAUUGACAGGAGAUCAACCACUGGUUAUUGUGUAUUUUUGGGUUCCAAUCUUAUCAGCUGGAGUGCCAAGAAGCAAAGUACUGUUGCAAGGUCCUCUACAGAGGCUGAAUAUCGCUCCUUAGCUCACACAGCUGCUGAGAUAACUUGGGUUUGCAAGAUUCUCAAAGAUCUGCACUAUCCUCUCUCUACAUUCCCUACUCUUUGGUGUGACAACAUAUCAGCAAUAUCUUUAGCAUCUAAUCCUGUCUUUCAUGCUCGAACAAAGCAUGUUGAGAUCGAUUAUCACUAUAUUAGAGAAUUGGUUUUGGCUCAACUUCUCAAAGUCAAGUUCAUCUGCAGUGAAGACCAAUUAGCUGAUCUUCACACCAAGUCUCUGUCUAAAACCAGAUUUAAUUAUCUGUGUUCCAAGCUUCCCAUUGGUCUCAUUUCUGAUCCCCCUUCUCGCUUGAGGGGGUGUAUUAGGGAGAAUGACAAGUCAUCCAAGUCUGCUACUGUUAAUAAUUCUGUUACUGUAAAUUAACUGAUUGUAUUAGUUGUGAUUAGUUAAGAUAGUUAUAAAGUAGUUAGGGGUAUCUAUGUAAAUAGCCAAAGGCUAUAUAUAUUCCUACACAAUGUGUAAAGUUCUCAGUCAAGUAAAUACAAUCAAGAAAACUUACUGUUGAAGUUUUCUGUUUCUACAGGUUUUGGAUUGGAGGAGUUGACACAAAAUUAUAAAUAUAUUAAACAAAUUUAUCUAUUCUAAAGUUGGAGGGAAAUUGGCCUGUACAUUGCUACAGUAAUUUUUUUUUACCCAAUUUCACGUUAUUUACAACAAAGCUAUCAGAUUUGGGUUGGGUUGGAGGGUAAUUUGUUAAAAGUUAGGAGGGUAAUUUUGUGCAUAGGGUUUAGGUGCCCUCCUAUACAUGACCCUUGAUUUUACUUUAUUUACACCACUGCCAUCAAAUAUGUGGCUGAAUUGGAGGGUAUUAUUAAAAGUUAGGAGGGUAGUUUGUUCAAGGGGUGAGGGCGACAUUCGCAGACAGAGAGCGAUGGGAGCCAUGGCCAUUGCACAGAGAGAAAGGGAGUGAUGGGGGAAAUUACAGACAGAAAAGGAAGGGAUGGGGGGGAUUUGAUGGAUGGUCACAGAGAGAGAUUGGGUGAGGGAUGUGAGAGGAGAUUACAGAGAGAUAAAUAAAAGGGAGGGAUCGGGGGAUGUGAGGGAUGGUCAGGGAGAGAAAUAGUGAGGGAGGGAGGGAUGGGGGGGCUGAUUUUCGGUUCCUCCUUCCAGAUUUGUUCCGUAAAAACCUGUUGGGUAGAAUUCAAUUUCCUCCCCCUUUCCCCUGAACGAAAAAUUCGAAACCUACAACUCAAAACUCACUCAUUUGUCGUCCCUCCUUGGCUUUCCGCUUUACUCAUCUCCCGGUGGUUCUCUCUCCAUACGAUUCCAUUUCGGUGAGUUCUUCGUUGCCCUCAUGAUUUCCCACUUUUAUUUUUGGGGCGUCCUUAGUCGUCGUUUUUAUCUGGGUUUACUGCAUUGUUGCUUUUAGUUUCUGGAUUUUUAUUUUUUUGGCACUUGGAUGAAUCGUGGUUAAUAAUUUCACAUCAUGGGAUUUUCGCACUUCUGAUGGAAUUGAGCGCGGGGAUUCGGGGUGGGGUUUUACUGAUAAUUUGUCUUCAUUCAAACGAAGGGUUAAAAUUUAUGAGUAUUAACAAAUUUUGUAAAUUAUUCUUAUACAUUUUAUUGAGGGAUCUAAUCGAUUUCUUUCUGUAGUGGGAUUGAAAUUGGGGCUUUGUGGUACUCUCUCUCGCUCACUCUCUCUCCUAUGUGUAUGAAUUGAGUUCUGCAGUGAGUUUGCAGGUGGGCGCGUUCACUAACUAAGCUUUCAAGGGAACCGAUCAACGGUUUGCUUGCUGGGGGAAUUCGGAGACUACCAGUGUAUGAUUUAGUUAUCAUUAAUUUUUUUACUUAAUUUUAUCCAUAUAUAAUAUGUGGGUAAAUUUAGAGGUCGCACUUGGUGCGAUGGCAAGUUCCUUCGCCCAUGAGCGGUAGGUCUCGGGUUCGAGACUUGGGAGCAGCCUCUCCAUAAAUGGGGGUAAGGCUAGCCGACAUUUACCUCUCCCAGACCCUGCGUAAAGCGGGAGCCUUGUGCACUGGGUACGAUCUUUUAUAAUAUGUGGGUAAAUUUAUACUAAACAAUUGUGAUAAGCCAAUAUGCUAUACGACUUUGAAAGCAUUGAUUUUGUGUUUAGUUUGCAUUUUUGCAUUGUGAAUGUUGAAUUUUGUGUUUAAUUUGGAUUUUUGUGUUUGAAUUUGUAGCAUGAUCUUCCGCUGCAGCAUCCAAAUUUUGCAUUUGUAAAUUGUCAAAGAAAAACGAAGUAUGAGGAAAUUAUAGGAGAUUGUGUCGGCUUUGGCCAUGAAGGGUAUCAGCAGCUUGUUCCCCCAUACAGGUGAUUAAUCGCAGUCUGUUCUAUUUGGAUGAGAAAGUGAUUGAAAAAUAUGAUUUUUUAUUUGUUGGUUGAUUUUGUAUAACUCCGCCGUGUAAGUUUAUCUUACAUUGCCGGUCCCAAGCCCGGAUAAAGGAGGAGGGGGAGGGCGUCAGGUAGUCGACAGCUGGCACUCCAUGAUCACGUCGAAUCCUUAUGAAAAUGAAUCCAGAACGAAAUCGCGCUAAAGCUAGGGCGUCACCCAUAAGUGGCGCGCUGUGUGGCCCGAGCACAGUGAUAAGUGAGCAAGGGUCGUUGUAUCUCCAUCGGCACCCGGAUGCAGUGUUAAAUGAGCAAGGGGCUAUAGAAACUUCUUUUCGAACGACUCCACUCAAAGUUGUUUGGGAGCAUAUGCUCCUAUCAACUUUACACGGGACACACAAAAGAAGUACUUUGAUCCUAUUAGACGGGGAAGGGUGAAGAAGCUAGGACAGAAGGGUAGAGUUCAAGAGAGCAAAAUGCGUUUAGGAACGUGGAAUAUAGGAACCUUGAACGGGAAAAUCUAUGGAAGUAGUAGAAGUUAUGGUGAGGAGAAGGAUAAAUAUUAUGUGCCUACAAGAAACUAAGUGGGUUGGUCGUAAGGCAAAGGAUCUAGAAAACUCAGGGUUUAAACUAUGGUAUUCGGGCACAAAUAGAACGAGAAACGGUGUUGGCAUCAUCGUGGACAAGACCUUGACACAAGAUGUUGUAGAUGUCAAGAGGGUAGGAGAUAGAAUCAUGGCAAUCAAGAUUGUAAUAGGACAAGAACUUAUCAAUGUGAUUAGUGCGUACGCACCUCAAGUAGGGUUGGAUACGAGUUCGAAGGAGAAAUUUUGGGAAGACCUUGGAGACUUGGUGCAAGGAAUUGCUCAGACGGAGAAGUUAUUUAUAGGAGGAGAUUUAAAUGGACACGUGGGCAGGGAGACAGGCAACUAUGGAGGUUUUCAUGGUGGCCAUGGUUUUGGGGAGAGAAACGAGGAUGGGGAAGCUAUCUUGGAUUUUGCAAUGGCAUAUGAUCUCUUCUUAGCCAACACCUUCUUUAAGAAGAGAGAAGAACAUGUGAUCACCUACAAGAGUGGGUCGUCAAAAACACAAAUAGAUUUUCUUCUAAUGAGGAAAGGGGAUCGUAUAACUUGUAAGGAUUGCAAAGUUAUACCAGGAGAGAGCGUGGCUAAUCAACAUCGCUUGUUGGUGAUGGAUGUACAUAUCAAAAGAGUGAGAAAAAAGAACAAGACUUGGAAGUGCCCAAGGACUAGAUGGUGGAAUCUAAAAGAAGAAAAACAAGCCAUUUUCAAAGAGAAAGUAAUCACCCAGUGUGUGUGGGAUAGAGAGGGGGAAGCUAACCAAAUGUGGGAUUCCAUGGCUAGUUGUAUCCGAAAAGUAGCAAAAGAGGUAUUAGGAGAGUCCAAGGGCUUUGCCCCACACCAAAAGGAAUCUUGGUGGUGGAAUGAGGAGGUACAAACAAAGGUGAAGGCUAAGAAGGAAUGUUGUAAAGCCUUAUACAAGGAUAGGACCGAUGAAAAUGGUGAAAGGUAUAGAAAAGCGAAGCAAGAGGCGAAGAAAGCUGUGAGAGAAGCUAAGUUAGCGGCUUAUGACGAUAUGUAUAAGCGACUAGAUACCAAAGAAGGAGAGUUGGAUAUCUAUAAACUAGCUAGAGCAAGGGAAAAGAAGACAAGGGACCUAAACCAAGUGAGGUGCAUCAAGGAUGAGGAUGGAAAGGUUCUUGCUACAGAGAACGCGGUUAAAGACAGAUGGAAAGGUUAUUUUCAUAAUCUUUUCAAUGAAGGACAUGAAAGGAGUGCUUCUUUAGGGGAGUUGAGUAACUCAGAAGAGUGUAGAAACUACUCUUUUUAUCGUAGAAUCCGGAAGGAAGAAGUGGUUGUAGCUUUGAAGAAGAUGAAGCAUAGAAAAGCAGUAGGCCCAGACGAUAUACCAAUCGAAGUGUGGAAAGUUUUGGGAGAGACAGGUAUAACAUGGCUCACUGACCUUUUCAAUAGGAUUUUGAAAACGAAGAAGAUGCCAAAUGAGUGGCGAACGAGCACUUUGGUGCCUAUCUACAAGAAUAAGGGCGAUGUACAAAAUUGCAUGAACUAUAGGGGUAUUAAGCUAAUGAGUCAUACAAUGAAGCUCUGGGAGAGAGUCAUUGAGCAUAGAUUGAGGCAAGAGACACGGGUUUCGGACAACCAAUUCGGGUUCAUGCCAGGGCGCUCAACCAUGGAGGCAAUCUAUCUCUUACGAAGAUUGAUGGAAAGAUAUAGAGAUGGGAAAAAGGAUUUACACAUGGUCUUUAUAGAUUUGGAAAAAGCGUAUGAUAGGGUCCCAAGAGACAUUCUUUGGAGGAUUUUAGAGAAGAAAGGAGUACGAGUAGCAUAUAUCCAAGCUAUACAGGAUAUGUAUGAAGGAGCAAAGACUGCCGUAAGAACUCAUGAAGGACAAACCGAAAGCUUUCCCAUAACUGUAGGAUUACAUCAAGGCUCAUCCUUAAGUCCUUACCUUUUUGCGUUGGUAAUGGAUGAGUUAACAGGACAUAUUCAAGAUGAUAUUCCUUGGUGUAUGCUUUUCGCAGACGAUAUAGUGUUGAUAGAUGAAACUCAGGAAGGGGUAAAUGCAAAGCUUAACCUUUGGAGAGAAGUGUUGGAAUCUAAAGGUCUUCGCCUAAGCCGAUCAAAGACAGAAUAUAUGGAGUGCAAGUUCAGUGCAAAUGGAGGCCAAAACGAGUUAGGGGUGAGGAUCGGAGAUCAAGAAAAUACCAAAGAGCGACCGUUUUCGUUACCUAGGAUCUAUCUUGCAAAAGAACGGAGAAUUAGAUGGAGAUCUCAACCAUAGAAUACAAGCUGGAUGGAUGAAGUGGAAGAGUGCAUCCGGCGUGUUGUGUGACCGCCGUAUGCCACUGAAGCUCAAGGGAAAAUUUUAUAGGACGGCAAUAAGGCCGGCGAUGCUGUAUGGCACAGAAUGUUGGGCGGUGAAGCAUCAACACGUACACAAAAUGGGUGUAGCGGAGAUGAGGAUGCUUCGUUGGAUGUGUGGGCACACGAGAAAGGAUAAGAUUAGGAAUGAGGAUAUCCGGGGUAAAGUAGGAGUAGCCGAAAUUGAAGGAAAGAUGAGAGAAAAUCGGUUACGGUGGUUUGGACAUGUGCAAAGAAGGCCUACUGACGCUCCGAUUAGAAGAUGCGACUAUGGGACAGAGGUUCAGGGCCGAAGGGGUAGAGGAAGACCUAGGAAAACUUUGGAAGAGACCCUAAGAAAAGACUUAGAGUACUUGGAUCUAACGGAGGACAUGACACAGGACAGAACACAAUGGCGUUCUAAGAUUCAUAUAGCCGAUCCCACUCAGUGACUUGGAUUUUCCAAGUCUCCAACCGAGAAGUUUUCCUCACUCGGGAAAUUAAGGGAACACUACCUCAACCUACAUGCUCCACUCACAAAGCUUCAACAUACAAGCUUCAACAAAAGAAAAUUCAAAGAACUUAGCGAAGAAGGCUUUGGUGUAUUUAACACAAUACGUUGAAAUGAAGGAAAGCUUAUUUAUUGAUAUCCCCGAUAAGUUACAAAUAUGUACAUAUACUUGAGUCAAAAUAAACAAACAAGAGGGAGCCUUCACAAAGGUUGCUUAGGAGAAGUCUCAGCAGUCGGUAGAGCCCCAGAAAGAGAAGGCACCGGAGGGGGAUCAUUCGGAGCCUCAGUACUGGACAGAACCCUAGAAGGAGGAGGCAUCAGAGGUUGAUCAUUUGGAGCUUCAUUACGCGGUACAGCCCCAGAAGACGAAGGCAAUAAAUGCCUUUGGAACAAACCCACAAAUCUCUGAUGAUCAAGUAAAACCUGACCAUCAGAUUCCUUCAUCUGGUCAAGCUUCCUCUUCAUGUUUGUAGCAUAGUCAUGUGCGAGCCGGUGCAACUGUUUAUUCUCAUGCUUGAGCCCUCUAAUCUCCUGUUUGAGACUCAUCACUUCAGCCGCCAAUGAUUCAACUUGGCGGGUUCGAGCAAAUAGGCGUUGGGCCAUAUUAGACACAGAACCUGCACACUGAACACUGAGAGCCAGAGAAUCCUUAACAGCCAACUCAUCAGACCGUUUGGAAAGUAGUCUGUUAUCUUUGGGAGUGAGAAGGUUCCUGGCCACUACCGCAGCGGUCAUAUCAUUCUUCAUCACGGAAUCCCCAACGGUAAGAGGACCAGUAGGGGAGACGAAGGAUGGGCGCCAUAUGUUGUCUGGAGAAGGCGGGGCUGCCUCUUCAACAAGGUUCAAGUCAAAACGACGGUCGGAGGGGCCAGACAUUUUCAAAGGUGUUGAAGAGAGAAGAGGUCGGACAAAUCAAGAUCUUAGAAGUGCAAGAAUGGAGCUUCUACUGGUGGAUAUUCAAGUGUGCUUUGGAACUUAAUGUCAGCCCCUAUAAAAAUCUGCACUCGACGAAGCUUCAGAAAUCGAAGAGGCGCCUGCUCAGAAAUCGAAGAGGCGUUUGCUUUCUCAAAAGCUGGGCUGCUCAGAGACCACGAGGGUCGAUCUCAGAAAUCGAAGAGGCGUUUGCUUUCUCAAAAGCUGGGCUGCUCAAAGACCACGAAGGCCGAUCUCAGAAAUCGAAGAGGCUUGCUUUCUCAAAAGCUGGGCUGCUCAGAGACCACGAGGGCCGAUCUCAGAAAUCGAAGAGGCACCUACUUUUCCAGCCUUGUCAGCACCUGUCACACGCACACUCAGCUUUGCGGAAAUUAUGGGCAUUCUGUCGAAGAUUUCUGGCGAAGUAGAAAGCACAUGAAUCGUACUGUUCAAUCACCCACUUCCCACACGCAACAGUAGCUCAUGGGUACCACAGAUAACUUUGCCAAAGUUCUCUGACAAAGUUGAGACACGUGAAGCUUGCAGCUCCCACUACAUCGCUCUGACCAAGAAGGGUAAAAGAAUUAGCAAAGAAACAACACUAACAAAGUUUAGACACAUAAAUUUUGAAGGUCUAGCUACCAUAUUAUUACCCACAAGGGUAAAGGAACAGUACCACUGCUGGAUAAUUGGAAAGUCCCGGUGUGUCAACCUCUGUGCUUCGUGGCAAGGUAGACUAGCAAACAUGCCCAACCUUUACUCACAUUCGAGAAAACACUCCCAACAAGAUUGCUUGCUCCAAAAUCGAAGAGGCACCGCCCUCCGAAUCUCGAGAGCCAGACUCCCAACAUGAUUACUUUCUCAAAAAUCGAAGAGAGGGUAAAGGAACAGUACCACUGCUGGAUAAUUGGAAAGUCCCUGUGUGUCAACCUCUGUGCUUCGUGGCAAGGUAGACUAGCAAACAUGCCCAACCUUUACUCACAUUCGAGAAAACACUCCCAACAAGAUUGCUUGCUCCAAAAUCGAAGAGGCACCGCCCCUCCGAAUCUCGAGAGCCAGACUCCCAACAUGAUUACUUUCUCAAAAAUCGAAGAGAGGGUAAAGGAACAGUACCACUGCUGGAUAAUUGGAAAGUCCCUGUGUGUCAACCUCUGUGCUUCGUGGCAAGGUAGACUAGCAAACAUGCCCAACCUUUACUCACAUUCGAGAAAACACUCCCAACAAGAUUGCUUGCUCCAAAAUCGAAGAGGCACCGCCCUCCGAAUCUCGAGAGCCAGACUCCCAACAUGAUUACUUUCUCAAAAAAUCGAAGAGACACCGCUCUCCGAAUCUCGAGAGCCAGACCCCCAGCAGGAUUGCUUUCUCAAAAAUCGAAGAGGCAUCGUUCUCCGAAUCUCGAGAGCCAGAUCCCCGACAGGAUUGCUUGUUCGAAAACCGAAGAGGCACCACUUUCCCAACUUCAAGAGCUGGAUCUCCUUGGAUAAAGCUUGUCUGUAAUCUUCACACGCAACAUCAGCUUUCCAGAUACCACAGACCACUUUUUCAAAGUGCUCUGACAGAGUUAAAACAUGUGAAGCUGGCAGCUCCCACUACCGUGCUAUGACCAAGCAGGGUAAAGGAAUAGCAUUAUUACUUGAUGUUAGGGAGACUCCUAUAUAUGUCGACCUCCAUCCCCAACGGACAGGCAGACCUGCAAAAAUGCUCAACCCUUCCUCUUAUCUGAGAGGGCACUCCCAACGAAGCCUUUCGAAAUAUUCAGCUUUCUUUCCCCCCGAUAAUACCUCUGUAAACAAGCUAUACUAGAGCAAGAAUAUCUCAUAUCAUCAGGGUUAAAAGCAAGAGUAUCCCAUAUCAUGCUUUUUCCCUGUCUUUUCCUUUGGCCUUGUUCUUACCUGCAAGACAAGGAGAAAGAGAGCAAUCAGUCAGCACUUGGAAUCAAGCUUCCAGCCAGGAACUGACUGCCUGGAACCCCUUACCUGAUUACUUACCUGGCAUUGCUCUCGAGUACUCAUCUUCAACAUCUUAUGCUUCCAGGGAAGAUACCGCAUCUGCCUGAGGAACAGAUAGGGCAAGUGAGAAGGAUACAAGGAAGCAUGUGGAGACAAGCGUAACAGCACACGUGCCGAUACAUCCAUUACUCUGUCAAAAGCAAAAGUAUCCCAUAUCAGCAGGGUCGAACGUACUCUAGAUUUGAUGGACUUGUUUUGACCCUCAAAUUCUUCAGUCGGCCUUAUACUCUGGAGGAAACCAGAAAACCCUCCAGCCCAGUUCAAGAAUAAGCCUGUGGAAAGUUACUUCUUCAAAAGCAAAAGUAUCCCAUAUCAUCUCUUCUCAUUUUUCUUCUCUUUAUCCUUCAUGCUGCCUGCAAGAUAGGGAGAAUGUGAACAAUCAGCCGGAGCUCUGAUUGCUUACCUUGUCUGUCACCUCUUUCAGCAGAUCCCCUAGCUCGGCGACUUGGGGGACUCCUACUACAUGGUUUGUAUCGCGCUUGACCAAGCCUGAAACUACAAGUAAGCUUCAAGUGACAAUUGAUACAUUACCUUGUGCAUCUCCACCAGUUACAGAUACCACCCCUGGAUGGAGGAAGAGUACUUCCAGAGAAGAUGCCACAUCUACCUAUGAGACAGAUAAGGAAAGUCAAGACGAUACCACACUCCGGUACUUAGAAGUUUCGUGGUUACGAGAUCAUUCUCCCACAAUAUUUCCUAAUGUCAUUUGUACUAAAUCAUUCACUUGUACUCACUAAAGGAGAGCUUGAACCUAUGUACUUGUGUAAACCCUUCACAAUUAAUGAGAACUCCUCUAUUCCGUGGACGUAGCCAAUCUGGGUGAACCACGUACAUCUUGUGUUUGCUUUCCUAUCUCUAUCCAUUUAUAUACUUAUCCACACACUAAUGACCGGAGCAAUCUAGCGAAGAUCACAAAAAAGUGACCGUUUUCGCUACCUAGGAUCUAUCUUGCAAGAGAACGGAGAAUUAGAUGGAGAUCUCAACCAUAGAAUACAAGCUGGAUGGAUGAAGUGUAAGAGUGCAUCCGGCGUGUUGUGUGACCGUCGUAGGCCACUGAAGCUCAAGGGAAAAUUUUAUAGGACGGCAAUAAGGCCAGCGAUGUUGUAUGGCACAGAAUGUUGGGCGGUGAAGCAUCAACACGUACACAAAAUGGGUGUAGCGGAGAUGAGGAUGCUUCGUGGGAUGUAUGGGCACACGAGAAAUGAUAAGAUUGGGAAUGAGGAUAUCCGAGGUAAAGUAGGAGUAGCCAAAAUUGAAGGAAAUAUGAGAGAAAAUCGGUUCUGGUGGUUUGGACAUAUGCAAAGAAGGCCUACUGACGCUCCGGUUCGAAAAUGUGACUACUGGACAGAGGUUCAGGACCGAAGGGGUAGAGGAAGACCUAGAAAAACUUUGGAAGAGACCCUAAGAAAAGACUUGAGUACUUGGAUCUAACGGAGGACAUGACACAAAACCGAGCGCAAUGGCGUUCUAGGAUUCAUAUAGCCGACCCCACUUAGUGGGAAAAGGCUUUGUUGUUGUUGUUGUUGGUUGAUUUUGUAUGGACGAUGUAUUAAUUUUUUUUUUUUUUUGGGAUUUUGUGUAUUGGGUAUUGUGUAGAACCAGCAAUGCAGGAUCUGAUCAGUCACGCCCGAAAAGGGGUUUGUUUCUCAAAUCACAUUAAUUAAUUAGAUUAUUAAUGUGCGUUGGAAGGCUCUUCAAUAUGAUUUCUAAUUUCUCCUUUCCAGCAUUCUCUUUUUGGUUUUUGGAGUAUGUAUGUGAUUUGUAUUUGAUUAUAGAAUAAAAAUUAAUAAAACACGAGAUGCAGCAAUUAAUUUGCAUCCUUAUGACAACACAUAUAUGAAAGUGCAUUCAAUUUCAAUGUGCGAAUGUGUGACAGGACAGGAUGUGCCUGCCUGCUGGUGGUGGUAUGCUUGCUGUUGUUUCUUGCGUUGUUAAUUUUUUGUGUGUUGAUUUGAUUAACAAUUCAAGCGUAUCUUAUUUUUUUUGUGUUGGUUAGCAGCCAGUUUUAUGGCCCCGAUCUAGUGAUGCUUCUCAGUGACUGGUAAUUGCAGUUCAUUGCCACCAGUUGGUCAGCUACCUGCUCUGAAAGAGCUCUACGUAGAAGGGAUGAAAGUUGUUAAGAGUGUUGGUGUUGAGUUGUACGGGGGAAAUCAACCAUUUCAAUGUUUAGAGAAGGUAAAGUUUCGGGAGAUGCCAGAGUGGGAGGAAUGGCAGCCUAGUCCAAGUGGAUGUGAAAGUCCAGACUUUCCUCAUCUUAAGGAGCUGAGGUUAUCCGAAUGUCCGAAGCUGAGAGGAAACUUGCCCACUCAUCUUCCCUCCUUGAAAACACUUUAUGUGAACAAGUGUGAGGUUCUACAUAAAAACAGGGCCAGUAAUACCCUGAACGUGGAAUCCUUACGAGGAUCUCUUGAAAAACUGACAAUAAAUGGAUGCCCGGGUCUCUCAUUGUUACUAGAGUCGAUGGAGACGCUGCCGUCGCUUCAGAAGCUUGAUAUUGAUAGUGUUGGUGGGAAAGAGUUGUUGGUGCAAAUGGUGCACAACAGCAAUCGUCUUCAAAGUUUUGACUUUAUAUAAAUGUUCCUCACCCUUGUCGUUCCCUACAAAUGGUCUGCCCACCACGCUGACGUCACCGAGCAUAACAGAUUGCAAGAAAUUAGAAUUCCUAUCACGUGAGAUGAUGGCCAAAUUGACUUCCCUUCAGUCUUUGCGUCUAUCCAACAGCUGUGAAUGCAAAGGCUUGAGUAAUUUUUGUGAGUCUGCUGUUUGGUUUUUUUUUCUUCAUUUUAGAGAUUUUUCUACUGUUUGGUUUUUGGGUUUUGUCUAAUUUUUGUGGUCUGCUUUAUAGAUUGUUCUCUUUGGAAGCUUCUUUCCAGCCUUGACCUUCUUCUUGCCUGGUGCCUUCUCAUUGAGUAUUGGAGGAGCAUUAAAACACAGGUGUGUGUGUUUUGUCGAUGUAAGAGAUGAACGACAUAAAAACAUCCGUCUUUGUAUUUUUUUGUGCUUUUUCUAACCCAUCAAUUUCUUUUGAGUCAACCAAAUAGUCCCAAAUUGCAACUUAUGUUGUGAGGUAUUAUUGUCUAAAAUUAAGUAUGCAUGUAUAUUUUAUGUUUGUGCGCGCGCACACCUCCGCAUGGUGUUAAUCUCUGUGGGUCAUCUAUGUAUAUGUAGACAUAUCUAUAUGUGUAUGUGUGGAAUGCAACAUAUCGGAUUUAGGUUAUACUGUGCAUAGUUUUAUUGCCUGUUAUUAUCUACGAUAUCACUAUGCCAUUUCUAUGCAGGCUCUGAAAGUUAUCCAUGAGCUUUAUAAGCACUUACCAUAAUUUAAGCAGUCUGUUUUGGGUUCUUUUUCAUUAGGUCAUUAGCUACAGAUUAAUGGAGAAACGAGGACCAUGCAACUGAUUUGGGUUCUUUUUCUAAUUUUCUGAUUUUGGGGUUUUGCAGGGAGUACUGAUGUACUGAUUUUCUGGGAUUUUUUUUGUCCUUGCAGGAUUUUUGGUCUUUGGAAUGGGUAUGUGUUGUUUUUAACGUUUCAGUUCUAGCUUGUUCCGUUCUUCGUUGCUUCGUGAUUCUCAUUUUUUAGUGUUGGGUGAUGGAAAUUUGUUCAAGUAGUUGGUAGUUUUUUUAGAAAGUUGGCAUUUUUAGUUAUAUUUUCUGUUUAAUCCUAAAUGUUAGACUGGAAAAUCAUUGAAAUGACGGUUUUUUAAAAACUCAUAAUUUUUUUGUUCUGGGAGUUAAAAGCAUCUUUUCCAGAUUGGUUAUAAGGGUUAUGUUCUCUUCAAUUGGUUCACCUAAUUUUGAUUAGUUUUAAGUUUUGUCCUUUUAAGUUUUGUCUUUUAAGUUUUGUUCUUUAAGUUGUCUUUUAAGUUUGUUCUCUAAGUUUUGUCUUUUAAGUUUUAUCUUCUGUGCUGUAAUGAGAGAUUUCUGUUGGCCUUUCGGAUUUUGGCAUGGGAAAGUUCACUUAUUUGUCUAAUUAGAUUGUGUAUGCCUUCGAUUCUUUAUUUAAUUGUUCUGUUUGUGUUCAGGUGUGAUGAUCUAAAUUUCAUAUGUUUGGAAUUAUUCACUUAACACCAAUUUGUUACAUUCAGAUCUCCACCCCACAUUUCACUAGUUCAAAUUCCAUAGAAGUCGGUUACUGCAGAUUGCGUCUACAAUUAGAUCAGAGAUCAACUGCUCUUUUGUUAUCCUGCAGAAGAUUGCUUUUGGGAAGGAUCUGAAGUAGUUUCUUUCUGUAAGUUUAUUCCCAUGUAGCUCUGUCUUUUCUAAUUGAUGGUGUUGAUAUUACACUGUAAUUCAUGAUGAUGAUUUAAUUGUUUAUUGAUUUGUAAUUGUUUGUGAAUAAUGUGGCAUAUAUGACUUGCAAUAUGUGUUUGUAUGAAAGGGAUGACAUAUUAUGUUGCUGACUUAAUUGUUUAUGUUUUUCAUAUUUGCGAAUGGUGUUAUGAUCAAUUAGGUGAUUGCUGACCUGUGACUUUGUUUGGAGCUCAAAUUUUGUGAGCAUUACAUUGGAUUGUUUUGAUGUUGUUUUGGUUGACAAUGCAGGGAUAGGAGAAACAAAGAGGAUGACACUUAUAACUGCCCUUCCCCAUCGGCCGUCUUCAAAUUUGGAUCACAAGAAGGGAGCAACAUAGGUGUUUUCCUUCUUCAUUUAGAUAUGGUUAGUGUAAAUAAUUGGACAAAAGAGCCAAACAAACCCUGUUCUCUCAAAUGGAGUCGAUGAUGUGGUCGAUGGCCACCAGCCCCAACUCAAGAGUUUGGCCUUCAUAUAAUUGGAUUGUAGUAUAAUUUUAUUUUGGUUCAUUUCUUUUUUCCUUUAUAUAAGUGCAGGUGUUGUGAUGUUUUGAAUAAAGGGUGAUGAAAGGUGGUUCACACACUUCCUCCUUACUUAAAGCAAGUGGAGAUGAUGGGUUGUAUAAAAAGAAAAACUUGCCAGGUACUUCGAUUUUCUAUUUUAUUAAUUAUUGUUUGGUUUUCCAAAUGUUGUAUUCACAAAGAGAGACCAAUGAUGUCUUUGAGAAACAAGUUUCUUUGUCUACAUUGCGAGAAUUUGCAGUUUGCAACUUUCAUUGGUUAUUAUAUUUGAUUGAGUUAAACUUGGAUUUCUGGAUUUUGACUUUUUCGUUUGUUUCUUUGUUGUAGAGUUGGCUUCAUUUCAUUCCAGUAACUCUAUUCCAGUAACUCUCUAAAAUAGGGCCAAGAACUCACUAAAUAGGUAGUCAAGAGGAAUUCAGUUUUGCCUUCAAUUUUUGCCUUCUGUUUACAUUCUUCCUGGAUGCACUCUCACCGCUUCUCUCGCUUACCACUUUUGUCUCACUCACCGCUUCAUCUCUUCUGUUGCUUACAAGGUCGUGUCAUAUAUUUUUUUAAUUUUUGUGUGUUUAAUUUAUUGAAUAUUUGAAAAAAGAGAUAAAAUUUUCAAUUUACAAUUACUGAUAUGAUGUUUGUUUUGAAAAUCAUUAAGGUGAAUGGAGAGAUUUACAACCAUGAAGAGCUGAGGAGCCGUUUGCCAAAUCAGAUUUAUAAGGUCUCAUCAAUUAUAAAUAAACGACUUUUCAUUCCCAAUGACCUUUAUCGUUUUUCUUAAUGGGUUAGCUGAACAUGAGGUAGAUGCUGACUUUAUAAAAUAUGAGAAUGUUUUAGGAUUUCAUUCUAAUUUUUUGGCUGUUUGAUUACUUUGCUUUUCGUAAUUUGUUUUGCUUAUCGUCAAUUGGAUGGGACAACAUAUUUUUGUAACCAGUUUGUACUUUUUUUUUUUGUGGAAACUAACCAGUAUGUACUUUUACCAUCUCGGUUUUGAUGGAAUUGGAGCUUUCAGUAAUGGGUUCUGAGGGAAUUGGAGUUUUGAGUAAUGGGUUUUUUAACAACUAUAGUAUCAUUUGUGAUUCUUUUAUUUAUAAGAUAUUAUAUAGGAAACUGUUAUUAGCACUCUAAUAAUCUUAUUCUACACUCGCGACAAGUGUAUUUUUCUUUCUAAUUAUGGAAAGUUUGGAGUGCAAAAUGAGAAUUUUGGAGUGCCAAUAACAAUUCCCUAUUAUAUAUAGCUCUACUAAGAAGGCGACUGUAUAUGUCUUCAUCCUGUUAAAUUGUAUAUGGCUCUUGAUGUCGGCUGAAUUAAAUCAAAAUGAAAACCAAGCUGCUGAUCUUACCAGCCCAUAUCACUUAUCACUUAUUUAAAUUAUUUGAAGAUGCAUACGUGGAUUGGUGAUUUUGUUGGAUUCACUUAGCUCAAAUAUAUGUUAUCUGAGUCGCUACAUUUGAGAAUGUGAUUCUGUUCCUACCACCAUUUUGCCCACUUUUUGUGGAAAUUAUUCAUUCCUGUUGUGAAUAAUAUCCCCGGCAGCGAAGUGCGGGCGCAUUUUCUAGUUUAAGUUAAAUCACACAAUGGGUCAUCAAUAAUGACAAACUCGUCAUUUAUGCGAGUCAAACAUGAGACCACCUACCUACUAGUUUAGUGGAAUACCACAAGUGACAUGUUGAUACCUUUAAAUCUCAUAUAAUGGAUUGCAGAAUUAGGAUAUACCUAGUCUAAUUUAGUCAGUGCGUGAACCCGAACAAUUAACCAGGGUUUUAUUCUUGCUUGAAUGUUUGUAAUAUGUUCCUAGUUUGACAAGGCAAUUAUAUUUCCGACUACAAAAGUUAUUAAUUUAGUCGAGAAUUGACGCACCUGAAAUGGUGUGAGGAAAACAUGUAGACACAUCAGACGCGGUCCAUCCUGAGCAUUGUGUAUUAAGGAUAAAGCUCAAAGCCAUACAUGAGGGCAUUGUGUAUGUCUUUAUAAGAGAAGUUGCUGUAGUCCUCAACGUGGCCGGCAGCCAAACUCAUCCACUCUACACUGCAACCCUCAUCCAAAUCCCAUGCUUCCAACCUGCCCCCGACAUAGUCAUCGACCAUGACAUAGCUAUACGUUUUUGGUUGACUCGAAGAAGAAGAAGAAGAAGAAGUAUUAUUCAAGCAUGGAGCAGUGUCCACGUACAGAGAAGAAUUCGAUGGAUUCGAACACUUCAAGUAAUAUAUAGAUAGAGAAUUGAUGUCAUAGGUGGGCCAAUAUAGAGAAUCGAUGUCCUCGAUGGGCGGAAUAUUUUGAGACAUGGAAGAGCAAUUGUUGUUGUCAAGCCCAGGAUCUAGAAGUCGGAUUGUUUUGUUAAUGUAGUUGAUUGCCUGGACAUAGUAUUUUCCGGAAGAAGGUAGGUCUAGUACUGUAAUGUUGCUCUCACAGGACAGAGUAAACCUUACGUCGCCACAGUACUUUGGAUCAUCGUUCAGUCGAAAAGGAUGGCUUAUGUUGUGGAUAUGGCCGCAGGAUGAAGUGCAGGACUUGGCACUACUGUUGUCAGCGUUACAAGUUUCACUGCAAAAGCAAAGAAGAAGAAAGGCUAAACUUAAGGUGAAGGACCUGGUUCCACUGAUUUCCAUUGCUCUGAGAGAGAGAGAGAGAGAGAGAGGGCACUAUAGCUUAAACACCAAGGAGUUAUAUAAUAUGGGAGGGGUUAAAGCACCUCGCUUAAAGUUGCAGUAAGCCCGUCAAAUAUCCUAGGGAAAAGUCGGUCAAUGCUGUCCUAUAGAGAAAAGUCGGCCUUGAUGUUUGACACGGUCACACUCUCUCUCUCUCUCUCUCUCUCUCUCAUUGACGAGGGACACUGUAAUUGAAAAAAAAAAUUGUUAUUCAGAGAUAGAUCUUGAAAUUCUUAUUUUAUAUAAAAAAAAGGGGUAUUUAGAUUUUAGGACCUAUAUAAGAUAAUUUUUAGAUUAUAAGGUUUCAAAAUCUUAUUUUAGUCCCUAAUUUAAUAUUCAUCGCCACAUCAUAUUAUAAGAUACCUCUAUUACCUACCAUAUUUACAAACUUUGCCAUUUAAAUUGUCAACCUAUUCUAUAAUUAAGGCUUAAAUAUAUUCCGUUAAUAAACCAUUCGUCAAUAAGAUAAAUCCAACUAUGGUAAAUUAUACUAAUUUAUACUUGCUGACAAACAAAUUAAGUCUAUAGUAAUUUUAGGUCAGUCACCUUAAGAAGUCGAAGAUGAAAAAAUCAAAUACAAAACAAUAGGUUAAAAAAAUUAAAUAAUAACCCUUAAUAUAUAUAUAUAUAUAUAUAUAUAUAUAUAUCACAAAAAAAAAGUAUAACAACUCCUUAUUGUCUAUAUAUAGGAAUUGCAUAAGUGUCGGUACAUAUGUGUAGGUACAUACAUGCACAUAGGUACGGAAGUAUCGGUAUGGAAGUGCCGGUACAUACGUACACAUAGGUACGAAAAUAUUGAUACGUUAGCAUCGGUACAAAAGUAUCGGUGCGGAAGUGUCGAUACUUAUGUACAUAUAUAUAGGUACGCAAAUAUUGAUACAUAAACAUCAAAAGAAAAAAUCGGUAGAUUCGAUGUAUGAGAAGGUAAAAAUAAAUCAUCAACACUAGAAAAAAAUGAUAAAAGUAAAUCAUGCACUAUUAGAUGCAUAAGAAGAAGAAAUAUUAGAUGUGGAUGGUGGCCCUAGCCCUCUCUUCUAACACGGUUGAAGAUAAUUUUUUGGGUUGGACAAAAAGUUUCAUUUUUAAGGAGAACCAUUUAUGUUAGCAAUAAAACUGAAAAGUUAUAAAUAAAAUAAAUAUAAGACAUUAUAAUUCACUCAAGGAUAAUAUAGGAAGAAAAAAAUUACAUAAAAGGAAUUAACUCUGACAUUAAAUAUAAAUGCUGACUUGGACAUAAGUCAAAGGACUAUAAUUAGUUUUUUAUCUUGGUUAAGGUUUUAGUCUAAAGAUAAUCUUUUUCAAGGAUUAAUAUCUAGUUUCCUAUAAAAAAAAACACCUAAUAUUAAUCAUUCAAAUGAAAUUGUUAAAAUUAAGUAUAAAUAAUACAUAAUGAAAACUGAACACAUACAAUCAACGGUCACGACCAUGAAAUCCUCCGGAUCCUCAGAAAAAAAUCCGACGAUGAUCUUUUUCUGUGUAAAAUAAUUUGAGGGUAUAAUACUGGAUGUGCGAUUAAACCGAAGAACCCACCCACCUCCAUCUUCUCUGACCAACUUGAACCCAGCCACUACUACAUGUCAUCCCGACAACCCACUCUCAGCUUCCCAAACCGCCAUUUUUCACCCAAUGGAACAUUUAAAGAAAAAAUCCAUCUGCAAAUCGAAAACCACCGAAAAAAAUUAAAUCAGAUACAUUGGAAAAAACGCAAAACUCAAUGGAACAACACUGGCGUGGAAGAGAAAAAAAGCAGAAGGUGAGAAUGGAGAGAAAGAAGCGAACGGAAAGAAAAAGCAAAGAAGAGGUUGGAAACGGAACAACAGAAGAACAAUAGAAGAACAGAAAUGGGUAUGGGAAACGGAACAACAGAACAAAAAGCAGGCGGUGUAUAGAGCAAGAAAAGCAAACCUCACGAUGACCAACACGUGCUAAGAGAGGCCCCGGUUCACUGUGUAUCACAUUUUUUAAUAUUUUUUUUGGUCUUCCCACCGGCUAUACAUGGGAUUCCAAAAUUAAGAAGGUAUAAAUUUUUAUUGUUUCUUGUGCCACAAACCAUGUGGCCCAGUCUUAAUCACAUUUUUUAAAUAUUUUUUUUGCUCUUCCCAUCAGCAGUACAUGGGUUAAAAAAAUUAGGAAAGUAUAAAUUUUUAUUGUUUGUUGUGUCACAAACCACGUUGCCCGGUUUUAAUCACAUUUUUUUAAUAUUUUUUUGUCUGCCCACCAGCUAGGUUUAAAGAAUUAAAAAAGGACUAAAAGAAAGACUCCACAGAUGGAGGAACAUGGGAAUAGAAAGGGCAAAUUUGGGAUUUUACUGUACAAAAAAGACAAAAAGUAACUGCUGAAGACUAACUUGAGGGGCAUUUUGGUCUGCACACUGCCCUAGAACAGUAACCAUCGGAUUGGGUUUUAGUAUAUAUAGAAUAUGUUUAGAUAAGGACAAUAAACUUAGAAUUUUGCCAAAAGUCAGAAUUUAUAAAUUGAUACAAUCAAUUCAUUUGUUUGGAUUCAUAAACAUAGAAAUUUAGACUUUCCGCGUGAGAAAAAACUUGGAAUUUGGGACCUUCAAUUCUCAUGUUUAAAUUUCAUGUAAAUAGGUGUCAUUUAUAAAUUUCAGUAAGUGAGAGUUUAAAAAUAACAAACAUGUAUUCAAAUUUCAUUCCUCCUUUGGUUAACCAAAAAAGAAAAUUUAUAAAUUCUAGAAAAUAAAAUUUCUUUAUUUUAAUUUCUGUUAUUUUAAAAUUCUUAGGGCUUGUUUGGUAUUCUACUUGAAUCCAACUUUUUAAACUAAAAAAUAAUUUUCAAGUUUUAGGCCUUAAAAACUUAUUUGGUAGAACUAUUUAAAAAAACUGAACUUAAGACUAACUAAAAAAUAUAAUAUAUUAUCUAAAAACACAAAAAAUGAGUUUUUAGAAUUUUUAAACUUAAAUUCACUCAUUUCUUUUCUCUCCCUCCUCCCCUCUCACUCCAAAUCUCUCUCUCUCUCUCUCUUUUCUUCUUUCUCUCUCCCCUUCUCUUUUUUUUAACCUUUUUUUGUCUCUCAUCUAAUCCGCUCUCUUCAUUUUCUCGGUUCUUUCUCUCACUCAUAUUCCUCUCUAUCUCCUCCAAUUCUCUCUCUUCAUUCUUUUUCAACCAAUAAUUUCUUACUUUUUUCCUCUUCUCUCCUCUUGAUUCUCUCUCUUCAUUCUUUUUCAACCAAUCAUUUUUUACUUUUUUUCCUUCUCUCCUCUUUCUCCCUCGACUUCCUCUUUUUGGAUCUCUUUGUUCAGUUUGAGCUGUAAGAUUUAAAAUUAUUUUAAAUCGUAUACCAAACAAGUUUUUGAGUCUUAAAGAAAAUUGUUUUUCAAAAAAUGUUCUUAAGAAAUGUUUUGAGAAAUGAUAAAAAAUUUCAAAUAAGAUACCAAACAAGCCCUUAAUAAUCUUAAAUUUUCCCAUCCAAACAAAAAAUUUUCUUGUCAUAGAACUUUCAAUUGGAAUCAAAGAAGACAAUCUUUUCACAACUAAUUAUUCUCACCAAAAGCAAUUUUUAUUUUAAAGCAAUCAAUACCAAACUGCAAAAGCAAAGUAGGAAGGCUAAAAUUAAGGUGAAGAACCUGCUUCCACUAAUUUCCUUAGGAGGGAGAGAGAGAGGGGGAGAGAGAACCAAGCGAGCGAGCAGAGAGAGAAAACACCAAGUAGUAUUCUAAUGUUGGUGGGGUUAAGUCACCUUCCGUGAAGUUGCAGUAAGGACUUCUAUCCCAGAGAAAAGUCAGUAAAUGAUGUUGACACAGUCAACGACAAAGACAGAAUUGUGUAACCAUAAUUCUCUCUCUAUCUCUUUUUCAUUAUCGGAUGACAGUGUAACACUACUACGUAUAUAUCUCUGCUCAAUUAUUGAAAAGAAAAAUCCAUGUGCAUUAUUUUUAUUAUUAUUAUCUCAGAAAUGCAGAAAUUGAUCAUCUCUUCCUUUUGCAUAUUGAUACUGGUUUUCUUCAAACUAGUUGAAGCAAGUCAAUAUGUGUGCGCGAAAUCCAACUGUAGCAAUGAUCAAAGCGGGGCUAUCCAUUUCCCAUUAAACAUCAGGCGCACACAUCAUUGUGGUAAUUCUGGGCUUGAAUGCAAUGGGAGAUAUGAACAGCAAAUACUAAUAAAAUUAUUUGUCAAAGACAUAGAUUACAAGCGUCAGGAAAUCCAAGUCUAUUCCCCAAGUAACUGCCUGCUGCUAAAGCAUGUUGAAAUCCCAAACAUGCCACCCUCUCCCUUCAACGUGUCAGUCGAUGACUACAUGAGUAACCUUACCUUAUUCAGUUGUCCUACUUCUUUUGCAAGACGAGAUACGGAUGUGUAUCAAGUCCCCUGCCUCGGCGACCGUGGCAAGAGAACUUAUGCCAUUUAUUCUGAUUAUGGUUUUAGAACUCUCUUCCGGAAUCUACAAUCUUGUACAAAAAUGUAUGAUGUUUUAUCAGUUCCAAUACCCUCUGAAUAUUAUGUUCUUCGUUUCAAAUGGUCUAUACCAAAUUGCAGAAAAUGUGGAGAGGGAAAGAGGUGUGAAUGGCAGAACAAUGAAAUUAAAUGUAUUCAAUGGAGGAAACCAAGUAAGGAUAACAUAUGUAUUCAUUGCUAGUUUUAAACAUCUUUACAUUUGUUUCUCAGUAAUUAUUGUUUAAAACAUGUCCAAUCCAUUUUUACUAUGAAUAUUAACUGACAGUCUCAUUUGAAUUUGCCUUUAUCUUUUACAGGCAACACAUGGAAAUUAGUGGUCACAGGGGGAAUCCUGGGUUCUUUGCUUCUUGUUCUACUGAUGAUUGCAGCAUAUCGGGUAUAUAGCGUUGAUAGAAAGAAAAAAGAGAUUCGAUUACGAAUUGAAAGAUUCUUGGAGGAUUACAAAGCACUCAAACCAAGCAGAUACUCGUACGCAGAUAUUAAGAGGAUUACAAAUCAAUUCAAGGACAAGUUGGGCAAAGGAGCCUAUGGAACUGUCUUCAAAGGAAUGCUCUCUUCUGAAUUCUUUAUUGCUGUCAAAGUCCUCAACAGUUCCAAGGGAGAUGGGGAAGAGUUCGUAAAUGAAGUGCGAACGAUGGGUCAUAUCCACCACGUAAACGUGGCUCGCUUGGUUGGAUUUUGUGCUGAUGGAUUUGUACAAGCUCUUGUUUACGAGUUCUUCCCCAUUGGUUCCCUGCAGGAUUUCAUUUCAUCUGCAGAUAGUAAGAAUUCAUUUCUUGGUUGGGAUAAGCUGCAAGAUAUUGCCCUAGGCAUAGCCAAAGGAAUUGAAUAUCUUCACCAGGGAUGCGAUCUACGAAUCCUGCAUUUCGACAUCAAACCCCAUAAUGUUUUGCUAGACCAAAACUUCACUCCAAAAAUUUCUGAUUUUGGUAUGGCCAAGUUAUGUUCCAAGGAUCAAAGCUUGGUGUCCAUGACUACAGCUAGGGGGACCAUGGGCUACAUUGCACCUGAAGUGUUCUCCAGGAAUUUCGGAAAUGUGUCUUACAAGGCAGAUGUCUAUAGCUUUGGAAUGCUGCUGCUUGAGAUGGUAGGAGGAAGGAAGAAUAUUGGUUCAAUCACGGAUAACACUACAAAUGAAAUUUACUAUCCACAGUGGAUUUAUAAUCUUCUAGGGGAAGGGGAUGACCUACGAAUCCACAUUGGGGAAGAAGGAGACGGUAAAAUUUCAAAGAAACUUGCAAUUAUAGGGCUAUGGUGUAUCCAGUGGCACCCGUCGGAUCGUCCUUCCAUGAAAAUAGCGGUUCAGAUGUUAGAAGGAGGAGGAGAAAGCUUGAGUAUGCCGCCUAAUCCCUUUGUGCCUACUGGUUCUACAACUAGGAAUGCAAGACGCCUAGAGCUAGAAGCUAUUGCUGAAUUAGAGUAAAAUGUAUAUGCAGAUAUAUAGACGUAUAGAUAUAGUAAUAUUUACAUUGAAUAAGAUACCGUUUGAUAACCAUUUCGUUUUCAGCUUUUAAUUUUUAUUUUUCACUUUUUUGAAAACUGAAAACUAAAAUCUUGUUUGGUAAAUACUUUUAGUUAAAAAAAAAUGAAGACUGAGAACUAAAAAGUGAAAGCUCAAAGGAAGUAGAUUAAAAGUAGUUACCAAACAAACCGGAAUCUCAAUAAUAAAAAAGAUUGAAUUGCACAAUGCAAUCCAAACCAAUCAAAACAUUAAAAUAGCAAAAAAAUUAAAAUUCUAGUUGAUUAGAUUCUGAACAUAGUAAAAAUGAACAGAUCCGAUGAAAAAACAAAAAAUUCUCAGAUAAAAAUAGGGAUAAAGUAGAAUAUUUAUAAAUAGCUCAUUGUCUCUUAUGUCAUCAAUUAUUUCUAUAGUAUAUACAGGUUUUUGGAAAAAUUAGGUUCCCAUCCCUUAUUUUCAUAUUACAUUGAUUGAAAUCUUAUUAUUUUUCUAUUUUAGAUCAAGGUCCCUUGACUUAUUCCAUGUCAUCAUUUUAGUAUUUAAAAUAUUACACGUCAUCAUAAACGAAAUCUCAUCCCUUUCUGCAUUUAAGGCAAAAUAAACUAUAUAAGUAAGUUUAAAACAAGGAAAAUCCAUUUGAACUCCUCCAUUCUUCUUCUUCCCUUAUGCACAUCUGGAAUCUACAACACCCCAAACCCAAUUUUCUCCAUUUUUCUUCAUUCCUGAAUUGAUCCAAUGCAUAUAUGUUGAAUAAACCUAUUGUGAUUAAAAUACAAAUUAGCAUCAAUGAUUUUAUCGGCUUGUGAGAUUUGUGUGGCAUAGGCAAGGCAAUGCAGGCAUCGCUUUAUCAAAGAAUCUGGUUGAUUCAAACAUGCAGAGACUGUAGAGUGAGCGGGCUAUGUAAAAACUGUACCAUUUUGAAGUCAUUUUCUUUUGUUCUUUACAUUUUUUUUUCUUUUAUUAUUAUAUAUUAGUCUUGAUUAUUCAAUGUCUGGUUGGCUACACUUAUAUCCAUGGGUACAUUUUUAAUCUACAUGUUUCGUUCUAAUAUAUCUAUUGCUAUAAUAUGUUUUGGUUGGUUCAAAUUUGUUUUACAUAAAUAUAUGGGUACAAAGUUUUUGUAGAAUAUUAUGUAAAAUGGUUUUUAAGGUUGCUGCAUUUUACGUACCCACAUAUGCAUGUCUAUAAAACAAUGUGGUAUGAUGUACAUUCUUUUCUUUGAGUUUUUAAAUGUACCCAUGAGUUUUCUUGUAAAUUCGGUAUGUACCCAUAUGCUAUUUAUGUUAUGGGUACAUACAUUAUUUUUGGUCUAAGUUCAUGGGUACAUUACUUUUGUAUGUAUGAAUUCAUGGAGUACAUUAUUUCCCUUAAUACUACUCAAUAAAAUUCACAAAAAUAUGUGUAGCGUGCAUGAUUUUUUAUUGUAGAAAUUGUUUGUUUUUUUUAAGUCUCAUAAUUCAUGAAAUUUGUACAUAUAUGAUCACAUAAAUUUUUUAAUUUUAUUAAAUUUCUUUUAGACUUGAUCGAUUGAUUGAAUCUCAUAAUACUAGGAUUUUGAAUUACAUAAAUUCUUGGAUUUAAAUCCCUUAAAUGUUGAACUGCAAUCAAUAUUUUAAAUUACAGUUUUUUAUUUAAGAUAUCAAAAAGAUGACAUGGAAAUAUAGUAAUACUAAAAUGCUGAGGUGUACAAAGUCAAAGGACUUUGAUAAAAAAAUAAAAAACAAUAAGAUUUCAAUCUAACAAUUGAAUUGACUAGGGAUCGGAACCAAAAUGACCCUAGAUUUUUAUUGAGUUUAAUCUUAAUAAAAAAAAGACUUCUUGUAUCACAAAAAAUACAAGAACCAUUAUUUGAAUGAAAUAAAAGCUAUGGGAUGGAGAUAUAAAUGGAUCCUUUAUUUCACAAUUGGAUUAUAUUUAUUUGAUACACUGUUGUCAAUAUGAAUGCUGAGAAAAGACUACAAAAGAAAAAAACAAUUUAUAAAUAUAACUAACAAUUCCAAUUUCAAUCAAUUAGACAAUUAGAAUUAUAAGAAGAAAAAAAAAAGAAAUUUCAGUUUUCAGUUUAAAAAAAAUGAAAAAAAAAUGGUUAUCAAAGCCGUCCAAAUAAUACAAGUUUGUUUCCACUCUUUGUUUAAGCAUAGAUGCCAAUUUUUGUUUAUCAUUUUUUUAACCUUUAUUUUUUGUUACAGUAGAAGCCCUGGAAGGAAAUCGAGCACUGGACUUACCAAACUCUUAACUUAUUUCUACACACCAAGAGCUUGAUUUCGGUUCUUAUUUAUACUAUUUAAGCUAUAAGCCGUGACAAGAAUUAGAGAACUAUCAUUUGUUGUGAGCUUCAAUUGGUUAGCACUUUGUAUGUUUUCAUUAGAAUAUAUAUUUCACUUAGACUUUCUUAUUAAAAAAGGGAUCAGCUGGUGACUUUACCACGACAAUCCAAUUUUAUGGGGGUCAUGAAUACUCACAAAGGCAUUUCAGCCUCCCCCUAUAUCUACCGUCGCGUGAUUCACCAUUGUCAGAAAUCGAACCCAAGACGUGUUGUAUAGAAUACGGGCCUAAAAUUCAUUUCUAACCACUGAGUCACCCCGCGUUUGAUUAUAUUUCACUUAGACUUAUCUUGCGGUAUAGCAUGUCAUCCCCGCCCAAGUUUUUCCCUUCGCGUUGACUUUGGGAUACCAAAACUUGCCAAACAAAGUAGAUUGAUUAGUAAGCGAAGCUAAUUAUUCGACUAAACAUUGUUUAGAAUUUUAAUUAAAAGAACCAAUAUGAAUCUGUUUUUUUUUUUUUUGACAAACUAUAACGUUAAGGAGUUAAAUUGUUAGUUGUUAAGAGUACGGGGAUAGGUGAGGAUCGAACCUCCACCAUAGUGCAUAGACAUUAUUGGUUCUACAACUGCUGUAAAUCACAUAAAACAAAACGUAAUACUUUGAGGAUGGAAGACACUUCGUGGAUAGCGGGCAAUCAACACUAUCAGUUGCUAUCCAAAACUUGGAAUUAUGUUUAUUGUCCGAAGGAUUUUUCUUCCAUUAAAUUGCUAAGGAAGAUGAGGAUGGGUAGAGUGUCUAAAUGUCAAGGUUGAUAAGAACGUGUAUGGUGUUCAGCUUGCGAUUGAGAUUUGUUGAGUGGCACAACAAACCACAUAAAAUUUUCUAAAUGAUAAGCUUGAGUAUAAUUUUUUACCACGUAUUUAUCUUUAAAAUCAUUAUAAUUAGAUUUUCUCUUAAUUAAUAUAGACCGUUAGAUUCAUCUAAUGACCCAAGUUUUUUUCCUCUUUUCUUUCUACUCUUUUUUUCUUCUCUGAUUUUCCAUUCACCGUGUAGCAGUCGUUCUUCCCCAACUAAGUUUCUUAUUUUUCUUCACAAAAAAAUUGUAGAAAAUAUUAAGAAAAGAAAAGUCAUCAAUAUCAGACUCGACCAGGUAAUCGUUCCAACCUUCCCAGCAACUCUCAGUCUUAACAAGGCACCAAAUUUUCUCCGCCACCUAACUCGUCAUUCAUUUAUGGGUGUUUCAAGCUUGGUGAAAAUUGAUAGAGUUCCAUGUGUGUACACGGAUGUGAACAUAUUGGCCACUCUCUAAUGUGUUGGUUUAUCACAAAGAACCCAGAUACAAAAUUUUAAAAAGCAAACAAUUACAACUUCUCAAAUAUUAUCUAACAAACUUUCAAUGAAAUGUUGCUCAUAAUUGAAAAAAGGUUGACGAAGGACGGAGUUGGAGUUAUUUUAGAUGGGGAAGAGUUAAAAGAAGGAAGCACCAUUUAAUUAAUAAAAGCGAUUGGAGAAAUAGUAAUUCAAUGGUGGGCGUUUUUAAGGUGUGGACCUUGUAUCACACCCCGAUUCCAACAUACAUUGAGGAUCAACACGUGACAUGGGGACAUAGGGGACAUAAAUCUUAUGUAAGAUACAAAAUGAAAUACUAUAAAUAAUAUCCCAAAAUGAAUAUGAUAGUGGGUUCACCCCUAUAAAAUAUAUACGAGUUUGUACAUUCACAAAAAAAAAAAAAAAAAAAAAAAAAAAACACAUACACACACACAAAACUCUCGCUAGGCCAAGACUUGCCCAUGGUGCUCAAAGGAAAGUCCCAAAAGAAAGAGUACAAUGAAGGAUAAAGGGGUAACCUAAACACUCCAAGUCUCUGAUCUCUGCACUGCUACCCUCACCGGCUCCUCGUAAUCUACUCAGACCUAUCACAUGUACAAACAGUGCCUACAUUGUGGGAAUGGUGCAUCGGGCAAACAAAAACCCGGAUAAGCUGCAAAACUCGUGUGAGUGACAAUAAUGCAACAUAUGUGAUAAUCAAGAAAAACAUACCAUCGAUCGCAGUUUAUAAACCUCAAAUAUAACUUCAUACUUAUGAAAUCAUAAUCAAGUCACUGAAAACUUCGAAUGAGUCACCCAGACAUCCAACGACUUUUUAAAAUCAAAUCUCAGAGAUUCCAAAACUAUCAUUCACAAAUACACUAAAAACUAGGGCUAGAGUGACACAGUUCGGCCAAAGACUACAUAAGUAACCAAACAAGAAGUGGCCCCCCAUAGCGGAUUAACCAAGCAGAGCCACUCCUGAAAAAGUAACCAAGUAGGUAGUGACCCCCAUCACGGAUUAACCAAGCAAAGUCACUCCUACGAAACUGUUAGGUAGUGAUCACCCAUCGCGGAUUAACCAAGCAUGAUCACCCCUAAGUACGUAUGGCCAUACCUAAGAAAUAAGGAUCGCCCACCGCAGAUUAACCAAGCACGAUCCAAAAAUAUUAUGGGUCCCCUAUCACGGAUUAACCAAGCAUGACCAUCCAUGUACCACUACUACAUGGUGUAAAUUCGGUGUCACCUAACCUCGUGACACUAGGGUAACGGUCCUUUACUAGCCCUCACGUUUUUCAAACAUUUCAAAUAUAUAAUUUAAAACACAAUUCAUAAACAUUUCGAAUAAGGAAGUCACAUAGUGUUUAAUAAUGUAGGUCAAUGGAAAACUUUAAAAACAAUUAUUUAGCAUAAAACAUAUUUUAGAAAUCCAUGUUGUAUCCACAAAGUAUACUAGCAUGGGAGAUUUUCAGGGUAAUAACUCUAUCAUAUAUAUUAAAGUCACUCACCUGGAGUCCACACUAACGCACCCUAACACGAAUAUCAAGACGUCACGUACUAUCAUCUGUAACAUCCCACAUCAACCAACGGAGAGAGGGUGAUGUGCCUUAUAUGUACAUGCCCACCUCCAUAGCAUGAGACCUUUUGGGAGCUCACUGGCUUCAUAUUCCAUCGGAACUCCAAAGUUAAGCGAGUUUGGGCGAGAGUAGUCCCAGGAAGAGUGACCCACUGGAAAGUUCUCGUGUGAGUUCCUAGAAACAAAAUCGUGAAGGCGUGGCCGGGGGGGGGGGUUAAAGCGGACAAUAUUGUGCUACGACGAAAUUGAGACUGAGAUGUGACAGAAUGGUAUCAAAGCCACUCUGCCGUGUGGUGCGAGUGUGCCGACGAGGAUGUCGGGCCCCUAAGGGGGGUGGAUUGUAACAUCCCACAUCGACCAACGGAGAGGAGGUGAUGUGCCUUAUAUGUACAUGCCCACCUCCAUUUAGCACGAGGUCUUUUGGGAGCUCACUGGCUUCGGAUUCCAUAAGAACUCCGAAGUUAAGCGAGUUCGAGCGAGAGCAUUCCCAGGAUGAGUAACCUACUGGGAAGUUCUCGUGUGAGUUCCCAGAAACAAAAUUGUGAGGGCGUGGCCAAGGCCCAAAGCGGACAAUAUCGUGCUAUGGCGGAGCCGAGAUUGGGAUGUAACAUCGUCACCUAAGACAAAGUACAAGUCCACAUUUAAAGUUCUUCGUGUAUUCACAUAAUAAAAAAUUUCCAUAUGCCCCCUACAACUAAUGAAGAGAAAUCGAGACACGUUGACAAAAAGUCAACUGUUGAUCAACGGUAGGGUCCAUAACCCUACGUAACUCGAUCUGCAAGAUCCAGCCACUGUAUUUGUGAUUCAUAAGUUCCUAAGGUCCUUAAAUCUUACGUACAAUAACAUACUAAACUUUGGUGACGAUCUAAUUGUCGAAUCAUCAUUUGCUAUAAUGUUCAAAUGACGCAAAUUCAUCAAUCAGAUGUUAAAUAUGGAAUCGGUCAUCGAAUUUAGCUUAGGAAGGUCAAGUGGUGUCUCGAGCCACGUGCUGCCGUGCGCAGCAGCUGGCAACCCAAAUUCGUCGGAAAAAUCACCUAAUUCCAAAAUGAAUGUCGUUAGACGUGGAGUAAAUUGUAUACCUGUGAAGAAGCCCAAUUUGGUCGGGAAGUGGCCUGAAAUCACUUUAGACCGUCGGAAACCCUAAAAUAGGUGAAUCUCGAUUCGUCAUCUCCGGUAUUCCACCGUCCUCAAACUUGUUUAGGGUUUGCUCCUGGUCUCAAAAGAAUGCUAAUGAUGGUGGUGAUUGAAGGAGAAUGUUUCAGAAAUAAUGAAUCGUCGACGAGGGUUUCACGAAACCGACAUGGGUGUUCCUUGUGGAACUAAGACCAAAUCUCAACGGUUUUGGCUAGAAAUGGAUGCUGGGAUGUCGUGGUGAGGUUUGGUAGUGAUGGGAGGUCGAAGAAAGCCAAAAAAAUCGACGAAAAAACAGUCGUCGGAGUCGCAGGAAACGGGUUAGAAAAACGAGUCGCCAGGUCUGAAACGGGUCGAAGGCUUUUGGGACAGCUACUUACUCUCUCUUCUUUGAUUAGUCACUCCACUCACUCUCUCAUUUGAUUAGUCCAGCCUUCCCACAUGGUGGGAGUUCCCUCAUAUAGUAACCCAAAAUUUACUAUUUAAAUCUGGUAUCGAACGUUCGUAACUUUUUCGUUAUAGUUUCGAUUCGCAAACAGCUUUCGCCUACGCGCUCGUAUGAUCGAAUUAUACUCGAAAACAUUAAUUGUGACCUCGAAAAGGUCUACGAGUUUUAAAAGAUUAAUUACAAAAAUUCACACCUUGUAACUAUACGAUCCAAAUUCUAAAAUUAACGGAAUUAAAAUAAACUAAAAAUAAUGUAAACACGAAAUACAGACUUUAAUAAUGAAAUACGUAAUUAAUAGUAGUAUUCCGGGAACGGGAUUUCACACCUUGCGUCCGGACCUUGAGUGCGGAUCAGAAUCCAAAGGUCGUGAUCUGACAAGCUCAUGCAUAGAACGGAGUCGUUGUGACCCAAUGCAAUUCAAAACUUUUAUGUUUUUUAUUUGCUGGGUACGUUUUUGUAGGAGGAAAAGGGGAAGUCGAGGGAUUCUUUGCGCAUUAAAGAGGGAAAGAGAGAAAGGGGGAGCUAAGAGGUUCUUCGCGCGUUAAAUUUUUGCUUCUAAUUUUGCAACCUAGAAAUAAAGUAUUUUCUUUAUGGUUUAUGGUUCAAGAAUAUAAUGGAUGCAACCUAAAAAUGUUUCUUUUUUUAUUUUUUACUUUUUUUCUUCUUAUGUUGGCUUUUGGUUUAUUUUUAUAACGCACUAUAUAUUAACUAAAUUUAUAAACAUUUUGUAUCUUUGUUGCAGUCAAAUUAAUCAUAUGGGUCGGCAUGACUAAGUUCGACUGAGACAUACAGAUGUUUUGCAAUCUUAAGUCUAACCUGACACACCUCGACCUCAAUAUCCAGUGAACACCAAAAUUAAGGUGUGCUGGCCAUCAUCCGGAUGGGUGACGAAACCAUAAUAUGCAUGAAAACAUAACUAAAUUAUCAACCAAUAAAAUCUAUUGAAAAAUUUGGCAGAACAUCCCUUAAAAUAGGGAUAUGCCCAAAUUAAAAACACUUGCACAUGAUCACAAUUAUUCAAACACAUCCCGAAGGGCCACACUUAAUGGGACUUCGACCAUCUAUUACAUGCAUGAGAAUAUGUUCAGAGAAUAAUUACCCAAAUACGUCUUAUUAAAAUAUUGAGUAAAUACCAUACAAGAUAGAAUACGUCAGAGCUGUUGCAAAAUACCUCAACGUCGGAUGUAAUCACUGAUAGAAUUACUGAAUCAUGUAUAAAUGGAAAGCUGAUAAAUACAUGUAAUUUGAGUGGAUACUUACCAACAGCAUGGAUACAAUAUCAUCCACCAGUCGUAACUAGUGAAAACUGGAUAAUAUAAUCAUGUCAUUGCCGAGUAAUCUCAAGGCAAUGACAAGAUGAGAAUGUAACUGAGUAAUCAUAUCAUUACUAAAUAAUUUCAAAGCAAUGACAAGCUGAGAGUAUAACCGUAUAAUCAUGUCAUUACCGCGUAAUCUCAAAAUAAUGACAAGCUGAGAGUAUAACUGUAGUACCUCUUAUUAGUGCAAUGCAUGAUAUGAAUUCCAUCUCACAUAUAUAUGCAAGCCAUAAUCAAACCAAUAAACAUCCAACAAAAGCCACAAUCCUUUUAACAUUCGACCACAAGAUCAAUUUUCAUAUUUCCCAAACCUAGGUUCCGAAGCAUUGUUUCGAAUUAUUAAUACAAGAAACCACCACCACCUCAAUCAAUUCCUAUUCAUAAGUGUAAGCAAUUACUAAAUGCAUCACUUUCGACUCUAGUCUUAAUUAGAUUACUUGGGAUACUCAUUCACACCAUCAGAUCCACGUACAAUUUUGAUAAACUUUAAAUAGCAUGGUUAAAAUAAAUGAAACAUUUGAAUGAAACACUUUUAGAAAAUAAGUGAAGAUGUUGUUUACAAAUAUAGAUGCAUCUGUAUAUAAAAGCUUUGGCGGUUGAUUCGUAUACUUCCAGAGAUAUAAGCAAGUUCAUUGGAAUAUGCAUACAUGGUUAAUGUAUUACGGUAUAAUUAAUAAGAAAACAAUUGCAUCCCCUUCAGAUUAUAUAUAUAUAUAUAUAGACACACACACAUACACAUACAUACACACAGGCCCUUUAUGCAAAGGAAUUUCCAUUUUUUUUCAAAAAAUGGGGAUUAGUUGUGGGGCCCACGCUGCAUUGAACUUUAACGAUCCGAACAAUCUAUUUUGUAAGUCUCGAUUCAUAGAUCAUCCUUGCAAAAAUUCAAUUCAAUCCGAACCCUUUUGCCUAUUUAAUUAUCAAGAUAAAAUUUCAUUGUUUCUUAUAUAACAAAGUAUUCGUUAAUUUCUUUGAACUCAAUUAGAUAUCUUAAACAUUUCCGAUUUGGCUAAUAUUUUGCAAAGAUGAUCUAUGUGGUGCAACUUGAAAAAUAGACGAUUUCGAUUGUUAAAGUUCGAUGUGGUGUGAACCCUACAAUUAAUCUUCAUUUUUAUAAAAGAAUGGGAACCCCUCCCCUUAAAGGUUUCCUAUGUAUAUAUUUGUUCUUCAGACAUAUGCAAAAGGUAAUGUAAAACCAAUGAGAACUUAAAUAGAUAUUCCAUACAUAGGACAAUUCCAUAUAUGCUUUUUCAACAUUUAUAUCGAAAAGCCAAAUUGUUUUGAGGAAAUUAAUUGUAGUAAUGGUCCCUUAACUUUUAUCUUAUUGGAGCAAUGGUCUCUCAACUAAAAAUUCAUGACCAUUGGUUCCUUAACUCCACAAAACGUGUAGUUAUGGUCAUUUUCAUUAACUCCGUCAGAACUUUUGUUAAAACAAGUAAUGUUAGAAGAAUCAUUGCUACAAUCAGGUUAAAGUUGGGGACCAUUGCUCUAAUUGAAUUAAAGUUGAGGGAUCAUUACUCCAAAUUGCUUAAAGUUCAAGGACCAUUUCUACAAUUUUCUCAUCUAGUUUCCCAUAUUUACCCCAUGAUUCAGCUUCACAUGCAUUGCACAUGACUCAUUUUGACAAAAGUUUUAACGAAAUUGACGAAAAUGACCAUAAAUGCACGUUUUGAAGAGUAAGAGACCAAUGGUCGCAGAUUUUAGUUGAGGGAUCAUUGCUCCAAUUUGGUUAAAGUUGAGGGACCAUUGCUACAAUUUGCUCAAAUGUUUCGUAUGCGAAAAUAGGCAUUUGUAAAGUUUGGCUUGUUCAUGGCAUUAUUACUUUAGUCUAAAGUAAGGCUGGAAAUGGCACUGUAGAAAUGAAUAGUGUUCCAAUCCGAAUUUCAGUUUAAUUACAACAAUGCCAUUGCUCUUUGUGUUGCCUUUAGGUGAGCAACCCAACUUCCAGCCAGGCCCAAAUGUAUUGGUUUUAGCUGAGAAGCCCGACCUUUGGUCAGGCCCAAAACUUUAAAUUACAGUUUUGCCCAUACAAAAUAACAAUUUGAUUGUAUCGGGAAGGACAAUUUUGUCCUUUUAGUUUUGGGCGAGAUAGGGGGUAACCGGGUAGAUUUCAUUUGCUGUCGUUGAAUGAAGGUUUCGGGGAUGAAGGUUGUGUGUGUGUGUGAGGGAGAUGACGAUGGAAGGAGAGCGAAGGGGAGGGGAAGGGUUCUCGGCACUGUUGCUGCAUGUGGAUUUCACAAGUGGGUGAAUGGGUAUGGUUAGAGAAUACCAUAUAGGUUGUCGGGAUUUCAGGAAACGGGGUAGGGGUCAUGAAUGAACCCUGCUGAGAGUGGGUGCCGGAUCUUGCGCUGCAUGCCUCAAAUCAAAGAUAAGUUCAUUUUUUUAUUGUAUUCUUUAAUGGUAGCUUAGCUUUUGGAAUUGUUUAGUAUGUUAGGUCCAGUUUUGGGGGAUUUAUCUUUUAGAGAGAGAGAUGGACAGGGAGAUAAAGAUAGACAGAGAGAGAGAGAGGAGGAGGAGGCGGAGGAAGUAUGGCUGUGUGCUAUUUUUGGUGUUAAUUAAUGGGUUGGUGCGCAGGGUGAGUGACAGAGUGACAGAGUGACGGAGGGAUGUGUGGGAGGGUAUGGGUUUUUAGUUCUUUCUUUUGAUUCAAUAGGUUAUACACUGUUUGAAAAACCUUUUUUUUAUUUUUUUGUUCUCGUUUGCUUUGUUAAAACCAUCAUUUGAAUUUUUGGGUUUCACUGUGCUCAUUUCUCUGUUUCUUCAUAAUUUGUUGGUGUUUGCUUCUCAUCCCUCUGUUGGUAGAUCUUUUUCUCAUUUCUUGGUUCCUUAUGUAUUCUUUGGUACAAAUCUGUUUACUUUUUGGUUGUGUGAUAAUCUUAGCAGGUGAACUAUAUGAACGUUUUUUUGAAACGAGCACAGUGAAGCAAGCGUAGAUUGGGAGGCAACCCAAUAUUUCUAUUCAUUGCCUUUUUCUGUCAUUUUCAAUUUUCUUGCAUGCUAAACUGAAUUAUUUCUUUUCUUUGUAUUUGGGUUAUGUCCACCCUUGGAGUUGAUUGCGGAAUUAUAGUUUGGGGGUCAUCAUUUGAUUUCACUGCAAAUUGGGGAAGUUUUUAGUCCAAAUGCCGGAUCACUUCAAGUAUCACCUUCCAUUCGAAGUUCACUUCCAUGCCAUGGAACCUAUGGGAGUGUGACUGGAGGCAUCGUCCGGCUGCAAGACGUUAAAGAAAGCGCUUCUUGGGAGGCAACCCAAGCUUUCUAUCUUUCAUCUUUAUUUUGAAUAAUUUUAAAUGUUCUUGUUCUGUUUUUCUCUUAUUUUCUGGUUUUUGUAUUUAAGUCCUACUUUUGUUCCUUUAUGCAGGUAAUGAUUUUGCAAUCUCUACCACAACUUCUUGCAAGGUAGUUUUACAUUCAUAAAAACGAAAGGAACAUUAAGCAUAUAAAUACAAGAGGGAGCCUUCACAAAGGCUGCUUAGGAGAAGUUUCAGCAGUCGGCGGAGUCCCAGAAGGAGGAGGCAUCAGAGGUUGAUCAUUUGGAGCUUCAUUACGUGGUACAACCCCAGAAGACGAAGGCAAAUGCAAAUAAGGAAGAUCUAUGAAUCGCUUCACAAUCGAAAAGGAACAUAUGGUAGAAAAAUUCAAAGAUGAGCAUACAAACAAGAAGGAGUCUUCAUUGGUCAGGAGGUGUCGCAGCAGUCGAAGGAACAUCAGAAAGACGAAGUGUCAGAGCUUGAUUGUCCGGAGCACUUGGUGAAGCACCAGAUGAUGAAGGCAGAAGUUGCCUCAGGAGUAAAGCCAUAAACCUUUGAUGAUCACUCCGAGCCCGAACUUCAGCCUCUUGCAGCUGGUCCAACUUCCUCUUUAUGCUUGUUGAGUAGUUAGUUGCGAGCAUGUGCAACUCUUUAUCUUCAUGCCUCAGCGCUCUGACCUCUUGCCAAAGGCUAGCCACUUCAGCCAUCAACGACUCCACUUGACGAGUUCGAGCAAGAAGGCGUUGGCCCAUGUUUGAUACUGAGCCUGCACUUUGGACGCUGAAAGCCAAAGAAUCCUGAACAGCCUGCUCGUCAGACCGCUUAGAUAGCAUCCUACUGUCUCUUGGAGUAUGAAGAUUUCUAGCAACCACUGCAGCUGUUGCAUCAUUUCUCAUCACAGUGUCCCCAACUGUAAGAGGACCGUUGGAGGAUAUGAAAGAUGGCUGCCAAAUGUUACCUGGAGACGAGAGGUCAAUAUCUUCUUCGAUAUUCAGGUCAAAACGACGGUCGGAUGGGCUAGACAUUUUCAUAGGUGUUAAAGAAAGAAGAGGUCAGACAAGUCAAGAUAGUAGAAAUGCAAGAAGGGAGUAUUCACAGGCAGAAAUUCAUGUGUGCUUUGAACAUCCUGCGAACCUCUAUAAAAAAUAGCACACAAUGAGAUUUCAGGGAUCGAAUAGGCGAGUUCAGAGAUCGAUGAAGCGCCUGCUUUCUCCAAAGCUAGGCCUACUCAGGAAUCACAGGCUGAUCUCAGGUAGUGAAGACGCGCCUGUCUCUCUCAGCCCCGUCAGCACUUGUCACAUGCAGAGAAAACUUUGAGGAAAUCACGGGCAGUUUGUCGAAGCGCCGAUUCCAACCAUCUGUCUUUCUCAGCCUCGUCAGCUUUGAGGAAAUCACGGGCAGUUUGUCGAAGCGCCGAGUCCAACCGCCUGUCUCUCUCAGCCUCGUCGGCACUCGCUUUCUCAAAAGCUGGGCUUGAAAUCACAGGCCAAUCUUCAGUUUCUAAAUUUGUUCGCACUUGUCACAUGCAACCUCUGCACUCAACGAAGCUCAGAACUCGAAGCGCCAAUUCCGGAUAUUAAAGAAGCCUUUGCUUUAUCAGACGUGUCAGCAUCUGUCAAUUGCACAUCUGCGUUGCGUAAAUCACGCGCAAUCUGUCGAAGAUUUCUGGAGAAACGGAAUGCACGUGAAGUUUACUGUUAAAUUACCCCAGGCUUGCUGACACGAGUACUAGAACAAUGCCUUCCCAGCCAUUAAGAAAAAUUCUACAAAUGUUAAAGGCAACCUCACUCAACUUUCAGCCUCACUCAACCUUUCUUCCUCUCUGAGAAUGUAUUCCCGAAGAAGCCUCCCGAGUCACUCUGUGUUUCUCAUCCCUUGGGAUACCCCUGCAAACAACCCACCCAGAGCAAAAGUAUUUCAUAUCAUAACGGUUGAGAGCAAGAGUAUCUCAUAUCAUGCUUUCUCCCUGUCCUUUGUCUCGCCAGCACUUGGUAUCAAUCUUCCGAGCGGGGACCGACUGCCUGGAACCCAUUCCUGAUUGCUUACCUAACCUUGCUCUCGAGUACUCAUCCUUCUUAUGUUUCCUCUUCGUCUACCACAUAGGGGAAGUGAUAAUGAUACCUCGAAGCAUGUGGAUACAACGUGCUGAUUCAUCCUCAACUAAGGACAAGGGAGAAAGCAAGCAAGAUGUGGGCACUUGGAAAGAUUGAACAAAGAAACAGACUAACACCUCUACCUCGUGCCUGCCUACCGAGCAGAAGAAACAAGCAGAGAAGAAUGCAGACUGCACAAUCAAACAACCCAGGAACUCUGAUAUUCCUCGCUCAGGAUUCCAAACCAGUUUGAGAUUCGCCUACACAAAUUGGUGUGUUCUUUCCUUUUCUUUAUGUGUCUUUAUUUCAUUUUAUAUUUCUUUCCUUCCAUUUUCAUGUCUUAUUGUUCAAAAAUUCCUUUCAUUAUCAUUGGGGACAAUGCUAUAAUUAAGUUUGGGGGUAUUUGGAAAUAUAUUUCGUUAGUUUAUUUCUCUAUUAAAAAAAAAAAAAAAUUUUGCAUUUUUAUUGUUGUUUGUAGCUACUUCUCAAUUCAAUGAUGAGAUUUGAUUUUAAUUUCCUUCUUACUUUCAAGAAAGUCUAAGUUCUUUUCGUUGUCUUUGUGUUAACUGUGAUUUCCAGAAAUCAACUUGAAAAAAGAAAUGUGCCUAGUCUUGUCAAUGUGAAACUUGAGCAUGAUUUAGCGUUUCAUAUGUGAAUCAUGUGAGAUUAUGUAAACCUUGUGAGUUUUUUAGCCUAUACAUGAUUGAACCAUUAUGCAUCAAUCUCAUUCCUUCUUGUGCGUAUGAUCUCACUGUACAUGUAUCUCUAGAACUUGCUUUAUACUACUCGAUUCAUUAAUCAAUUCAUGUAAUAACUUGGAAGUGAUAUAGGCCAUCUUUGGAUCGUUUGAGCCUUUCAUGCCUACCUUAUAUGCUAUGUUUAUCCUUAGUAGCCCUUUGAGCCUUUAACUAAGCCAUUUCUUUGUUAACCACAUCUCUUUACCUUGCUCCAAUAUUGGAGUUGAGCCCAUACACAAAAAUCGAUUCCUUAUUGUUUUGAGAAAGUAUUACAUGGGUUGUGCUUUUGGGGGUUUCAUUUAUAUAGAAAGAUGGAUGGAGUAUGUGUAUACAAUGAAAUGUGAAUUUGAUGGGUGAUGUAGAUUUUGAAAAUUAUUUCAAAAGAAAAAAAAAACGAAAAAAAACGAAAAAAAUGAAAAUUGGAGAGUGUUGAUUUGUUGAAAAUGUGUCGGUAGAGUAUAAAUUUCCUUUUAAAGUUAAAUUUGGGGAGUAACAGGUGCUCGAGGUUUUAUUAUUUUGCUUUCAAUUUGAGGUGGUGUGAUAUUGAGGUGUUGGAAAACUACCAAAGUGUACUUUCUCAAAAUUUUUGAUUUCCAUAUCCUUUCUUUCAUUAGCCUAUCACCUUUAGCCCCAUUACAACCGUAAUAAAGUCCUAUUGAUCCAAGGUAUUACUUAAAUAUUGAUAAGCGAGUUAGGUGGACAAGCAAGCACAUGGCGGCAUGUACAAUGAGAUUACUUGAGUGAAACACAUUAACAAAAAAUUAUGAGUGAAUGAGCGUAUGUCUUGUGAGAAACUCACAUGUUUGCAUAUGAUGAUUUAAAGGAGCUUGGAAUUGCAUUGACAUAGCUAGCUCACACAUGGCAUUUCAACGUUUUGUUUGAAGGAAAUUUGGUUAACUAUUGGAUGAUGUUUUGAGCUCUUGCUUACUUCUUGGCAGUGUAUCUCAUGACUAGCACUUAUCUCUGAAAUCGAAAUUGAGAAGUUGGCUACUAAGUUGUUGAAUCUAGUCUUAGUUGAGUGGUUUUGUUUUGCUAGAGGACUAGCAAAAAUGUAAGUUUGGGGGUAUUUGAUCACUCAUAUAUUUCAUGCAUUUAUACCAUCCAUUUCUAAAGUCUUUGUGAUGUUUUUGUGUUAAAGUUGUGGCAUUUUACCUUACCUUGUGUUAAUGUACAGUUAAUUUUAUUUUAGGAUCAAUUUCAAAGAAAAUGGGCUGAAAAGAAAAUAAAAGAAAAGAAAUAAAUGGGACGGAAAGGAAGACACUGACAGAAUAAAAGAAUGAAGAAAGAGGUAGAACGGCAGAUAGAGAAGUGGGAAGAAAGUGGAGUGCGCAUGGGAUGGAAGUGGAACAAAAAGCAGGAGAGGGAGUGAGGAGUGCGGGAUAAAAGCAAAGAAAAAUAGAAGAAUAAGAAAGAAGUGGGAGGACACGGACUGAGUGGAAGAAUUAAAGAGAGAAGCAGGGUGCAGGCACGGACAGAAAGGAGAACUGAAGAAUAAAAGAGAAGACAGAGAAGCAGAAAAAAGAAGAGAAACUGACGUGAAAGCCAGUGCGCAGAGGGCGCAGAGAGAUAGGAGAGAUUGUGCGGGAGCAGAAGCACAGAAGCAGAGGGAACAAAAUCACAGACUGACAGCAGACGCAAGAGGCACGGCAGAGAGCAAAGCUUCACUCUAUUUUUCUUGGUUUUAUCUUCUCAAACCCAUGUUUUACUUUUGGUUUAAUUUGUGAAUUAUGUGUAACUAAAUUUUAAGUAGUUAGGGGCUGUUUUGAAGCCCCGAAUAUGAUUGUAAGUUUGUUGUGAUAUUUUGUUUGAAUGACUUUUAUGAAAGGAUGAAAAUUGUUUCACUACUUAUGUGAUUGAUAAAUUCUUUAUGUGUUUCUAUGGAUGCAUACAUAGUGAGCAUAUCUAGGAUUUUAAUGCUAUGAAUAUAUGUUUACCUGCCCUUGUUGAAUGAGGACCUACAUAUGUUCUAGAGUAGCACUUGUUAAUUGUGGUUAACAUGUGAACCGAUUUCUAGGAUAAGUAAGACAAUGCCAGUACUUAUCAUGCCUUGUGAUGACUCAAACUCUUUUCGUUCUUAAUGAUUUCUACUUGUUAAAUCUAUGAACACGACAUUCUAGAUUACAUGCUAGGGACUACGUUAAGUUGAAAACGCUAUUCUCUUAACAUACUACGUAAGAAAAAGUAAUAGGUUGUGUUCUAACAUUGAGCCAACUUGAGCAUCUUCAUCCGGAAAUAAAAGGAAUUUGAAUGAAACAUAACAUGUUUGCAUGAUUAUUUGGUGGUGGAUAGCAUUUCCCCUAAUUCGUUUUCUUAACUUGUGAAUUAAAAUCUAUUGGUAUUAUUUAAAACUGGUUGAGGUCCUGUUUUGUCCGAUUUAAUUUAAAUAGCUAAUCAACUUCAAAAAUCCCAAACAUUUGUGUGAGCAUAGCUUGGUGUGUCUAGUUUAUGUGUAUAAAAUUUCGUUGCAUUUGGAUAAGUGUAAGUUAGUCUAAUAAUUAUUGUUCGGUGGCUGGUCAGUGGAGACAACCAUCCUGUUUUUGUGACAUUUUAAGUGUUUGGAUAAAACAAUUUUCUGCGGAAAAGACCCUUAUUUUCAUAUGCUACAAUCGACAAAAUUUUAGUGUUAAUAAGGAAAAUCAAUAGGAUUAUUGUGGGCUACUUUGUGGUGCGUUAUAAUUACUACCAUGCUGUCAGUGGGUGUUAAUAUCAGGUACCCAUGUUCAGUUUUUCGUUUUGAUUUGAAGGAAUUUCUUGCGGAGAGGAGCAAGGGUUUCUUGGUGAGUUCUUCGGGUUGUGCAUAUGGGUAAUUUUCUUUUCGGUUUAACCCUCUGCUUCUGCUGCUCUCUCUCUUUCUCUCAUCCCUGCCUGCUCCUCUCCAAUUGUUUGCUGUUCUUAAAUAUUGUGUUCAUUGCCUGAUACAAGGGGCUGCAGCAAUCUGUUUUAUCCUACACGGGACAACGAGGCAAUGGCGUGACAACAGGUGAGCUUGGAUAUCCAAAGAAAAAGAACAGUUGGUUCAUCUGCUGGAGUCUGAGCUUAGAGAAGUGGAGGAAAAUUGCAGGUGUGCGAGAAAUUUUAUUUUGCUGAUAGGACUCCUUAUUUACUGAUGCAUUUUGAAAUAAUUGAAAAGUUGGAUUUGAGUUAACAGCUAUAAAAAUGUAGACAUGAUUGCUGAGAUUAUGCUAUGAAAGUGGAAUAAAAAAAUGGUAGUUUAUAAUAUUGCGUACCAAUUGUUUUCUCUCUUUUUUACCAAAUGAUAAGGGUGGUGGCUCAGGCCGCCCCCCUAAGCGUCCCCACUCUUCGACAAGUUGAAAUCGUGGUGAUAGUUUAUGGGCUGUGGUCUUGGGAUUCUGCAAAUAGAAUGAAAAACAGACACUUAACUAUCUUGUUAUUAAGCAUUUCUGCAUCAUUCAGUUGCUCUUGAUUUUCGUCUUUUAAGCGAUCUUAUUUCUGCGAUCUGACUUGAGGAGGGUUUUUAGACCUAUGGUUGUGGGUGUUUUCUCUGACCCCAUUAUCCGAGAUUUGUAGACUUGCGAUCGGCGGUCAAACAUUUUGUGAUUCUUGUUUUCUCUGCCUUUCGGUCGUUAAGCGCCGGCAGUCUUUAGAUCUUUGGCAAAUCAAUUUAAUACAACCGAGGUAUGUUUUAUAACUGCUGUCUUUCAAUUUUUGUUCUGUAUUUUUGUUAAUUUGGAUGAAGCUCUAAUAAUUUUGUUUUGGAUCAGUUGUGGUCCUCUGUUAGGAUUUUCCUGGCUAAGAGGGUAUUUGCGUUUUUGUUGCUUGGUUGGUCGAUCACAGAUUUACGAACAGCUGUGGUGGUCCUGUUAUUUUUUGGUAUGUUUUUUCUCCUUUUUGGUUUUUUUCCCGGUUUGAGCACCCAUUCUUGAAGAAUUAAAAUGUGUUUUAUAGUUUUUUCAGGAGAGAUUAGAAAAGUGAUUUCAAUUUGGGAAAAUUUAAUGUUGGUUAAAAUUUGUUUAUAAUUUUUGGGAAGGAAUGAGAGGACCCAUUGAAGUAUGUGUUGUGAUUAUUUUUUAUUCAUAUUUUUAACAAAUUGGGCAUGAAUUGGUAGGUUAACUGUGUGUGUUUAUUAUUUGAAUCGGCCAUGUUUGUCUUUCUAUGGUUCUAAAAAAUUUGUAAAGGCUGUUAACUUGGAAGAAAAUGGGAUCGAGGGUGAGGGGAAAACGGCAGAGAAAGCAUGGAAGAGAGAUUUGGGAUUAGGGGUAGGAAAACAGAUGAAAAGAAUAUGAUAGAGGAAUGGGUUCAGUUCAUUUUCACUAUUUUUUUUUAACUGAUUUGGAUUUUGUUUGGGUUUAACUCCGCCUAUGUCUUACAUGGCCGGUCCCAAGCCCGGAUAAAGGAGGAGGGGGAGGGCGUCAGGUAGUCGACAGCCGGCACUCCAUGAUCAUGUCGAAUCCUUAUGAAAAUGAAUCCAGAACAAAAUCGCGCUAAAGCUAGGACGUCACCCGUAAGUGGCGCGCUGUAUGGCCCGAGCACAGUGAUAAGUGAGCAAGGGUCGCUGUAUCUCCAUCGGCACCCGGAUGCAGUGUUAAAUGAGCAAGGGGGCCAUAGAAACUUCUUUUCGAACGACUCCACUCAAAGUUGUUUGAGAGCAUAUGCUCCUAUCAACUUUACCCGGGACACACAAAAGAAGUACUUUGAUCCUAUUAGACGGGGGAGGGUGAAGAAGCUAGGACAGAAGGGUAGAGUUCAAGAGAGCAAAAUGCGUUUAGGAACGUGGAAUAUAGGAACCUUAACGGGAAAAUCUAUGGAAGUAGUGGAAGUUAUGGUGAGGAGAAGGAUAAAUAUUAUGUGCCUACAAGAAACUAAGUGGGUUGGUAGUAAGGCAAAGGAUCUAGAAAACUCAGGGUUUAAACUUUGGUAUUCGGGCACAAAUAGAACGAGAAACGGUGUUGGCAUCAUCGUGGACAAGACCUUGGUACAAGAUGUUGUAGAUGUCAAGAGGGUAGGAGAUAGAAUCAUGGCAAUCAAGAUUGUAAUAGGACAAGAACUUAUCAAUGUGAUUAGUGCGUACGCACCUCAAGUAGGGUUGGAUACGAGUUCGAAGGAGAAAUUUUGGGAAGAUCUUGGAGACUUGGUGCAAGGAAUUGCUCAGACGGAGAAGUUAUUUAUAGGAGGAGAUUUAAAUGGACACGUGGGCAGGGAGACAGGCAACUAUGGAGGUUUUCAUGGUGGCCAUGGUUUUGGGGAGAGAAACGAGGAUGGGGAAGCUAUCUUGGAUUUUGCAAUGGCAUAUGAUCUCUUCUUAGCCAACACCUUCUUUAAGAAGAGAGAAGAACAUGUGAUCACCUACAAGAGUGGGUCGUCAAAAACACAAAUAGAUUUUCUUCUAAUGAGGAAAGGGGAUCGUAUAACUUGUAAGGAUUGCAAAGUUAUACCAGGAGAGAGCGUGGCUAAUCAACAUCGCUUGUUGGUGAUGGAUGUACAUAUCAAAAGAGUAAGACAAAAGAACAAGACUUGGAAGUGCCCAAGGACUAGAUGGUGGAAUCUAAAAGAAGAAAAACAAGCCAUUUUCAAAGAGAAGGUAAUCACCCAAUGUGUGUGGGAUAGAGAGGGGGAAGCUAGCCAAAUGUGGGAUUCCAUGGCUAGUUGUAUCCGAAAAGUAGCAAAAGAGGUAUUAGGAGAGUCCAAGGGCUUUGCCCCACACCAAAAGGAAUCUUGGUGGUGGAAUGAGGAGGUACAAACAAAGGUGAAGGCUAAGAAGGAAUGUUGUAAAGCCUUAUACAAGGAGAGGACCGAUGAAAAUGGUGAAAGGUAUAGAAAAGCGAAGCAAGAGGCGAAGAAAGCUGUCAGAGAAGCUAAGUUAGCGGCUUACGACGAUAUGUAUAAACGACUAGAUACCAAAGAAGGAGAGUUGGAUAUCUAUAAACUAUCUAGAGCAAGGGAAAAGAAGACAAGGGACCUAAACCAAGUGAGGUGCAUCAAGGAUGAGGAUGGAAAGGUUCUUGCUACAGAGAACGCGGUUAAAGACAGAUGGAGAGGUUAUUUUCAUAAUCUUUUCAAUGAAGGACAUGAAAUGAGUGCUUCUUUAGGGGAGUUGAGUAACUCAGAAGAGUGUAGAAACUACUCUUUUUAUCGUCGAAUCCGGAAGGAAGAAGUGGUUGUAGCUUUGAAGAAGAUGAAGCAUAAAAAAAGCAAUAGGCCCAGACGAUAUACCAAUCGAAGUGUGGAAACUUUUGGGAGAGACAGGUAUAACAUGGCUCACUGACCUUUUCAAUAGGAUUUUGAAAACGAAGAAGAUGCCAAAUGAGUGGCGAACGAGCACUUUGGUGCCUAUCUACAAGAAUAAGGGCGACGUACAAAAUUGCAUGAACUAUAGGGGUAUUAAGCUAAUGAGUCAUACAAUGAAGCUCUGGGAGAGAGUCAUUGAGCAUAGAUGAGGCAAGAGACACGGGUUUCGGACAACCAAUUCGGGUUCAUGCCAGGGCGCUCAACCAUGGAGGCAAUCUAUCUCUUACGAAGAUUGAUGGAAAGAUAUAGAGAUGGGAAAAAGGAUUUACACAUGGUCUUUAUAGAUUUGGAAAAAGCGUAUGAUAGGGUCCCAAGAGACAUUCUUUGGAGGAUUUUAGAGAAGAAAGGAGUACGAGUAGCAUAUAUCCAAGCUAUAAAGGAUAUGUAUGAAGGAGCAAAGACUGCCGUAAGAACUCAUGAAGGACAAACCGAAAGCUUUCCCAUAACUGUAGGAUUACAUCAAGGCUCAUCCUUAAGUCCUUACCUUUUUGCGUUGGUAAUGGAUGAGUUAACAGGACAUAUUCAAGAUGAUAUUCCUUGGUGUAUGCUUUUCGCAGACGAUAUAGUGUUGAUAGAUGAAACUCAGGAAGGGGUAAAUGCAAAGCUUAACCUUUGGAGAGAAGUGUUGGAAUCUAAAGGUCUUCGCCUAAGCCGAUCAAAGACAGAAUAUAUGGAGUGCAAGUUCAGUGCAAAUGGAGGCCAAAACGAGUUAGGGGUGAGGAUCGGAGAUCAAGAAAUACCAAAGAGCGACCGUUUUCGUUACCUAGGAUCUAUCUUGCAAAAGAACGGAGAAUUAGAUGGAGAUCUCAACCAUAGAAUACAAGCUGGAUGGAUGAAGUGGAAGAGUGCAUCCGGCGUGUUGUGUGACCGCCGUAUGCCACUGAAGCUCAAGGGAAAAUUUUAUAGGACGGCAAUAAGGCCGGCGAUGCUGUAUGGCACAGAAUGUUGGGCGGUGAAACAUCAACACGUACACAAAAUGGGUGUAGCGGAGAUGAGGAUGCUUCGUUGGAUGUGUGGGCACACGAGAAAGGAUAAGAUUAGGAAUGAGGAUAUCCGGGGUAAAGUAGGAGUAGCCGAAAUUGAAGGAAAGAUGAGAGAAAAUCGGUUACGGUGGUUUGGACAUGUGCAAAGAAGGCCUACUGACGCUCCGAUUAGAAGAUGCGACUAUGGGACAGAGGUUCAGGGCCGAAGGGGUAGAGGAAGACCUAGGAAAACUUUGGAAAGAGACUCUAAGAAAAGACUUAGAGUACUUGGAUCUAACGAAGGACAUGACACAGGAUCGAGCACAAUGGCGUUCUAAGAUUCAUAUAGCCGAUCCCACUCAGUGACUUGGAUUUUCCAAGUCUCCAACCGAGAAGUUUUCCUCACUCGGAAAAUUAAGGGAACACUACCCCAACCUACAUGCUCCACUCAGAAAGCUUCAACAUACAAGCUUCAACAAAAGAAAAUUCAAAGAACUUAGCGAAGAAGGCUUUGGUGUAUUUAACACAAUACGUUGAAAUGAAGGAAAGCUUAUUUAUUGAUAUCCCCGAUAAGCUACAAAUAUGUACAUAUACAUGAGUCAAAAUAAACACACAAGAGGGAGCCUUCACAAAGGUUGCUUAGGAGAAGUCUCAGCAGUCGGUAGAGCCCCAGAAAGAGAAGGCACCGGAGGGGGAUCAUUUGGAGCCUCAGUACUGGACAGAACCCUAGAAGGAGGAGGCAUCAGAGGUUGAUCAUUUGGAGCUUCAUUACGCGGUACAGCCCCAGAAGACGAAGGCAAUAAAUGCCUUUGGAACAAACCCACAAAUCUCUGAUGAUCAAGUAAAACCUGACCAUCAGUUUCCUUCAUCUGGUCAAGCUUCCUCUUCAUGUUUGUAGCAUAGUCAUGUGCGAGCCGGUGCAACUGUUUAUUCUCAUGCUUGAGCCCUCUAAUCUCCUGUUUGAGACUCAUCACUUCAGCCGCCAAUGAUUCAACUUGGCGGGUUCGAGCAAAUAGGCGUUGGGCCAUAUUAGACACAGAACCUGCACACUGAACACUGAGAGCCAGCGAAUCCUUAACAGCUAACUCAUCAGACCGUUUGGAAAGUAGUCUGUUAUCUUUGGGAGUGAGAAGGUUCCUGGCCACCACCGCAGCGGUCAUAUCAUUCUUCAUCACGGAAUCCCCAACGGUAAGAGGACCAGUAGGGGAGACGAAGGAUGGGCGCCAUAUGUUGUCUGGAGAAGGCGGGGCUGCCUCUUCAACAAGGUUCAAGUCAAAACGACGGUCGGAGGGGCCAGACAUUUUCAAAUGUGUUGAAGAGAGAAGAGGUCGGACAAAUCAAGAUCUUAGAAGUGCAAGAAUGAAGCUUCUACUGGUGGAGAUUCAAGUGUGCUUUGGAACUUAAUGCCAGCCCCUAUAAAAAUCUGCACUCGACGGAGCUUCAGAAAUCGAAGAGGCGCCUGCUCAGAAAUCGAAGAGGCGUUUGCUUUCUCAAAAGCUGGGCUGCUUAGAGAUCACGAGGGUUGAUCUCAGAAAUCGAAGAGGCGUUUGCUUUCUCAAAAGUUGGGCUGCUCAAAGACCUCGAAGGCUGAUCUCAGAAAUCGAAGAGGCGCUCGCUUUCUCAAAAGCUGGGCUCCCUAGAGACCACGAGGGCCGAUCUCAGAAAUCGAAGAGGCACCUACUUUUCCAGCCUUGUCAGCACCUGUCACACGCGCACACUCAGCUUUGCGGAAAUUAUGGGCAUUCUGUCGAAGACUUCUGGGGAAGUAGAAAAAACACAUGAAUCUUACUGUUCAAUCACCCACUUCCCACACGCAACAAUAGCUCAUGGGUACCACAGAUAACUUUGCCAAAGUUCUCUGCCAAAGUUGAGCACGUGAAGCUUGCAGCUCCCACUACAUCGCUCUGACCAAGAAGGGUAAAAGAAUAGCAAAGAAACACAGCACUAACAAAGUUUAGACCCAUAAAUUUUGAAGGUCUAGCUACCAUAUUAUUACCACACACAGGGUAAAGGAACAGUACCACUGCUGGAUAAUUGGAAAGUCCCUGUUUGUCAACCUCUGUGCUUCGUGGCAAGGUAGACUAGCAAACAUGCCCAACCUUUACUCACAUUCGAGAAAACACUCCCAAUAAGAUUGCUUGCUCCAAAAUCGAAGAGGCACCGUCCUCCGAAUCUCGAGAGCCAGACUCCCAACAUGACUACUUUCUUAAAAAUCGAAGAGAGGGUAAAGGAACAGUACCAUUGCUGGAUAAUUGGAAAGUCCCUGUGUGUCAACCUCUGUGCUUCGUGGCAAGGUAGACUAGCAAACAUGCCCAACCUUUACUCACAUUCGAGAAAACACUCCCAACAAGAUUGCUUGCUCCAAAAUCGAAGAGGCACCGCCCUCCGAAUCUCGAGAGCCAGACUCCAAACAUGAUUACUUUCUCAAAAAAUCGAAGAGACACUGCUCCCCGAAUCUUCGAGAGCCAGACCCCCAGCAUGAUUGCUUUCUCAAAAAUCGAUGAGGCAUCGUUCUCCGAAUCAAUCGAAGAGGCGCUCGCUUUCUCAAAAGCUGGGCUGCUCAGAGACCACGAGGGCCGAUCUCAGAAAUCGAAGAGGCACCUACUUUUCUAGCCUUGUCAGCACCUGUCACACGCACACUCAGCUUUGCAGAAAUUAUGGGCAUUCUGUCGAAGACUUCUGGUGAAGUAGAAAGCACAUGAAUCUUACUGUUCAAUCACCCACUUCCCACACGCAACAAUAGCUCAUGGGUACCACAGAUAACUUUGCCAAAGUUCUCUGCCAAAGUUGAGCACGUGAAGCUUGCAGCUCCCACUACAUCGCUCUGACCAAGAAGGGUAAAAGAAUAGCAAAGAAACAGCACUAACAAAGUUUAGACACAUAAAUUUUGAAGGUCUAGCUACCAUAUUAUUACCCACAAGGGUAAAGGAACAGUACCACUGCUGGAUAAUUGGAAAGUCCCUGUGUGUCAACCUCUGUGCUUCGUGGCAAGGUAGACUAGCAAACAUGCCCAACCUUUACUCACAUUCGAGAAAACACUCCCAACAAGAUUGCUUGCUCCAAAAUCGAAGAGGCACCGUCCUCCGAAUCUCGAGAGCCAGACUCCCAACAUGACUACUUUCUCAAAAUCGAAGAGAGGGUAAAGGAACAGUACCAUUGCUGGAUAAUUGGAAAGUCCCUGUGUGUCAACCUCUUUGCUUCGUGGCAAGGUAGACUAGCAAACAUGCCCAACCUUUACUCACAUUCGAGACAACAGUCCCAACAAGAUUGCUUGCUCCAAAAUCGAAGAGGCACCGCCCUCCGAAUCUCGAGAGCCAGACUCCCAACAUGAUUACUUUCUCAAAAAUCGAAGAGACACUGCUCUCCGAAUCUCGAGAGCCAGACCCCCAGCAUGAUUGCUUUCUCAAAAAUCGAAGUGGCAUCGUUAUCCGAAUCUCGAGAGCCAGACUCCCAACAUGAUUACUUUCUCAAAAAUCGAAGAGACACUGCUCUCCGAAUCUCGAAAGCCAGACCCCCAGCAUGAUUGCUUUCUCAAAAAUCGAAGAGGCAUCGUUCUCCGAAUCUCGAGAGCCAGAUACCACAUACCACUUUUUCAAAGUGCUCUGACAGAGUUAAAACAUGUGAAACUGGCAGCUCCCACUACCGUGCUAUGACCAAGCAGGGUAAAGGAAUAACAUUACUACUUGUUAGGGAGACUCCUAUAUAUGUUGACCUCCAUCCCCAACAGACAGGCAGACCUGCAAAAAUGCUCAACCCUUCAUCAUAUCUGAGAGGGCACUCCCAACGAAGCCUUUCGAAAUAUUCAGCUUUCUUUCCCCCCGAUAAUACCUCUGCAAACAAGCUAUACUAGAGCAAGAAUAUCUCAUAUCAUCAGGGUUAAAAGCAAGAGUAUCCCAUAUCAUGCUUUUUCCCUGUCUUUUCCUUUGGCCUUGUUUUUACCUGCAAGACAAGGAGAAAGAGAGCAAUCAGUCAGCACUUGGAAUCAAGCUUCCAGCUAGGAACUGACUGCCUGGAACCCCUUACCUGAUUACUUACCUGGCAUUGCUCUCGAGUACUCAUCUUCAACAUCUUAUGUUUCCAGGGAAGAUUCCGCAUCUGCUUGAGGAACAGAUAGGGCAAGUGCGAAAGAUACAAGGAAGCAUGUGGAGACAAGCGUAACAGCACACGUGCCGAUACAUCCAUUACUCUGUCAAAAGCAAAAGUAUCCCAUAUCAGCAGGGUGGAAAGUACUCUAGAUUUGAUGGACUUGUUUUGACCCUCAAAUUCUUCAGUCGACCUUAUACUCUGGAGGAAACCAGAAAACCCUCCAGCUCAGUUCAAGAAUAAGCCUGUGGAAAGUUACUUCUUCAAAAGCAAAAGUAUCUCAUAUCAUCUCUUCUCAUUUUUCUUCUCUUUAUCCUUCAUGCUGCUGCAAGAUGGGGAGAAGGUGAACAAUCAGUCGGAGCUCUGAUUGCUUACCUUGUCUGUCACCUCUUUCAGCAGACCCCUAGCUCGGCGACUUGGGGGACUCCUACUACAUGGUUUGUAUCGCGCUUGACCAAGCCUGAAACUACAAGUAAGCUUCAAGUGAAAUUGAUACAUUACCUUGUGCAUCUCCACCAGUUAAAGAUACCACCCCUGGAUGGAGGAAGAGUACUUCCAGAAAAGAUGCCACAUCUACCUAUGAGACAGAUAAGGCAAGUCAAGACGACACCACACUCCGAUACUUAGAAGUUUCGUGAUUACGAGAUCAUUCUCCCACAAUAUUUCCUAAUGUCAUUUGUACUAAAUCAUUCACUUGUACUCACUAAAGGAGAGCUUGAACCUAUGUACUUGUGUAAACCCUUCACAAUUAAUGAGAACUCUUCUAUUCCGUGGACGUAGCCAAUCUGGGUGAACCACGUACAUCUUGUGUUUGCUUUCCUAUCUCUAUCCAUUUAUAUACCUAUCCACACUAAUGACCGGAGCAAUCUAGCGAAGAUCACAAAAAGCGACCGUUUUCGCUACCUAGGAUCUUAUCUUGCAAGAGAACGGAGAAUUAGAUGGAGAUCUCAACCAUAGAAUACGAGCUGGAUGGAUGAAGUGUAAGAAUGCAUCCGGCGUGUUGUGUGACUGUCGUAGGCCACUAAAGCUCAAGGGAAAAUUUUAUAGGACGGCAAUAAGGCCAACGAUGUUGUAUGGCAUAGAAUGUUAGGCGGUGAAGCAUCAACACGUACACAAAAUGGGUGUAGCGGAGAUGAGGAUGCUUCGUGGGAUGUGUGGGCACACGAGAAAGGAUAAGAUUGGGAAUGAGGAUAUCCGAGGUAAAGUAGGAGUAGCCGAAAUUGUAGGAAAGAUGAGAGAAAAUCGGCUCCGGUGAUUUGGACAUGUGCAAAGAAGGCCGAAUGACACUCCGAUGUGACUACGGGACAGAGGUUCAGGGCCGAAGGGGUAGAGGAAGAUCUAGGAAAACUUUGGAAGAGACUCUAAGAAAAGACUUAGAGUACUUGGAUCUAACGGAGGACAUGAUACAAAACCGAGCGCAAUGGCGUUCUAGGAUUCAUAUAGCCGACCCCACUUAGUGGGAAAAGGCUUUGUUGUUCUGUUGUUGUUGUUGGAUUUUGUUUGGGUUUGAGGCCAUCAUUGGCGUUAAGACGUUUAUUAUCAGAUCGUGUGUUUUUUGCUAACUUUUAUUGGUAAUUUUAAUGUUGUUCUUAUGAUUUUGUGUGGUAGGGUUUCUGAUUUUUAUCGUUAUUCAUUUGGUUUUUUGUGUGUGUUGGUUUGUUUAUUUUGCAGGUUGUGUUUGUGCUGGGACAACAUUUUCCACCUUCUGUUUGCACUGGGAUGAUUGCGUUUUAAAACUGUUGGGGUGAGAUUUACAUAUGGAAUCAUUCCAUUUUUUUUCUUCCAAAUAUGUGCAUUUAGUUCUCUUUUAUUUUAAAUUUUAAAAAUUAAAUCGUUAUUUGAGUAAAAUGUUUUAUCAGUUUAUGUUAUGUGUUGUGACCAGGAAUUCUGUUGGAUUUGCGAAUUUUGGUUUGAUGAGAGAAAUGAGGAGUUUUUUUUGUUUGAAUUUUUUAUUGGACCGAUUUUCAAUUGGAUUGCAUUCUGCCUUUUUGCACCAUUCGUAUGCAAGCAAUUCAUUGUUUUAAAUACAAUUUGAAGAGAGCUGGGUUGCGGGUUGGAUAUAAAAUGUUAAGGUGAGAUAAAAUCGAGAUACCAAGGGUGGAAGAAUGAUUCAGAAUUGGGGGAGGAAAACAGAGGGAAGAUAGAAGAGUAUAAGAGAAGGAUAGGGUUGACCUCAUUUAGAGUUUUUAUUUACUUAUUUUUUUUUAUAAAUUGAUUCAGGACUUGCAUAUCAUUUCUAAAUUUCUAACAUUUUUGUUUAAUUUGACUCCAGUUGAUGGAAAACAGAGCUCUUACUCCUAUCAAUCAGUUGGUCCCGUACAUAAAUGCAGAAAAAUCAAGGUUCGAGUUUGCAGAGUAUGCAGACCAAGGUUUCCCGAAACUACUGGUGCAUAUUCAGGCUUGCAUUGUAUAUUACUUACCUAUUAAAAAUUUGUUUGGAAUUUGCUUUUCCCACAGAGGAGAAGAGCUGACAGUUACGCUGUGGGCAGAUGUUGCUCGAAGUAUUGCUUCUUUAUCCAUUGAAUCAUUGUCUCUGCCGAUCAUUGUGGUUUUCACAAGUUUAAAGGUCAAGCUGUACCUAGGUAUUUGACUUAGUUAAAAACUAAUCUAUUUACUAUUAAUUUUUCUAUUAUAUUCAAACGUUAUUUAAUAUAUACUCUACUAAUAUUUUCUUAACAUGUCACACAAACAUAUUCACUUCUUUUGAUCAAUUUUUUACAGCGUUUCAUAUAAAAGCUAACAUUUAGUUGAAAUUGAUUAGCAACUCUUUUCUUGCAUGUAUACAUACGAAUUAAACAAUAGUAUUAAACUAUUUGUUAUCAUUCUCAGUUUUUGUUUUAGAAUUAGAUUAAUAUAUUUAACCUGUUUUAGAAUUAGAAUUAUUUGGUAUCACUCUCAGUAUUUGUUUUAGAAUUAGAAUUAGAUUAAUAUACUGAGAUUAUUUAGACAAAUCUAGCAUUUUCUCAAAAUAUUUGACUUUUAAACUUAGAUUAAUAUAUUUAGCAGUUUUUUAACAUGCAAUUUUUCAUUAAUUUUUCAACACACAGACAAGAUAGUCUUGAACACCAUUGGUUCAUCACUUUUCUUCAUUGAUCUAGAUAUUCUGGAAGUAAAUUCAUACAAAUCAGUGUAAGUGUGUUUACUUUGUUUAAAAAAAUAUUAUAUGCUCUCACAAUAAAAGAAGGGCUAUUCUCACAAAAUUUAUGAACUAAUGUUCUGUUUUAACCUCUACAGCUUUUCCAAAUGCACAGAACCUCUAAAAAUACUGCCACCUUUUACAAAACAGGCCCGUGAAGCUCAAAUCUUGCAGACAGCGAAGGUCACAAUUGCAGACGCUGAAAUUUUCAUGCCAAAAUAUGAUGUGGAGGAUGAGAAAUUGUUUGCUGUUGUUCUCUUUUCAGUUUUGCAGGCGAUGAUCUUUUACCAAAUGUCGAGGAGCUUCCAUGGGACAUGCUCUAUGCUCUCGCUUCCCAGUUGCCUCUGUUGGGGUUGGAAAAGCUACAGAUCACAAUGUAAGUCAAAAACAGUAAAGUUCCCAAGAUGUUCUGUGCUGGAGCAGAUUUAAAGGUACGAAUUUUUAAUUUUUUUGUGAAGUCGAUGUUUUGUUUUAAAAGGAGUUAUAAUGGAUUGAUUGGACAAGUACAGAGUGUUUGUUUGUUUGGUUGAAUGUAAAAAGGAAUUGGAAGAAUGAUGAAAGUACUUGCAUUUGGUUGUAGUUGGUCAGGCACUGAAGGACCGGUCAAUACGAAGUGCAUCUGUGGGACAAUAGUUGAAAGAAGGCCAGAGCAGGAAGAGAAGGCAAGGUUUGUGAAGAAAAACAGUAAAAGGUCGUACCCAGUGCACAAGGCUCCCGCUUUACGCAAGGUCUGGGAGAGGUGAAUGUCGGCUAGCCUUACCCCCAUUCUGCUUUUGUUUAAUUAGAAGAAAUGUGCAUUUUUUUUUCCCAGUCAAAUUCUGCUUUUGUUCUGACUAUUUUCCUUACUGUAUGCUGAUUUUAUUAUUUAAUUUUUGGUUUUUCCUUGAUUGGCUUGGGAAUUACAAUCAAAUGAUGAAUCUUCAGUUUACUUGGGUAAGCAUUUUUUAACAUAUAAUUUAGCUGACCAUUUUAACUGUCAGACCAUGUUGUUUUUGGUUAUCUAAUCAUUCCAAGAUGGCAAGUUAGGAUUGGAAGGGUUGCUAGAAAUAAGGAUUAUAUCUUGGGACAUUCGGUGAGUGAUUUUUCAAACUUUCAGUUUUACAAGACAAAAUAUCUAUUUUUGUGUGUAUUCUUCAAGCAUGUUAUCAUUAUUUAGGUUGUAGGAAAAAAAGAGAGUGACUUGAGGUGUUUUUAGAUAUUUUUGUGUGUAUUCUUCACAAUGUAUUAAAAGCGCGAGGCGUGGGCGAGGCGUCCGAGGGAUAGCCCACGCCUCACGCCUUACGGGACCUAAAUUUUUUAAUAUAUACACUGAGCGUACACAUAUAUUAUAUUAAAAAAAAUUAUUAAUCAAUAAUCACCCUGAGCACACAUAUAUAUUAUAAAUACAUAUAUACACAUAUAUAUACAUAUAUAUACAUAUAUUAUGUUAUAUAUAUAUAUAUAAAAUAGAGGAUGAAAAGCACAAUGAGCACACAUAUAACAAUGCAUGCAGACAGCACACAAUAUAGUGCAAGGAAUAGGUAUGAGGUAGUUAAAACCCUACCCAAAAUCUGGGUUUGGGAGUAAAAAUAAAAAAAAAAAAAAAAAUUGCAUGAGGCGCGCCUAGACGGCUCCGACAACGCCUUCCGGCGCCUUCCGCCCACUCCCUCAAAACAAAGGCGGCAACCCUCAAGUCCAGCCUCACAGGGUGCCUAGGCGCACCCUGAGGUGAGCCUUUUAAAACAUUGAUUCUUCAAGCAUGCUAUCAUAAUAUUUGUAACUAUAAAAAAUAAUAUACUAUUAUACCUCUGUUUCUCUUUUCUUUGUUUUCAUGAGAAAUUAAUUGCCAUUGGCAGCACUAUAGAAAGCCAUCUUUCUCCAUUAUUCUCCGCUUCAUGCAUAAUUACAUAAUUCUACUAUCACAGUUGUCAGUCCUGAACAAUAAUGCAAGUCUAGUGGCAAAAACCACCUCAAUGAACAACUCACACACACACACAGACACUGAUCAUACAUCUCUAACUCUCUUUUUCAAAUAACACACUCUGAUCCAAAACAGGGUAAAUAAAAUGCACAUCCUUAUACAUUUCUAACUUUGUUUUUCGAAAUCCAAAAUAGGGUAUUCUAACUCUCUUUUUCAUUCAUUUCUUACAAACCAAUCAUACAUUUAAAAUAGGCUUUGAAUAAAAAUAGGGUAUAUAAUUAUAUACCUCAAAAUGCCUAGGAACCAACUUCCCCCUCCAACGAUUCAAAUUCUUGAAAUUGCCAACACAGUAAAUCCAUUAGUACUAUAUAAAUGAAAACACAAUUGAAACCCAUCAAACAAAACAAUCCCACAAUUUAAAUGAUUCAAUCCUACUACAAUUGAAAUUCACAGAAAGAAUGAAAAACCAGAACAAAACUGCAGCACCUAAAAAGUUGUCAUACAAAAAAAAACAUGGAAUGUAAAAAUAUGUUAAGAAAUCUAGUUCGUUAAUUUCCAGCUGCUAAGUGGCAUUAUGUAACUUUAGUAGUAUAACUAAUUAACUACUUAUCUGGUGGGUUGCACUUUUAUCCAAUUGGUAAGGAAAGGAAAAUAAAAAUCAACCCCUUGGUCUUAGUUGUGGCUGCAAAGUGCAGGCCACCACCAAGUCUCAGUGUUUGUGUUUUAGCAAAACACUUAAAUAAAUUAAAUUCUGAAACGUAAAUUAUAUUCCUAUAACUUUAAGAUGCACAUAUAGUAUUGUUGAAGUCGAACUGAAAGCACUGACAAUUCCAAGCAACAAAGCAGCAAUUAUUAAGAGCCAAAACUCAUUCCUAGUCUCCUCAUCCUGGUACUCAACUCCGUAAUCUUCUGUCAGCAUCAUUGACUGAAAUUAGGAGAGAAAAAGAAAAGGAAUUUCAGAAAUUGUCUAUGAAGCAAAGGAUACUGCAGUUACUUCAAGACAUGUAAAUUGCAUAUGUAUAAAGUAAUUUUCUACAUAAAGUAAUGAGGCAUAACUUUCUCUCUCCUCUUCAAACCCUAAACAGAGCAAAGCAAACUUUACAGAGAUUAGAAUGAGAACUGGAACUAAUCGAACAAUGACUGAAAAGUAACAUACUUGAGGAGUGAAUGAUUUAGUGUUUCCAUCAUCGGAAGCCGGAGUAAGUCGCUAAGAGAGGUCGCAAACAGCCCAAAGGGACAAACCCAGAUCCCCGGCCCCGAUCCAUACCCUUCCCCCUCAAAUCCCGACGGCCCCCAUACUUUUCUCUGACUGUACCCCCUCUCCCACUCAUGAAAUCGAGGAUCUGUCGCAAUGGUACUGAGAUCCCCACUCCUCCCUCUCCCUUUCUCUCUGUCGCUCUGUCUCCCUCUCCCUCUGUCUGUCUAUCUUUAUCCCAGAGCGGCAUGGCCUCCCAUCCCUGAAACCCUCACCGAAAGUUGGCAAUUUUGUAAAUAACUUGAAAUCCACCAACAGCAGGGGUAGAGAAUUGAAACAAACAUUUAGGCUCGUUCGAUAACCAUUUAGGCCAAAACUGAGCACACCUAAACCAUUCCUACUCGUGCCAAAUGUUAGUGGGGAAGCAAGAUGAUGACUUUAUUAUUCAAAACCAAAAGAAAAAAAGAGAGAAAACAAAAUAACAAAUGUAAUGGUUGUAGUGUAAAAGCUGAGAACGUAAAUAAACAUGCAGGGAAAAAAAUUGAAGAUACAAAGUAGCUGCAUCAUGAACACUUACUCCAAUUAGACGCAAAAAGUGAUGGUGAUGAGAAGAGAGAGAAAAUGCAGUCGUUUUGAUUUUUCUGGCUUUUAAAGGGAGCAGCUUUCUUCGACCACCAAAAAAAGGAAGCUGCUUUUCGUGUGGUUGUGAUUUCCUGAGUGUAUGUGAGCGGGUCUAUGGCACUUGCACUGUUUGUGUCGGUUACGGUAACCGGGCGAGCUGGACACGGCAGCGUGGGACUGAAUUCGGAGAGGUGAGAAAAAUUAAAAACACAAAAAGAAGGUGUUCAUUUUGUCACAUUUUUAUUACGAAAAAUUCAAUAAAGUACAUUCAUUAGUAUGGUAACUUAACUAUUUAAUUCCAUCUCAUUAAACUAAAAAAAACAAUUACAAAAAAAUAAGGAAAACCUUGUCCAGAGAGACCUGAGAGAAAGUGACGACUUCUCCUCUCAUUCAACUCCAUACUUGAUCUCUAAAGUCCAUUUGGCAUGUAAUUGAUGUUCACUUUCAAAUUUAGUGGUAGCAAUUAGCAAAGCUAAUGAAAGAAUCAAAUAAAAUGAAAGAAAAAGCAUCAUGAAAUAAAUCAAGAUGAAGAAUGAAAUUUUGGCAACUCGCCAUUCUCUUCUUUUAUAUAAAAGAUACAUCCUAUUUGUAGUGAAAACAGAUCCCGACAAACCCAGUUAUCCUCAAGAAGUAUUUUGUAUGACUUUAAAAACAUAAUCCGUGAAAUUAUCUCUUGGCUGAGAACAACAACAAAUCUUCAUGCAUAGCUUGUAGAGAAAGACAUCAGGCAUACAAAAGAACACGCAAGCAUAAAAUAAACGAAGCAGGGAAAACCAAAAAUACAAUUGAAUACGCUGUCAAAAGAACAUGAAUAAAUGAAAAUACCAAACAAAGCAGUGAUGAGAAACCAAAGUACCCAUUUCAUAAUCUAAUUGCUUUUUAGUUUGCUUGCCAUUUUUAGUUCUUCAAUUUAGAGAGACACCAUAAUUCAGCACAUGAAUAAAGUGAAAACGUAAAAGAUAUGUGGGAUAGGCUGACAGCCAUCCCUGAGUAAUGCAUUCACUUCUGAACCCCAAACACACUGAAACAAAAAUUCACACACAUGAACUACAGCUCCGCUUUGUAACAAGAAUUAAAAGCAUCUCAAAACAAAAUGGCAAACUAUAAGAGCAUUGUAAAAGUAAAAUUGCAAGAAAUCUAAUACUUGGAGGGCAAGUACUCAUCAGACGAAAAUGAAAGAUUGAACUACCUCGCGUGGAACUGUGCCUUGGUUUUUUCCCAUGCUUACAGGAAGCUUUGCACUGAGCUCUUAUAGUCCAAAUUUUCUCUGAAGGAAAAAAACACAAUUUUGAAAUAAGAUUUUCGUAUUAUACCUUAAAGAGAAGAAUUAGACAACAAAAUAGAGAACAAUGAGUACUAUUCAUCAUAUAUUGUUAGAGUAUGUGGCCCUCUGGUCCAAUGGUCCCGCAGCCAUAUUUCCUUUAUAACUCUUUCUUUUAAUCUAAAAAACAUCUUGAAUCUCAAAUUAGUAUGAAUACGGAUUCAUACUUUAUAACUAAAGAUCUUACUGCUCUUGAUAAGAUGAACAAUACGCCAUUUCUCGCAUGCAUUGCAUUACAAUCACAAUGCAACAUCUCAUUAGAAAUCCCCACACAAAUUUUUUUUAUUGCUACUUUGAUUUUAGUUUAUAUUUUUUCUGAAGCAUGAGGGAGCUAAUUUUUUUUUUUAAAUUUUUUAUUCCAAUAAUGUUAUAGGGAGGGUUGCAAGGAUAUUAUCAAUUGUAUUUGAUUGGUGGAACUUCUACAUCUAUAUUUUAGGUUUUCAAUUUUAGCACUGGGAGAGUCAUUCAUAAAAUGUUUGACAGUGAGAUUACCUCCAUGGACUAUGCUCACAAUGGACAGCUCAUUUUCCGCGGUGAUGGGACAAUAUAUUUCAGUCAUUCGCCAUUCAAUCAAUUCAAACUGAGGAACAUGCAACAUCAAGAAGAGGAUCUACCAUGUCAGGAUCACUAUCGUCCAAUUAAUACAAAAAAAUCUAGAUAAAAACGAUCAAUUUACAUAAAAGCCCUUCAUUUUCUCAGCAACCAAGCAAAAGAAAAUACCUAUCCGUUAAACACUCGAUUUGGGAGUAAAUGUUGCUGAAACUGGACUUCAAUCCCCUCAACCGCAACAACCGAAUCGAGGUGUGCAAGUCAUUGAAAAACUCACCCAAGAUUUCAAAAUCUGCAUAGAGAAAUAAAUAAGCACAUAAAUUAGCCCAACCCAUAAAUCAAAGAAAUCAAAAUCCACCCAGAAUCAAAGAAAUCAAAAUCCAUCCAGAACCAAAGAAAUCAAAAUCACACACAGAUAUGCAAGACAACGCAAAUUUGAAGCCUUACUUUUCGGGUAGCUUGGCGGCUGACAUGAGUCUUCUUCAGAGUUUCAUCCAUCCAUGGAUCCAUUUGGUCCGCCCGUCGCUUCUGGGUCGUACAAUCUUAAAAUCUGCAAAAUGAAUUUAAAGAAUCAAUUUUUACGAUUGAAAAGCCAAAAGUGCUACAAACUCCAAAUUGCUGAGAACCAAAGUGGAGUAACAGUUACAGGUCACGAGAUGAGAUGAGGACAUUGUCGGAUUUCAGGGCGAACCUGACUCUGGAAAUUGCAUCUCGGAUCGGGCUUUCGAACUUCAAAGGAGCUCCGCUCAUUGUGGUCCUUGCAGACCGAACUGGCCUAACAAUCAGCGAGAGAAAGGAGACGGCGGCAAGAUGAGGGAUACAAUGGAUGCGAGAUCGUCUGUAUCGUUCUCGCGGGGGGUUUGCAAGACGGACGAGGAAAGUAGGGUUUGAUGAGGCAUUGUCUUCGCGCGGGGUAUGUGUCCUUCCCAUUCCAUGAUUAUCAACACGUGUGCAUCAACAGAAGCGGCAGAGAGAGGCAUUAUUGUAAAUAAAGUGAAAUCGAAGGGCAAUGGCCCUUUUUUUUUUAAGGUAAUGGCAUGGCCAUAAAUAGAAUGAAAUCCAGAUCAAAACACUGUCAUUUGUACAGUACAAUUUCUCCAUCUUCUUUAGACUAAAGUAAUGUAUAUGUUAUACGCACCAACACAAGUCCUUCUUAGAUAAAUCCAAGCCAAACAAUUACAGACGAUAGUUAUUCACAAAAUCACUUUAAAGUAAGAAUUUAAUUAAUAAUACAUUACUGCACUUUCUUAACAAUUUGACUAUCACCUAGCUGACAAUGAACAUGUUAGCUAUGCGUUAGAACAUAUUGGGUUCAAUCCAUUGUCUUGAAUAUUACCCCCAGUCACAGCCGUCUCUUGGGGGCAUACAGAAGGCCUGAGAGGCAUUUGCAGACAUUCAACAUCUCCUCCAAGCAUUUCGACAACUUUGGACAUCGAAGGGCGAUCACUUGGUUUCAUUUGAAUACACCACAAGGCGGUUAUAACCACCUUUCUUAUCACUUUCUUUUCCUUCUCUGUAACAUUGUCUAUUUCCAAGUCAUUUCCCACAAAAUACUGAUCGUAUACCUACAGCGGGAAGUAGAUUUGGCUUGGAUGCUCUACCGUUGCAUUCAAAUUCUUCCUUAUGCUUGCCAUUUCCAUCAACAACAUUCCAAAACUAUAGACAUCGGCCUUGUAUGAGACACCUCCAAUAUUUUUGUAGAACAACUCAGGAGCAAUAUAUCUCAUUGUACCCCGUGCUGUCGUCAAAGAGACAAUGCUAUUAUCUACUGGAUACAAUUUUGCAAGCCCAAAGUCAGAAACCUUUGCUUUAAAGUUCUCAUCAAGAGGGAUGUUAUGAGGCUUGAUGUCAAAAUGUAGAAUUUUCAUUUUACAACCUUGAUCUAGAUAUUCGAUCCCAUGACUCCAAGAGAAAUCUUGUACAUAGUCUUGAUAGUUAAGGGAAGACUUCCUUCUUUGGAAUAAAUGUAUUUAUCAAAAGAGCCAUUAGGCAUAAAGUCAUAUAUUAGAGCGCGCUUUGAUCCCUCGACACAAUCACAAUCACAAUCACAAUCACAAUCACAAUCACAUUCCAACAUGGAAUCCUCAGACGACAUGCCUACUGCAGAACAAGUUUCAUCCUUACUUAACUUCUAUUUAGUCCACUUCCUGUUUAGAUUGUAAUCCUAGUUCUGCGUGUGUUUGUAUAGUACUCCUAUAAAUAUCAAUGAAAACCGCUCACUCUAAUUAGGAGUUGAGAUUCUGCAAAUCAUAUUUACUAUCUUUCAUGGUAUCACGAGCCAAGGUCUAACGACAACGGUUCCUGUUAUAAUUUUUUUCUCUUUUGUAGAUCCUAAACUAUGGCAUCUUCUUCCUCCUCCGAUGCUCCCUCCGUCACAAAUUUUCUUACGAUCAAGCUCGACCUCAACAACUACCCUCUCUGGCGUGCUCAAUUUCUUCCCUUGCUGCGCAGCCGCAACUUACUCUCUUAUGUUACUGGCGAAACUCAAUGCCCAUCUGCCUUUGUUCUUGAUGACAAUGGUAAAUUCACAGACAAAGUCAAUCCAUUAUAUAAUGAAUGGAUCCAGACUGACUAGAUGAUCCUAUCUUGGAUUACGAGUUCUCUUACUCCCAAGGUUCUUGCUACGAUCGUCAACAAAAUUGAUUCGACCUCUGCUUGGUUGUCAAACCCGAAUUAAUCUGAUUAUGGGGGUUUUAUUUUAUAUCAAUAUAUUGCAGCAGAAGUCGCACUUUGAAGAGUUCAUGCUGCACAGAAAGAUUCUUAAAUGCUACCUGUUGAGUCUAUCAUUGCUCCAUUGGAGACAGAGCUGAAGCUUGCUGCAGGAGUUAUACAUUUGUUAUGCAAUAUGACCCCUUUAAUUUUAUUUUAAAACUGAUACAAAAAUUUAUGUAGUAUUUUUGUAUCAGUUUUGAGUGUCUAUUUUGGCUUCCAUAUUUCGUCUGUACAUGUGAGAGGUAUAGCGUUCAAUAUGUAUUUGGUUUCUAUAUUGUUAAUGGAUCUUUUUUUUUUUAAGAUAACCAAGUUGCAGGAUGACAGCAGAACACUUGAUCUGUAGGUAAACCUUCAAUUUCCAUAUGAAGUUUGCAUGUUCGUUGUUUCUGGAAUUUGAGUUUUUAUUAUUUCUCAAUUCUAUCACAUAGAUUACGAUUUCACAUAUGGGAUUAUUAAUGGCAAUUAGAUGAUGGAAGAAUUGGGAUUGGAAGAAGAUAUUGAGUUGUUUAUUUAUGGGGAUUAGAAAAUUUUUAUCAUAAGUGUGGAUGCAAAUUUCUUCCUCCUUGAUCUUGGACAAAAUUGCACCUACAAAACAAUUAACACCUUAGGUCAAGGCCAAGAGCCUCACGCGCUCACGAUGAAGGGGGGGGCUUUGGUCGAAGAACCUCCGAUGCCAAAGUUAGAAUUUAGAGAGAAAAAGUGUUUGAGAAUUCUAGAGAAUUUUAGCAAGAGUUGCAACUAGGUUUUGGUGAGAAAUGUGGGGCUUUCUAUAGAGGAGUGGCCGGCCUCUUAGGGUGAGAAAGGACCGGUCACAUAGCCUAGUUUGUGGGUUUUGUUCAUGAUUUAAGAUGAUUUUGGGAGUUAUGUGAUUAAUUGACUAAUUAAUUAGGAAAACUAAUAAAAAGGGCUUGAAAACUUUGAGUUUUAAUGAUAAGGACAAAAUAAAGGGUAAAGUGAAUAGUACCAGGAUUGACUUUUUAGUGUAAAAAUGUGGUUUUUCGUUAAAAUGAACAGUACCGGGUGCUUUUCGUUAAAGUUCCCUAAUUAAUUUGGCGAAAUAAAAUUAUUACCAAAUGAAUUAGCUAAUUAAUGGGAUGAAAUGGGCAAAUAUCAAGAGAUAAACAAAACAUGACCAAUUCCUUUUCUAACAAUAGGUGGCCGGCCCUUCACUUGUUUUUGGGGUUGCAUGGAUGUUUUAAUUGACAAUUAAGGAAUUGAUUAGGCAAUUAAUCCCUUAAUUAGUCAAUUAUUAUGAUUUUAAAGGAAGAUUUUAGGAAAUAUGAAAGGAAUAUAUUAUUUAGCUAAUUGAUUAGCUAAAUGGAAUAAAUUAGGUUUUGGGAAUUACCUUAAAUGAGGAUGGAUGAGAUAAUUUGGAAUUGGUUACCUUUUUGGAGCAUUUUUGACUUGGUUAAGGAUGAUUGCCCGCUACUUGCGCAUAGGAAUCCCGUUAUACCUCAAGGGUAUUUUUGUCAUCUUUUACCCAAAAAACCACGUGUCACCUUGUGAUUAUUUUUGGCUCCACAAUACGAGUGAUAUUUAUUUUUGUGUGGAUUGUUAAUAUAUAAAACUAUAAGCUUUUGAGAUUGGGAGACAAAACCCACAAAUUCAAUUCAGACAAAAUAAAUAAAAAAUUUAACUGACUUAAAGAUCAAACUCCAAAAGGGUAUUAAAAACAAGGCUUAUUUGAUCCAUUGAGUGUGAAAGUUUUGAGCUUUGAAGAAGCAGAGGAGGAGAGUUGUUAACCAAGCUGCAUUAUCUAUGUAUUAGGAUGUUGAGGGUAGGCAGGAAAAAUACUUUUUGACGCCAAAUCCAGAGGAGCAUAACGACAGGCCUGCAUUUUUGCAGCAAGGACCAAAACAAGUAUAAGUGAAGGCUUGACUGUUUGGGUAUUAAUCCUAAACCUAAUUAUUCUUAUUUAGGUUUAGGAUAAAUGAUUGAGUGUGUCUCGAUGAUUGUAUUACUAUGUUUGAUGAAUGAUUUGAGGAGUUGGAAAUGGUUUAUUGCUUAUGUUUUUCUUAGGUGUGUACUUUGGUUAUUUCCGAGCUUUUCACGACUUUUGAUACCUAAUAAAGAAUAUGGAAACCCCAACUUCAAUUUUAUGAAUUGAUUUUGGUGCCUAAAAUGAAAUCUAGCAUAGUGAAAUCUUGCAUAAUGAAAUUAUGACAAAUUUCCCUUCAUCUUUAUAUUUUCAUUUAAUUCAAUUGGUAUGCAAUUUAGGGUUAUUCAAUUCAUGAGUGAUCAAAUUAUGUUUUUAAUUCCUUCUUUUGAUUUACAGUUCAACAUUGUCGUACAAAAUGAAAAAGGCGCCAGUAACAGAGUUAUGGAUUUGGAUGCCUUUAGUGGAAUAAAACUGAAUUUUUUAACUUUGUAUAGUUGUAAACAUAAAAUACUCCAUGAGGUAGACUCAUAGCUUUUGAAAACAAUCCUUGAGGAUGGCAUAACAACAUCUCCAACUUUUGUCAUGUAAUGUAUGAAUGUAAAUAGCACUUCGUAAACAUAUGGAUGUAAUAUAUGUAUAUAAACACUCUUUAGCAUGUAUAUUUUUCAAAACUUUCUACAUCUUCAACAAUGUUUCAAUGAUUUCUUGAUGUAAACAAUGAUAAUUUGAAGAACCAUUUAAAGUAUUUUGGUAAUCAUCAUACUUAAGCUUAAAUGUGAUAUAUCCGUUUAUUAUUUUUUAUACAGUGAUAAUACUCAAGUAUAAUUUACAUCAUAUAUCUUUUGAAGUACAUGAAACUAUGAAGAAAAAACCCUAAUUAAUCUGAUUAUGGGGGUUUUGUUUUAUAUCAAAAUAUUGCAGCAGAAGUCACACUUUGAAGAGUUCACGCUGCAUAGAAAGACGAUGAAAUGCUAUCUGUUGAGUCCAUCAUUGAUCCAUUGGAGACAGAGCUGAAGCUUGAUGCAGGUGGUAUACUUUUGUUAUGCAAUAUGAUCCCUUUAAUUUUAUUUUAAGACAUAUAGGGUUGAAAAAAAUUUAUGUAGUAUUUUUGUAUCAGUUUUGAGUGUCUAUUUUGGCUUCCAUAUUUGGUCUAUACAUGUGAGGUAUAGAGUGUUCAAUAUGAAUUUGGUUUCUAUAUUGUAAAUGGAUCUAUUUUUUUUUUAGGUAACCAAGUUGCAGGAUGAAAACCGAACACUUGAUCUGCAGGUAAACCUUCAAUUUCCAUAUGAAGUUUGCAUUUUCGUUGUUUCUGGAAUUUGAGUUUUUGCAGGAUGAAAACAGAACACUUGAUUGGUUAUUUCCGAGCUUUUCAUGACUUUCGAUACCCAAUAGAGAAUAUGGAAACCCCAACUUUAAUUUUAUGAAUUGGUUUUGGUGCCUAAAAUGAAAUCUAGCACAGUGAAAUCUUGCAUAAUGAAAUUAUGACAAAGUUCCCUUCAUCUUUAAAUUUUCAUUUAGUUCAAUUCGUAUGCAGUUUAGGGUUAUUCAAUUCAUGAGUGAUCAAAUUAGGUUUUUAAUUCCUUCUUUUGAUUUUCAGUUCAGCAUUGUCGUAUUUUGGAUGCCUUUAGUGGAAUAAAACUGAAUUUUUUUAACUUUGUAUAGUUGUAAACAUAAAAUACUCCAUGAGAUAGACUCAUAGCUUUUGAAAACAAUCUUUGAGGAUGGCAUAACAACAUCUCCAACUUUUGUCAUGUAAUGUAUGAAUGUAAAUAACACUUUGUAAACAUAUGGAUGUAAUAUAUGUAUAUAAACACCACUCUUUAGCAUAUAUAUUUUUCAAAACUUUCUACAUCUUCAACAAUGUUUCAAACCCCGCAGCAACGGGCGGGUACACUUGCUAGUAUACAUCUAAAAUUAUAAGACUAAAUCCUUUAGUUCUUGGAUUCAUCUAAGAACUACUUAUUCAAGCAGAUGCUAUGCUUGCACUACUAGAAUUUAUGGCUUGCCCUGUCAACUAUUGCGCGACAGAAGAUUUCGUCGGUUUCACCUUUUUUAACCGACAAAAUAUAAGUUUAGUAAGGCAAAAUCAGUCAACAAACUUGGUUUACUGAAUAGAUUUACAGGAUGUUUAGAGUUCGUAGGUUAAGACAUCAGUCGUUGGGCAAACAUUUGGAGCGAAGAUGUGAGUGUUUUAACUGACGAAUAAGCUGGUCGUCAUGUAGAUCUUCUUUCCCGACUGACGGUUCAACGGGUAGCUCUUUGGAUAACAAAUCAUCUUCAAGGGGAACAGGUUGCCCCUCAGAUGAAUGGUUAGAGGCAAUUGUGAGACUAUAAUUUUCUAGGGCCGGAAAAUCUGUAACCAUCCACCAAAUACCCCUUCUUCCCUUUCUAUUUCUCUCUCAGUAAUUUCCCCUGACCUAAUCACACAAUCCAACCAACUCUUUUUAAGCCUCCCUCAUUGAUUCCAUGGAUUUCAUGGACUUAUCCCACCCUCUCUCCUUCCCUCUAUAUAUAGCAAGUCCCCUUGCCUCAGUGUCCCUGGCAACAGAAUUUAUGGUGUGUCUUCGUUCUUUCAAUUAUUUGAAAGCUUUCCUGCCCUGCAGUCUUGUACAAAGGCGUAUGGUGUUUCAUCAGUUCCAUUUGGUGGUUGGGUGGGAAAUGAAAUUAAAACAUUGAUUUCAAAUGGUCUAAACCAAAUUGAAUCAAAUGUGAAGCAAAGGGCAAAAGGUGUAGAUUGAAGAACAAUGGCACCAAGAGCGAAAUUGAACUUGUUGACAGGAGGAAACCAAGUAACGAUAACGCGUCUAAAUCUUAUUUCGAAUCCAUUCAGCUUAUGAUGUUUUUAAUGAUGAUGAUCUGUAUACUUUGCUACAUGCUGUGAUUUUUUCGCUUUCAUGUAAUUAACGGCUUAUAUUUAUGGUAAAGAUAUUGAUUAAUUUUGAGAAAUGACAGUCUAAUUUUUGCAACUGUCUUUUGCAGGCAAAACAAAGACGUUUGCAAGGGUGAGUUUUGUAGGACCGGUGUUUAGCUUUGUUUCAUGUCCAAAGGACACUUGAGAAUAAAUGUUUACUCAUGGAUAAUAUCUAUCUAUUUGCAUGAGCAACCCUGGGUUCAUUUGUUCUGUUACUGCUGGUCAUUGCGGCAUAUCACGCCUACAGCACUGACAAAGUAAAAAGAAAAUCGAAUGAAAUUUGGUAAGAUUUUAGCGGACUACAAAGAUCUUAAGCCAAUCAUAUAUUCCCAUGCAGAUAUUAAGAGGUUUACAAAUCAAUUCAAGUACAAGUUGGGCCAAGGAGCAUACAUAACUGUUUUUAAAGGAAAGCUUUUUUCUGAAUGCUUUGUUGCCAUGAAAGUACUUAACAUUUCCAAGGGUGACGGGGAAGAGCUUGUAAAUGAAGUGGGGAACAAUGGGCCAUAUUCACCAUGUCAAUGUGGUUCACUUGGUUGGUUUUUGUGCUGAUGGAUUUAGAUGAGCUCUGGUUUAUGAGUUCUUUCCCUUUGGUUCACUUCAGGAUUAUAUGUCAUCAGUAGAUAGAUUUCUUUCCUUGGUUGGCAUAAGUUGCAAGAUAUUGCUAUCAACAUAGCCAAAGGAACCAGGGAUGUGAUCUACAAAUCCUCCAUUUCGAUAUCAAACCCCAUAAUGCUUUGCUCGACCAAAAAAUCACGCCAAAAAUCUCUGAUUUUGGUCUGGCCAAGUUAUGUUCCAAGGAUCAAUCAGUGUGACUAAAGCAAGGGGGACCAUGUGACUAAAGCACCUGAAGUGUUUUCCAGGAAUUUCGGAAAUGUGUCUUACAAGGUAGAUGUCUUGAAUGUUGCUGCUUGAAAUGGUAGGAGAAAAGAAGAAUAUUGGUUCAACCAGAGGACACGACAAAUGAAAUCUACUAUCCAAAAUGGAUUUAUAAUCUUCUAGAGGAAGGAAUGACCAACAGAUCCAUAUUGAGGAAGAAUGUUAUGGUAAGAUUCCAAAGCAACUUGCAAGUUUAGGGCUCUGGUGCAGCCAGUGGCACUUGGUGGAUCGGCGGUCCAUGAAAACGGUGGUUCGGAUGUUAGGAGGAUGAGAAAACUUGAUGAUGCAAGCAACCCUAAAAGCCUCAUACAAUUAAAAGUAAUUGCUGAAUUAGAGUAACAUAUGUAUAUGUAUACGCACCAACACAAGUCGUUCUUAGAUGAAUCCAAGCCAAACAAUUACAAACAACAGUUAUUCACUAAAUCACUUUAAGGCAAGAAUUUAAUUAAUAAUACAUUACUGCACUUUCUUAACCAUUUGACUAUCACCUAGCUGACAAUGAACACGUUAGCUCCGCGUUAGAACAUCUUGGGUUCACUUCAUUGUCUUGAAUAUCACCCACUGUCACAGGCGUCUCUAGGGGGCAUAGAGAAGGCCUGAGAGGCAUUUGCAGACAUUCAACAUCUCCUCCAAGCAUUUUGACAACUUUGGACAUCGAAGGGCGAUCACUUGGUUUCAUUUGAAUACACCACAAGGCGGUUAUAACCAUCUUUCUUAUUACUUUCUUUUCCUCCUCUGUAACAUUGUCCAUUUCCAAGUCAUUUCCCACAAUAUACUGAUCGUAUACCCAUAUUGGGAAGUAGAUUUGGCUUGAAUGCUCUACCGUUGGAUUCAAAUUCUUCCUUCUGCUUGCCAUCUCCAUCAACAACAUUCCAAAACUAUAGACAUCUGACUUGUAUGAGACACCUCCAAUAUUUUUGUAGAACAACUCAGGAGCAAUGUAUCCCAGUGUACCCCGUGCUGCCGUCAAAGAGACAAUGCUAUUAUCUACAGGAUACAAUUUUGCAAGCCCAAAGUCAGAAACCUUUGCUUUAAAGUUCUCAUCAAGAAGGAUGUUAUGAGGCUUGAUGUCGAAAUGUAGAAUUUGCAUUUCGCAACCUUGGUGUAGAUAUUCGAUCCCUUGAGCCACUCCAAGAGAAAUCUCGUACAUGUUCUUGAUAGUUAAGGGAACACUUCCUUCUUUGGAAUAAAUGUAUUUAUCAAGAGAACCAUUAGGCAUGAAGUCAUAUACUAGAGCUCGUUUUGAUCCCUCAACACAGUAUCCAACAAGUUGCACCACAUUGGCAUGGUGAAUCCUUCCGAUUGUAGCUAUUUCGCUAAUGAAAUCUUGGCCAUCAGCUUUGGGCUUGCCCAAAACUUUAACUGCUACAAAUCGACCACUGCGUAGCUUUCCCUUAAAUACAGAGCCAAAGCCACCUUCGCCCAACUUGUCCUUAAACGUGCGAGUCAUUUUCUUGACGUCCGAGUAAGAGUACCUUAUAGGCAUGAAGUUGUUAUUGCAUUGCAGAAAAUCUUCUAUUGUGUUAUACAUUGAUAAAUGUCUUCUGCGCCAUGUGUAGAUUAGAAAUGCAGUCACAACUGGAACUCCAAAAACAAAUCUGGCUAGGAAAAAUAACCCUGCAUGCAUGGACAUUAAUAUGUUAGAUCCACUGCGUACUACUUUUUCUUCCCUUUCUUUCCAAAUUACUUUGUCUUUGAUGUAAUUAAAGAGAGAGAAUGAGAAAUCUACAUAUGUUGAUAAUACAAUCUCAUCUUAGUCCUUACCGAUGCAUAUGAGUAUAAACCAUCCACGUACUGCAACAAAAUCAAUCGACUAUGAGUUUGAAAAGUGCAUAAAGUGAAAAAUAAAUAAUAAAUAAAAUCAAAGGGUGCCUUUAUUGACACCCAAAUUUUAGUUAGUUUUACUCAACUAAAAAAUUUUUGUCAUCAAACUUUUUAAUUUGCCGUUGAAAUUGAGUUCACCCAACCCACAAAGCAGCAACUACCACUCACCAAAAAAACCAACAACACACACCCACCACUCACCAAUAGAAAGAGAAUGAACACACAGACCCACAAAGAGCUGGCAUCGACGCUGUCGAUGAGGGAGGGACCAGAGGAUGGUGUAGUUUUGUCUAGCGCGCGGUAGUGGUUUUGUCUGUUCAUUUUCUCUUUCUUUUGGUAGGUGGAGGCUGGUGUGGAUUUGGGCGAACUUAAAAAUGAGGGGAAACUAUGAAGUUUGACAAAAUGUUUUAGUUAGGGGAACUUAACUAAAAUUUGGGUGCCGAUAAAGAUACCCAAUAUCAAAAAUACUUGAGCGUAUAGACUAAUUAAAUGAAGUUGAUCAAGUUUGUCUCGAUCGAAAACUUGUAAAUAAAACAAAAAGAGGACCCCUUACCGAUUUGUUGCCAUAUAUAUUGAAAGAAACCUACAAAAACAAAGAAAGAACAAGACUACAUGCAUUAGCAUAACAAGAGUGAGGUGUAUAAGCCGUUAGAAAAUAAAUUUAAAAUUCUAGUGCUGUCAAUACAUUGAUAAUAUAUAUAUAUAUAUAUAUAUAUAUGUAUUAUUUUUUCUGAAAAUUUAACUUUUUCCCUCCAAACUCAUUUUUCUAGUCUCUAGCCCAUCAUAUAAUAUUUAUCCGAAUAAAACCAAAUGAUUAGGAUCCAACUAAGAAACUUACCAAAUUAAGUUUGUGUGUCCAUUUUUAUAUUUUUUGGAUCCCUAAUAUACCCCAUCUAAGUCAGUAUGGAAAGUUCUUGUAAUUUUGCUUUAAGUGAUCACGUGCAUUGAAUUUGGCAAUGUCUUGUAGCCAUGAAAUAUGGUUGUAGAUGGAGGAAUUAAUUUGGAAUUUUUUUUAAUUUCAACAACAAAUUUAGUGUUAUUUUCAACAAUAUCUAUUGUUUAAUUUUAUGAAAAUAAUUUACCUAAUAUGAAAAUUAAUUUUAUGAAAACAAUAUCUAUUGUUUUAUUUUAUACCUACAGGAUAAUUACAUGAAAAUAGUUUACCUACUAUGAAAAUUAAUUUUUUGAAAGCAAUAUCUAUUGUUUAAUUUUAUGAAGAUAAUUUACCUACUAUAAUUACAUGAAAAUAGUUUACCUACUAUGAAAAUUAAUUUUUUGAAAGCAAUAUCUAUUGUUUAAUUUUAUGAAGAUAAUUUACCUACUAUAAUUACAUGAAAAAAUUUACCUACUAUGAAAAUUAAUUUUUUGAAAACAAUAUUAUUGUUUAAUUUUAUGAAAAUAAUUUACCUACUGUAUAAUUACAUAAAAAUUAAUGUGCCUACUUUUUAAAUUUGUAACAAAAUUAAUUUACCUACUUUUUAUGGUAUUAGUAUACAUAAAUGUAGAAUAUAUGUCCGUAUAUAUUUGAUCUAAUUAGGUUUUGGAUUGGAGGAGUUGACACAAAAUUAUAAAUAUGUUAAACAAAUUUAUCAAUUCUAAAGUUGGAGGGGAAUUGGUCUGUACAUUGCUACAGUAAACAAAUGCUACUCAAUUUCACGUUAUUUACAACAAAGCUAUCAGAUUUGGGUUGGGUUGGAGGGUAAUUUGUUAAAAGUUAGGAGGGUAAUUUGUUAAAAGUUAGGAGGGUAAUUUUGUGCAUAGGGUUUAGGUGCCCUCCUAUACAUGACCCUUGAUUUUACUUUAUUUACACCACUGCCAUCAUAUAUGUGGCUGAAUUGGGGGGGGUAUUAUUAAAAGUUAAGAGGGUAGUUUUGUUCAAGGAAGAAAAUAUCGGUAAUAUCGGAAAUAUCGGUAGUCCGAAAACACGGAAAUAUCGAUGGAAAUAUCGGGAUAAUAUCGAUAUCGAUAAAAAUUACAUGGAAACCACGGAAAUUGUAAGAAAAACUUGGAAAUUUUUAUUGAAAUUUUGCAGGAUGUUUAUUUAGUCAAUUAUCUAUUAGUUUAUCACAAAAAAUUGGAAGGAAAUGCAUUGCAUGAUGGAUUUAACUUAUUUAAGUUGAUUAUAUAGCGAGCUGACAAACAUUGUGAGUGUAGAAAAUAUGUAGUAAUUAAUGAAAGAAGUUUAAACUUUAUAUAUAAUGACUUAGUACAAUAUUUUACACUUUAUACAUUGCAUGGUAAGAUACAUGAGUUACACAAACAACGGGAAAUUAAUGAGAAAACCCUUCCCAAAACGUCAGCACCCGCUUUUUUAAAUAACUUAUAUAAUGAACCUGUCUGGAUCACUUGUUCUAAUAUAUAAACACAAAACAAUACUAUUUGUAUCACAUUUUCUGACAAUCUCAUUGACCGCUUUUAAUUAAUAAAUUGGUCUCAAGUCUAGUUUCCUAAGAAUUUGUUUGUUUGGGCUCAUCUUUGUUGUAAUAACUUAAUUGGGCUUAGAGUUUUAUUGGGUUUACCUAGCCCGUGCGAGCUCAUCUUUGUAUUUAUUUGACGGAUACCCCGAUUUGUUAUGGCAAAAGCAACCACGCAGUCGACGCCCGAAAACCCUUCCCUCUCUCAUUUGGUCUUCGUCUGUUUUCCCGCAUCAUCCAACAGGUGGACUCGGCGCUUCUCUCUCUCUCCCCCCUCUUCGCCCUCUCCACCAAACCCUAACCCCCCAAAUUCCAACCUUCCACCAUUCAAUCCAACCAAAAUCCCCCCAAUCGGACCCCUACCCGACCCAGUUCAUCUCCGAUUGCCUCCAAUUCCACUCCGCCCCGACCCAUUUCUUCAAAAUUCCAAUUCCACUCCGCCCCGACCCAGUUCCUUCAAUUUCUCAGGUAGGUAAGCUUCGGGUUUUUCUUUUUAUAUUCUAGAUCGAAGCGUAGAUGUGAAAUUGAAGUUAUAUGUCGUGUUUUUGCAAGGUUUUUGGGAUGAAAUCGACUCGGGAAUAAGUACACCCAUCUCCGGCGAGGCUAGGGGGUAGUUUUACAGUCGACCGGAGCUGUAGAAGCUCCAGCGUUCGUCUCCGACGUGCACAGUUCCGAAAUUUCGCGAUAAUAUCGAUAAUAUCGCGAUAUUAUCGAUAUUAUCGCGAUAUUAUAACGAAAACACCUUGGAUACCAUUUAAAAUAUCGGUUCGGGAAAAAACCGAUAAUAUCGGCGAUAUAUCGCCGAUAUUAUCGAUAUUUUCUUCUAUGGUUUUGUUCAAGGGGUGGGGGCGACAUUCGCAGACAGGGCGAUUGGAGCCAUGCCCAUGCCCAUUGCACAGAGAGAAAGGGAGUGAUGGGGGAAAUUACAGACAGAAAGGGAAGGGAUGGGAGGAUUUGAUGGAUGGUCACAGAGAAAGAUUCGGUGAGGGAUGUGAGGGGAGAUUACAGAGAGAUAAAUUAAAGGGGGAUCGGGGGAUUUGAGGGAUGGUCAGAGAGAGAAAUAGUGACGAAGGGAGGGAUGGGGGGGCUAAUUUUCGGUUCCUCCUUCAGAUUUGUUCCGUAAAACUUGUUGGGUACAAUUCAAUUUCCUCCCCCUUUCCCCUGAACGAAAAAUUCGAAACCUACAAUUCAAUUUCCUCCCUUCUUGGCUUUCCGCUUUACUCAUCUCCCGGUGGUUCUUUCUCUCCAUACGAUUCGAUUUCGGUGAGUUCUUCGUUGCCCUCAUGAUUUCCCAGUUUGAUUUUUUGAGCGUCCUUAGUCGUCGUUUUUAUCUGGGUUUAUUGCAUGGUUGCUUUUAGUUUAUGGAUUUUUAUUUUUUCCGCGGUUUGAUGAAUCGUGGUUAAUAAUUUCACACCAUGGGAUUUUUGCACUUCUGAUGGAAUUGAGCGCAGGGAUUCGGGGUGGGGUUUUACUGAUAGUUUGUCUUCAUUCAAAUGAAUGGUUAAAAUUUCUGAAGUGAGUGUGCAGGUGGGCCCGUUCACUAACUAAGCUUUCAAGGGAACCCAUCAACGGUUUGCUUGCUGGGGAACUCGGAGACUACUAUGAUUUAGUUAUCAUUUAUUUUUUUACUUAAUUUUAUCCAUAUAUAAUAUGUGGGUAAAUUUACACUAAACAAUUGUGAUAAGCCAAUAUGCCAAACGACUUUGAAAGCAUUGAUUUUGUGUAUAGUUUGCAUUUUUGCAUUGUGAAUGUUGAAUUUUGUGUUUAAUUUGGAUUUUUGUGUUUGAAUUUGUAGCAUGAUCUUCCGCUGCAGCAUCCAAAUUUUGUAUUUGUAAAUUGUCAAAGAAAAACGAACAACAACAACAACAACAACAAAGCCUUUUCCCACUAAAUGGGGUCGGCUAUAUGAAUCCUAGAACGCCAUUGCGCUCGGUUUUGUGUCAUGUCCUCCGUUAGAUCCAAGUACUCAAGUCUUUUCUUAGGGUCUCUUCCAAAGUUUUCCUAGGUCUUCCUCUACCCCUUCGGCCCUGAACCUCUGUCCCGUAGUCACAUUUUCGAACUGGAGCGUCAGUAGGCCUUCUUUGCACAUGUCCAAACCACCGGAAUCGAUUUUCUCUCAUAUUUCCUUCAAUUUUGGCUACUCCUACUUUACCUCGGAUAUCCUCAUUCCUAAUCUUAUCCUUUAUCGUGUGCCCAUACAUCCCACGAAGCAUCCUCAUCUCCGUUACACCCAUUUUGUGUACAUGUUGAUGCUUCACCACCCAACAUUUUGUGCCAUACAACAUUGCUGGCCUUAUUGCCGUCCUAUAAUAUUUUCCCUUGAGCUUCAGUGGCCUACGACGGUCACACAACACCCCGGAUGCACCCUUACACUUCAUCCAUCCAGCUUGUAUUCUAUGGUUGAGAUCUCCAUCUAAUUUUCCGUUCUCUUGCACGAUAGAUCCUAGGUAGCGAAAACGGUCACUUUUUGUGAUCUUCGCUAGAUUGCUCCGGUCAUUAGUGUGGAUAAGUAUAUAAAUGGAUAGAAUUAGGAAAGCAAACACAAGAUGUACGUGGUUCACCCAGAUUGGCUACGUCCACGGAAUAGAGGAGUUCUCAUUAAUUAUGAAGGGUUUACACAAGUACAUAGGUUCAAGCUCUCCUUUAGUGAGUACAAGUGAAUGAUUUAGUACAAAUGACAUUAGGAAAUAUUGUGGGAGAAUGAUCUCGUAACCACGAAACUUCUAAGUACCGGAGUGUGGUAUCGUUUUGACUUGCCUUAUCUGUCUCAUAGGUAGAUGUGGCAUCUUCUCUGGAAGUACUCUUCCUCCAUCCAGGGGUGGUAUCUGUAACUGGUGGAGAUGCACAAGGUAAUGUAUCAAUUUCACUUGAAGCUUACUUGUAGUUUCAGGCUUGGUCAAGCGCGAUACAAACCAUGUAGUAGAAGUCCCCCAAGUCGCCGGGCUAAGGGAUCUGCUGAAAGAGGUGACAGACAAGGUAAGCAAUCAGAGCUCCAGCUGAUUGUUCACAUUCUCCCUAUCUUGCAGGCAGCAUGAAGGAUAAAGAGAAGAAAAAUGAGAAGAGAUGAUAUGGGAUACUUUUGCUUUUAAAGAAGUAACUUUCCACAGGCUUAUUCUUGAACCGGGCUGUAGGGUUUUCUGGUUUCCUCUAGAGUAUAAGGCCGAUUGAAGAAUUUGAGGGUCAAAACAAGUCCAUCAAAUCUAGAGUACGUUCGACCCUGCUGAUAUGGGAUACUUUUGCUUUUGACAGAGUAGUGGAUGUAUCGGCACGUGUGCUGUUACGCUUGUCUCCACAUGCUUCCUUGUAUCCUUCUCACUUGCCCUAUCUGUUCCUCAGGCAAAUGCGGUAUCUUCCCUGGAAGCAUAAGAUGUUGAAGAUGAGUACUCCAGAGCAAUGACAGGUAAGUAAUCAGGUAAGGGGUUCCAGGCAGUCAGUUCCUGGCUCGAAGCUUGAUUCCAAGUGCUGACUGAUUGCUCUCGUUCUCCUUGUCUUGUAGGUAAGAACAAGGCCAAAGGAAAAGACAGGGAAAAAGCAUGAUAUGGGAUACUAUUGCUUUUAACCCUGAUGAUAUGAGAUAGUCUUGCUCUAGUAUAGCUUGUUUACAGAGGUAUUAUCGGGGGGAAAGAAAGCUGAAUAUUUCGAAAGGCUUCGUUGGGAGUGCCCUAUUAGAUAAGAGAAAGGGUUGAGUAUUUUUGCAGGUCUGCCUGUCCGUUAGGGAUGGAGGUCGACAUAUAUAGGAGUCUCCCUAACAUAAAGUAAUAAUGUUAUUCCUUUACCCUGCUUGGUCAUAACACGGUAGUGGGAGCUACCAGCCUCACAUGUUUUAACUCUGUCAGAGCACUUUGAAAAGGUGGUCUGUGGUAUCUGGAAAGAUGAUGUUGCGUGUGAAGAUUACAGACAAGCUUUAUCCAAGGAGAUCCAGCUCUUGAAGUUGGGAAAGUGGUGCCUCUUCGGUUUUCGAACAAGCAAUCCUGUCGGGGAUCUGGCUCUCGAGAUUCGGAGAACGAUGCCUCUUCAAUUUUUGAGAAAGCGAUCAUGCUGGGGGUCUGGCUCUCGAGAUUCGGAGAGCAGUGUCUCUUCGAUUUUUGAGAAAGUAAUCAUGUUGGGAGUCUGGCUCUCGAGAUUCGGAGGGCGGUGCCUCUUCGAUUUUGGAGCAAGCAAUCUUGUUAUGAGUGUUUUCUCGAAUGUGAGUAAAGGUUGGGCAUGUUUGCUAGUCUACCUUGCCACGAAGCACAGAGGUUGACACACAGGGACUUUCCAAUUAUCCAGCAGUGGUACUGUUCAUUUACCCUCUCUUCGAUUUUUGAGAAAGUAAUCAUGUUGGGAGUCUGGCUCUCGAGAUUCGGAGGGCGGUGCCUCUUCGAUUUUGGAGCAAGCAAUCUUGUUGGGAAUGUUUUCUCGAAUGUGAGUAAAGGUUGGGCAUGUUUGCUAGUCUACCUUGCCACGAAGCAUAAAGGUUGACACACAGGGACUUUCCAUUUAUCCAGCAGUGGUACUGUUCCUUUACCCUCUUUUCGAUUUUUGAGAAAGUAAUCAUGUUGGGAGUCUGGCUCUCGAGAUUCGGAGGGCGGUGCCUCUUCGAUUUUGGAGCAAGCAAUCCUGUUGGGAGUGUUUUCUUGAAUGUGAGUAAAGGUUGGCAUGUUUGCUAGUCUACCUUGCCACGAAGCACAGAGGUUGACACACCGGGACUUUCCAAUUAUCCAGCAGUGGUACUGUUCCUUUACCCUUGUGGGUAAUAAUAUGGUAGCUAGACCUUCAAAAUUUAUAUGUCUAAACUUUGUUAGUGUUGUUUCUUUGCAAUUCUUUUACCCUUCUUGGUCAGAGCGAUGUAGCGGGAGCUGCAAGCUUCACGUGUCUCAACUGUCAGAGAACUUUGGCAAAGUUAUCUGUGGUACCCAUGAGUUACUGUUGCGUAUGGGAAGUGGGUGAUUGAACAAUACGAUUCAUGUGCUUUCUACUUCGCCAGAAAUCUUCGACAGAAUGCCCAUAAUUUCCGCAAAGCUGAGUGUGCGUGUGACAGGUGCUGACAAGGCUGGAAAAGUAGGUGCCUCUUCGAUUUCUGAGAUCGGCCUUUGUGGUUUCUUAGCAGCCCAGCUUUUGAGAAAGCAAGCCUCUUCGAUUUCUGAUAUCGGCCUUCGUGGUCUUUGAGCAGCCCAGCUUUUGAGAAAGCAAACGCCUCUUCGAUUUCUGAGAUCGACCCUCGUGGUCUCUGAGCAGCCCAGCUUUUGAGAAAGUAAACGCCGCUUCGAUUUCUGAGCAGGCGCCUCUUCGAUUUCUGAAGCUUCGUCGAGUGCAGAUUUUUAUAGGGGCUGACAUUAAGUUCCAAAGCACACUUGAAUAUCCACCAGUAGAAGCUCCAUUCUUGUACUUCUAAGAUCUUGAUUUGUCCGACCUCUUCUCUCUUCAACACCUUUGAAAAUGUCUGGCCCCUCCGACCGUCGUUUUGACUUGAACCUUGUUGAAGAGGCAGCCCCGCCUUCUCCAGACAACAUAUGGCGCCCAUCAUUCGUCUCCCCUACUGGUCCUCUUACCGUUGGGGAUUCCGUGAUGAAGAAUGAUAUGACCGCUGCGGUAGUGGCCAGAAACCUUCUCACUCCCAAAGAUAACAGACUACUUUCCAAACGGUCUGAUGAGUUGGCUGUUAAGGAUUCUUUGGCUCUCAGUGUUCAGUGUGCAGGUUCUGUGUCUAAUAUGGCCCAACGCCUAUUUGCUCGAACCCGCCAAGUUGAAUCAUUGGCGGCUGAAGUGAUGAGUCUCAAACAGGAGAUUAGAGGGCUCAAGCAUGAGAAUAAACAGUUGCACCGGCUCGCACAUGACUAUGCUACAAACAUGAAGAGGAAGCUUGACCAGAUGAAGGAAUCUGAUGGUCAGGUUUUACUUGAUCAUCAGAGAUUUGUGGGUGGGUUUGUUCCAAAGGCAUUUAUUGCCUUCGUCUUCUGGGGCUGUACCGCGUAAUGAAGCUCCAAAUGAUCAACCUCUGAUGCCUCCUCCUUCUAGGGUUUUGUCCAGUACUGAGGCUCCGAAUGAUCCCCCUCUGGUGCCUUCUCUUUCUGGGGCUCUACCGACUACUGAGACUUCUCCUAAGCAACCUUUGUGAAGGCUCCCUCUUGUUUGUUUAUUUUGACUCAAGUAUAUGUACAUAUUUGUAACUUAUCGGGGAUAUCAAUAAAUAAGCUUUCCUUUAUUUCAACGUAUUGUGUUAAAUACACCAAAGCCUUCUUCGCUAAGUUCUUUGAAUUUUCUUUUGUUGAAGCUUGUAUGUUGAAGCUUUGUGAGUGAAGCAUGCAGGUUGAGGUAGUGUUCCCUUAAUUUCCCGAGUGAGGAAAACUUCUCGGUUGGAGACUUGGAAAAUCCAAGUCACUGAGUGGGAUCGGCUAUAUGAAUCUUAGAACGCCAUUGUGUUUUGUCCUGUGUCAUAUCCUCCGUUAGAUCCAAGUACUCUAAGUCUUUUCUUAGGGUAUCUUCCAAAGUUUUCCUAGGUCUUCCUCUACCCCUUCGGCCCUGAACCUCUGUCAUAUAGUCGCAUCUUCUAAUCGGAGCGUCAGUAGGCCUUCUUUGCACAUGUCCAAACCACCGUAACCGAUUUUCUCUCAUCUUUCCUUCAAUUUCGGCUACUCCUACUUUACACCGGAUAUCCUCAUUCCUAAUCUUAUCCUUUCUCGUGUGCCCACACAUCCAACGAAGCAUCCUUAUCUCCGCUACACCCAUUUUGUGUACGUGUUGAUGCUUCACCGCCCAACAUUCUGUGCCAUACAGCAUCGCCGGCCUUAUUGCCGUCCUAUAAAUUUUUCCCUUGAGCUUCAGUGGCAUACGGCGGUCACACAACACGCCGGAUGCACUCUUCCACUUCAUCCAUCCAGCUUGUAUUCUAUGGUUGAGAUCUCCAUCUAAUUCUCCGUUCUUUUGCAAGAUAGAUCCUAAGUAACGAAAACGGUCGCUCUUUGGUAUUUCUUGAUCUCCGAUCCUCACCCCUAACUCGUUUUGGCCUCCAUUUGCACUGAACUUGCACUCCAUAUAUUCUGUCUUUGAUCGGCUUAGGCGAAGACCUUUAGAUUCCAACACUUCUCUCCAAUGGUUAAGCUUUGCAUUUACCCCUUCCUGAGUUUCAUCUAUCAACACUAUAUCGUCUGCGAAAAGCAUACACCAAGGAAUAUCAUCUUGAAUAUGUCCUGUUAACUCAUCCAUUACCAACGUAAAAAGGUAAGGACUUAAGGAUGAGUCUUGAUGUAAUCCUACAGUUAUGGGAAAGCUUUCGGUUUGUCCUUCAUGAGUUCUUACGGCAGUAUUUGCUCCUUCAUACAUAUCCUGUAUAGCUUGGAUAUAUAUGCUACUCGUACUCCUUUCUCUCUCUAAAAUCCUCCAAAAGAUGUCUCUCUUGGGUCUCCCCCUAUCAUACGCUUUUUCCAAAUCUAUAAAGACCAUGUGUAAAUCUGUUUUCCCAUCUCUAUAUCUUUCCAUCAAUCUUCGUAAGAGAUAGAUUGCCUCCAUGGUUGAGCGCCCUGGCAUGAACCCGAAUUGGUUGUCCGAAACCCGUGUCUCUUGCCUCAAUCUAUGCUCAAUGACUCUCUCCCAAAGCUUCAUUGUAUGACUCAUUAGCUUAAUACCCCUAUAGUUCAUGCAAUUUUGUACAUCGCCCUUAUUCUUGUAGAUAGGCACCAAAGUGCUCAUUCGCCACUCAUUUGGCAUCUUCUUCAUUUUCAAAAUCCUAUUGAAAAGGUCAAUGAGCCAUGUUAUACCUGUCUCUCCCAAAACUUUCCACACUUCGAUUGGUAUAUCGUCUAGGCCUACUGUUUUUCUAUGCUUCAUCUUCUUCAAAGCUACAACCACUUCUUCCUUCCGGAUUCUACGAUAAAAAGAGUAGUUUCGACAUUCUUCUGAGUUACUCAACUCCCCUAAAGAAGCACUCAUUUCAUGUCCUUCAUUGAAAAGAUUAUGAAAAUAACCUUUCCAUCUGUCUUUAACCGCGUUCUCUGUAGCAAGAACAUUUCCAUCCUCAUCCUUGAUGCACCUCACUUGGUUUAGGUCCCUUGUCUUCUUUUCCCUUGCUCUAGCUAGUUUAUAGAUAUCCAACUCUCCUUCUUUGGUAUCUAGUCGCUUAUACAUAUCGUCAUAAGCCGCUAACUUAGCUUCUCUCACAGCUUUCUUCGCCUCUUGCUUCAUUUUUCUAUACCUUUCACCAUUUUCAUCGGUCUUAUCCUUGUAUAAGGCUUUACAACAUUCCUUCUUAGCCUUCACCUUUGUUUGUACCUCCUCAUUCCACCACCAAGAUUCCUUUUGGUGUGGGGCAAAGCCCUUGGACUCUCCUAAUACCUCUUUUGCUACUUUUCGGAUACAACUAGCCAUGGAAUCCCACAUUUGGUUAGCUUCCCCCUCUCUAUCCCACACACACUGGGUGAUUACUUUCUCUUUGAAAAUGGCUUGUUUUUCUUCUUUUAGAUUCCACCAUCUAGUCCUUGGGCACUUCCAAGUCUUGUUCUUUUUUCUCACUCUUUUAAUAUGUACAUCCAUCACCAACAAGCGAUGUUGAUUAGCCACUCUCUCUCCUGGUAUAACUUUGCAAUCCUUACAAGUUAUACGAUCCCCUUUCCUCAUUAGAAGAAAAUCUAUUUGUGUUUUUGACGACCCACUCUUGUAGGUGAUCACAUGUUCUUCUCCCUUCUUAAAGAAGGUGUUGGCUAAGAAGAGAUCAUAUGCCAUUGCAAAAUCCAAGAUAGCUUCCCCAUCCUCGUUUCUCUCCCCAAAACCAUGGCCACCAUGAAAACCUCCAUAGUUGCCUGUCUCCCUGCCCACGUGUCCAUUUAAAUCUCCUCCUAUAAAUAACUUCUCCGUCUGAGCAAUUCCUUGCACCAAGUCUCCAAGGUCUUCCCAAAAUUUCUCCUUCAAACUCGUAUCCAACCCUACUUGAGGUGCGUACGCACUAAUCACAUUGAUAAGUUCUUGUCCUAUUACAAUCUUGAUUGCCAUGAUUCUAUCUCCUACCCUCUUGACAUCUACAACAUCUUGUGUCAAGGUCUUGUCCACGAUGAUGCCAACACCGUUUCUCGUUCUAUUUGUGCCCGAAUACCAUAGUUUAAACCCUGAGUUUUCUAGAUCCUUUGCCUUACGUCCAACCCACUUAGUUUCUUGUAGGCACAUAAUAUUUAUCCUUCUCCUCACCAUAACUUCUACUACUUCCAUAGAUUUUCCCGUCAAGGUUCCUAUAUUCCACGUUCCUAAACGCAUUUUGCUCUCUUGAACUCUACCCUUCUGUCCUAGCUUCUUCACCCUUCCCCGUCUAAUAGGAUCAAAGUACUUCUUUUGUGUGUACCGUGUAAAGUUGAUAGGAGCAUAUGAGCCUAAACAACUUUGAGUGGAGUCGUUCGAAAAGAAGUUUCUAUAGCCCCCUUGCUCAUUUAACACUGCAUCCGGGUGCCGAUGGAGAUACAGCGACCCUUGCUCACUUAUCACUGUGCUCAGGCCACACAGCGCGCCACUUACGGGUGACGCCCUAGCUUUAGCGCGAUUUCGUUCUGGAUUCAUUUUCAUAAGGAUUCGACGUGAUCAUGGAGUGCCGGCUGUCGACUACCUGACGCCCUCCCCCUCAUCCUUUAUCCGGGCUUGGGACCGGCAAUGUAAGAUAAACUUACACGGCGGAGUUAAAGAAAAACGAAUGAGGAAAUUAUAGGAGAUUGUGUCGGCUUUGGCCAUGAAGGGUAUCAGCAGCUUUUUCCUCCCAUACAGGUGAUUAAUUGUUUUUCAGUCUGUGUUCAGUUUUAUUUAUUGGAUUUGGUUAGCAGCCAGUUUUAUGUAUUGGAUUUUUUAUUUGGAUUUAUAGCACUAAGGGUAUAGGUGAACGGUGAAGCGGUUUGUAUGGGCUCAUGUGUGUUUUAGAUAAUCUCAAGGACUAUGUAGAUACUAUGAUUUGGGGUUGCUUUUUUAAACCAUGAUAAAGCAUUCCAAGUAAUUUUAACAUAGAUAUCAUUUUUUAUGUAAGCAUGAGUAUAUGAAAUGUUAAGACGAUAAUAUAUCAUGUGAUUUAAAAUUCAAAGAGAGACAAUGAACCGUGUUUGAUAUUUUGUUUGUCUUGGUUCGUUUAAAUUUGGGCCUUUUUCAGUUGGAUUCAUGGGUUUUGUUUAAGAUAUCAUUUUUGGUUUAUGAAUGGUUUUAAACAUCCACAACAUCGCGCAGGCACACUUUCACUAGUAUUUUACUAAACUAGUGCACUUGAAUGUCCGUAGCUAAAUAUAUUAUAAUGAAUUAGUGGAACAUAAGAAAAUAUGGAAAAACGUAAGUGUACCAAAAAGUCCGUACCUAAACAUGGUAUACUAAAUUAGUGUAACAUUAUGUCUGUACCUAAAUAUAUUAUACUAAACUAGUAUACCGAAAUAUUCAUACCUAAACAUAUUAUAUUAAACUAGUGUACUGAGAUGUCUGUACCUAAAUACAUUGUAAUAAAUUAAUGGCACAUAAGAAAAUAUGCAAAACAUAGGUGUGCCGAAAAGCCUCUACCAAAAUAUUUUCUUAUAUAAGAUACUUACAAUAAAUUGGUGAUGCAAAAUGUCAACAAAUAAAAGCUAAUUCAUUUGAAUUCAAAUGAGUAUUAAAAUUUAAUUCAUAUCAGCAUAAAAUUAUAAAUAGGAAAAAAAAAUAAAGACAUUGAAUGCAUAUGCUGCCAUUAAAUAGAGUCUAGGAACUAAAAUAAAUUUUUAAUCUUGUGUGAGACAUUUUUCUAAAUUUUAUUUUAUUUAAGGAUUAAAAUCUAGUUUUCUAUUACUUAUAUUUCUGACUACAUAUGGUUAUUAGUUACUUUAGUCGAGAGUUGACGCACCUGGAAUGGUACGUGGAAAACAUGUUAGCACUUGAUUCCCAGUCAAAGCCACACACGAGAGCAUUGUGUAUGUCUUUAUAAGUAAUAAAAACUAAUAACCUGAAAUGCUCUCGUAUUUCUAAAGGCCCGACUCCAAGUUCAAAGCCAUACACGAGAGCAUUGUGUAUGUCUUUAUAAGAGACGUUGCUGUAGUCCUUGACGGAGUAGUCAAAGUGACCCAAAUUCAUCCAAGCCUUCCCCUCUGCACUGCAACCCUCAUCCAAAUCCCAUCCUAUCAUGGCCCCGACCUUGACGUAGCUAUACGUUUUUGGUUGGCUCGAAGAACUUGUAUUAUUCAAGCAUGGAGCAGUGUCCACGUACAGAGAAGAAUUCAACGGAUUCAAACAUUUCAAGUAAUAUAUAGAUGUUGAAUACAGUGAUGAAUAUCGUACGUAUGGAUGAGUAAUGAGCGGAAAAUUUCGAGGCCUGGAAGAGCAAUUGGUGUUCACAAGGCCAGGAUCUAGAAGUCGGAUUGUUGUGUCAGUGUAGUUGAUUGCCUGGACGUAGUAUUUUCCGGAAGGUAGGUAUAGUACUGUAAUGUUGCUCUCACAGGACAGGGUAUACCUUACGUCGCCACAAUAUUUUGGAUCAUGGUUCAGUCGAAAAGGAUAGCUUAUGUUGUGGAUAUGGCAGCAGGAUGAAGUACAGGACUUGGCACUAGUGUCGACCUUAGCGUUACAAGUUUCACUGCAGAAGCCAAGAAGAAGAAAGGCUAAACUUAAGGUGAAGGACCUGCUUCCACUAAUUUCCAUUGGGGAGAGAGAGAGAGAGAGAGAGAGAGAGAGAGGUGUACUAGUCCACACCAAGUAGUUAUAUAAUAUAGGAGGGGUCAAGCACCUUCCGUGAAAUUGCUGUUGAAAUAUCCUAGAGAAAAAUCGUCGUCAAUGGUGUCCUAGAGAAAAGUCGGGCGAUGGUGUUUGACAGUCAGUCAACGGCAAAGAUAUUUCUCUUUCAUUAAGGAAGGAUACUGCGUAAUUACUACGCAUAUAUCUCUGCUUAAUCACACAAAACAAAAAUUUCCAGCUAUAGUAUCAUUUGUGAUUCAUUUAUUAAUAAGAUAUUAUACAGGGAACUGUUAUUAGUACUCUAAAAAUCUCAUUCUACACAAGUUUAUUUUUCUUUUUAAUUAUAGAAAGUUUGGAGUGCAAAAUGAGAUUUUUGGAGUGCCAAUAACAAUUUCCUAUUAUAUAUAGCUCUACUUGGAAGGUGACUAUAUGUCUUCAUCGUGUUAAAUUGUAUAUGGCUCUUGAUGUCGGCUGAAUUGAAUCUAAAUGAAAACCAAGCUGUUGAUCUUACCAGCCCAUAUCACUUAUCUCUUGCUUAUUUAAAUUAUGUGAAGAUGCGUAUGUUGAUUGGUGAUUUUGUUGGAUUCACUCAGUUCAAAUAUAUGUUAUCUGAAUCGUUACAUUUGAGAAUGUGAUUAUGUUCCUACCACCAUUUUGCCUACUUUCUGUGGAAAUUAUUCAUGCCUAUUGUGAAUAAUACAUUCACCUCCUGCAGCGAAGCGCGAGCACAUUUUCUAAUUUAAGUUGAAUCGCAAUGGGUCAUCAAAAAUUACGAACUCGUCAUUUAUACAAGUCAAACAUGAGACCACCUACCUACUAGUUUAGUGGAAUACCACAAGUGACAUGUUGAUACCUUUAAAUCUCAUUUUCCAUAUAAUGGAUUGCAAAAUUAGGAUAUACCUAAACUAAUUUAGUCAGUGCCCGAACAAUUAAGCAGGGCUUUAUUCUUGCUUGAAUGUUUGUUAUAUGUUAAUAGUUUGACAAGGCAAUUAUAUUUCCGACUACAAAAGUUAUUAAUUUGGUCGAGAUUUGACGCACCUGAAAUGGUGUGAGGAAAACAUGUAGACACAUAAUCCGCAGUCCACUGUCCUGGGCAUCUAUCUUCAGGAGGUAUGAAUCCAAGCUCAAAGCCAUACACGAGAGCAUUGUGUAUGUCUUUAUAAGAGACGUUGCUGUAGCUGUAGCUAAAGCCAACGGAGUCGUAAAAGGAAUCCAAGGGCAUCCACUCUACACUGCAACCCUCAUCCAAAUCCCAUCCUAUCAUGGCCCCGACCUUGACGUAGCUAUACGUUUUUGGUUGGCUCGAAGAAGAACUUGUAUUAUUCAAGCAUGGAGCAGCAGUGUCCACGUACAGAGAAGAAUUCAAUGGAUUCAAACAUUUCAAGUAAUAUACAGAUGCAGAUCUUGGAUACCGUGAAUAUCGUACAUAUGGAUGAGUAAUGAGCGGAAAAUUUCGAGGCCUGGAAGAGCAAUUGGUGUUCACAAGGCCAGGAUCUAGAAGUCGGAUUGUUGUGUCAGUGUAGUUAAUUGCCUGAACGUAGUAUUUUCCGGAAGAAGGUAGGUCUAAUACUGUAAUGUUGCUCUCACAGGACAGUGUAUACAUUACAUUGCCGCAGUGCUUCGGAUCAUGGUUCAGUCGAAAAGGAUAGCUUAUGUUGUGGAUAUGGCCGCAGGAUGAAGUACAGGACUUGGCACUAGUGUCGACCUUAGCGUUACAAGUUUCACUGCAGAAGCCAAGAAGAAGAAAGGCUAAACUUAAGGUGAAGGACCUGCUUCCACUAAUUUCCAUUGCAGAGAGAGAGAGAGAGAGAGAGAGAGAGAGAGGUGUACUGGUACUCACCAAGUAGUUGUAUAAUAUAGGAGGGGUCAAGCACUUUCCGUGAAAUUGCAGUUGAAAUAUCCUAGAGAAAAAUCGUCGUCAAUGGUGUCCUAGAGAAAAGUCGGGCGAUGGUGUUUAACACAGUCAGUCAACGGCAAAGUUAUCUCUUUCAUUAAGGGAGGACACUGCGUAAUUACUACGCAUAUAUCUCUGCUUAAUCACACAAAACAAAAAUUUCCAUUUUUUCCCUAAAAAUUAAUUUUCUUUCACCUCCAACCCAUCAUGUAUAUUCUAUAAGAUAAGAAUAAUCCAUUGACUAGCUCCAAUUAAGCAAGUUUCAUAACUUGCUUGAUGACUCUGAUCAUGUGUAAUUUUGGGGAAUUGGAUGCUAUUUUAUCCCUACUUUGUUAGGCUUUUGUAAAUGGUUCUUUCACAUUUUUCAAAUGGUUUACAAUCUCUCUCAUUUUCUCUAUUUAUUUUUAAUCUUGUUUGUAUUUUCAAUCUUUCGUUCUUCCAAUUGCUGGAGCUCUACCAGAUUGGCUUUUCAUUGUUCUGAGUCUAUAUUAGACCCUUUUUCAGGUUUUGAUUUGUUAUGUCUCAUUUUUUUUAUUUACUCGGUUAAUUUGCUUCAAUUCUUUCAAUUCUUUCUUGUUAUUUUGAUGAUUUAUAUUAGUAUUAUAUAAAAUAGGAAGAACUUAUACAUUAAUCCGUUUAUCAAAUAUAUGAAAAAAUAAUUUACCCAACGAAUGUGUUAUGUCGUGUGUAAGAAUGUUUUUCCUUUUGUGUUUUAAUUCUGCACUUAUUUUUAUUUUUUCCACAUAAAUAUAACGAGCCUACAUUAUUUUUUCUAUGAAUUAUUUACCUACUUUAAUUAUUUUAUAUACCUACGUUAUUUAUUCUUGAAUCUUUUCACACAUGGCCAAACUUCUCUUGGAAGUUUAAUUAGAUGAAACAAUAUGAAUCUUGAACAAACCAAAGCAAAGCAAAACGUACUCAACACUUACAGGAAAUCAGUCCAAGAAUGAAAACUUUCUUAUCACUUUCUAUCCAAAAUUUUGGAAUUAUGUGUGUUGCAACGGUUGUCCGAAGGAUUAUUCUUCUUUUAUUAAAUUUCUAAGGAAAAUUAGCAUAUGGGGCGUAAAUGUUGAAUGGAUGAAUUUUCAUUGACUUGGAAAGGGAUUGUGACUUUAACACGCUAUUUUUCUUCAUCUUAUGCACUCAUGUUUAUCAAAAGACAAAUAAAUAUGACUUUACAUAAGGAGAGAGAAAGAGUAUUUUCCUUUGUAAAAAUCAACUAUUCAUUUUCGAAGUGGUAGUCAUUGACACGAUACUUGAUUAGAAGAAAAGUCAUAGUAAUUUGUUUUUAUGGGAACGAGAGUGCAAGUUCUUAAUUGGAAUAUGAGAUGAAGUUUCUACAUAACUAUCUGUGGCAAAGAAAGAAGUCUAAGUUUCUAAGUGGUAAGGGCUCCAAUUGAUGCGCGUUUGUUGAGAAAUGAAGAUGAAGAUGAAUAUUGAUAUUGAUGUGAGUUAGUGAACAAGUUGCUUCGAUCUCCUUUGGCCCUCUAAGAUGAUUAUUGAUUGGUGGACUAAGACGUACCAUACAAUUUUUUAUAACCAGCGAAGAUGAACAGUGUCGUGACAAAAUUUAUCCAAGUAGACCCAAGGGCAAGACUUAGGAACUUCAUAUACAGUGGGAUAAAAUGUUGGGCUAAUUUCCUAUUUUAUCUUAUAGUCAUUAAGUAAAAUGUAUUGCACAUUUCUGGAUGCAUACACAUUAAUGUACAUAAUAUUAGUUGAAUAUCAGAGUACGCAACUUUUACAAACAAAUUAACUGAAUAUAAAACGUUUAUAAAAUUUUAUUAAACGGAAUUGCCAAGAAGGCUACAUGAAUCCAAGAGACCACAUCUUGAUUGACUUGUUAUCUCUCAAUAACAAAGCUCUCUAUUUAUAAUAAACUAACCCUAGUCCCUAAUAAGCAAGGAAAUGAAAACCUAAUUUUAAUGGGCUAAGCCCAAAUCCAAACACUAAAUAAAUAACUAUUUUCCAACACCCCCGUCAAACUUGUGGCGGUACACGUCAUGAGUUUGCCAACAAGCAGAUGUGGAUGCAAGCUCCGUUAGGCGGACACGACAAGACAAGCUUCGUUAGGCGGACACGACAAGACAAGCUCUGUUAGGCAGACACGACAAGACAAGCUCUGUUAGGCGGACACGACAAGACAAGUCUCUAUCCCUCGCACAUCAAUCAAAAGACUCCUUUUUGGUGUGAAAACUGAAAACUUUUAUUCAUUUUAUUUCUUUCAUUUUUCUCAUCGGCUUCAUCUUCUUUCCUUUCCACUUCUUCUUUCUUUUUCUUUCCGUUUUCCUUCUGUACAUUCUCCCUUUUUUCUUGUUUCCUCUUCUUCUGUUUUGCGUUGUAAGUUCCUCUUCUUCGAUGGAUUUCAGAGAGAGGGAGUCACAACAGCUAAGAAGGUGGUGGUGCAUAGAGAGAGGGAGUCAAAGCGGUGGAAUUUCUUCUCAGGAAACCUCCACUCCGCCUACACCACCACCUAGACAGUCGCCUAGAUCGUCGCCUAGACCGCCCAAGCUGCCUAAGAGCGCCUAGGCGAGCGCCUAACAGCUCCAUGAUUUUUCUUAACGAUUCAGACCUAAUCGCAUCGGCACCACCACGCCCAGCUCCUAGGUUGCCGCUUAGGUCAUUUUUUAGAACACUGGUAAUACUCGUGUGGUGCAAUUCUAAUCUCUUAUAUAUAACUUUUUUGUGAUCCAUUUCUCCAUCACCAUGCCUAAAUCCCUUUAGAAUUUGCAAUUUCCUCACCCCAACAAACCCCAACAUUCUGUUGGAUAUGGUAAAAAAAAAAAACUCAGAAUUUCAUUUAAACUUGAAAAUUUAGGGAUGGGAAAGCAAUUUUCUCUUGUUUGGCAACUUGUAGCGAGAGAACAGGAAAAUUCCACAGGAAAAAAGUGGAAAUUGGGGAUGAAGAUUCUUGAGUUUAAUUUUGUCUAAAUAAGUGUAAUUUCACAAUUCCAACUACGACAAGAUUCACAAAUUCAUAUAUGGGGAAGUUUUGCGAGCACCAAACUUUACUAUUAGGGCACCAAAUUUCAUGAUAAAACCUGAUAAGGGUUUAGGGCUGCAUCGUUCACUCUGUUAAGUCUCCAAUCUUCGACGAGAUUUUUAGCUCGUGCAUCAUCUUCUCACUUUGUUGUAGGGUUACAUCUCUUCGUUCUUGAAUUAUUUUUAGCUUUUCGGGUAUACUUUUUCUGCUCAUUGUGAAUUUUGAAAUGGGGCAGGAAGAACAUACAAAAAAAAGAUAAGAGCUGGAGCCCAUCCCAGACAUAAUACGACAGUGUUGGAACCCCAGUGUUGUCCCACAUCGGCUAGAGGGCUCAAGUGAAAGUGCUUUAAAUAGAAAUACCCCUCUCUAACUAACAUCGAGGCCUUUUGUGAUAAAACCCCACACCUGAGGAUUGUGCAGGUGGUUAAGUGGGGACAGUAUCGAUGUUGUUGGAGUGGGCCCUCGGCCCGUCGACCUGAAAAUUUCCACAUGGUAUCAGAGCCAGGAGGCGGGCCCGUACUGCCACGUGAUUGGGUGGGUCCCCUUUGGCCCCGCGCGAUGUCCACGUAGGCCAAAGAUGCCACGUGUUUGGGUGGGUCCCCAAUGGCCCCGCAUGAUGGGUGAGUCCCCAAUGGCUCCACGUGGUUGUCGAUGUGGAUUUUCACGUGUGACCCAUAAAUGGGGUCUCACGUGCGGGGGAGUGUUGGAACCCCAGUGUUGUCCCACAUCGGCUAGAGGGCUCAAGUGAAAGUGCUUUAAAUAGAAAUACCCCUCUCUAACUAACAUCGAGGCCUUUUGUGAUAAAACCCCACACCUGAGGAUUGUGCAGGUGGUUAAGUGGGGACAGUAUCGAUGUUGUUGGAGUGGGCCCUCGGCCCGUCGACCUGAAAAUUUCCACAGACAGUUUUCCAUCCUUAAUCCGAUCAAUGCACUAAGACAAGUGGAGAGCAAAAGAGUUUCCAUGGGUUUAGUACCUAGUACCAAAAUAAGGUGGUACUUCGGCUAUUGCGAUGGGAAUCUUUAUGAACACUAAAUUUGGAAUGUAAUGUUUUUUCGAAUCAACACCAGGGGGCUUCGAGCUAUGUGUUCUGCCCUAUUAUUCAUUACUUCAAAGUUAACGUACUUUGGAAAGAUUGUUGGAUUAAAUCAUAUUCUAAAAUGUUAAAGCAAAGGAUGGAAUGUCCCAAGCACUUAGUCACUUGGGUAAGAGCUAUUUAGACACAGGCAUAAAUGAUCCAAAAGACCAUGCAUUCACAAGUAAAUUGCACCAAAAUAAGAUAUCCCCAAGUACCAUCACUAGGGAAAAGAUGUUGAAGUUAUGGAAAGGACAAGCCCUCAUCCUAGCAAACAACAAAUUAAUGCAAAACAUUGUCAACAACCCUAUUUGGCAACAACUUCCCUUUUGGAAGAAGUUGAAGGAUCUACGAAAAUACUGGCUGAUGGAUCACCAUUGGAAGUAGAUCCUCUUCUUCGGAUGCCUCAAAGUCAGAAAUUUUGCUCAGUAAGUCUUUAAGAGCAGCGAAAUCGGCAUCCCAUAUUUUUUUCAGAAUCUGGUAGGUGUCUCAACCUCCAAAAUGAUCUUACUGCGCGUAGCCAAAUAUAUACCCAAAGUUGUACCCCUCUGCAUAUUUUUCUUCGGACGCCUUCUUGUGAGAUGCACGCACGCCCAUUAUUUCUGACUCAUGCUCAUCCUUGAGUUGUUUAAGAUUUGCAAAGCGAACUUUGUCUUUCUAUUCGAUCUAACGGCGAAGUCUUUCCACCUCUAACGGCGAACAUUGUGAGAUGCACGCACGCCCAUUGUAAGCAUUCCGCUUCGAAGACAACGUUCGAUUGAUUAAGCUUCAAGACGCAACAAAGUUUGUUCCACCUCAACUUUGGCUUUGCAUUCUAGCUCCAACUUUUCCUGCAGUUCAGCAAGAGUUGCCUUGUAUUCAUUUGCUUUAAUAUAUUCAAGAGUGGCUUCAUUUAUGCAUUUCUUUACCUCUACAUUAUGGGCUACUCUCAUAAUUUGUUGCUCUACCUAUACCCUCUUGAGCUUCGCCAAUUGAGCUUGCACUUGUUGCUUGAGCUGUAUUUGGCCUCUGAUUCAUGCAAGGAAAACCGCUUAAGAUGACAAAUUCACUUCGCUUGGCCAAAAAGAGUCGCCUCUGUCCAGACAUGAGUCUGACCAAUGCAAGUAAAGGAAAGGAAAAACAAAAUUACCAAAGUUAUUUUGUAAGAAAAGAAUGAAGGAUUACCUCAUAUCGACUUUCGUGACAUCGCAUCAUGGCGUCUUCAAAGGACGUGCGAGCUUCCUAGUAGUCCGCAUGGGUAAUUGCAGCGCUAAGAAAAGCUCGGGUAAAAUUUAUGUUUCGAGUCUUAACGACAAGCAAGGGCAGCGCGCCCCCUUCAAUUCUGGUUAAAGUCGCCAGCAAGGGAAUGUUAGGUUCGAGAGGCACCUCGACAGGUUCAGGUAAACUCCUUGUCACUAGAGGAAUCAGAACUGGGAUAUAAAGGGGUUUAAGGACUCGAACAUCAUUCGGAAGUGGUGGCAAAGCUGUCUGCUAUUGCGCAGGUAGAGAUUCAAGCUUGGAUUCAUGUGGUUGUUGUUGCGUCAGUUCUUAAAAUGGAAGGAAAAGAGGUUGAGAUUCUCUUAUGAGAUGAUGCGGAGCAGGAGUAUCUGGAGUUGUAUUUAUCGAAACAACCAGACGUCUUUUUCUCCUCAUAGUGGAAUUUCUUCCUCCUCUUUGGGAUUCUUGGGUACCACCUCUAUUAUUGGUAGACUUAUUUGAAAAGGUGUAGCUAACGACGUUGAGGAAGUUUUACCAGACCGUUUUAGCUUUUUUUUGCUGGAGUGGGAUAAAUUUUGGGUUUGAGAUGAUGGACCCCCUAAUAAACCUAUUUCACUUUGAUCCAAUUAGGAUCCAGAAUGGGGAACUUAGAACAAUGAUUGAUGAUUGUAUUAUUCCCCCAAUCCAAAAAUCGAACUGAGGAAGUCAGCCAGUUCCAAUUACGGUGCUUAGUAAGGAUUUGCGUUGCCUGAGUGAUCAACUCUGGUCAACACGUGCCAAUAUUCUUCAGGUCAUUGUUCAGACAAAGGUUGCAAUAAGUGAUGUGAUAGCAGCAUAUUUAUGCGACUUAGUUAGCUUGUUUUUCUUGCAUUUAUGUUGUGAGUUCUUACUUAUUAUAGUGUUUUAAGCUAUUUUCGUGUGUUUGUAGGUCCAAUUGACAAAGUUGGCAAGAAAAUGCAAUUUGGAGCAUUUUGGAGCAGUUUUGGGCAUCAAAUGGAUAGCUUAUGAAUGGAGUAAGAUGGAUGGACGAAUUUGAAGUUCAAGAGGCUAGGAAUGUGUUGAAAAGAUGAAGAAAAUAAAUUCAAGAGAAAGAAGAUAAGGAAUUAGCUCAAAAGAAGGAACAUUAUCCAAAACCUUAUCCAACCUUAUCUUAUCCAAACAAACCUUAUCUUAUCUUAUCCUUGCCUAAUCUAGCUUUAUCCUAUCUUAUCUAAAUCAGUUUGUGCCUUAAAUCCAGCUGCAAGAGGACCUAAAUAUCUGAUUUCUAGAAGGCCUAUCAUUUCCUUACACUUAUGCCGCACCUUUAUCCUUCUAGAACCCCUAAAUUUGUGCCGCAUCUCAGCCCUAUAAAUAUACAUCUUUGAUGCACAAAUAAAUGACCCACGCACCCACAUAUAUUCAGAUACAAUUGAGAGAUUUCAGAGAAUUCAAAAGGUGUACCUGCGUGGAGGAAGGAGAAGGAGAAGCUUGUGUCGUGGCUUGCAAUCCAAGGGGGAGUUUGAAAUCUGCCAUUGGAGUUGCUAGGGCGUUCUUGGUUCUUUCUAUCCUUAGAUUUGUUUCAAUGUUGCUUUUAAUUUGGUUUUAUGUUUUCAAAGACAUGAGGAACUAAUCUCUUUUUAGUUGGAGGUGAAUUUGAAGCCAUGAUUAUAUGUUUUGAUAUGAAUUGAUUACAUCCAGUUAUUGUUUCUUGAGUCUUGAAUGUGAUUUGCUUAUCUGAGUUAUCAAAACUUGUUUAUGUAUGUUGAUUGAGGGUCGACACUUAAUUUGCAUGCAUGAAUUUGAUGCUAGAGUAUAAGGGAGUUUCACCUAAUCAUUAUGAACUUAUAUUCACAAGUAGUAAAGGUUGCUAGUCACAAUCGUGUUAAGUAAAUCCUUGGCAGGAGUAUCAUGCUUUUCAUAGUUACGAAUGCCUCGUCAAUGCUUAUGAUUUUCAAAGAACUUAAUGACCUUUGAUAUGUUUUCUAUCAUGCUUUUCAUAGUUAGGGAACUUGAGAAGGAUAAUUUGGUUGUGAUGUGUAUCCCGUCCAAUUCAAUGAAAUAAGGGAAAUCUGAUGGUUAAUUUGUGCUGUCACGGUUAACUUGGGGUGUUGUCAUUCAUGGUUUAAGGGAACAAUACUGGAAAUUGGUUUAUAUGCAUAUGUCAUGUGUGGAGAAAGAUCCUCUGGCUAAGUUUUCAUCAUUCAAAUCACCUAAUUUACUUUGUUUUGCAAUCUGUUUUGUUUAGUUAAUUUUCGUCCAAAUCAAUCCCCCUUCUAAUUAAGUGUCUUAGAUUAGUUAAAAAAGUGUUUCAAUCUGUCCAACUUAGUGUUUUAAGUCCCACUAGUGUUAAAUUCGUCCAAAUAGUUCUUAGAACCUGUUUUGAGUCUUUUUAACUUAGUUUUGCUGUUUUGAGUGUUUUAUGUCAAUUUUGAGUUUGUAGUGUUUAGUUGUGUGUUUUUUAGUCUAUUUGAGUGUUUCUAAGUCUAAUUUGGUAUUUCUGAGUCAUAUUUGUGUAGAUUAACAUCCCUAGUUAAUCCCCGGUUUAGAACGAUCCUUACUUACAUCUUUACUACAAUUAUCAUUCAUAGGGUUUAAUUUGUGUGUCAAGUUAAUUUUCACAUCAAAUUUGGCGCCGUUGCUGGGGAUUAGCAAACUUGCUAAUCUCUUUUGUUUGAGUAGUGUGUCUUUAUUGUUAUGGCAGAUGAGUCUACAAAAUUUGUGAAAACAUUAGAUAUAAAGAAAUGUGAGAAAUAAGAACCAAAUAACAGUGAAAUGAAUGAUAUAAGACUCAUCUGUCAGAACAACAAGGCAUUCGAUUUUCAAAAGUACACUCAACGAUCACUGGAGGAUGAUCUUAGAGUUGUAGUUGGAAUCAUCUUCCAGUGAUUUGAUAUAAAAACAGAUUUGAUGGGAUUUAGAAGCAAAUGUUGGGUUUGAAGAGAUUUAGGUAAUGGUUGGGGACGGGGAGUGAGUUGAUGGGAUUCAGUAGCAAAUGUUGGAUUGUAGAAUCUAAAAACAGAUUUGAGAGGCUAAAAUGUAAUUCGGAUAUUAGUACUACGGUCUAAUAACGUAUUUGUAAGUGAAAAAUUUUAGGUUUGUAUUUCAAGAAUAAGGAGUUCAUAACCAAUUUAUUCCAUAUAUCAUUGUGCAUAUAAAAUAAUGUAAUUCGAAAAUUAAUUUAGUGACGAUGCUACAAUUAAUUAUAUCAUCAAUUUUGGAAUCCCAUUCUUGGCUUAUGUCAAAAUCCAAACAAAUUUAAACCCUCAUUUUUUUCAGAUUUUGGAAAGAAUGGCAUCAUUGAAUUCAAUAUCGUGAUAUGGGAGACUGAGUAAGCUAAAUUUGGAGUAUUUUAAUGUCACAGUAUAAAUAUGGCACCAACAAUAGACGUAAGCCAAAGUCAUAGGUUUAAUGCAGACAAUAGUAAAUACUGAAUACUGAAUAUUGGAUACUGAAUGGAGGGCGGCUUUAACGCUUUCAGUGUACCAAAUUUUGAUACUAAUUGACUUGAUCUCUUCACAUGGUACAUAGGUAGUCUAGCUCGAAUGUUAUGCAGCCAUAAAAUUAAAUAAAUUAAUAUUGUAUCAUGUCCCGGAGUUCAGCACGUGACAUUAUUGUGAGGUCUAGGUACAGUCCUUAGAGUGAUAAAAACAAGGCUCCUCCAGGGAGGGCUAGUCGGAGGUGUGAAUGGACAUUUACUUCACACUCAUAGGAAAUCAGUCCAAGAAGUGGACAUGGAUGCUGGGUACUCAACACUCAUAGGAAAUCAGUCCAAGAACGAAAGCUUUCUUUUUAGUUGCUAUCCAAAAUUUUGGAAUUAUGUGUGUUGUCCAAAUGAUUAUUCUUCUUUUAUUAAAUUUCUCAGGAAAAUGAGCAUGAGGCGUAAAAGUUGAACGAAUGAAAUUUCAAUGAUCUGGAAAGGGAUUGUGAGUUUGCCACACCAUUUUUCUUUCUUUUAUGCCUUCAUGUUUAUUAGAAGAUAAAAAUAAAGAAGGAAAACUAAUGAAAAGUCCAAUUUUUUUUUAGUUUUAAUGAAAAAUGACAAAUAAAUGUGUAGUGAAUAGUACCAGAGAAAGGUAAAAAUGUGGCUUUUCGUUAGAAGUGAACAGUCCUGGGAGUGUUUCGUUAAAACUUCCAAAUAAAUAUGACUUUAUUUGGAGAAAAAAAAGUAUUUCCUUUGAAAAAAAAUCAACUAUUUAUUUAAGAGGAUGUGAAUGAUUGAUGGUGAAUACAAAGAACCACCUUAGAGGGAGACGAGACAUUUAUUAGAAGCCAAAAAAAAAGUUACAAUGAUUUAGUAAAAAAACAAGAAAACCUCAUUUUCUAAGUGGCAGUCAUUGACACGCUAUUUGACUAGAAGAAAAGUCAUAGUAUUGUAUUUACUUUCAAGCCUCUAGGGGGAACGAGAGUGCAAGUUUCCAAAUGGAAUAUGGGAUGAAAUUUCUACAUAACUCUAUCUGACAAAGAAAGAAGUCUAAGUUUCUAAGUGGUAGGGCUUCCAAUUGAUGUGAGUUUAUUGAGAAAUGAAGAUGAACAUGAAUAUUGAUAUUGAUGUGAGUUAGUGAACAAGUUGCUUCGAUCUCCUUUGGCCCUCUAAUAAGAUAAUACCGGAAAACAAGUUGUUACUAAUACAUGUAUCGGAUUGGUAGACUAAGACGUACGGUACAAUUUUUUAUAACUAGAGAAGAUGAACACUGUCACUGUCGUGACAAAAUUUAUCCAAAUAGAUCCAAAGACUUGGGAAGCUUCAUAUGCAGAUCUAAAGCUAAUUUCCUUUUUAAUCUUAUAGUCAUUACGUAAAAUGUAUAUGCAUAUUUCUAGAUGGAUACACACCAAUCUUGAAAUAGGGGAUGAAGAUUCCCGAUUUUAAUUUCGUCUAAAUAGGUGUAAUUUCACAAUUCCAACUAUAACGAGAAUCACAAAUUUAUAAGCGGAAAAAUCUUGCCAGCGUCAAACUUUCUUGAAUAAGGGUUUAGGGCGCCAAAUUUCAUGAUAAAACCUGAUAAGGGUCUAGGGCUGCAUCUUUCACUCGAUUAACUCUCCCAUCUUCGAAGGGAUUUUCGGCUCUUGCAUCAUCUCUUGCUUUUGUUCUAGGUCAACGCCUCUACUCUCUUCUUUCUUGAAUUAUAUUUUUAACUUUUCGGGUAUACUCUUUAUGCCAAUUGUGAAUUUUGCUAGUUAUUUUUAUUUUCUGAUAGUCAUAUGUUUGUGUGCUUUUUUUCUUCCGAUUGAAUUGUGUAUUGGUUGGAUCUGUUACACAAUUUUUUAGUUUUUUUAUGGAUUUUGAUGUUAGUUCCUUGUUAUAGAUAUUGUGUUUUUGAAGGUUUAACAAUAGGCAAGACUGAAUAUGAUGAUUUCGGUGUUAAUUACUUUCUCAUGGUACUAUACUAGAUUGUUCUCUCUUUGCAUUUACAUGUAACCAACUGUUCAUUGUAGAAAUGUAGUAUUUGGAAGACCUUUUUUUUUUUCUUUCUGAUUUAGUGUAUGUUUUUUGGACAAAAGAAACAUGUAGAAGAGAAAACAUGAUUGAUAACAUUGUGCAUCUUUUUUUUUUUUUUUUGACAGAAAGCGAUAGAGUGUUCCAUGGCCAAUUUGUUUUAUCUAGAGAUAGUUUGCACAAGAUGCAAACAUUUUGUAAACCCUAUACGGCUACCAUAAUAGACAACCACAAACAAGGGUCCCGAUAAAAUUGUCACAAAGACGACAAACGCGGCAAUCCUCACACUGGUACCUUGACAUAAAACCAUCGACAAUAAGACCAAAUAAAUCGCAUAAGAAAUACAAACAAAUCACCACAGUAACACAAAAUCUACUACCCUAACCUGCUCAAGGUCCUACAAACAAAAACUUAAACCUAAAGUCGAUGACAUGUCCACAUGCAUGUCCAAAGGGAAGAGACGUGGCAGGAGGCAUGGGUUGCACGACCAUGUGGGUGUGUCGGUGGCAAGGACAACAAAGGCUUGGGGCUUGGGUGGCAGAGGAGAUACCACGACACGCCAGAGCCACUGUCACAUUGUCAUCGCCGCCGCCACGAGCCCAUAGUAACCUGCAUAAAAUCGUUAGUGCUAAAAGCCGCCAAGGGUUUCCGCCGACUGGGAAAAAGAUAAGAUUUGUGAAGACGGAGGUCACAUGGAUGGCAUCAUAGCAAAAUUGAAAUCUUUUAAUCAUCCUCAGCAUUAUUCCGACAGCUAUCCACAAACUGAAGCAACGAAUUGGGCAAGUGUGCAACAAAUUUUCAAUGUGCGUCCAUUGUGAAUGAUUUACAAGGAGUGGGUUUAAUGACGUUUGUAGUUAAAGUGGGAUGCAACUUAGAGCACCAUCACUUGACUAUGUUCCUCUCAUUUUAUCUGUUCAUUUUUGCCUCAUUUGUUUUUUGGUUGCACCGCCUCAAAAACCUUGUGCGUCUACAUGUAUAUAGAACUUUUGGUUAAAACAGAGUCACAUAUCUUAUAACUAUUUAAAUUUUGUUGCAUAUCACAAUAUAUAUUUGUUCAUACAUUCAAACAUGUAUGGCAAAUACUGAGGAGGAACAUAGAAAAAAAAAUGAAAAUUAUUGUUAGUACAAUUGUAUAUGUUAUUGACAUGGUCAUGCAUUGGUAUAGUAAGAGUUUUCUCGUCGUAGAACUUUCAAAUGAUUGGAAUCAAGGAAGACAAUCUUUUCCCCAAUUAAUUAUUCUCGCCAUAUUUUUCCUUAGCGCCGUUAAGUUUCACUUAAAAAGCAAAAGAAGAAGGCUAAAAUUAAGGUGAAGAACCUGCCUCCACUAAUUUCCAUGAAGUUGCAGUAAGGACAUAAAUCACCUUCCGUGAAGUUUCAGUAAGGACUUCAAAUAUCCCAGAGAAAAGUCAGUCAAUGGUGUUUUGACAGAGUCAGUCAACGGCAAAAGACAGAAUUGUGUAUCAUAAUGCUCUCUCCCUCUCUCUCUCUCGUCAAUGGAUGACACCGUAUAAUUACUACGUAUAUAUCUCUGCUCAAUUACACAAAAGAAAAAUCCUUGCGCAUUAUUUUUGUUAUUAUUAGCUCAGAAAUGCAGAAAUUGAUCAUCUCUUACUUUUGCAUAUUGUUACUGGUUUUCUUCAAACUAGUUGGAGCAAGCCAUGCGUGCCUGGAAUCCAAGUGUGGCGAUGAUCAAGGCGCAGCUAUCCAUUUCCCAUUGCGCAUCAGCCGCAAACAUCAUUGUGGAAAUCCUGGGCUUGAAUGCAAUGUAAGAUAUGAGCAGCAAAUACUAGUAAAAUUAUUUGUCAAACACAUAGAUUACAAGAGUCAGGAAAUCCAAGUGUAUCCCCCAAGUAGCUGCCUGCUGCUAAAGUCUGUUGAAAUCCCAAACAUGCCACCCUCUCCCUUCAACGUGUCAGUCGAUGACAUGAGUAACUUGACCUUAUUCAGUUGUACUACUUCUGUUGCAAGCGAUCCAUAUCCGUAUCAAUUCCCCUGCCUCGGCGACCCUGGCCGCAUAAUUUAUGCCGUUGAUUCCAGUUCUACAUAUCUAUUGGAAGAUCUCUUCCAGAAAGUACAAUCUUGUUCAAAGAUGUAUGAUGUUUUAUCAGUUCCAUUCGGUUCUUGGGUAGGCGGUUAUAAUGUUCGUUUCAAAUGGUCUGAACCAAAUUGCACAGUAUGUGAAGCACAGGGAAAGAGGUGUAGGUGGAAGAACGAUGGCACAAAUAGUGAAAUUAAAUGUCUUGACUGGAAGAAACCAAGUAAGGAUAACAUAUAUAUUCAUUGCUAGUUUUAAACAUCUUUACAUUUACGUCUUAGUAAUUAUUAUUUAAAAUAUGUUGUCCAAUCCAUUUUUACUAGGAAUAUUACCUGACAGUCUCGUUUAAAUUUGCAAUGAUCUUCUACAGGCAACACAUGGAAAAAAGUGGUUACAGGUGGAAUCCUGGGUGCUUUGCUUCUUGUUCUACUGAUGAUUGCAGCAUAUCGGGUACAUAGCGCUGAUAGAAAGGAGAAAGAGAGUCGAUUAAGAAUUGAAAGAUUCUUGGAGGAUUACAAAGCACUCAAACCAACCAGGUAUUCGUACGCAGAUAUUAAGAGGAUUACAAAUCAAUUCAAGGACAAGUUGGGCGAAGGAGCCUAUGGAACUGUCUUCAAAGGAAUGCUCUCUUCCGAAUUCUUUAUUGCUGUCAAAGUCCUCAACAGUUCCAAGGGAGAUGGGGAAGAGUUCGUAAAUGAAGUGCGAACGAUGGGUCAUAUCCACCACGUCAACGUGGCUCGCUUGGUUGGAUUUUGUGCUGAUGGAUUUGCACGAGCUCUUGUUUACGAGUUCUUCCCCAAUGGUUCCCUGCAGGAUUUCAUUUCAUCUGCAGAUAGUAAGAAUUCAUUUCUUGGUUGGGAUAAGUUGCAAGAUAUUGCCCUAGGCAUAGCCAAAGGAAUUGAAUAUCUUCACCAGGGAUGCGAUCUACGAAUCCUGCAUUUCGACAUCAAACCCCAUAAUGUUUUGCUAGACCAAAACUUCACUCCAAAAAUUUCUGAUUUUGGUAUGGCCAAGUUAUGUUCCAAGGAUCAAAGCUUGGUGUCCAUGACUACAGCUAGGGGGACCAUGGGCUACAUUGCACCUGAAGUGUUUUCCAGGAAUUUCGGAAAUGUGUCUUACAAGGCAGAUGUCUAUAGCUUUGGAAUGCUGCUGCUUGAGAUGGUAGGAGGAAGGAAGAAUAUUGGUUCAAUCACGGAUAACACUACAAAUGAAAUUUACUAUCCACAGUGGAUUUAUAAUCUUCUAGAGGAAGGGGAUGACCUACAAAUCCACAUUGGGGAAGAAGGAGAUGGUAAAAUUCCAAAGAAACUUGCAAUUAUAGGGCUAUGGUGUAUCCAGUGGCACCCGUCGGAUCGUCCUUCCAUGAAAAUAGCGGUUCAGAUGUUAGAAGGAGGAGGAGAAAGCUUGAGUAUGCCGCCUAAUCCCUUUGUGCCUACUGGUCCUACAACUAGAAAUGCAAGACGCCUAGAGCUAGAAGCUAUUGCUGAAUUAGAGUAAAAUGUAUAUGCAGAUAUGUAGACGUAUAGAUAUAGUAAUAUUUACAUUGAAUAAGAGGCCGUUUGAUAACCAUUUCGUUUUCAGCUUUUAAUUUUUAUUUUGCACUUUUUUGAAAACUGAAAACUAAAAUCUUGUUUGGUAAAUACUUUUAGUUUAAGAAAAAAUGAAGACUGAGAACUAAAAAGUGAAAGCUCAAAGGAAGUAGAUUAAAAGUAGUUACCAAACAAACCGGAAUCUCAAUAAUAAAAAAUGAUUGAAUUGCACAACGCAAUCCAAACCAAUCAAAACAUUAAAAUAGCAAAAAAAAUUAAAAUUCUAGUUGAUUAGAUUAUGAACAUAGUAAAAAUGAACAGAUCCGAUGAAAAAACAAAAAAAAUUCUCAGAUAAAAAUAGGGAUAAAGUAAAAUAUUUAUAAAUAGCUCCUUGUCUCUUAUGUCAUCAAUUAUUUCUAUAGUAUAUACAAGUUUUUGGAAAAAUUAGGUUCCCAUCCCUUAUUUUCAUAUUACAUUGAUUGAAAUCUUAUUAUUUUUCUAUUUUAGAUCAAGGUCCCUUGACUUAUUCCAUGUCAUCAUUUUAGUAUUUAAAAUAUUACACGUCAUCAUAAACGAAAUCUCAUCCCCUUUCUGCAUUUAAGGCAAAAUAAACUAUAUGAGUAAGUUUAAAACAAGGAAAAUCCAUUUGAACUCCUCCAUUCUUCUUCUUCCCUUAUGCACAUCUGGAAUCUACAACACCCCAAACCCAAUUUUCUCCAUUUUUUCUCCAUUCCUGAAUUGAUCCAAUGCAUAUAUGUUGAAUAAACCUAUUGUGAUUAAAAUACAAAUUAGCAUCAAUGGUUUUAUCGGCUUGUGAGAUUUGUGUGGCAUAGGCAAGGCAAUGCAUGCAUCGCUUUCUCAAGGAAUCUGGUUGAUUCAAACAUGCAGAGACUGUAGAGUGAGCGGGCUAUGUAAAAACUGUACCAUUCUGAAGUCAUUUUCUUUUGUUCUUUAUAUUUUUUUUCUUUUUCUUUUAUUAUUAUAUAUUAGUCUUGAUUAUUCAAUGUCUGGUUGGCUACACUUAUGUCCAUGGGUACAUUUUUAAUCAACAUGGUUCGUUCUAAUAUAUCUAUUGCUAUAAUAUGUUUUGGUUGGUUCAAAUUUGUUUUACAUAAAUAUAUGGGUACAAAGUUUUUGGAGAAUAUUAUGUAAAAUGGUUUUUAAGGUUGCUGCAUUUUAUGUACCCACAUAUGCAUGUCUAUAAAUGACACACCCCGUCCCGAAGGAGGGCAUGCUGGCCGUCACGUGAGAGUGACGUAACCAUUUGCACAGUACGGAAGCUUUAAGAUACAAUUUAUAAGUUGAUACACCCGAAUGUGAGUCCUAAUUUUGUCCAAUCUGUCAGAACACCGUCAAAUUCCUCGUAGUCACCACACCUUUGUGAUUCCUGAACCUGGAGGGGCGCAAAACCAAAAUUGAGUGGGUCAGUAAAACAAUUCUUUUCCAAAUCCAAACAUUUCUCAAAACGUUGUAACCCCAAUCCGUAAAACUUGUAUAUUUUCCCAGAAAUGUAAAAUAUAAAUAUACAUAUAUAUUCUCAAUACUUCAAUUCAUUAACUCAACAUUUUUCAGUACAAUUAUGCCAUGCCAUGUCUAAUUCAACAGUUAAGUAUGGAUGCAUCAACAAUAAUCAUAUCAGGUGCAAGAAAGUAAUCAACCGGAGGCCCUCUAAUAGCCAUGUACGGUUGAACCUAGAGCUCAAAAUCUAUCACUCUCACUCUACCGGAGUCACCUCUGUGACCUGUCCGGCCUUCUGCACACAAGUUACGCUCUAGUGCUUUCUCAUCAAUCAUCUGUGCACAUAAUCUAAGGUCACCCACCAGUCGAAAUCUCACUAACACUCUUCGACUGGCCCGUCGCACCCACUCCGCGUGGACUGUGCGACCAGCAUCUACUUGGAUCCAAGGCGAGCGUGCGAUGCGGUGAAUACUAUAAGCACUAAACCAUGGUGCAGGAUUUGAGCUCAAUAUACAUCAACAUCAUCAUAAUAGUAAUUAAAUACUCACCUGAUACUCACCUGUGCGUCCGCCGCACCAAUUCAUAUAUAUGCAUCAUAUAUCAAUUCAUAUCAUUUCAUACAUGGCAAUUCAAUUCACGUUUUUCAUAUAGUUCUAUAUACUUUUCACAUAUUUCUAUUUAAAGCAUAAUUUCAUGCUUUUUCAAUUUCUGGGAAAACGGCAAGUAUAUAUAUAUACGGAAAACAAAACUGCCCACUCACCUGGAGUUCGCCCUACAACUCCCUAGCACAAUACGCCAAGGCGUCAUGACGAUCGGCGCCUAAAACAAUAAUCAAUUCCAACCUUAGAAUUCAUAUCGAUAGAAUAUAUAACUUAUAUAAAAUACGUCACUGCGUAGUUCGAUCCGGAAGAUCCACCACUCAGAUUUUAAAUCCAUAACUUCCAGAGGUCCACAAUAUAUCUCUAGGAUAACAUCCUAAAAUUUCAUUACCAUCCAACGGUCGGAUCUCCGUCAAUUUCCAAAACUAAGUGACGGUUAACAUUUUAUUUUAUGAACUUACAACUCCAAUUCCUGAAGAUCCGUAAAUCGGAUUCCCAAUCCGAAAGUUCCAAUAAUCCUCAAAUAUUACGUAUUACUACGUAUCAAAGUUUAGUGACGAUCUAACGGUCGGAUCGUCAAUUCACGUUUUCACCUAAAUGUGAAAACUAUAAAACGUUAUUCGAACAUCUAACCAACAAUCCUUAAUAACUUUCUCAUACGGUGCUCAAUUUGGGUAUAUGAAUAUACCACGGUGAUCUACUCGACGUCACGGACGUCGACAUAUUUUUAAAAUAAUUUUAUUUUAUUUUAUUUUUUUUACUGUAGCACCUUCUUCUUCCUUGGGUCGCCGGACUGGUUUUUCCAGCGGCCGUUUUCUGGGCAGUUUUUCAAAUUGCCAUAACUUUGUCAUUUCUCAACGAAAUCAAGUGAUUCAAAAACGAAAGUUGUAGCCCUUGAAGAGACAAAGAGAAUGGUACCUUACAAAACACCUAGUUCUCCGUGGUUUGGCCGGAAACUGCCUCGAAAGCCUCGGAGGUCGCCGGAAACUGGGUAUUUUUCAAAUGAGUAUAACUUCUUCAAUACUCAACGAAAUUGAGUGAAACAAAAAGGAAAGUUGUAGUAAUUGACGAGAUGAAGAGAUUGAUACCUACCUCGACUCCUAACUCGCCGGGGAUUCGCCGGAAAAAGCCUCGAAAGCUCCGGCCAAACUUUGAACUUGUCGAUCUCCGUGUUCUUACGUCCAAAAACUUCCAACGAAGCACUCCGAGCUUCCUUGGGACCUCACUAAGCUCACUAUGAGCUUGGAUUGUCCUAAAACAAAGUCAAUUCGAAAAUCAUGAACAGUGCACUUUCACGGGGAGUUUAGAAUCUAGGUUUUCCGAAGUAAAACUUACCUGAAAUUGGUGUCUACGUGAUCGUGGAGUCUCCAGGAGUUCGAUGGUGGUCUUAACUCCGUCGUUGGUGGAAGUUUAAGGUUGUUUUGCGGUUGGUUUGUUCGAACGGAGAAGAAGAGUGACAGAGAGAGAGAGAUUCGUGAGGGAGGAGAGAGAGAGACAGUAUGCAGAAAAUAGGGAGAGGAUUGAGGGGUGUGGGGAUCCCAUGUGGUCCUUUUCCAAUCCCCAACUCCAAACCACAAAAUUUUAACCUAAAAAUCUAAGUUCCAUCCUUAAUAAAUUCCAUUUUAUUUUCAAAACUUAGGAACCUAGAUAAUUAUCAACUUGAGCUUCACAUACUUAGUAUUUCUUAAGGGCAAUUUCGUCCAUUCACAGCCACGAAUGUAAUAUUUUUGGAACGGGCUGUGACAAUCUUCCCUCCUUAUAGAAUUUCGUCCCCGAAAUUCCAGCAACCAACUAAAUCAACCAUACUUCAACAAUAGCUUCGGGUAAAUCUCUCUCAUCCGAUUCUCUUUCUCCCACAUAAUUUUCUACUGAAUGAUUUCCUUCACAAAGCUUUUACCACUUACUCUGUCUUAAUUCUCAAGACUUUCUUUUUCCAAUCUAAAGUCGUCCUUGGUUCCUUAUCAAGUCGAAUCCAAUUUAAUUCUCAAUAGUUGCACCAGAAUCUCAUGUGACGAAUCUGCCACCUAGUGACAACGUAUCGAACCCAAAAUACAUUAAGUAUCUUAGCCAACUCUGAAGACAUCACCACAUGUAUGCAACUUUAUUGAUUCCUUUAGUGAUCAAAACGGACUGAUGUGUUCAAGACUUAUCUUGUCUUCCUUUCUGAAUCUUACUAUUUCUGUUCAUGGUGAAAUUUCCAAAAAUAUCAAACCAUUUACCUUACACACUCGAUUAGUGGCAUAUCCAUCUGUUAGUCUCUUUUGCCAUUCCUGGUUACUUCAGGUUAACUUAAUCACCUGAAUACUUUGAGGAGACUCAUCCAAAAUUUCGGGUCCACCAAAAUUCUUUUGUGAUCGAAUCUUUCUCUACCCAGAAGCAUUCCAUCCACAAUUCAGCAAAAAUCGACACACAUGACACGCUUCAUGGACAUUAUGGCGUUACUUUGAAAACUGGCGAAACCAACAUACUUAAGAAACUCAGCAGUCCCGUAACCCAAUUCUCUUUUCCAUAAAACAAAUAAGUACUGUUGCACUGUCUGGGAAAGGUUGUUACUCAACACUGGAGUAAAUAUACUAACUUGUUACGUUGCCCAACCAUCACUUCACAUUCAAUCGUAACCAUCUUGUAUACAAGGAAACUUGUACACAUAGUCCAAAGUAAUAUCUUUCCAUUUCUGUUUAGAAACAGAAAAUAGCUGUCUCAAUCCAAAGGUUUAUCUCUUUCCGCCUCAAUCUGCUGAUCAAAUAAACUGUCGAGUGGUAUGAUAAAUCUUAUUACUUUUGGAAUAUUGCAGAAGUUGAACAGUGAACUUUGUCCAAUAUUUGCUUGCUUCAAAUCCUCAGCAUUAGGCACAUACUUUUGGUUUUCUUGUAUCCACAUACCAUUUGAUUCACGAAUCAUGUAUUCAUUCUUUUUCCCUUCUUUCUCUACCUUGGUUAAUUCUUAAAUUUCCUCGUCAAACAUUUAAGUUUCGAGUACGACCUUACCAAACAGGCCUAACUUGAAAUUUAACAAGUAUAACUUCUUCUCGAUCUUUCAUUCUUAACUUUACUUUAGUUGGUUUCCAAUCCACAAGAAGAUAAUCAUGGCAAGCGUACCAGAUAUUAAUUAUUACUGCAGUCUUCUUAUCAAGUGCUUCAGUUACAACAAUUCACAAUCACCCUGAUCGUACAAUCAUAAUCACUAAGUAAUUCAAUCCACCUUUGUUGCCUCAUAUCACAAUCCUUCCAAGUAAACAAAUAUUGGAGACUCUUUUGAUUUGUAAAAUCUUGUAUUCUUAUCAACAUAUAAUGUCUCCAUAACUUCACAGCAAGGAUGAUAAUCGUGACUUCCAAAUCACCAGUAGGGUAAUUCAUCUUAUGAGGUUCCAUUUAUCGUGAAACGUAUGCAAUCACCCUAACAUUUGCAUCAACAUGCCUCCAAUACCAUUCAAGAAACAUCACUAAAAAUUUAUGAUUACCACUAUUCUCUGGGAAUACCAAAAUACGUGCAUGAGUGAGGAAAUACUUCAGUUGUUGAAUCCUUUGCUCACAAUUUCCUUCCCACUCAUACAUAACCUCUUUUCUCAACAGUCUCGUCAAUGACAAAGCAAUGACUAAAAACUCUUUCACAACCAUCCAAGAUAGUCUGGUAAGUUAAGAAUUUCCGAAUCUCAAUUAUGGCUUGUGGUUGUUCCAAUUUCUCAAUUCUGCUGCCUUUUAAGAAUUCAUUUGAAUACCUUAAGCAGAUAUAACCAAUCUCAUAAUGCCACUUGAUUCAUCCAACAUUCGCAUUUGCUAAACUUAGCAUACAACCAACGUUCUUUCAAUCUUUGCUUCAUCGACUUAAUACGUUUACAUGCUCUGCUCUGGCUCAGAAUGUACCAGAAUAUCGUCAAUGAAAAUGAUAUCAAUUAUCAAGGCAUUAUUGGAAUACUUCAUCCAUCAACUCAUAAAACCGCAUGAGUAUCCACAUAGCAUCACCAAACCUCAUAAGGACCAUAACAAGUCCAGAAAACCAUCUUAUGAUCAACGUCAUUCAUAAUCUUUAAUUGGUAAUAACCAGACUUCAAGUCAAUCUUUGAAAAUAUACAAGCACCUUUGAACUGAUCAAAUGAGCGUCAAUACACCACAAUGGAUAACGGUUCUCAUUCGUUACCCGACUCCAUUGUCUAUAAUCAAUGAACAGUCUCAAGAUCCAUUUUCUUCCUCACCAACAAACUGGGGCUCCUCAAAAGUGUUGUACUAGGUUGAAUAAAACUUUUAUCAACCAAUUCUUUCAACUAAAUUUCCAAUUCCCUUAACUCAUCAUGAACCAAUCUCCAAUAUAAAUUUAUACCUGGCAACAAAUCAAUAAUGAACCUCAUAUCUCUGCCUGAAGACAAUCCAGGUAUACUUUCAGGGGAGACAUCAAGAAAAGUCUAACCCUUUUGACAUUAUUCACACUACUCCAAACAACAUCAUUUAGCACCCCAUGAGCUAAGUAUUUUUAACAGCCUUUCGAAAACAAUCUCUUUGCUCUCACAGCAUUAAUAACGGCCUGACUCAAUCCACCUUGCAUACUUACAAAAGUAAUCUCUGGUCAUCCAGAUCGAUGGAAAGUACUGGUUUCCCGUAACAUUCCGUCUUGUCACAAUUAUAACCAACCGAUCUAAUGGAACAGAAUUAACUGAUACAAUAUAUAUUCUAUUAUUAUUAAGCAUUCUAAAUAAGUACAAUACUAACAUAAAAUAAUCUACCGGGUUGCUUGCUUAACGAAUCCACGAAUGAGUUAUUAAUAUUACGGUCUGCAGCCCGCAAUACUGAUAAAUCAUCGUUGUCUCGAUAAGUAGGCAACCACUCUCAAAGAUAUAACAUUACUAUUUUGUCACUCAAUGCAAAAUACAUACACUUGUCUCAACUACAUUUAUUUACUACUCUCUAGGUAAUAACAUACAUAAUAAGAAAUAUAUCAGUCGAAGUCAACUAGAAUGACCAAUACGGCUGAUUCAACUCUUAUCUCAAUAAUACGUCGGCCGGAUCCACUCCGCGUGGUCGGUACGGCCGAGCCUAUAACUCAUCCAACCUCUCUGUACUCACGGUCAAUCCGACCAAACUACUAAGUCCAUAACUCUGCUGAAUCGACACUAUGAUAUCAUGGAAAAUUAUUGAGUACAACUGAUUCUAGGGACGAUUCACAAUUCUGUGUCCCCUCUGUUCACAUAAACACAUUCAUUAAUUUCACACUUCCCAAAGUGUUAAUUUUGUACCUGCUGCACAAGGUACAUUUCCUUUACUCGAGACACCUUGUCUCAAAUAUCUGGGAUUACCAGUAUAUCCAUCACUUUUACUCUGACCAGCAACAUUAAAACCUCAGCUGGAAGAAUUAACUCUAGCUUCACUUCUUUCGAAGCUCUGAAUCUUUCUAUAUCUUUGAUAUGACGAAUCAUUAACUUUAUCGUCUUCUUUUAAUUCCCAUUCAUUUCUUAUUCUUCUUUAUUCUCGUUGCUCAUGUUCUCAGAGUCCUCAAGACUCAACAGCAUCUCGUAUAUUCCUGGUAAGAAGUACAAUGGAUAGUGGUCACCCAAAAUACCACUUCCCUUUUGCCACCCAGCUUAAAACAACAUAACACCUCCACCAAAUUAGCAGCAAUAUCCGAAUGGAAACGAGGCUAGUCUGAAAACUUUCUAUAAUAUUCAUUUAUCGUCAACUUCCUUGAUUCACAUUUGCAAAAUCUUGCUUACUACCAACGAUAAAUGCCGGAGGGAUAAACUUUUCCUUAAAUAAGUCCUUAAACAAUUUUAAAUCGGCUACUUCCUCUGAUGACAACAAUCAAUACUCCUGCUUCCAUCAGGAUACACGUUCAUAACUCAAACCAGGUAGUCGUCUCGACCCACCUGUCAGAAGGAAAUUUCCUUUGACUUGCAUAAUCUGAAACAUCUUUUCCAAUUGGUUAAUCCGUUACUUCGCUCCCUCAGGUUCAUCAUUCCAUAAGGUGAUUCAAAUUCGACUCAUAACCUGUCUUAAAAUGUCCCUUUUUAUAAUAGACUGAAUCACCAUAAUAAUAGUUUCCCCUAAACCGCUAUAUUAGGGAGACUAAAUUCCUCUAACUAAGUGGCUUGCUACGAGGCGGUGUAGUUCUGACAGAAUUCACUAGAACUUCUCAAAAUGUCCAAGAUUGCAACCAUGCUCUGAUACCAACUGACACACCCCGUCCCGAAGGAGGGCAUGCUGGCCGUCACGUGAGAGUGACGUAACCAUUUGCACAGUACGGAAGCUUUAAGAUACAAUUUAUAAGUUGAUACACCCGAAGGUGAGUCCUAAUUUUGUCCAAUCUGUCAGAACACCGUCAAAUUCCUCGUAGUCACCACACCUUUGUGAUUCCUGAACCUGGAGGGGCGCAAAACCAAAAUUGAGUGGGUCAGUAAAACAAUUCUUUUCCAAAUCCAAACAUUUCUCAAAACGUUGUAACAAUAAAAACCAGUCCGGCGACCCAAGGAAGAAGAAGGUGCUACAGUAAAAAAAAUAAAAUAAAAUAAAAUUAUUUUAAAAAUAUGUCGACGUCCGCGACGUCGAGUAGAUCACCGUGGUAUAUUCAUAUACCCAAAUUGAGCACCGUAUGAGAAAGUUAUUAAGGAUUGUUGGUUAGGUGUUCGAAUAACGUUUUAUAGUUUUCACAUUUAGGUGAAAAUGUGAAUUGACGAUCCGACCGUUAGAUCGUCACUAAACUUUGAUACGUAGUAAUACGUAAUAUUUGAGGAUUAUUGGAACUUUCGGAUUGGGAAUCCGAUUUACGGAUCUUCCGGAAUUGGAGUUGUAAGUCCAUAAAAUAAAAUGUUAACCGUCACUUAGUUUUGGAAAUUGACGGAGAUCCGACCGUUGGAUGGUAAUGAAAUUUUAGGAUGUUAUCCUAGAGAUAUAUUGUGGACCUCUGGAAGUUAUGGAUUUAAAAUCUGAGUGGUGGAUCUUCCGGAUCGAACUACGCAGUGACGUAUUUUAUAUAAGUUAUAUAUUUCUAUCGAUAUGAAUUCUAAGGUUGGAAUUGAUUAUUGUUUUAGGCGCCGAUCGUCAUGACGCCUUGGCGUAUUGUGCUAGGGAGUUGUAGGGCGAACUCCAGGUGAGUGGGCAGUUUUGUUUUCCGUAUAUAUAUAUACUUGCCGUUUUCCCAGAAAUUGAAAAAGCAUGAAAUUAUGCUUUAAAUAGAAAUAUAUGUGAAAAGUAUAUAGAACUAUAUGAAAAACGUGAAUUGAAUUGCCAUGUAUGAAAUGAUAUGAAUUGAUAUAUGAUGCAUAUAUAUGAAUUGGUGCGGCGGACGCACAGGUGAGUAUCAGGUGAGUAUUUAAUUACUAUUAUGAUGAUGUUGAUGUAUAUUGAGCUCAAAUCCUGCACCAUGGUUUAGUGCUUAUAGUAUUCACCGCAUCGCACGCUCGCCUUGGAUCCAAGUAGAUGCUGGUCGCACAGUCCACGCGGAGUGGGUGCGACGGGCCAGUCGAAGAGUGUUAGUGAGAUUUCGACUGGUGGGUGACCUUAGAUUAUGUGCACAGAUGAUUGAUGAGAAAGCACUAGAGCGUAACUUGUGUGCAGAAGGCCGGACAGGUCACAGAGGUGACUCCGGUACUAUUUUGACCAUUCUAUUUAACUUGUGUUUCAUUUAUUUUAACCAUUCUAUUUAAAGUUUAUCCCAAGUAAUCUAAUUAAGACUAGAGUCGAAAGUGAUGCAUUUAGUAAUUGCUUACACUUGUGAAUAUGAGUUGAUUGAGGUGGUGGUGGUUUCUUGUAUUAAUAAUUCUAUUUAAACUCAUACCCUCCCACACCAUCAGAUCCAAGUACUAUUUUGAUAAACUUUAAAUAGAAUGGUUAAAAUAAAUGAAACACUUUUAGAAAAUAAGUGAAGAUGUUGUUUACAAAUAUAGAUGCAUUUGUAUAUAAAAGCUUUGGCGGUUGAUCCGUAUACACUUCCAGAGAUAUAAGCAAGUUCAUUGGAUUAUACAUACAUAGUUAAUGUAUUACAGUAUAAUUAAUAAGAAAACAAUUGCAUCCCUUUCAGAUUAUAUAUAUAUAUAUAUAUAUAGACACACACACGCACACAUACAUACACACAGGCCCUUUAUGCAAAGGAAUUUUCAAUUUUUUUUUUAAAUGGGGAUUAGUUGUGGGGCCCACGCUGCAUUGAACUUUAACGAUCCGAACAGUCUAUUUUGUAAUUCUCGAUUCAUAGAUCAUCCUUGUAAAAAUUCAAUUCAAUCCGAACCUAUUUGCCUAUUUAAUUAUCAAGAUAAAAUUUUAUUGUUUCUUAUAUAACAAAGUAUUCGUUAAUUUCUUUGAACUCAAUUAGAUAUCUUAAACAUUUCCGAUUUGGUUAAUAUUGUGUAAGGAUGAUCUAUGUGGUGCAACUUGAAAAAUAGACGAUUACGAUCGUUAAAGUUCGAUGUGGUGAGAACCCUACAAUUAAUCUUCAUUUUUAUAAAAGAAUGGGAACCCCUUCCCUUAAAGGUUUCCUAUGUAUAUAUUUGUUCUCCAGACAUAUGCAAAAGGUAAUGUAAAACCAAUGAGAACUUAAAUAGAUAUUCCAUACAUAGGACAAUUCCAUAUAUGCUUUUUCAACAUUGAUAUCGAAAAGCCAAAUUGUUUUGAGGAAAUUAAUUGUAGCAAUGAUCCCUUAACUUUUAUCUUAUUGGAGCAAUGGUCUCUCAACUAAAAAUUCAUGACCAUUGGUUCCUUAACUCCACACAACGUGUAGUUAUGGUCAUUUUCAUUAACCCCGUCAGAACUUUUGUUAAAACAAGUAAUGUUAGAAGAAUCAUUGCUACAAUUAGGUUAAAGUUGGGGACCAUUGCUCUAAUUAAAUUAAAAUUGAGGGAUCAUUUCUCCAAAUUGCUUAAAGUUCAAUGACCAUUUCUACAAUUUUCUCAUCUAGUUUCCCAUAUUUACCCCAUGAUUCAGCUUCACAUGCAUUGCACAUGACUCAUUUUGACAAAAAUUUUAACGAAAUUGACGAAAAUGACCAUAAAUACACGUUUUGAAUAGUUAAGAGACCAAUGGUCGUGGAUUUUAGUUGAGGGAUCAUUGCUCCAAUUUGGUUAAAGUUGAGGGACCAUUGCUACUUUUUUCUCAAAUGUUUCGUAUGCGAAAAUAGGCAUUUGUAAAGUUUGGCUUGUUCAUGGCAUUAUUACUUUAGUCUAAAGUAAGGCUGGAAAUGGCACUGUAGAAAUGAAUAGUGUUCCAAUCUGAAUUUCAGUUUAAUUACAACAAUGCCAUUGCUCUUUGUGUUGCCUUUAGGUGAGCAGCCCAGCUUGCAGCCAGGCCCAAAUGUAUUGGUUUUAGCUGAGAAGCUCGGCCCUUGGUCAUGCCCAAAAUUUUAAAUUACAGUUUUGCCCAUACAAAAUAACAAUCCGAUUGUAUCGGGAAGGACAAUUUUGUCCUUUCAGUUUUGGGUGAGAUAGGGGGUAACAGGGUAAGUUUCAUUUGCUGUCGUUGAAUGAGGGUUUCGGGGAUGAGGGCUCUGUGUGUGUGUGGGUGAGAGAGAGAGAGAGAGAGAUGGCGAUGGAAGGAGAGUGAGGGGGAAGGGAAGGGUUCUCGGCACUAUUGUUGCAUGUGGAUUUCACAAGUGGGAGAGUGGGUAUGGUCAGAGAAGACCAUAUAGGUCGUUGGGAUUUCAGGGAAACGGGGUAGGGGUCAUGAAUGAACCCUGCUGAGAGUGGGUACCGGAUCUUGCGCUGCAUGCCUCAAAUCAAAGAUAAGUUCGUUUUUUUUAUUGUAUUUUUAUGGUAGCUUAGCUUUUGGAAUUGUUUAGUAUGUUAGGUCCGAUUUUGGGGGAUUUAUCUUUUUAGAGAGAGAGAUAGACAGGGAGAUAGAGAGAGAGGGAGAGGGAGAGAGAGAGAGAGAGAGAGGAGGAAGCAUGACUGUGUGCAAUUUUUGGUGUUAAUUAAUGGGUUGGUGCGCAGGGUGAGUGACAGAGUGACAGAGUGAAGGAGGGACGUGUGGGAGGGUAUGAGUUUUCAGUUCUUUCUUUUGAUUCAACAGGUUAUACACUGUUUGAAAAACUUUUUUUUUAUUAUUUUGUUCUCGUUUGCUUUGUUCAAACCAUCAUUUGAAUUUUUGGGUUUCACUGUGCUCAUUUCUCUGCUUCUUCAUAAUUUGCUGGUGUUUGCUUCUCAUCCCUCUGUUGGUAGAUCUUUUUCUCAUUUCUUGGUUCCUUAUGUAUUCUUUUGUACAAAUCUGUUUACUUUUUUGCUGUGUGAUAAUCUUAGCAGGUGAACUAUAUGAACGUUUUUUUUGAAACGAGUUAAGAAGAUCCAGCUGAAAAUAGCAUACAAGAUAGAGAACUGGUAUGCUGCUCGCCAGGGAAAGGCUGCUGGAGAGGCCGAGACAGAUGCCUCCUUCAGAAACCAGGUCAGUUUCCUGCUGCUCGGCGUCUUAAUGUAUCCAAAUUGUUUAUCUUUUGAUGAAAUUAGCUGGCUUUAUUUUCUAUUUUAUUUAUCUGCAUAUUAUUUUGGUUUGUUGAAAUUUUGACUAUAGUCAUUGUCACAUGGGCGCCCAGCCCAACCCAAAUUAGUUGAGGAUAUUUAAAUCUUCACCAUGGUAUUAUAGUACUCACUCACAGUUGUGAAUACUAAGGUGCAGGCAUGGCAUGAAGAAGUGGACCGUGCACGCCAAUGUCAGAGGGAUGCAGAGGGCAAGCUUUUUUCUUUGGAGGUAAGUAUCCUUUGUUUAUUGCCCAACAGUGUUGUUAUUAUCAAUUUGUAGCUUUGCGUUCUGAAUUUUUUGCUUUGUCAAACAACCUUCUUGAAAUGCUCGAUUUCAAGCCGAAGUCCAAAAAAUGAGAGUUGAGAUGGCUUCCAUGAAAAGGGAUGUAGAGCAUUACUCGCGCCAAGUGAAAUCUGCUUCCUCUCUUUUCGUAUAUCUUCAUAUGAAGAGUUUUACUAAGUUAUAUUGAGAACUAUGUUAUUUAUAGGUUAUAUUUUCCAUUUUGCAGGAACACAUGGAGCUAAGGAAGAGCUAUCGUGAACUCACUGAUCUACUGGUAAUGUCACUCAAACUGCUUUAUUUGUGCAUGCUGCUACUAUGCGCUUGAAUGCAUUUUAUUACUGGCGGGAUGCAAGAAAGCUAGAUAUAUGUGCUGGAUCGCUUGAUUAGUGUUAGGGUUUUAACAACUAAUUGUUAGCAGCUAGAAGCUCUGGUUAGAUGAAUGCUAAUUUGAUUUUCCUUACAGUACUUGAGUGCCAGUUUCAUAUUGUUUGUUCCCUGCUGGAUACCUGUUGUACAGUUUCAUUUCUGUUUCUUUAUAACUUUCUUGGCCCUGGGAUAUAUGCAUAUUGAGUACAAUGAAUAUCCAUUGUUCUCUAACUGUUGGGCUUUACUAUCUUUGUAGCAGCCUGCCUAACAUUUUUUAGGCUCUACACUCUACCAUCCAAUUUAUGAAAAAUUCAAAGAUUGAACGGUAUUGAUUGCAGAAAUGAAAAAAAUACUAUGAUAUUAGAAAGGUGAAUGUAAUUGUGUUAGAAGAAGCGUCUAGCAUGAUGGGUAAUAUUUUAAGUUUGUAUUUCUAAAAUUUUUUCGUUCUGGAGUAUGAUUUACCUCAAUUGUUUUGUACUUUAAUCUUUACUAAUUUUCAUUGUGGAGUAUGAUUUGCCUCAACUAACAACUUUUCAUUGUUUAACUUUUUCCUCCCUUAGAUAGUUGCAUAUGUUUGAUUUGUUAAUCUGCUUCUUACACAUGUUGUUUCCUAAUGGUGUAGGUGGGUUGCCGGAUGCAUGUGCAGAUUACUUGAAUAGACGAAGCUAAGAAUGACUUAGUAUUAAGUGAGAAAGAAGCUUGGGUCAGUUGGAUUUUGAUAUUUGAUUUAUUCAUGUUUUUUGUUGCUUGCAAUGUUCUCGCAUUGUUGUUCUGAGAUUCUGUGAUCUUAUUUUUCAUAGGAACUGACAUUGGUUUGCCAUAUAAUGUUUCAUGAACUAAUACAACAACUAAUCACCUUGCUUAGCUCUCAAGACACAUACUUAAUAGGUUAACAAACACUAACCUAUAAACUGAUCUGCUAAGCUGGACCAUUAACCUCUGUUUAUAUCCCUGCCACUCAUCUUUUGGCACUUAUCAAUAGCAAAAUUUAGAGUUACUGAAACCCCAAUUUUAAUGAAUAUUAUUUUUAGUUGAUAAUUAAAAUUAAUUGAUGAUUAAUCUAUUCCAUUGUGCAUUAUUUUAUCGCCAAAUACUUUGAAUAUUCAUUAGCAAAAGAUAUAGGGUUCACUAUUUAAUGAAUAGAAUUUUGAUGGUGGAUUGCAUUUCCUGAGUUAUAAAUGUGGUGAAUCCAUUAUUUACUAGCUGAAUAAUCAUAAUGUUUUGGCCACUUACCUUGAAUUUUGUUCAAAUUGAAGAAGUCACAUGUUUCUUUCUGUUGUUGAGGUAAUCUCUCUGUUGAAAGCUUCUAUUUCUUUUUUCUUUUUCUCUUUUUCAUUUGGGUAGAUUUUUUUUUUAUGGAUUUAUGUAUUUUUUUUCAGAGAAUUCGAAAUGAAAUAAGAAUAGCGGAUUGAGCAUAAACAAAUUGAUGAAAUUUUUAUUUGAGUGUUUGUGUUGGUCCUUUUUUGAUUUGUUGAGGUUUGGAAUUAUUUGAGUUUUUUUUGCUGUUAGUACUGUGAAGGAUGCUUGGCAAUCGCGAAAUGGGGGCUACCUCUUUGGAAAGAGAAGUCUCGCUAUCCAACCUCUCAUGAAUUACAAACAGGGUGCUUUCUUGCUGAAAAACCACUAAACCAGUAGAACUUUCCUCGGUUCUUCAAUUCGAUUCGAAUAAUUUUUUUACCCAGAAAGCCAGCGUUUCCUGGUGGGUUUUACAGCUUUCUCAAUGUUUUUGUGAUUUUGGAUUUGCAAAUUUGUUUUCUGUUCAAAUUUCCUUUUGUGAUUUUGGAGGUUUUGUUUAUCGAUUCUCUCACUCAUCUCUCAGCUCUCUCUCACUUUUGAGGUACAUGCCGUUGGAUUCCAUUUGCUGCUGCUGAUCUGCAGGUAAAGCUUCAAUUACCAUAUAAAGUUUACAUUUUUCAUGAUUUCUUGAAUUUGGGUUUUAAACAAAGGAAAUAUUGCUAGAUUCUUAUCUUAUGUGCAAAUUACUGGCUAUUUGGAUUGAUGCUUGAGAUUUAGAGAAUGCCUCGAAGCUUUAAUUUCUUUUUCCUUCAUUAUUACUGUUUUCAAAAUUUUUAUUGCUGGGUAUUGAUAAUUUGUAGUAUGUGAGGGCUUCAAUAUGUUGGAAUUUUGAAUGGUUAUUGCUUCAUCGGAAUUUGGGUGGUCCAAAUUUUGAAUUAGAAGAAACCCAUUUGAUUAAUAUUUUUGGUGGAUUGGUUCUCUGUGUUUUCCUUGCUAUUUCUCCCCCAGUUGGAAAUUGGAAGCCCCAACUUUGAGCUCAGAGCUUGAAUUUCUCAAUCGUUCGUUUCUCUGCACUCUCAUCAGUCACUCUUGAUCCUCUAUCUAAAGAACUGGGUAAUUUUCCAGCUCUAUCAAGUAAUACUCCAUUUAAUUGCUUAAUUGAGGUUUUUUGUUUCUCUUUUUCGCUCUUUCAUCAGUUCAUUGGCUUUGAUGUUGAGCUUAAGUAAAUGGGAGAUCAUUAAUUGGCAUUGUUCAAGAUAUAAUUCUGUGUUUUUGGAUUUGUGAAACGAUUUGCCUAAUGAUGAUAGUGGUUAAAAUAAAUUUUUCGUUAUGAAAGAGAACAUUGUUCUUCAUUUGCCUAUGGUUUUAAGUACAAAGUUAAACUACUAUGCUUUUGUUCAAUUGACUGCAACUCAUGCCGCAGUUUGCUUCACAAACCUCUACGGUUAGCUUCCAUAUAGUAUGUUGCAAGUUUGAGGAUAUCUUUACAUCUUAAUUUUUGCUCUCUCUGGUUGCUUCAAGUUUGUAAUUUUACGUGUUACAUUGCUACUUGAUUUGAUUAUAAAAAUGCAAAACAAAAUCCGUUUUGCUUUUAUUCAACUUAAAUGUAUCCUUUUGUUUGUUCAUAAUUGUGUUGAAUUUAUUCAACUUAAAUGUGUUUUAUUCAUCUGUUUACGCUUAAAACAACUGGUUUCCCUAGCAAUGCGCGGGCCUAAUUUCUAGUACAUAUACUAAAAGCCAGCAGAAAAUUACUGUUCAUCAUGGGAGAUAGAGCACUGUUCAUUAACCGUGAAAGGGCGAAAAUGCCCUCGGAUUCUUCUUUACUUCACGUACUGUUUACGAAUUGCUACAGUAUAAAGUCCGUUUUGUCCUUCCUGUCCACGCAUCUUUCAUCGUCCGUUUCUCUUGCUUCGACCACAUCUUUUUUGCUUUACCUUUCCUCUUCGUUUUUCGCAUUCGUUAGGCUACGAUUUUCGGAGGUGGAUUGUUUGCCCUCCCAUUUCCAUGGUCUCCCCAUGCCCUCCCAUUUCCAUGAUCUCCCCACGUCAAUAUUUUAUAAAAAUAAUAAAUAAAAGGUAAUAAGAAUAUAAAAUGUUGACGUGUCUUAACGUGACCACAUAGGCAUUGGGAGAGCAUGGAAAUGGGAGGGCACACAAUCCACCUCCGACUUUCUCCCUUUUCGCCAGCCCCUCUUUUGCUCUCAAAUCCUUGCUCUUUCUUUUGCAAAAUAGUCUCAGAAGAGAUCCUGGGUUUAUCGAAUCCUUUGUUGUUGGGCGUUUUGUUCUCAUCUUGCGAUCGUCGGGGCAGCAGCUUUAAGGUAAGUUUGUUUUUAAUGAUUUAUCCUCAUUUUACGAUGUCUGGGCUAACAAAUUUAAGAUCUUUAUUUUUCUUUUUGCUGCGGAUCUGCAGGUUUUGACAAGUUUUUUGUGAAAUUGGUGCUGUCAGUGGGUGUUAACAUCAGGUACCCAUGUUCAGUUUUUCGUUUUGAUUUGAAGGAAUUUCUUGCGCAGAAGAGCUAGGGUUUCUUGGUGAGUUCUUCGGGUUUUUCAUAUGGGUAAUUUUCUUUUCGGUUUAACCCUCUGCUUCUGCUGCUCUCUCUCUUUCUCUCAUCCCUGCCUGCUCCUCUCCAAUUGUUUGCUGUUCUUAAAUAUUGUGUUCAUUGCCUGAUACAACGAGGCAAUGGCGUGACAACAGGUGAGCUUGGAUAUCCAAAGAAAAAGAACAGUUGGUUCAUCUGCUGGAGUCUGAAGCUCAGAGAAGUGGAGGAAAAUUGCAGGUGUGCGAGAAAUUUUAUUUUGCUGAUAGGACUCCUUAUUUACGGAUGCAUUUUGAAAUAAUUGAAAAGUUGGAUUUGAGUUAACAGCUAUAAAAAUGUAGACAUGAUUGCUGAGAUUAUGCUAUGAAAGUGGAAUAAAAAAAUGGUAGUUUAUAAUAUUGCGUACCAAUUGUUUUCUCUCUUUUUUACCAAAUGAUAAGGGUGGUGGCUCAGGCCGCCCCCCUAAGCGUCCCCACUCUUCGACAAGUUGAAAUCGUGGUGAUAGUUUAUGGGCUGUGGUCUUGGGAUUCUGCAAAUAGAAUGAAAAACAGACACUUAACUAUCUUGUUAUUAAGCAUUUCUGCAUCAUUCAGUUGCUCUUGAUUUUCGUCUUUUAAGCGAUCUUAUUUCUGCGAUCUGACUUGAGGAGGGUUUUUAGACCUAUGGUUGUGGGUGUUUUCUCUGACCCCAUUAUCCGAGAUUUGUAGACUUGCGAUCGGCGGUCAAACAUUUUGUGAUUCUUGUUUUCUCUGCCUUUCGGUCGUUAAGCGCCGGCAGUCUUUAGAUCUUUGGCAAAUCAAUUUAAUACAACCGAGGUAUGUUUUAUAACUGCUGUCUUUCAAUUUUUGUUCUGUAUUUUUGUUAAUUUGGAUGAAGCUCUAAUAAUUUUGUUUUGGAUCAGUUGUGGUCCUCUGUUAGGAUUUUCCUGGCUAAGAGGGUAUUUGCGUUUUUGUUGCUUGGUUGGUCGAUCACAGAUUUACGAACAGCUGUGGUGGUCCUGUUAUUUUUUUGGUAUGUUUUUUCUCCUUUUUGGUUUUUUCCCGGUUUGAGCACCCAUUCAUGAAGAAUUAAAAUGUGUUUAUAGUUUUUCAGGAGAGAUUAGAAAAGUGAUUUCAAUUUGGGAAAAUUUAAUGUUGGUUAAAAUUUGUUUAUAAUUUUUGGGAAGGAAUGAGAGGACCCAUUGAAGUAUGUGUUGUGAUUAUUUUUUAUUCAUAUUUUUAACAAAUUGGGCAUGAAUUGGUAGGUUAACUGUGUGUGUUUAUUAUUUGAAUCGGCCAUGUUUGUCUUUCUAUGGUUCUAAAAAAUUUGUAAAGGCUGUUAACUUGGAAGAAAAUGGGAUCGAGGGUGAGGGGAAAACGGCAGAGAAAGCAUGGAAGAGAGAUUUGGGAUUAGGGGUAGGAAAACAGAUGAAAAGAAUAUGAUAGAGGAAUGGGUUCAGUUCAUUUUCACUAUUUUUUUUAACUGAUUUGGAUUUUGUUUGGGUUUGAGGCCAUCAUUGGCGUUAAGACGUUUAUUAUCAGAUCGUGUGUUUUUUGCUAACUUUUAUUGGUAAUUUUAAUGUUGUUCUUAUGAUUUUGUGUGGUAGGGUUUCUGAAUUUUAUCGUUAUUCAUUUGGUUUUGUGUGUGUGUUGGUUUGUUUAUUUUGCAGGUUGUGUUUGUGCUGGGACAACAUUUUCCACCUUCUGUUUGCACUGGGAUGAUUGCGUUUUAAAACUGUUGGGGUGAGAUUUACAUAUGGAAUCAUUCCAUUUUUUUUCUUCCAAAUAUGUGCAUUUAGUUCUCUUUUAUUUUAAAUUUUAAAAAUUAAAUCGUUAUUUGAGUAAAAUGUUUUAUCAGUUUAUGUUAUGUGUUGUGACCAGGAAUUCUGUUGGAUUUGCGAAUUUUGGUUUGAUGAGAGAAAUGAGGAGUUUUUUUUGUUUGAAUUUUUUAUUGGACCGAUUUUCAAUUGGAUUGCAUUCUGCCUUUUUGCACCAUUCUUAUGCAAGCAAUUCAUUGUUUUAAAUACAAUUUGAAGAGAGCUGGGUUGCGGGUUGGAUAUAAAAUGUUAAGGUGAGAUAAAAUCGAGAUACCAAGGGUGGAAGAAUGAUUCAGAAUUGGGGGAGGAAAACAGAGGGAAGAUAGAAGAAUAUAAGAGAAGGAUAGGGUUGACCUCAUUUAGAGUUUUUAUUUACUUAUUUUUUUUUAUAAAUUGAUUCAGGACUUGCAUAUCAUUUCUAAAUUUCUAACAUUUUUGUUUAAUUUGACUCCAGUUGAUGGAAAACAGAGCUCUUACUCCUAUCAAUCAGAUGGUCCCGUACAUAAAUGCAGAAAAAUCAAGGUUCGAGUUUGCAGAGUAUGCAGACCAAGGUUUCCCGAAACUACUGGUGCAUAUUCAGGCUUGCAUUGUAUAUUACUUACCUAUUAAAAAUUUGUUUGGAAUUUGCUUUUCCCACAGAGGAGAAGAGCUGACAGUUACGCUGUGGGCAGAUGUUGCUCGAAGUAUUGCUUCUUUAUCCAUUGAAUCAUUGUCUCUGCCGAUCAUUGUGGUUUUCACAAGUUUAAAGGUCAAGCUGUACCUAGGUAUUUGACUUAGUUAAAAACUAAUCUAUUUACUAUUAAUUUUUCUAUUAUAUUCAAACGUUAUUUAAUAUAUACUCUACUAAUAUUUUCUUAACAUGUCACACAAACAUAUUCACUUCUUUUGAUCAAUUUUUUUACAGCAUUUCAUAUAAAAGCUAACAUUUAGUUGAAAUUGAUUAGCAACUCUUUUCUUGCAUGUAUACAUACGAAUUAAACAAUAGUAUUAAACUAUUUGUUAUCAUUCUCAGUAUUUGUUUUAGAAUUAGAUUAAUAUAUUUAACCUGUUUUAGAAUUAGAAUUAUUUGGUAUCACUCUCAGUAUUUGUUUUAGAAUUAGAAUUAGAUUAAUAUACUGAGAUUAUUUAGACAAAUCUAGCAUUUUCUCAAAAUAUUUGACUUUUAAACUUAGAUUAAUAUAUUUAGCAGUUUUUUAACAUGCAAUUUUUCAUUAAUUUUUCAACACACAGACAAGAUAGUCUUGAACACCAUUGGUUCAUCACUUUUCUUCAUUGAUCUAGAUAUUCUGGAAGUAAAUUCAUACAAAUCAGUGUAAGUGUGUUUACUUUGUUUAAAAAAAUAUUAUAUGCUCUCACAAUAAAAGAAGGGCUAUUCUCACAAAAUUUAUGAACUAAUGUUCUGUUUUAACCUCUACAGCUUUUCCAAAUGCACAGAACCUCUAAAAAUACUGCCACCUUUUACAAAACAGGCCCGUGAAGCUCAAAUCUUGCAGACAGCGAAGGUCACAAUUGCAGACGCUGAAAUUUUCAUGCCAAAAUAUGAUGUGGAGGAUGAGAAAUUGUUUGCUGUUGUUCUCUUUUCAGUUUUGCAGGCGAUGAUCUUUUACCAAAUGUCGAGGAGCUUCCAUGGGACAUGCUCUAUGCUCUCGCUUCCCAGUUGCCUCUGUUGGGGUUGGAAAAGCUACAGAUCACAAUGUAAGUCAAAAACAGUAAAGUUCCCAAGAUGUUCUGUGCUGGAGCAGAUUUAAAGGUACGAAUUUUUAAUUUUUUUGUGAAGUCGAUGUUUUGUUUUAAAAGGAGUUUAUAAUGGAUUGAUUGGACAAGUACAGCGUGUUUUGCAGAUAAAGGGCCCUAGCCAAUUUUCUAUGACCUAUAAAGCAUUAACCAAAUUGGGUUUUGUUUGUUUGGUAACAGGGGUUGUUCAGGUUAGGUUGGAGAGGUUGGAGGUGAGAAAUGCAAUUGGGAAAGAUACGCUGAGAGUUUUACAGAACACCUUUGAAGCUGUCAGUGAGGAUUCUUCUGCUAAUGUUUUGUUGAUCAGCAGUAAAGUUCCCAAGAUGUACUGUGCUGUAGCAGAUUUAAAGGUAGGAAUUUUUAAUUUUUUCGUGAAAUCAAUGUUUUGUUUUAAAAGGAGUUUAUAAUGGAUUGCAUGGACAAGUACAGAGUGUUUGUUUGUUUGGUUGAAUGUAAAAAGGAAUUGGAAGAAUGAUGAAAGUACUUGCAUUUGGUUGUAGUUGGUCAGGCACUGAAGGACCGGUCAAUACGAAGUGCAUCUGUGGGACAAUAGUUGAAAGAAGGCCAGAGCAGGAAGAGAAGGCAAGGUUUGUGAAGAAAAACAGUGAUGUGUUUAAUUAGAAGAAAUGUGCAUUUUUUUUUCCCAGUCAAAUUCUGCUUUUGUUCUGACUAUUUUCCUUACUGUAUGCUGAUUUUAUUAUUUAAUUUUUGGUUUUUCCUUGAUUGGCUUGGGAAUUACAAUCAAAUGAUGAAUCUUCAGUUUACUUGGGUAAGCAUUUUUUAACAUAUAAUUUAGCUGACCAUUUUAACUGUCAGACCAUGUUGUUUUUGGUUAUCUAAUCAUUCCAAGAUGGCAAGUUAGGAUUGGAAGGGUUGCUAGAAAUAAGGAUUAUAUCUUGGGACAUUCGGUGAGUGAUUUUUCAAACUUUCAGUUUUACAAGACAAAAUAUCUAUUUUUGUGUGUAUUCUUCAAGCAUGUUAUCAUUAUUUAGGUUGUAGGAAAAAAAGAGAGUGACUUGAGGUGUUUUUAGAUAUUUUUGUGUGUAUUCUUCACAAUGUAUUAAAAGCGCGAGGCGUGGGCGAGGCGUCUGAGGGAUAGCCCACGCCUCACGCCUUACGGGACCUAAAUUUUUUAAUAUAUACACUGAGCGUACACAUAUAUUAUAUUAAAAAAAAAUUAUUAAUCAAUAAUUACCCUGAGCGCACAUAUAUAUUAUAAAUACAUAUAUACACAUAUAUAUACAUAUAUUAUGUUAUAUAUAUAUAAAAUAGAGGAUGAAAAGCACAAUGAGCACACAUAUAACAAUGCAUGCAGACGGCACACAAUAUAGUGCAAGGAAUAGGUAUGAGGUAGUUAAAACCCUACCCAAAAUCUGGGUUUGGGAGUAAAAAUAAAAAAUAAAAAAAAAAUUGCUUGAGGCGCGUCUAGGCGGCUCCGACAACGCCUUCCGGCGCCUUCCGCCCACUCCCUCAAAACAAAGGCGGCAACCCUCAAGUCCAGCCUCACAGGGUGCCUAGGCGCACCCUGAGGUGAGCCUUUUAAAACAUUGAUUCUUCAAGCAUGCUAUCAUAAUAUUUGUAACUAUAAAAAAUAAUAUACUAUUAUACCUCUGUUUCUCUUUUCUUUGUUUUCAUGAGAAAUUAAUUGCCAUUGGCAGCACUAUAGAAAGCCAUCUUUCUCCAUUAUUCUCCGCUUCAUGCAUAAUUACAUAAUUCUACUAUCACAGUUGUCAGUCCUGAACAAUCAUGCAAGUCUAGUGGCAAAAACCACCUCAAUGAACAACUCUCACACACACACAGACACUGAUCAUACAUCUCUAACUCUCUUUUUCAAAUAACACACACUCUGAUCCAAAACAGGGUAAAUAAAAUGCACAUCCUUAUACAUUUCUAACUUUGUUUUUCGAAAUCCAAAAUAGGGUAUUCUAACUCUCUUUUUCAUUCAUUUCUUACAAACCAAUCAUACAUUUAAAAUAGGCUUUGAAUAAAAAUAGGGUAUAUAAUUAUAUACCUCAAAAUGCCUAGGAACCAACUUCCCCCUCCAACGAUUCAAAUUCUUGAAAUUGCCAACACAGUAAAUCCAUUAGUACUAUAUAAAUGAAAACACAAUUGAAACCCAUCAAACAAAACAAUCCCACAAUUUAAAUGAUUCAAUCCUACUACAAUUGAAAUUCACAGAAAGAAUGAAAAACCAGAACAAAACUGCAGCACCUAAAAAGUUGUCAUACAAAAAAACAUGGAAUGUAAAAAUAUGUUAAGAAAUCUAGUUCGUUAAUUUCCAGCUGCUAAGUGGCAUUAUGUAACUUUAGUAGUAUACUAAUUAACUACUUAUCUGGUGGGUUGCACUUUUAUCCAAUUGGUAAGGAAAGGAAAAUAAAAAUCAACCCCUUGGUCUUAGUUGUGGCUGCAAAGUGCAGGCCACCACCAAGUCUCAGUGUUUGUGUUUUAGCAAAACACUUAAAUAAAUUAAAUUCUGAAAUGUAAAUUAUAUUCCUAUAACUUUAAGAUGCACAUAUAGUAUUGUUGAAGUCGAACUGAAAGCACUGACAAUUCCAAGCAACAGAGCAGCAAUUAUUAAGAGCCAAAACUCAUUCCUAGUCUCCUCAUCCUGGUACUCAACUCCGUAAUCUUUGGUCAGCAUCAUUGACUGAAAUUAGGAGAGAAAAAGAAAAGGAAUUUCAGAAAUUGUCUAUGAAGCAAAGGAUACUGCAGUUACUUCAAGACAUGUAAAUUGCAUAUGUAUAAAGUAAUUUUCUACAUAAAGUAAUGAGGCAUAACUUUCUCUCUCCUCUUCAAACCCUAAACAGAGCAAAGCAACAAACUUUACAGAGAUUAGAAUGAGAACUGGAACUAAUCGAACAAUGACUGAAAAGUAACAUACUUGAGGAGUGAAUGAUUUAGUGUUUCCAUCAUCGGAAGCCGGAGUAAGUCGCUAAGAGAGGUCGCAAACAGCCCAAAGGGACAAACCCAGAUCCCCGGCCCCGAUCCAUACCCUUCCCCCUCAAAUCCCGACGGCCCCCAUACUUUUCUCUGACUGUACCCCCUCUCCCACUCAUGAAAUCGAGGAUCUGUAGCAAUGGUACUGAGAUCCCCACUCCUCCCUCUCCCUUUCUCUCUGUCGCUCUGUCUCCCUCUCCCUCUGUCUGUCUAUCUUUAUCCCAGAGCGGCAUGGCCUCCCAUCCCUGAAACCCUCACCGAAAGGUGGCAAUUUUGUAAAUAACUUGAAAUCCACCAACAACAGGGGCAGAGAAUUGAAACAAACAUUUAGGCUCGUUCGAUAACCAUUUAGGCCAAAACUGAGCACACCUAAACCAUUCCUACCCGUGCCAAAUGUUAGUGGGGAAGCAAGAUGAAGACUUAUUUUUCAAAACCAAAAGAAAAAAAAAAGAGAAAACAAAAUAACAAAUCUAAUGGUUGUAGUGUAAAAGCUGAGAACGUAAAUAAGAGCAGUUCCAGCCUUGUAAAUAGGCCGGGGGACAGGGGAGAAGAAAAGGCCUGAGGGCCUGUCAAGUUGCUCCAGCUAUGAGGAGCCCGAGCUCGUGGAGAAGGCCCGAGCAGGGGGUCUGUCAAUUUGUGACAGCCUCGGAGCCCGAGCUCCAAGCCCAUUUUUUAUUUUUUUCUGUCAGGCGCGUGCACCCCACUCGCGCGUGGGGGCGCGUCGCCCGACAACUUUUCAGAAAAACAGACAACUUUUCAGCCUUUCACAGUUACCGUUGGGAAGCCACGUGGCUUCCCACGGUCUGUUCGAUCUCAACGGCUCCUUCAUUUGGACCGUUGGAUCUCAAUGGUAAAAAAAAUAAAAAAAAUCUGAUUUAAUAUCAACCGUUCGAUCCGAGAUCAACGGUCGAUAUUAAUAUGCUUUAUAAAUAAAGAAAAAAUAGUUUUAAAAUUAAGAAAAGUUACCGUUGUGACACGUGGCACAAUCUGGAGUGUUGGAAUUCAAAAUUUUUUAAAUCCAACGGCAGAAAUUAAUUAUUGGAAUUUUUUUUUAAAAAUGGAAAAAAUCCGAAAAAAUUGUAAAAAAUCUGAAAUUUUUUUUGUAAAAAUUUGUUUUUACUUUUCUAUAAAUACCACUUCUUCUCUAUCUACCUUACACCACAAUUUCAUAUUUUCUCAACUACUUUCAAUCAAAUUCCUAUCUUUCUCUUAAAGUUUCAAUCCAAUUUUUUUCCACAAAAUGGCUACUGAUGCAGGUUCGAAUUGGUCGCUUCUUGAAGAUGUUGCGUUGUGCACUAGCUGGGUUCAAGUUACUCAUAAUUCCGUUACGGGUAAUGAGAUGCAGUUGCGAGAAAUGUGGAGUUUAAUUCAUACCAAAUUUGUUGAGCAAAUGAGUGGGAAAAGAACCAAAGAAUCGAUAUCGAGUCGUUGGAAAAUACUUAGCCAUUCCUUUAGUACGUGGAGAGAUGCCUUGACACAAGCUAGUAAUAAUGUUCGAAGUGGGGCAAAUUAUGCGGAUGAGGUAAGAAUAUAUUAUAAUUAUUUGUUUGUAUUAUUAUUUUGUUACCUAAUUUGAUUAUAAUUAUUUGUUUGUUUCAUUUAUUUGUUACCUAAUUUCAUUAUUAUUAUUUGUUUGCAAUAUUUAUUUGUGACCUAAUUUCAUUAUUAUUAUUUGUUUGUAUUAUUUAUUUGUUACCCAAUAAUUUCAUUAUUAUUAUUUGUUUGUAUUAUUUAUUUGUUACCUAAUAAUUUCAUUAUUAUUAUUUGUUUGUAUUAUUUAUUUGUUACCCAAUAAUUUCAUAAUUAUUAUUUGUUUGUAUUAUUUAUUUGUUACCCAAUAAUUUCAUUAUUAUUAUUUGUUUGUAUUAUUUAUUUGGUACCUAAUAAUUUCAUUAUUAUUAUUUCUUUGUAUUAUUUAUUUGUUACCUAAUAAUUUCAUUAUUAUUCAUUUGUAGCAACUUCAAGCACAAGCAUGGUAUGCUGCCAAAAUCAAAUCAAGAAACAAAUCAUUCCACCGAUGGGAAUGUUGGAAUAUUGUUAAAGAUUGUCCUAAAUUCAAAGUUGUGCCUGUUGGUCCAGAAGUAUGCAUGAACAGCAUCCCUCUACACAGCACCUUUGUAUACAGCAACCCUCCACACUCUACACCUGAUGAUGGCACUCAGGUUGAUGAAGAAGAUGUAGAUUUAUUUAAUUUCGUAAUAUAUUUAUCCUAAUAAUAGAAUCUUUAUUCAUCAAAUUGUUCACGUAUAAUGAAAUAAUGAAACACACCAAAUAAAACUAAAAAACUCACCAAUUGGAAUUACAUAAACAUACCAAAUAAAAUUACACAAACAUACCAAAUAAUAAAAAACUCACUACAAAAAACACACCAAAUUAAAUUACAUAAACACACCAAAUACAAACAAAUAUAGUAAAUAAACUUAAGUAUCUUCAGCUUGUUUCAAUGCCCACUGGUGCUCUAUCAAGUCAAUUUGCCGAUCAUUGUGUAUAGAUGACCUUUGAAGUGCAGUAUAUUGUUGAAUAACCCUUUCAUUGUAACGUCCAUCCCUUUCUAAUGGCUCGUGUUGCACGGGUUCUUCGGUGGCAUCAUGCGCACAAUAUAUCCGUGUUCUUGAAUUGUUCAUCGUGUCUGGCUCUGGCUCAUAUUCAUCAACCGCAUCAUAAUCGAACUCAUCUUCCACAAUCAUGUUGUGAAGAAUGACGCACGUCAUCAUGAUGGAUCGAAGUGACUCUACAUCGAACAUUCUGGCAGCACCCCUGACAAUCGCCCAACGAGCUUGAAGGAUACCAAAACAACGCUCCACAUCCUUCCUGCAUCCCUCUUGACAGCUUGCAAAGUGUUUUUCCUUUGCACUUCUCGGACGUGGCACUGUUUUGACAAAUGUUUCCCACUGUGGGUAAAUGCCGUCAGCUAGGUAGUAUGCCCCGUCGUACCUACGUCCGUUGACGACAUACGUGACUUGUGAUGCCUUUCCUUGGAGGACGUCGUUGAACACUAGGGAUUGGGUAAGGACGUUGAGAUCAUUUUGAGCCCGGGAACCCCGAAAAAGGCGUGCCAUAUCCAUGUAUCAAAAGAUGCCACUGCCUCCAAAAUGAUAGAUUUUGCUCAUUUUCUGUCCCCAUAUGCGCCUUGCCAUGCACUUGGACAGUUUUUCCACGUCCAGUGCAUACAAUCGAUGCUUCCUAUCAUCCCAGGAAAACCUCGCAUCUCGCCCUUCUUCAGAAGCCUUUGCAAGUCCAUGUGAGUAGGUCUUCGGAGGUACUCUGCCGUGUACAAAGAUUCGACUGCUCCGCAAAACCUCAUCAGGGCCUCAAGAAUGGUUGAUUUCCCCAUCCUCGUUAUCUCAUCCACUUGGUCUGCAGAUGCUCCAUACGCAAGCAUCCGCAACGCAGCAGUGAUUUUUUGCUCUGGCAGAAGAUCCAUAACACCACAAGCAUCCUUCUUUUGCACGAAGUAAGAAUCAUGGUUGCAAACAUCAGUCAUGAUUCUGUUGAACAAAUGUCGUUCCAUUCUAAAACGGCGUCUGAAGUACGUAUCAGGAAAUGCACUGUUAUGGACGAAGUAAUCGUCCAACAGCUCUUCACCCCGUCGUUGCCUGCUUCUAUCAAGGUUUUUUGAACGGCUGGGCCUGCAUAUCUGAGCAACAGUCUGGAUGACUCGACGAGAAUGUGAGGCUCUGGCCAUUCUUGUUUCGUCAUCUCUCUUUCUACGCUCCUCAUCUUCUUCCAUCUCAUUUCUGCCUAUAUGAAGGUUGAACAUUCCUUCAGAUUGGUUAAACAAUUCUUUCUCUUGCUGAUUGAUUUCCCACAUCAUCCUUGAUGAAGAAGAAGACAUUGUAGGAUGGAUGGUGAAGAAGAAGCAAAAUCUAUGAAUAAUGAGAUUGAGAUGUUGAGAAAAUUGGUGUGAGAUUUGUGAGGAUGGAUGGUGGAUUAUAUGGACGAUUCAGAAAGGAUCGGAUUGUAGAUAAGGCCACGUGGCAUGCCGUCAUUCGUUAAAAAUCUGAUCGAAAUCUGUCCUGAAAGAUUCUGAAAAGAUAAUGACACGUGGCACGAUCGUAUUGGAUAAAAAUCUUAUCGAAAUCCAUCUCCAAUAAUUAUCAUUUUGGAUAAUGACACGUGGCGCAAUUUUGAACGAGUUAAAAUCUGAUUGAAAUCUGUCUUGAAAGAUUCUGAAAAGAUAAUGACACGUGGCACGAUCGUAUUGGAUAAAAAUCUUAUCAAAAUCCAUCUCCAAUAAUUAUCUUUUCGGAUAAUGACACGUGGCGCAAUUUUGAACGAGUUAAAAUCUGAUCAAAAUCUAUCGUCAAAGAUUCUCAAACGAUAACGACACGUGGCACGAUGACAUUUGAUAAAAAUCUUAUCGAAAUCCAUCGUUAAAUAAUUGUUUUUUUUUAUAAAAUGAUACGUGGCGCAACGAUAACGAUUUAAAAAAUCUUAUCCGAAAUUACAAAUAAUUUUAUUUUGUAUUAUUUAAACAAACAAAAAAAACUAAUAUUUUAUUGCCUAUUGCCAGGGGGAGGGCUCCAAGGGUGGAGAUGCAAAUGGCAAUUACUGUUCAUUAAUGUCAGUUACUAUUCAUUCAAGGCAGUUACUGUUCAAUAGGGUGGAUUCAAUAGUGGAUUGCCAGGGGGAAGGUCUUCAUGGGUGGAGUUGCUCUAAACAUGCAGGGAAAAAAAUGAAGAUACAAAGUAGCUGCAUCAUGAAACACAUACUCCAAUUAGACGCAAAAAGUGAUGGUGAUGAGAAGAGAGAAAAUGUUGUCGUUUUGAUUUUUCUGGCUUUUAAAGGGAGCAGCUUUCUUCGACCACCAAAAAAAGGAAGUUGCUUUUCGUGUGGUUGUGAUUUCCUGAGUGUAUGUGAGCGGGUCUAUGGCACUUGCACUGUUUGUGUCGGUUAUGGUAACCGGGCGAGCUGGACACAGUAGCGUGGGACUGAAUUCGGAGAGGUGAGAAAAAUUAAAAACACAAAAAGAAGGUGUUCAUUUUGUCACAUUUUUAUUACUAAAAAUUCAAUAAAGUACAUUCAUUAGUAUGGUAACUUAACUAUUUAAUUCCAUCUCAUUAAACUAAAAAAAACAAUUACAAAAAAAUAAGGAAAACCUUGUCCAGAGAGACCUGAGAGAAAGUGACGACUUCUCCUCUCAUUCCACUCCAUACUUGAUCUCUAAAGUCCAUUUGGCAUGUAAUUGAUGUUCAAUUUCAAAUAAAGUGGUGGCAAUUAGCAAAGCUAAUGAAAGAAUCAAAUAAAAUGAAAGAAAAAGCAUCAUGAAAUAAAUCAAGAUGAAGAAUGAAAUUUUGGCAACUCGCCAUUCUCUUCUUUUAUAUAAAAGAUACAUCCUAUUUGUAGUGAAAACAGGUCCCGACAAACCCAGUUAUCCUCAAGAAGUAUUUUGUAUGACUUUAAAAACAUAAUCCGUGAAAUUAUCUCUUGGCAGAGAACAACAACAAAUCUUCAUGCAUAGCUUGUAGAGAAAGACAUCAGGCAUACAAAAGAACAGGCAAGCAUAAAAUAAACGAUGCAUGGAAAACCAAAAAUACAAUUGAAUAUGCUGUCAAAAGAACAUGAAUAAAUGAAAAUUACAAAACAAAGAAGUGAUGGGAAACCAAAGUAUUCAUAAUCUAAUUGCUUUUUAGUUUGCUUGCCAUUUUUAGUUCUUCAAUUUAGAGAGAAACCAUAAUUCAGCACAUGAAUAAAGUGAAAACGUAAAAGAUACGUGGGAUAAGCUGACAGCCAUCCCUGAGUAAUGCAUUCACUUUUGAACCCCAAACACACCGAAACAAAAAUUCACACACAUGAACUACAGCUCCGCUAUGUAACAAGAAUUAAAAGCAUCUCAAAACAAAAUGGCAAACUAUAAGAGCAUUGUAAAAGUAAAAUUGCAUCUAAUACUUGGAGGGCAAGUACUAAUCAGACGAAAAUGAAAGAUUGAACUACCUCACGUGGAACUGUGCCUUGGUUUUUUCCCAUGCUUACAAGAAGCUUUGCACUGAGCUCUUAUAGCCCAAAUUUUCUCUGAAGGAAAAAAAACACAAUUUUGGAAUAAGAUUUUCAUAUUAUACCUUAAAGAGAAGAAUUAGACAACAAAAAAGAGAACAAUGAGUACUAUUCAUCAUAUAUUGUUAAGAGUAUGUGGUCUUCUAGUCCAAUGGUCCUGCAGUCAUAUUUACUUUAUAACUCUUUCUUUUAGUCUAAAAAAACAUCUUGGAUCUCAAAUUAUUAUGAAUACGGAUUCAUACUUUAUAACUAAAGAUCUUACUGCUCUUGAUAAGAUGAACAAUACGCCAUUUAUCGCAUGCAUUGCAUUACAAUCACAAUGCAACAUCUCAUUAGAAAUCCCCACACAAAGCAGCUCCACUCAUUGUGGUCCUUGCAAACCGAAUUGGCCCAACGAUCAGCGAGAGAAAGGAGACGGCGGCGAGAUGAGGGAUAUGAUGGAUGCGAGAUCGUCUGUAUCGUUAUCGCGGGGGGUCUGCAAGACGGACGAGGAAAGUAGGGUUUGAGAAGGCAUUGUCUUCUCGCGGGGUAUGUGUCCUUCCUAUUCCACGAUUAUCAACACGUGUGCAUCAGGAGGAGCGGCAGAGAGAGGCAUUGUUGUAAAUAAAGUGAAAUCGAAGGGUAAGGGCCCAUUCUUUAAGGUAAUGGCAUGGCCAUAAAUAGAAUGAAAUCCAGAUCAAAACACUGUCAUUUGUACAGUACAAUUUCUCCAUCUUCUUCAGACUAAAGUAAUGUAUAUGUUAUACGCACCAACACAAGUCCUUCUUAGAUAAAUCCAAGCCAAACAAUUACAAACGACAGUUAUUCACAAGAAAAUCACUUUAAAGCAAGAAUUUAAUUAAUAAUACAUUACUACACUUUCUUAACAAUUUGACGGUCACCUAGCUAACAAUGAACACGUUAGCUAUGCGUUAGAACAUAUUGGGUUCAAUCCAUAGUCUUGAAUAUCACCCCGAGUCACAACUGUCUCUUGGGGCAUACAGAAGGCCUGAGAGGCAUUUGCAGACAUUCAAUCUCUCCUCCAAGCAUUUCGACAACUUUGGAAAUCGAAAGGCGAUCACUUGGUUUCAUUUGAAUACACCACAAGGCGGUUAUAACCAUCUUUCUUAUCACUUUCUUUUCCUCCUCUGUAACAUUGUCUAUUUCCAAGUCAUUUCCCACAAUAUACUGAUCAUAUACCCACAUCGGGAAGUAGAUUUGGCUUGGAUGCUCUACCGUUGCAUUCAAAUUCUUCCUUCUGCUUGCCAUUUCCAUCAACAACAUUCCAAAACUAUAGACAUCGGCCUUGUAUGAGACACCUCCAAUAUUUUUGUAGAACAACUUAGGAGCAAUAUAUCCCAUUGUACCCGUGUUGCCGUCAAAGAGACAAUGAGAAAACUCUUGAGUUCUUCAGAAACCACGAGAAACUUAAAACUGAGAAAGCUUCGUGAUCUCCCUUCCAUCUCUGCUACGCAAUCUCUGCUUCCUCCGUGAUUUCUUCCUUCCUGAUCGACAUCUAUUCGAAUUGAAAACCUUCUGGAGCUCACUACCCCCUUUGUCAGCAGUAAUUAGGGGUGGGUUCAAAAAACCGAAAACCGAAAAAAAUCGACAACCGAACCGAACCGAGGCCGAAAAAAACCGAACCGAAAAAAAACCGAACCGAAACUGUCAAACCGAACCGAACCGAAUCUGACCGGUUCGGUUUCGGUUUUUGAGGUUCAAAAACUGAACCGAACCGAACCGAACCGAUAUAUAUAUAUUUAAUUUUUUUUUCAAUAUUAUAAAUAGUUUAGGCAUACAAUCAUAACAAAACAGAACUUGUUGCCAAGUUGGUUUAAGCGAAAUUUUUCACACUGGUGGCAAUGGGUUCGAACCCUCAUGCCUUUAGGAUUUAUGAGAUUGUUUUUUAAUUUUGUUGAGAAAUCAACAAAAUCCUUUAACCCUAACUUUUUUAUUUUUCAUUCCCCUCUUCUCUCUCUUGUUCCCUGCCUCCAGUCCAAACUCCCUCCAUGAACCCUAACCCAGUAACCCUCUCGCGCCGCCUGAGCUUCCUGUCUCUCUCGCUCGGUCUUCAAUCGCUCUGUCUCUCUCAAUCUCUCAGGCAACCCGCGACAGUGCGACCCUUCUCACUCUCAAUCUCUCACACCUCGCCCUCUCCAUCAGUCUCUCAUCUCGCCGUUUCGAGUCUCGAUAGCAAAAGGUUAGCCUCCUCUCUCUCUCUCUCGGUCUUCAACUUCAAUCACUCUCUGUCUCUCUCAAACUCUCUGUCUCUCUCGGUCUUGAAUCUCAGGCGACCCACGACGGGGCGACCCAUCUCACUCUCAAUCUCUCACACCUCGCCCUCGCCGUCAGUCCUUCAUCUCGCCGUGAGCUUCUUCUUGCCGUUUCGAGUCUCGACUGCAAAAGGUUAGUCUCGCCGUGAGCUUCUUCUUGUUCGUUCGCAGACGGAAGCUCUCUACUCCAAACUCUACGAAAAGUACACAAAAAUCAAGGUGUUCUGUGUUCUUUCCCACUUCUUUACAAUUUUUUUUGCUCAUUCAUUUUUUUUUGCUUAAUCAGUUAAUUGUAUGUUAAAUUUGCUCAGGGGAGAAAUUUGAGGUUAGGGAAAUAGAAAGUAAUUGUCUUUUUUUGUACUUUUGAAUUUUUUUUGCUCAUUCAUUUUUAAUUGCAUGCUAAAUUUGAGUUGGGAACUUUUGCUUACUUGUUACCCAGUUGGAUUUUUUUGAGCUACUUUUGCAGUUUCUUUCUUCGUCUUAAUUUGGGAACAAUUUGAUCAUGUUUGACUUAUCAUUUUGUUAUUGGAGGAAAUCAGCAGCUUUAUGGUUUGGCAAGGUGUAGUGACGAUAGAUAGCCUACUUUUAUGUAUAAUUUGAAAGAGGAUGGAGAUAAGUAUAUUUCUCUGGGAAUCAGAGCUUCCAUGAUAUGUGAUUACCUGUUAUCUUUGAAUUUCUCUUCCGACUCUUGUAUUUCCUUAAGUGAAACUAUGGCCCUGCAAAUUUGACAUGUUGUUGAAGGUUGUAAAUCAUAUGUUGUUCUUUUAGUGGUAAAAAUCUUGUUAAACAUGUAUUUUCAUUUAGGUUAUGGACUCUUGGACAUGCUAAGUCAUGAUGGAAAAGACCAAAGAUUCAUUGGUAACGUGUUCUGAAAAGUAGCAUAGGCAUUGCAAUUCUCUGAGUAGCGUUUUAUUAUGGAUAACGUUUUUGGUGCUGAAGGAAGAUUUCCAUCAAACCUAGCAUCAAUAGAGCAUAUUGUUUCUUGACUACAUUAUGUAUGAGUAUUAGAGUUUAAAUUGUAAACGGAUCUGGACAAUAUAUGAAGUUGGUAUUGAUUUCUCUCAGAGAACAAAUAGAAUUGAACAUCCAGGCUUGUUCUUGUUGACAUGAUUUAUAUAAGAUAUACUUAUAUCACUUUAGAGAAAACUGGUUAUAUGCAUCUGUAUUGUCUCAAAUUAAUUUUAGGCUUCCCUUCAAAGCGUUCUUUUUGUCCAUCCAUCUGGGUGGUGUUCAAUUUUAGAUUAUCCUUUGAAUACUAGACGUCCAGAUAAUGGCUUUGUGGUCCUUCAAAUAAAUUACUGAUAAUGUUCAUGCAGUUGAUGGUGAAACAGGUAUGGUAAUUAAACGACUUCAUGUUUAGGAAUGAUAGGCUUGUACUUUGUAUUUUAAAGAUGUGUGCAUUUUUCAUAUAAAUUUUGUUCAUUGUGUUAGAAUGCUUAUAUUAUAAUUGUGUUGGAGAUGUUAAAAUUUUAGAUUUCAAUUUUGUUUUCAUUUUUCCCAAAAAAAAAAAAAACCGAAAAAAACCGAAACCGAAAAAAACCGAAAAAAAAAAUGGACCGAACCGAACCGAACCGUUUUGAACCGAACCCAGCUCUAGCAGUAAUAAUUUGUUUUUGCAGCUUUAUGUGUCUCUGUCUCCAAAUAUGAUGAUCUCUUAAUUUGCUUCUAUAGCUUUUGUAAUAUGAUGAUCUCUUAAUUUGCUUUUGCAUAUCUUCUUUGCUUCUUCUGCUAGCUCUAUAUGAGAUUCCAUCUCCAAAUAAUUGUUCCCUAUUUCCUAUUUUUACAGGAAGCAAAUCAUUGAAUACACAUGGAAAAUUAAAAUGGUUUCAGUUUUUGGUUAGUUUAAAUUUUUUGUUGGUUAUUGCUUGUAUUGUGAAAUCUCGUUCCCGGAUUUCACUGUUAUAAUGUACGUGUUUGUAUUCUCGAGAAUUUAUAUUAAGUUAUUUGAAGUUAUACUUUAAUUAAACUAGUUACGAAGGUUAGAGUUUGGAAAUUAAUUAUUUAAAAUUCGUAAACCGUCCGAGGUCACAAUUUAUAUCUGUGGAUAGAGCUAGGGGUGGGCAAACGGGUCUAGGAACCGCGGGGCGGGUCGGGUCUAGCCGGUUCGGGGCGGGUACAAGUUUUGUAAACUCAAAACGGGGCGGGUCGAGGCGGGUCCAUGUAAUUGGCGGGGCGGGGCGGGUCUAAAUUUCUGAAAAACCGGGUACCCAGGCCCGGACCGUUUCCACCGUCCAUAUACGAAGAUUAAAUCUCUACCAUUCAUUACUACCACUCUUUCUCUUAGUCGCUGACUCUCGCCUCCUCUCUCGACUUUUCCAGGAUCCAUCCUCUCUCAAGAUGGACUCAGCGCCUACUCCACCGCUCACUCCUCCUCUCGUUGAAGCCACGGCGGUCUUCAUCGGUGCUACCCCUGCCCCAUAUUCUCUCAGAUCAGAGUCGUCACUCCCCUCUCCCACUCGAGUCGAGGCCUCUUGUGAACACCACCACCGCCGUCGAAACCUCCUCCAUGAAAGACACCUUCUCCAAAUAUUCUGAUUACCUCAACAAUCUCGUAAUCCCUAAUUUAAUCUUCACCAAUUUGCAGCUCUGUGAGCGACUCGAAGGUUUGUAGAAUGACAAGCGGGAAAGGGUUGUAAAAGCAAGUCGCGAUAUCACCAUUAAUAGCAAAAAGGUCAUCUUUAAGGUUCACAGGUAAGAAAGCUGCGACCUUUUGCUUCAAAUUUUGUUUCUGUUUUUUGGGUUUUUGAUUUUGGAUUUUGGUUUUUUUUUUUAUAAUAAUUUUAUUUAUAUCAUCAUUGAAAUGAUGUUGCUGUGGAAUUUGAACUUGAACAGAAUCAAUAAACACAACAAAGAGGAAGUUCUGCAGAAAGCUGAAAAGGAUUUAGUAGCUGUGAGUCUGCGACAGAUCAGUACAUUUCCCAGCUUGUUAGAGAGAUGCAGGCUAAGUUUUUUUCUUUUAUUACUGUUACUCUGGGAUUCUUUGAGAAAACUUGAAGCUUGAAUUGUUUUUGUUUUCUGGGUGAUUUGGAAAAUGGGCGAAAAAAAAAACAAGGACCCGUGUACCCGGCCCAAACCGGCCCGUUUGAAAAGGGUCGGGUUAGGUCCGGUUUCUAUUUUAAAAUUUGUUGCACCCGGCCCGCUCCGGCCCGUUUCUUUUACACCCGGGUCCGGUCCGGUCCCUUCAAAAUUGGGCCCGGCCCGGCCCGUGCCCAGCCCUAGAUAGAGCUCGAUCUCACGAACGCGUAGGCGCAAAUCGUUCAUGAAACAGAUCUAUAACGAAGAAGUUAUAGACGUUUUAGUUGUUGGAAAAUAAAUAAUUAAAUGUUUAGAAGCUGCCAAGUGGCAGCAAGGGAGAGGGGAGAAAGGAGAGAGUGCGGGAGAGAAAAGAGGGGGACACCCAAUAAGAAAGGAGAAAGGAGGGAAAUGAGAGAAAAGAAAAAAAAAAAGGGAAGAAAAGGGAGAAACGGGUUCGUACGACCCGUGGGUAUUGCCGGCCACCCAUCUCCAUUUGCCGACGAUUUUCCGACGAAUUUCUUCAAACAACCACUUGGAAACACUCCCUUGUCCUUCCCUCUACAUGUUUCACCCUAAAAAUAAAAGGUUUUGGACUUGAAUAGGGAGAAACCGCACUAAGGGUGUAGCGGGUGUGUGUGUCAAAUCUCCCAAAUCCAAAAUGUUUACACCCAACGACCACCAUCAAAAGACUUUCCUUAAGCCCCUGAACAAAGCCCAGGCAGUGGUGGAGACGUCGGAGCAAGUUUAGAGGUCGAAUUGGAGCACACCCAAUUCUAGGGUUCUUACGGGUUUUAGAGAAAUUGGAAUACUUCUUGAUCAAAUUAGCCUUGGUCACAGGUAUAAAGUUUACUCUACUCAUUGAGAUCUUUAUUUCUGUAAUUUUUGGUAAUUUUUAAAAAUAGUUGAAUUUUUCCGGCAAAUCGGGGCGGCCGACCGCCACCCGCUGCGGCGCGUGCGGCGGCGGCCUGGCCAGCGAGCCAACGAUGUCCUUUUAAGUUCAAUUAGAUGCCCUGAUUUCAUAACUGACAUCCUUAUGUUAUGGUUUGAUUGUUUAAACCUAAUUUCAUUACGAUAUGUGGGUAGGUCAAAAUGUGAUUCGACGAUCCGACCGUUGGAUCGUCACCAAACUUUAAUGCGUCAUAGAAUGUAAUAUUUGAGGAUGGUUGGAACUAACGGAUUGGGAAUCUGAUGUAUGGAACUUCCUGAUUUGGAUUUCUAAGUUUGUAAAUCAAACAUUGGUCACCACUUGAAAUUGUAAAAUCAAACAUUGCAUAUAAGCAUGCUAGAGCCUUUAAUUGUUAAUUACAUGUAUAUGUGUUGCUAAAAUGAACUUAGUUUAUCAAAUUUUUAUUUCAAUAUCAACUUCUAUGGCAUGCGUGGUGUCUCAUGUCAAUCACACAAAUGUUAUGUAAAAAGAAUAUACACGUUGUGUUGCAUGAUUGACAAUUAACGACACAUAGUGUUAUAACCGUGUCAAUGUUAUGAAGGUUUUUAUGCAAAGUCACUUGAUAUGCCGCAACAAUUAGUAAACAAUAUUAGAAAGACCUAGAGGAACCCACAAUUAAUUCCGAUUCAAUAAGUAGGUCAUGUGCAAGCAAGGCAUGGGCUUCCCAUGGGUAGGAGCUGGAAUUUACCCAUAUUUGGUAGUUAUGUACCAUAUGUUUACCCGCAUGACGCUGAGUGUAAUCCUUCUUAAGGUUCAACAAUAUUGUUUCUAUUAACAAAUAUAAAUAAAAAAUAAGCAAAAUACUAGAGAGAUUACACGUUUAUAUUACAUUGUUGUACCAUAUUGUGAUAUGGCUGUGUACAUACCAUGUCUUGUAAUGAGUUUAUCUCAUUAGAUGUUAGACUGUUAAUUAUAUGUAUCACUUGUCAUAUCAUACAAUACAUCAAUAUGAUAUAAAUAUGCCAUCUCUCAAACAUUACUCUUAUCAGAAACCCCAAAAAAUAGGAAAUGCUCUAUACUAAAGCGGAAUGAGAAAAACAUUGUUCAUAGGCAACAGUAUUUUUACUUUUUUGCCCUCAUUUUUAAUGUUUCUGUGUUCCUACUUUUAUGCCUCUAUACGGUGAAAUCGCCAAUUGACCUAUGGGCAUGGGUGUGUAUAAAAAUUGUUUUGCACACGUGGCGUGCUAGGGAGAUUUCUCUGCAGCACUGCUUCAUUAACUGUUUCAUUUCUCUGCACCGUUUCCUUCUAGCUCCACUCCGAAUUGAUACCGAAUACUGGUCAACCAAAUUUUCUCAUCAUUUCGUUCCGUCCUUCUCCACAUCUUCAUUCUUGCUCCACCAUGAAUCGAAACAAAAAAUUGCUCAUCCAAAUUGUUUGGUAUCAGCCGCUCCAAGGAGACAAAUUGCUGAGAAAAGUAAAGAAUUCAGAUAAAAAGUGAAAUUGUUCAUUCAUAACCUUUAGGGAAAUACAGAUGGGUUCUUUAUACCCCAUUUCAGCUACUACAGACAAAAGGUUAGGUAACCCCAAGUGCUGAGUCACCAUAUUCUAAUAUUCCAUUACAAUGCAAAGGAAAUAACUUAAGGGAAUGAGCUAAAGCAUAUCAAGGUCCUAACACAAGUCAAUUUCAGUUAACUCAAAUCCCUAAAACCCAAUUUUCUCCAGAUCGUUGGAUUUAGUUUGCUGUUGUUGUUGCUAAUCUACAGGUAAAGCUUAAAUUUACAUACAAUUUUUUAUUUUUCUUGAUUGGAAUUUGGAAAGAAUUAGUUGUUCUUGGAAAGAAUUACAGAAAAUUGGAAAAGGGAAAUGGGAAAGCGAGGAAAUGCAAGAAAAUGUGUUUGGAAAAUGGAAAAUGACUUUUCUUUGGCAUUCGCUUUGACUUUCAUCCUUUCUGCGUUUGCUUUUCCUCAUUUUUUUUCUCAAGAACCAAACAUAAAAUAAAUAAAUAAACCUAUAAAAAAAAGAAAAGGAAAAUCACAAGAUUAAGAACCUGGGAAUGCAACAAUCGAGCUUCUGUGCCGAAAUAUCAAUUGGGUCCCGUUGGAUCUUCGGUGCUUCUUCUGCAUUCAAAAAGUUGGGGUAUUUCUGCAUCAUUUUUGUGUGUAUUUUUAAAUUCCAGAAGAAAGUGGAUAGAGAGAGAGGAAUAUGCUUUGGGUCGAAAUGGGAACACAAUUCCAAAUUCGCCCUCAAUCCCAAAGUUCAGUAAUUUAUGCAAUUUUUGUCGAAAUUGAUAUUCUUUAUUGCUGAUAUUUGUUAAAAAAGAGGGGGAUAAGAGCAGUAAAAAGAAUCUACAGAAAAUAUUUGUUUUGGAAGAGUAUGUCUUGAUUGGAUAAAACUCGCACCAGAGGGCGAGCGCAUCUGCUAGUAUGCAUUUAAACUUAUAAGGCUAAAUCCUUUAGGGGCGUUUGUUUGCCCUCCUUAACUCUCAUUGGACUGGACUAGAUUAAGGGUUAGUCCAAUCCCGUGUUUGGUACCCGCUAAAACUAACUUUAAUGAGACUAAAGGGGAUUCGCUCCGACUAUCUCCCUCGCUAGGAGGUCUUAGCGAGAGCGCCCUGUGACUAUGGGACUGCUAAGCCCUUCGGCUGGUAUGUCCUCAUCUCCUCUCAUCCACUCUUCUUUCUCUGUUUUCUUGAGCACCGACAGCCACCAUCACACCACCACUCCCAACUUCAGCGAGAUACACUGCUAGCCCAACACCACUCUCUCGAGAUCCAAGGAAAGCAAGCAUCAUUUGGCAAUUUUUGGUAGAAUUGCAGGGGAAGAAGAAACGAAAUGAAAAGGCUUGAAUUUGUUACAGGCCAUUGAUGGACAAGAUUUUUUUUUUGGGAAAUCGAUGAUCAGGGAUUUUUUUUUGGAGAAAUCUGGAGAUCAUGCAGCUUAUGGAACUCUCUAGAUAGAUUAAAACUCACAUAACCAAUAUGGGCAAUAAUUCAUACCUGAGAUAGAGUUUGAGAGAGCUUAAGCUCUCUGCGUUAAUGGCAGAGCGCCCGAUGGUGCAUCGAUGAUACGUACAACGCCGUAGGUGGAUUCCCCAUGUCCCAAGGGUUCGAGGUUUAGAUUUUUUAGGGUUGAUUUGGUCAGCAUCAAGAGAAAUGGUGGGGGUUCCUUCUCGGAGAUUAGAGAGAGAAAGGUUGUAGAUUAUUGUUGAGGAGAGAGAGAGAGAGAGAGAGAGAGAAAAGUGCAGAGAAAGAAAGAGAGAAUGAAAGAGGGGUCACGGGGUGAGGGACCGUAAGAGCAAGUCCACCCAUGCCAAUCGGCCGGGGGACGGGCUACAGCAAAGGGCCCGAGGGCCAGUCAAUUCAUCUCCAGCCAUGGAGGGCCCGAGUGAGGGUGGGAGCCCGAGGGCCGGGGGGGUGGGUAAUUGACAGGCCUGUGGCCCGAGGCCCGUGACGUCAGGCCUGGGUCCAGGCUAUUUUUUUAUAUUUUUUUUGUGUCAGGCGCGUGCCCCUCACUCGCGAGUGGGGGCGCGUCGCCCGACAAGAAAUCAGACAAGUGGGGUUUUCGGCCAGUUACCGUUGGGAAGCCACGUGGCUUCCCACGGUCCGUUCGAUCCCAACGGCUCUUUAAUACGAGCCGUCCGAUUUGCAACGGUAAUAAAAAAAAAACUGAUUUUAUAUCAACCGUUCGAUCUAAGAUCAACGGUUGAUAUUAAUCUGCUUUAUAAAUUAAAAAAAAAUAGUUUUAAAAUUAAGAAAAGUUACCGUUGUGACACGUGGCACAAUCUGGAGUGUUGGAAUUCAAAUUUUUUUAAAUCCAACGGUAGAAAUUAAUUAUUGGAAAAAAAAAUUUAAAAAAAAUGGAAAAAAUCCAAAAAAAUUGUAAAAAAUCUGAAAAAAAAAAUUGUAAAAAAUUGUUUUUACUUUUCUAUAAAUACCACUUCUUCUCUAUCUAUCUUACACCACAAUUUCAUAUUUUCUCAACUACUUUCAAUCAAAUUCCUAUCUUUCUCUCAAAGUUUCAAUCCAAUUUUUUUCCACAAAAUGGCUACUGAUGCAGGUUCGAAUUGGUCGCUUCUUGAAGAUGUUGCGUUGUGCACUAGCUGGGUUGAAGUUACUCAUAAUUCCGUUACGGGUAAUGAGAUGCAGUUGCGAGAAAUGUGGAGUUUAAUUCAUACCAAAUUUGUUGAGCAAAUUGGUGGGAAAAGAACCAAAGAAUCGAUAUCGAGUCGUUGGAAAAUACUUAGCCAUUCCUUUAGUACGUGGAGAGAUGCCUUGACACAAGCUAGUAAUAAUGUUCGAAGUUGGGCAAAUUAUGCGGAUGAGGUAAGAAUAUAUUAUAAUUAUUUGUUUGUAUUAUUAUUUUGUUACCUAAUUUGAUUAUAAUUAUUUGUUUGUUUCAUUUAUUUGUUACCUAAUUUCAUUAUUAUUAUUUGUUUGCAAUAUUUAUUUGUGACCUAAUUUCAUUAUUAUUAUUUGUUUGUAUUAUUUAUUUGUUACCCAAUAAUUUCAUUAUUAUUAUUUGUUUGUAUUAUUUAUUUGUUACCUAAUAUAAUUUCAUUAUUAUUAUUAUUUGUUUGUAUUAUUUAUUGUUACCCCAAUAAUUUCAUUAUUAUUAUUUGUUUGUAUUAUUUAUUUGUUACCUAAUAAUUUCAUUAUUAUUAUUUGUGGUAGAUUAUUUGUUAUAUAAUAUUUAUUUGUUAUUAUAAUUUCAUUAUUAUUAUUUCUUUCUAUUAUUCAUUUAUUAUUAUUAAUUUUUAUUAUAUUUAUUUUUCCUUACAUAAUUUCUUAAUUUAUUAUUUUGUUAUUUCUUUAUUAUUGUUAUUCCAUAUUAUUUCAUAAUUAAUUUCAUUCAUAUUAUUUAUCUUCCUAGAUAAAUUCAAUAUUUGUCUUUUGUAUAAAUUUCAAAGAGAAUUAUGUUGCAUGAAGUAUGGCCAUGCAUGUUAGUGUCCCAAAAUUCAAGCAAUGGCAUGUUGGAAGUCAUGCCAUUGAAAGCCCGUUACACCCAGGUUGCAUUGAACAGCACCCUCCCAGCACAUUUUGUACACAGCAACCCUCUCCACACUCUACACCCUGAUGGACCUGAUGAAGAAGAUGUAAAGAAGUGCCUGAAACACCCAUUCCUGAACAAGCGUCAAGCGUCGGGGUCGACCGUUUCAUUAAUUAGGCUCAAGGUAAGAAGGCUUCAAAGAGGAAAGGGAGUGCUUCCAUGAAUUAUUUACAUGAAUUUUGAUCAUUGGCUAUUUGACGUUGAAUAAUGACGGCGGGAUUUAUAGAGAUUUGAGCAAAAGAAUUGAGGCAGAAGAAGGCAAGAAUUGCAAAUUUUGAGCAAACAGAACAGAACACAAGAUUGCUACUUAGAACAGGGAAAGGCAAGAGCUACUUAGAGAAGAAACCUUAGAAGAAGAAAAAGAUGAACAAGAGAUCGUCAAUUUGAACACGCGUUUAGGAAGGUGAAUUGACGUUGGCACGGGAUUUGGCGAAAUAUGAGGCUGAAAAGGCUAGAGAAGAGGCAAAAGCUGCAGCUACUGAACAAACAUUUCAAGUUGAACAGAGGGAAAGAGAGCUACUUAGGCAAGAAAGGGAGUUGCUUAGAGAAGAAAGAAAUGCACAACGAGAUCGUGACAUUAUGAACACGCGUUUAGAAGGGAUGUCUCCAAAUUCUAAAUAUUUUUGGAAGUCGGAGAAAGCGGAUGUGGUGCGAAGGAGGCGUGUAAGAGAAGCGAGAUCAAGACAAGAUGGUCCUAGCACAACAAGACAAGAUGAUCCUAGCACCACAAAUUGGUUAAGUGAUGAUGAAUAGGGUACUUUUUGUAAUCGGACCCCAUAGUUUUCCGAUCACUUUGGGUUGUAAUUUAUUAUUUAUGUUGUUUCCAAUUUAUUGAAGUUAGUACUUUAUUUAACGUGAGAGUACAUUUAUUUAAUUUCGUAAUAUAUUUAAAAUUAAACUACAGUCAAUGACGUGUCCAGAUGCGUGUCCAUAGGCAAGACACGAGUACAGACGUGGCAAGAGACGAGGGUUGUACAACCAUGAGCUUGUGUCCGUGGCAAGGACAACAAAGGCUUGGGGCUUAGGAUGGCAGAGGAAAUACCACGGCAAGCUAGAGCCACCGACACAUCGUCGUUGCCGCCAAACUUACGUAAAAUCGUUAGCACAAAAAGCCGCCAAGGGUUUCCGCUCACUGGGAAAAAGAUAAGAUUUGUGAACGCCAAGACCACAUGGGUCACAACAUAGCAAAAUUGAAAUCUUUGUCAUCCUCAGCAUUAUCCGACCGCUAUCCACAAAUUGAAGCAACGAAUUGGGCAAGUGUGCAACAAAUUUCCAAUGUGCUUCUAUUGUGAAUGAUUUACAGGGAUUGGGUUGAAUGAGGUUUGUAGUUAAAGUGGGAUGCAAUUUAGAACACCAACGUUUGAUUAUGUUUCUCUCAUUUUUUUCUGUUCACUUUUGCCUCAUUUGUUUUUUUUGUUGCAUCGUCUCAAAAACCUUGUGCGUCUACAUGUACAUGUAUAAGUAUAAAUUUUGGUUAAAACAAAAAGUCACAUAUUUCAUAAUUAACUAUUUAAAUUUGUUGCAAAUCACAGUAUAUCUUUGUUCAUACAUUCAAACAAGCAUGACAAAUACUGAGGAAGAAAAUGAAAAUUAUUGUCACUACAAUUGUAUAUAUUUUUUUCUUUUUGAACAAACGAUAUUAUCUACACUAAGGGGGUGAGGGAGUGGCCUAAGCCUAACAAUGAGCUAGCAAUAAUAUAGUUCAAUUUGCCUUUGAUGAGAAUCGAACAUAAGACAUUUCACUUACAAGUGAAGAGAAAUAUCCUAGACCCUAACUGGAUAUGUUAUUGUCAUGGUCAUGCAUUGGUAUAGUAACAAUAUGUUUGGAUAAGGACAAUAAACUUAUAAUUUUGCCAAAAGUCAGAAUUUUUAAAUUGACACAAUCAAUUCCUUUGUUUGGAUUCAUAAAUAUAGAAAUUUAGACUUUCCGCGUGAGAAAAAACUUGGAAUUUGGUACCUUCAAUUCUCAUGUUUAAAUUUCAUGUAAAUAUGUGUCAUUUAUAAAUUUCAGUAAGUGAGAGUUUAAAAAUAACAAACAUGUAUUCAAAUUUCAUUCAUCCUUUAGGUUAACCAAACAAGAAAAUUUAUAAAUUCUAGAAAAUAAAAUUUCGUUAUUUCAUUUCUGUUAUUUUAAAAUUUUUAGGGCAUGUUUGGUACUCUACUUGAAUCUAACUUUUUAAACUCAAAAACAAUUUUCAAGUUUUAGGCCUUAAAAACUUGUUUGGUAGAACUAUUUUAAAAAACUGAACUUAAAACUAACUAAAAAAUAUAAUCUAUUAUCUAAAAACACAAAAAAUGAGUUUUUAGAAUUUGUAAACUUAAACUCACUCCUUUCUUUUCUCUCCCUGCUCCCCUCUCACUCCAAAUCUCUCUCUCUCUUUUCUUCUUUCUCUCUCCCCCUUCUUUUUUUUUAACCUUUUUUUGUCUCUCAUCCAAUCCGCUCUCUUUAUUCUCUCGGUUCUUUCUCUCACUCCUCUUCCUCUCUAUCUCCUCCGAUUCUCUCUCUUCAUUCUUUUUCAACCAAUCAUUUCUUAUUUUCUUUCCUCCCCUCUCCUCUUUCUCCCUCGACCACCUCUUUUUGGAUCUCCUUGUUCAGUUUGAGCUAUAAGAUUUAAAAAUUUUAAAUCGCAUAUCAAACAAGUUUUUGAGUUUUAAAGAAAAUUGUUUUCAAGAAAUAUUUUGAGAAAUGAUAAAAAAUUUCAAAUAUGAUACCAAACAAGCCCUUAAUAAUCUUAAAUUUUCUCGUCCAAACAAAAAGUUUUCUUGUCAUAGAACUUUCAAUUGAAAUCAAGGAAGAUAAUCUUUUCACAACUAAUUAUUCUCACCAAAAGCAAUUUUUAUUUUAUAGCAGAUCAAUACCAAAUUGCAAAAGCAAAGUAGUAAGGCUAAAAUUCAGGUGAAGAACCUGCUUCCACUAAUUUCCUUAGGAGGGAGAGAGAGAGAGAGGGGAGAGAGAACCAAGCGACCGAGCAGAGAGAGAAAACACCAAGUAGUAUUCUAAUGUUGGUGGGGUUAAGUCACCUUCCGUGAAGUUGCAGUAAGGACUUCUAUCCCAAAGAAAAGUCAGUAAAUGAUGUUGACAUCCGUCAACGACAAGGACAGAAUUGUGUAACCAUAAUUCUCUCUCUAUCUCUUUUUUCAUUAACGGAGGACAGUGUAUAAUUACUACGUAUAUAUCUCUGCUCAAUUAUUGAAAAGAAAAAUCCAUGUGCAUUAUUUUUAUUAUUAUUAUCUCAGAAAUGCAGAAAUUGAUCAUCUCUUCCUUCUGCAUAUUGAUACUGGUUUUCUUCAAACUAGUUGAAGCAAGGCAAUAUGUGUGCGCGAAAUCCAACUGUAGCAAUGAUCAAGGCCCGGCUAUCUAUUUCCCAUUGAACACCAGGCACACACAUCAUUGUGGAAAUUCUGGGCUUGAAUGCAAUGGGAGAAAUGAGCAGCAAAUACUAAUAAAAUUAUUUGUCAAACACAUAGAUUACAAGCGUCAGGAAAUCCAAGUCUAUUCCCCAAGUAACUGCCUGCUGCUAAAGCCUGUUGAAAUCCCAAACAUGCCACCCUCUCCCUUCAUCGUGUC
Molecule: long non-coding RNA, 220681 nt
Filed under: Malus domestica (apple)
Lineage: Eukaryota; Viridiplantae; Streptophyta; Magnoliopsida; Rosales; Rosaceae
Source: RNAcentral